GAUAGCAAGAAUCUUGAUGAGAUAGAUCAAGAAAGACUAACCUUGUUAAGUACGAAAUCUCCACUGGAAUUUGGCCAUGGAAACAUGAGUUUGAAAGGUUGAGAUGAGUUAAAUUUGGGAAUUUAUCAAACUCAUAUUGAAACAGAGUAGUAUUAAAAUUGUUUCCAGCAAGAUUAAGGCGUUGAAGAUGAUGGAGAUUGAGAAUGGAGUGAAAGCUGCCAGAAAGGUUUUUGUAACUGAGAUCAAGUUCAAUCACAUGACCCAAAGCAUCACAUGUAAUUCCUUUCCAAGAGCAACAGUCAGUGUUGGGAUCCCAAAGCUCAACUUUGGAAGAGAAAGUAAAAUUUGGGGCAUAGUAAAGAUCAUGGUGCAAUUGUAGCAGAGCAGAUUUCUGGUGAUGAAGGCAUUGGUUUUGGAGAUCAGGAGGGGAAAAAGAUAACACAAGAGAUAUAGAGCAUGAGAAGAGAAACAAGGUAGGAAAAAUGAGUGAAAUUAGGAUAUGAAGAUUCUUCAUUUUUUGUUGGCUCUCUAUAAAGAAAAAAUGAAGGGAAAACUAUGGAGUUUGAGAUUUGCUUACACGUUAUUUAUAGACAAGUACUUCAUAUUAGGUACUGUUAUUGUAGCUACAUAUCUCCCUUGAUCUCAAGAGAUAAGUUCAAAUGCGUUUUUCCAACCACGUGUUUGUACAAAUCACGAGUUUGAGCUAUUUUUAUAAGAGUUAAAUCAAAAUAGGUGGAAGACAGACAUAUUUAUUGCUUGUCCAUUUUGAAUUUUAAGGAAUGAAUAAUGGGUCAAUGGUGAUAAGGCUUAUAGUUUUGCUUUUGUAAAUUAAUCUUUAUCACUAUAUCUUUUCUUUUCUUUCACUUUUUAUUUCAUAUUAUGCAUUCGUACAAAUAACAAUUAAAUAAAAAAUUAAUUUUCUCAAAAGAACGAAAAUUUUCACUAAGUUUUACUCAUCUAUCAACUUGUCUGAAAGAGUAAUUUUACAAAGAUUUAUCAAUCAAAUCAAUUCUAUUAUUAAGGACAAAGGAAGAUGCAAGGCUAUGGGUGAGUUGUUCAUGAACACCUCCAAACAUGGAAGGAGAAGAAAUUUCGAAAGAGAAUUUUUCAACAUCUCUAAUUUUUUAAUUUUUUUCAUCCAUGGAAUUAAUAAAUACAAUUAUAUAAUAAACACAGUAAACUCAAAAACGAUUGAACCUCCAAUGUUUUUGGCAACACAAUUACAGAUUUGCAAGAAAAAAAAAUCAAAGUUUUAAAAAAUGCUGACUGCUUUUUUUUUUAUGAGUAGACAAUUUUCAAUAAAAUAAAAUCAUGUAAUAUGAAUAAUAUAUUAUUUUAAUUUUUAUAUUUAAUUUUUUAUAUAUAUUAAAUGAAUAUUUUUUAAAAAAAUUUGAUUUCACCACUGAUUAUGAAGUUAUACGAAAUUCUUUUUUUGAAAAUUCUAAGUUAUUUCUUUUUCUUAAUGGAAAAGCUUGAACCUCCUUUUGGUAUCCUUUAUCAACUUCCUCAUAUAUAUCAAUAUUUUUAUCUAUAUAAGCAUUAAAAGAAAAAGGGGUAUGAUCGUUUGGUGCAUUUUUAAUUUGUUGCAAUCCCACCUAACAUCUUGUAAUAUGGCAGCACAUAUGUUGUAAUUAAGAACAUUGCCUACCUAACCUGAAAAUCUAGAGCAAAAGUAUGAAUGAAACGAAACGAGGGCAAAAGAUGAAAGCAAGGAGGAAACAUCCAGCCAACAGAGUGCAAGUGCUGAAACUGAGUUUCCAUGUAUUCAGUUCCCUGUUCUAUUGAUGUCAAGUCAGAGAUUAAUGGAUGCUUUUGGUUUUUAUUUUUUUAAUAAAUGAAUUGAAAAUUUAAAAAAAUAGUAAAGGAAAAAAAAUACAAACCAAACGAAAUCUAAAUUAUAUUUUUCAGUUUAGGGUUUUUAUUUUUUUUAAUAAAUGAAUUGAAAGCAAAAAAUAAAUAGUAAAGGAAAAAAAAUCCAAACCAAAUGAAAUCUAUAUUAUAAUUAAUCAUCUUAAAUAAUUAGCAAUUAAUCACUUGAUGGAAUCUUAUCUAUAAGAAUUGAGAAAGUACAAUGAAAGAGUCAAGAUGUUGAUGGUAGUAUUCAAUCAGAUACUUAAAUUUUUAAUUAUUAAAAAAUAAUAGGAUCUAAAUUUUUGAUUAUUUGAAAAUAAUAGGAUGAAAGAAAAACUUUAGGAUUUGAAAAUUAUCUUUUUUUUUUUCAAAGUCCUUGAAUCAAUUGAAAGGUUAGAGAAAAAAUUUGUGUUCUUCAAUUUUUUUUUUCAAAAUUUUCAACAAAGUAAAACAUGUUUUUCAAUUUGUUGAUUAGGCAACUUGUUUCCCGUGCUUUUGUUUGUAAUAUACUAUUAGAUUUAAUGGCAAUUGUUUUAUUUAUAUUAAAUUUUUUAUUUUUUAACAUAUUAAAAUAUAUAACAAUCCUCCGACUUCAUAAAUUUCACAUAAUGUAUAGAUAUAUAUAUAUAUAUACAUAUAUAUUUAUAUAUAUUAUUAGUAGAGUUUUAAAGUUUCAUAAACGGUGUUAAUCUAUUAUCACAUGUUUUAUUUUUUUUUAUAAUUUUUAAUAUAUAAUAUAUGUUGUUUAUUACUUGAAAACUUAUCUUGAUAUAUAAUCACGCACAUCUUUCAAAGAUGGAUUAUUGAAAAUUUUCUCCUUAAAUUCUUGUUUUCUUGCCGUUUAUUUUCAUUUGUAUGGACACAAUGUUUAAACUAAUAAACAAAAUAUUUUCUAUGUAAAGAAAAUUAACAAAAAAAAAAAAAAACUAAAUAACUACCACUUGACAAUCCGCACAUUUAUUUUGACAUUUCCAAUGAUCCGACGACCUUACCACUUCCAAAUUAAAUUAAAUUUUUACUACCUCAUAUAACUUGAGCAUUUAAUAAAUGAAAUUUGUUCUAAUUGUAAAAACUAAGUUAGAUAUAAUGCUGAAUUGAACGAGUCUUAAAUAUCAUUGUUGCUGCAGGCAUAUGCAUUAGUAUUUAUGCAUGUGAGCUUUUUUUUUUUGUGUUAUUAAUUUUUACAGAGUUUAAGAAAAAAAUUUUGAUUUUAAUAUUUUUAAGAUUAAAAUUCAAUUUUUUAUAAGAUUAAAGUUUCAUGAUUUUUAAUGUCAAAAAGUAAAAAAAAAAUCAUAAAAAAUAAUUUUAAAAUAUAAAAAAGUAAGAGUUUGAGUUAUUCCAAUAAAGAAAGAUGAUAUAAUUUUGAGAUAUCUAAAACAAAAAAAAAAAAAAAACAAGAGACUGUGGGAAUACUAUAUUUAGACAUUACCAUUAGAAUCAUUAAUAAGUUCUCUAUAGUAAAUGAUGAUAAAACUUUAUUAUAAAUCAAAUUAUAAAUAAAAUAAUAAACUUAAAAAGAGUUACAUAUAUGUCGAACUUUGGAUAGUUAUAAAUCACGAAGUAAAAGUUUUAAAAAAAUCAGCAUAAUUGUUAAAGUAAAAUAUGUAUUGUAAUGUGAGAAUCUAAUAUCGAGUGUCAUAUCAUAUCGUAAAUAUUAUAAAUAGUUUUUAUAAUUUUUAAAAUUAAUUAUGAAUAAUAUAUAUAUAAAUCAAAUAAAAGUUUUUAAAAAAUACUCUACAUAUUAAUGGGAUUAAGUGAUUAAUGGACAUAAAUAUAAAAUAUGAUUAUUUUUCAAACUUUCAUCACAUUCUAUUUUCAAAAAAAUAUAUAUUUGAUAUGUUGUUAAUUUAUAAAUAUUAUAUGCUAUAUGUGAAUUACAAAAGAAAAUUCUAAAUACAUUCCCAUUUUAUCUCUCCACACCCUUUUUAUUUCAAAAUUAUUUUAAAUGAAAUUAUUUAAUUACUCUUUCUCUUUUCUAUUCACACUUCUUCUACUUUUAAGCUUUUGGAUUUACAAAAUUCAAAACUUUUAAGAGUUUUCAUAGUUGUAAAUCUAGAAGCUCUUAAAAGCCUCUAGAUUUGCAUAUCCAAAAGCUUUUAAAAAUUUCCGGAUUUGCAUAUCUAGAAGCUUAAAAUUUUCUAUAAGAUAUUUUUUCUUAACUAUUUUUUUUUAGAACCUAAAUGUAACUUCUUCUUUUUUUAACUUAUUGGAUAUUAAAAUCCAGUAAGUUAUAAAAUUAAAACAAGAUGGAUAAAUAAGUAAUUUCACUUAAAAAGUAAAAAAAAAAAAUGGAUCUAGAGAAAAAAUGAUGGUGCAUUUAGAAUCACCCAUCACAAAAUUAUACUUUAUAAAAAAAAUUGAUAUUUUAAUUUUGGACUCAGAAAGAAAAUAAUAGUAUGAGUUUUUUUAUUGGCAUUUAGUCUUUUAUUUGUUUUACAUUUUUAAGUCUUCCCAUCUUGCAAAUGUCUAAGUCUUCUUGUCCCAUCAUUACUCUAUCAAAAAAAAAAAAAAAAAAAUUUUAACAAUUUGCUUAAGUUGAGUCUAUUUUUGUAAAAAGAUAAAAAAAUAACAAUUUUCUCGAUGGAGGUUUUCUUUUCUUUUCUAGUUAAAUUGGCAUAUUGAGAAUGGAUCUUAAGUAUAUUUAUAUUUAUAUUUGUAUUAUUAUUAUUAUUAUUAUUAUUAUUAUUAUUAUUAUUAUUAUUAUUAUUAUUAUAUUUUAGUCUUUCUAAUGACUUAGACUAAAGCAACUGCUAAAAUUAUUAUUUUUGUGAAGUAAAGAUAGGGGUAAAAAGACUAACAUUUGCAUGCUUAAUGCCAAGAUAAGUAUAAAGCAAAGACUAAGACUUAGACCAAUACAUCCCUAUAGUAUCUAUUAUUUCUUUCUUAUUCCACCAUUAUAAAUCCUAAUUUCCAAAAUAGAUAAGUUUGAGAAGUGAGAAUGAAUAUGUUCUUUAGAUUUUUUUUUUCAAAACUUUCAACAAAAAUAAAACCACAGGUUUUUAUUUUGUUGAUUUUUUUUUUACCAAUCAAUUUGUUGAUUAAGCAACUUGUUUCUCAUGCUAUUGUUCCUAAUAUACUAUUAGAUCCAUGGUGUGCUCUUUUUUUUUGUUUUUUGUUUUGGUUUUUAUUGUUAAUAUAUUUUUAAAAGAUCCUGAUGAUUUAGAAAUUCAAUGAAACCAAUAACCAUGCAGUAUGUGUAGUAAAAUGCUAAACUCUUAGUUUUAGUUAGUUAAAAUUUCAAAUCUUGACAACCUCAACAAGCCAAAAAAAAAAAAAAAAAAAAAGAAGGACAAUCUUCUAAUUUCACAAAUUUUAUAUCUACAAGAUAACUUAUAUAUAUAUAUAUAUAUAUAUAUAUAUAUAUAAAACAAUUUCUUCACGUAUGAUUAAUACAUGAUUUAAAUUUUAUAAAUGGUAUUAGAUUCUCAUACUUUUUAUACGUAAGAUAUUUUCUCUUAACUAUUUUCUUUUUCAAACCUAAUUGUAACUUUUUUAACAUAUCGAAUAUGAAAAUUUGGUAAGUUAUAUAACUUAUAAAAAAUGUAUAUCUAGAAGCUUUAAAAUUAAAAUGAGAUGGAUAAAUAAGUGAUUUUACUUAAAAAAUUUUAAAAAAAAGUGUAUGUAGAGAAAAAAAAAAUGGUGUACUUAGAAUCACCUAUCACAAAAUUAUACUUUAUAAAAAAAUUUGAUAUUCUAAUUUUGGACCCAUAAAGAAAAUGAUAGUAUGAGAUUUUUUUUAUUUGGUAUUUAUUUCUUUUCUUUGCUUUAUACUUUUAAGGUCUUCUCAUCAUGGCAAAUGUCUAAGUCUUCUCGCCGCCAUCAUUACUCUUGUGAAAAAUAAUCUUCUUAGCAGUUUGCUUAAGUCAAGUCUAUCUUUUAAAAAAGACAAAAAAAACAUAGCAAUUUUCUUAAUGGAUGUUGUCUUUUGUCUUUUAGUUAAAUUAACAAACUGAGAAAUGGAUUUUAAGUAUAGUAAUUAUUAUUGUUAUAUUUUAGUAUUUUUAAUUACUUAGACUGUAGCAACUACUAAGAUUAUUAUUUUGUGAAGUAAAGAUGGGGCAAAAAGACUGACACAUUUGCAUGCUGAUGGCAAACUAAGUAUAAAGUGAAAACUAAGACUUAGACCAAUACCAUUCCCAUAGUAUCUAUAGAUUUCUUUCUUAUUCCACCGUUAUAAUGUCACAAUCUCCAAAGUAGACAAGUUUGAGAAGUGAGAAUGAAAUGUGUUCUUAGAUUUUUCUUUUCAAACUUUUCAACAAAAAUAAAACAUAGGCUUUUAAUUUGUUGAUUUCUAUUUUUUUUUGCCAAUCAAUUUGUUGAUUAAGCAACUUGUUUCUAAUGCUUUUGUUCCUAAUGUACUAUUAGAUUUCAUAGUAUGUACAUUUUUUUUAUUCUUAAUAUAUUUUAAAUAGAUCCUCUGAUUUAAAAUUUUAAUAAGCCAAUAACCAUGCAGUAUGUUAGUAAAAAACUAAACUCUUUAGUUUCAGUAGUUUAAAGUUCAAAUUCUCACAACUUCACAUAAAAAAAAAAAAAAAAAAACAAUCUUUGGAUUUCACAAUUUUCAUGUAUAUUUUGAUUUCUUCACAUAUGAUUUAUAGAGGAUUUAAACUUAUAAAUAGUAUUAGAAUCUUAUGCUCUUUAUCAAAUAUUUUCUGUCAACUAUCUUUUUCCAAACCUAAAUGUAACUUGUUUUAAGCUUCCGAAUAUGAAAACCCAUAUGUUCUAUAACUUAUCAUAAAUGCAUAUCUAGAAGUUUUAAAAUUAAAAUGAGAUGGAUAAAUAGGUAAUUUCACUUAAAAAUUNNNNNNNNNNNNNNNNNNNNNNNNNNNNNNNNNNNNNNNNNNNNNNNNNNNNNNNNNNNNNNNNNNNNNNNNNNNNNNNNNNNNNNNNNNNNNNNNNNNNNNNNNNNNNNNNNNNNNNNNNNNNNNNNNNNNNNNNNNNNNNNNNNNNNNNNNNNNNNNNNNNNNNNNNNNNNNNNNNNNNNNNNNNNNNNNNNNNNNNNNNNNNNNNNNNNNNNNNNNNNNNNNNNNNNNNNNNNNNNNNNNNNNNNNNNNNNNNNNNNNNNNNNNNNNNNNNNNNNNNNNNNNNNNNNNNNNNNNNNNNNNNNNNNNNNNNNNNNNNNNNNNNNNNNNNNNNNNNNNNNNNNNNNNNNNNNNNNNNNNNNNNNNNNNNNNNNNNNNNNNNNNNNNNNNNNNNNNNNNNNNNNNNNNNNNNNNNNNNNNNNNNNNNNNNNNNNNNNNNNNNNNNNNNNNNNNNNNNNNNNNNNNNNNNNNNNNNNNNNNNNNNNNNNNNNNNNNNNNNNNNNNNNNNNNNNNNNNNNNNNNNNNNNNNNNNNNNNNNNNNNNNNNNNNNNNNNNNNNNNNNNNNNNNNNNNNNNNNNNNNNNNNNNNNNNNNNNNNNNNNNNNNNNNNNNNNNNNNNNNNNNNNNNNNNNNNNNNNNNNNNNNNNNNNNNNNNNNNNNNNNNNNNNNNNNNNNNNNNNNNNNNNNNNNNNNNNNNNNNNNNNNNNNNNNNNNNNNNNNNNNNNNNNNNNNNNNNNNNNNNNNNNNNNNNNNNNNNNNNNNNNNNNNNNNNNNNNNNNNNNNNNNNNNNNNNNNNNNNNNNNNNNNNNNNNNNNNNNNNNNNNNNNNNNNNNNNNNNNNNNNNNNNNNNNNNNNNNNNNNNNNNNNNNNNNNNNNNNNNNNNNNNNNNNNNNNNNNNNNNNNNNNNNNNNNNNNNNNNNNNNNNNNNNNNNNNNNNNNNNNNNNNNNNNNNNNNNNNNNNNNNNNNNNNNNNNNNNNNNNNNNNNNNNNNNNNNNNNNNNAUUUAUUUUGUUAUGAGGUAGAUAAUGGAAGGAAGAAAGAAGCUUCUGACCUUAGACAAAAUAGCUUUAGACCAAUUCUAAAGUUCUUUUAAAGAAAACGAAACGACUUUAGACAAAGCAAAGCAAGAAAUAUGUGUACGAGGAAAGAACAAGAAAAACCCAUUCAUGAUGAAUUGAAGACUCAUUAAUUAAUAGAAAAUCCCAUUAAUUUUUCUUCUAUGGAAAAACAAUCAUUUUCGCCCUUUCAUAUUUGUAAUGUUCACAUUUGUAGUUUUCACUUAUUCAUUAAUAUUAAGGUUCAUUACCAUUUAAAAUAAUAUUAGUUAAUAUUUUUGUUUCUAGUAUUGUAAAAUAUAAAAUAUGAAUCUACAUAUUCUAAGUUCUUACUAUUCAAAUCAAUAUUCUUUAACAAUAUUAAAAACAAAAAUAAUAAAAAAGGCCCAUAUAUAUGAUAAAUUCAAUAAUAAAUUAUUAUAUGUUGUUUUGAAUUCUCAGUGAUUAAUUAAAUGAUUUUGCAAACAAUAAUCUAAAAGCACAUUUCAAGAUGAUUACAUAAAGUAAUAUCUUCAUUCAAUACAUUAAUAUCAUAUUUGAUGCAUAGGGUUAUUGAUAGGAUAUGAUGAUAAUUAUUUUAUAUAAUAUUUGAUUUUUAUUUAAAGAAAGGGAUAGAGAUUAUAAAAAAGAUUAAUAUCCUCUUGACAUAAAAUUAUUCAAUCUUUCUCAAGUGGAAAAGAUUAUUUUUAAUCCAUAAGAUUAAAUUUAUAUAUCCAAUUAUACCCUUAAAAAUUAUAUCAAUAAUAUAAAUUAUAUAAAUUAUGAAAAAAGAUAAUUUUGACGAAUAAAUAAAUUAUCCUAUCUUAAUCAUUCCAUCUAUCAAACACAAAGUAAGAUGAUAUUAUUUAAUCCAAUUUUGUUCAUAAGAUCAUCUUAUCCUAUCUUAUCAUAAUCUUGUAUAUUAAAUAUGAUUUAAAAAUAAUAGAUAUAAAAUUAUUAAUUAUAUAUCAAUUAUUACAUUUAAUAUAAAAUUAUUAUGAUAAAUAGUAUAUUAACUAAUUUUAGGGAGCAAAGAAUUCUUUAGUAAUUAUUUUAAAUGUGUGAGUAUGAAUCAAAGUAGGAAUGGCGACGGAAUAGAAUGGGCUAUUUUUGAAGUAUUUAUAUAUGAAUUUAUUUACUUUUCGUUAUAUUCGAAUUCUUUUAAUUUAUUUAAAUAUUUGAUUAAAUUAAUUAGUUUAAUAUCCAAUUGUAAAUCCAUUUAAAUAAGUAUUAUCAACUAAAUAUUUAAAUCACUAAAAUAUUUGAUUAUUUAAGUUUUUUUGUUAAACUAUAAAAUAAUUAAAUUUAAAUUUAAAAUUCAAGUUGAAUUUUAAUAAUAACAAAUAAAAAUUUUUUGUUAAGGUUCAAAACCUUCUACGACUAUAAAAUUUUAUAUAAUUUGCAUAUAUAAACAGAUAAUAAAUUCGGAUGUUCAAUAUUAUCCAUCAAAAUUUAAACGGAUCCAAAUAUUCAAAAAAUACUAUCUAAAUUCGUCAUAGAUAUUAAACUUACUAUAAAAAAUCAUAAUUAUCCACUUAUAAAUUUUUUAUCAGAACAUAAUCAAAUUAGAUAAUACCAAAUAUAUGAUUAUUUAGUAUAUAUUAUCAUCUUUAAAUGAAGUCCAAGAGAGAAGCAAUCAAUUAAAUCUAAUGAAAAGGAUGGAAAGGUGAAGCACGGUCUAAAGCUAAGCUACUGUCUCCCAUUAUUUCCACUGACUUGACAUCAACAUACAAGCGAAAUCUGAAUGCGUGGAAACUCAGUUGCAGCACUUUUACUUUGUUGGCUGGAUGUUUCCGGUAUGCUUUCAUCUUUUGCCUUCGUUUCAUUUCAUUCAUAUAUUUGCUUCGGAUUUUCAGGUUAGGUGGGAAAUAUUUUUACAACAUGUGAUGCCAUAUAUACAAUAGGUUUUGCAAUAAAAAAUGCAACAAACGGUAUCCAUUUGACUAAACAAUAUUCCUUUUUCUUAGUUAUUAAUCUAAUGGUGUCAGGAUAACUAAACUCUAUUAGAGACCAAAGAAUAACACAUACUAUUAUAAAGAAAGAAUUGUUACAGUAAUUAUUCUAUUCUUUGAAUGCUUAUUUAGAAAGAAAAUGAUACAUAUGAGGAAGUUGAUCGAGGGAACAAAAGGAGAUUCAUCGAAGAAGAAGAAUAAGAAGAAGAAACAAACUUAUUAAUUGGAAUUUUCAAAAAAAGAAAGUGUUCUAUCUAAUUUUAUAAUAACUGAGUUGAGUUGACUGAUACAUCUUUGUAAGUUUUACUUUCCUUCAAAUGUCAAGCUUAGUAAAAAUUAUAAUUAUGUUUUAGUAAUGGAGAAAUUCCUUCCUUCUGAUAUAUAUGUAAGACUAUUACCUAACUUUAAGAUUUUUUUUUUUUCGUACCAAUACAUAAUAUGAAAUAAAAAGUGGGAAUCAAAGAAACAAUAUAGUGACAAAGAUUAAUUUACAAAAGCAAAACUAUCGGCCUUAUCAUCAUUGAAACCCAUUAUUCAUUCUUUAAAAUUCCAAAUAGACAAGCAAUAACCAUAUCUGUCUUCCACCUAUUUUGAUUCAACUCUCACAGAAAAAGUUCAAACUCGUACAAACAUGUGGUUGGAAAAACACAUUUGAACUUAUCUCUUGAGAUCAAGGGAGAUAUAUAGUUACAAUAUGAAGUACUUGUCUAUAAAUACCUGUAUGCAAAUCUCAAACUGCACAAUCUUCCCUUCAUUUUUUUUAUAGAGAGCCAACAAAACAUGAAGAAUCUUCAUAUCCUAAUAUCACUCAUUUUUCCUACCUUAUUUCUCUUCUCAUGCUCUGUCUCUCUUUUGCUAUCUUUUUCCCCUCCUUAUACUGAUCUCCAAAACCAGUGCCUUGAUGACCAAAAAUCUCUUCUACUGCGACUGCACCACGAUCUUUACUAUGCCCCAAAUUUUACUUUCUCUUCCAAAGUUGAGCUUUGGGAUCCCAACACUGAUUGUUGCUCUUGGAAAGGAAUUACAUGUGAUGCUUUGGGUCAUGUGACUGGACUUGAUCUUAGCAACAAAAACCUUUCAGGCAGCUUUCACUCCAUUUUCAAUCUCCAUCAUCUUCAACGCCUUAAUCUUGCUGGAAACAAUUUUAAUACCACUCUGUUUCAAUAUGAGUUUGACAGACUCCUAAAUUUAACUCAUCUCAACCUUUCAAACUCAUGUUUCCUUGGCCAAAUUCCAGCAGGGAUUUCGUGCUUAACAAGGUUAAUCUCUCUUGAUCUAUCUAAUCAAAAUUCAUGCCAUCAACGGUAUAACCAAAUUCUCCGUCCAUACGACGACUUCCUCUACUAUUCACUGCCUUUUGACCUUCAACAACUUCUUAAACUAGAAAACCCAAACUUUAAGACAUUGAUCCAAAAUUUAAGACUUCUUACGGAGCUCUACUUGGAUAGUGUGAACAUUGCAACUCAAAGUACUAGAUGGUGUGAAGCCAUAUCCAUACUACUUCCUAACCUGCAUGUGUUAAGUCUUUCGAAUUGUGGUUUGACAGGUCCAUUUUGUUCUUCACUCUUAAGACUCCCUUUUCUUUCCAAACUUUUCCUUGGUGGGAAUUCAAUCUCUUAUUUGCCUCCCAAUUUCUUGGAAAUUUCCUCUAAUUUGGUUUCUCUCAGUUUAGCGAGUUGCAAUUUGAGUGGGGAUUUUCCAACAGAAGUUUUCUCAUUGCCAAAAAUACAAAGCAUUGACAUUUCAAAAAAUGACAAUCUUGAAGGUCAGUUGCCAGAAUUUCCAUUAAACAAUACUUUACGGAUCUUAAUGAUUUUUUUUACAAAUUUCGGUGGAAAACUGCCAGAAACAAUUGGUAAUCUCAAGUUCUUGACAACUUUAGAUCUCCGUUUUUGCAAUUUCUUUGGACAAAUUCCAUUAUCAAUUGCCAAUCUUACUAACCUUGUGGAGCUGAAAUUGGGAUAUAAUAAUUUCAGUGGUUUAAUCCCUCCAUUUCAUAGAUUAGGAGUUCCAAAUCUUUCAUAUCUUGAUUUCACAUGGAACCACCUCUCUGGCUCAAUUCCUUCUUCUUUAUUUACUCUCCCAUCAUUGCAUACCCUGCUUCUUUGGCGAAAUCAAUUGAUUGGUGAAAUUGGUGAGUUCCCCAAUGCAUCUUCUUCAUUGAUUGAAGCAUUGUAUUUAGACUACAAUAGCUUUGGUUCCGUGAAGCUUGACAUGUUCUCCCAACUCAAGAACUUAAGGUUUCUUGGCCUUUCCAAUACGAGCUUGUCAAUUGAAAGCAACAUCACAAGCCUUUCUUUUCCCCAAUUAGAGGAACUAGACCUGAAUUCAGUAACCUUACUGAAUUUCCAGAAUUCAUCAAAACUCAAGACAAGUUGGCUUUCCUAGGUCUUUCUAACAACCAAAUCCAUGGUUUUGUGCCUAAUUGGUUAUGGAAGACCACUCUUUUAGGGUUAGACCUUUCUUUCAAUGCGAUUGGUUUUUCAAAAGAGGUUCCUUUUGGUGAUGCAAACUCCUCUUUUCCAAUGUUGAGUGUCUUAUAUUUACAAUUCUGUAACCUAAGUAUGUUUCCAGAGUUUUUAAAGAGUCAAACUAGUUUAGAAUAUCUAGACCUUUCAAAUAAUAAAAUAUGUGGUGCAGUGCCGAAUUGGGUGUGGAAGAAAAGUUUGAGGAAUCUGGAUCUUUCUAACAAUUCUCUCUCAUUUUUGGACCAAUUUUCACUAAACCAAUCUCUAACUUCUUCACAAGGCUCUUUAUCAAGACCUAUUUGCAAUUUGAGUCAACUUAGGACCUUUAAUGCAUCCUUUAACAAAUUAAGCGGGCCAAUCCCAAGUUGCUUGGGCAAUAUCAGUUCUCUCGACACUUUGGAUCUACAAAAAAAUAAUUUCAAUGGCAGCAUACCAGAUUUUGCAAAAGCGACCCAAUUAUAUUGGCUUCAACUCAAUGAUAAUAAAUUAGAAGGGAAGUUGCCAAGGUCAUUAGCCAAUUGCACAAUGCUCCAAGUUUUAAACCUUGGAAACAAUACUCUGCAUGACACAUUCCCUUUGUGGUUGGGAAAAUUGCCCGCGUUGAUGGUCCUUGUAUUGCGAGCAAAUAGGCUUUAUGGUCCAAUUAAACAUGUGAAAAAUUGUUUUCAAGACUUAGAUGUACUAGAUAUUGCUUUCAAUAAUUUUUCUGGUCAAUUACCAAUUGAAUUCUUUCAAGCUCCUCAACUAAGGUCACUCAAAAUUGGUGGGAAUAAACUGGAAGGAAAGUUGCCAAGGUCAUUAGCCUAUUGCAAAAAGCUUGAAGUUUUGGACGUUGGAAAAAAUAUGAUACAAGACACAUUUCCUUUUUGGUUGGAGAAAUUGCCUUCUUUAAAGGUUCUUGUAUUAAGAGCAAAUAAAUUCUAUGGUCCAGCUAAAACUUCUGAGGAUGAAAAUGCUUUUCCAGAGUUACACAUAUUGGACCUUGCUUCCAAUAACUUUUCAGGUGAGUUAUCUAUUGGAUUUUUUCGAUCUUUGAAGGCAAUGACGACAAUGACUGAUGGCAAGAAAGCUAAGCCAGAUUACAUUGGAGACAAGCACUACCAGGACUCCCUGACAAUUGUGAAUAAAGGGUGUGAAAUUUUUUACAAGAAAAUCUUAACCAUCUUUGUUUGUCUUGACCUUUCCAAUAAUAGUUUCCAUGGGAGAAUACCGGAGGAAAUACAAAACCUCAAGUCACUCAAAGCGCUAAACUUCUCCUACAACAGCUUCCUUGGCCCAAUCCCUUCAGCACUUGGAAACUUAACUGAGCUUGAGUCGUUGGACCUCUCCCAGAACAACCUCUCAGGAAAGAUUCCUCCACAGCUUGCAAGCCUAACUUUUCUUGAAGUAUUGAAUCUCUCUUACAACCAACUUGAGGGAAGCAUACCACAAAGCUACCAAUUUGGUACAUUUCCAAACGAUUCUUACAAAGGGAACCCAAGAUUGUGUGGGCCGCCUUUGACAAAGAAAUGCAAUGAAGUUGGUCUUGGAAUGCAACCCCCUAAGGAAGAUGAAGAUUCAUUGGUAGAUGGUAUAUCUAUUUGGAAAAUCGUAUUGAUUGGGUAUGGAUGUGGUUUGGUGAUUGGGUUAUCUAUUGGAUAUACAGUGUUGAAUGAGAUGGGAAACAAAUGGAUGGAUAGGUUUACAUGGAAUUGGAAUAAAAAAUGGAGAAGAUCUUUUAAGUGAUUCUAUCAAAACUCAAGUUUCAAAUUCAUUUGGUAAGCAUUCUAGAAUACUUAAAUCACUCAAAAAUUUUUUUAUUGGUUCUUUCAACUGUAGUUAAUUGCCUAAACAAAUAAAAUUAUUUAAAUACUCUCGUGCAUUAUAAGUGUGAUAUAUAUAUAUAUAUAUAUAUAAUUGCACUAAUUGAUAUUUGAUUAAAGUGAUUACUUUUGAAAUUUAAUUAAAGAAGAUUUCAACUUUGUACGACUCAUUUUCUUUUUAAACUUGGCAUUGCUUUUAAAUCUGAAAACAAAAAUUGCCUGCAACCUAAGAUAUGUCCUUUGAAUUCCUAACCUCAUUUUAUAAAUGACAAUCAUGAGUUUUCAAGUUACUAAUUUGUAAAAGACAUGUGGGUGACUGGCAUUUUGAGUUAGAUUGGGCUGUCAACCAUCUUAACAGCAAAGCAAAGCUUCAGCAUUUAUUGUCCUUAAUUAGAUUGGCUUGGGAUGCUCAUGUAUAUUUUAUUUGGCAGGAGCACAAUCAAAGGAAGUUUGGCAGGCCAUCUAAAGAUAUAGAAGCUAUUGUUUCAACUAUCAGAAGUUACUUUUCGCUUAGCUCAAUAACAAGAUUGCAGUCUUCAGUUGCACUCUUCCUCUUCAACAACAGAAAUUAUGUCUGAAUGUUUUUGGCUUGGUGUUACGGUUCUCUUGUCUCAUUUCUUUCUCUUCUGCUCACCUAAGAUGAGUGGCAGCAUGUGUGGUUGUAUUGUGCUUGUCUUCUGUUCUGUCUAUAAGGUGGUGUUUUACUGCUGAGUUAUGGGGUUCCCCUGUUGUUCACCCCAUUGUGCAACUCUGUUUUUAUUAAUAAUUUCUGGCUUAGCAAAAGAAAAAUGUGUCUGAAUUGGGGACUGGUUCCUUAAUGUUGCUUAGUUUGAUUACGUUGCAAAAGUUAGAUUGUUUGUGGACAUUUGUAACGUUUUGAUAGCUUACUGUUUACUUGUAGCAAGUCUAAUGCUUUCUUUGGGUUAAUAAAAAUCAUUCACCCAAAGAAAUUCUUAACGAAAAUCUUAUUAUCUUCUAAGCUCUUCAUUAUUGUUAUACCUAAGAGAUCAUAUUAGCAGCCACAUAGUAGGUCUUACACAUGAAAACCCAGUUUGCGACGUCGUCAUCUAAAAGGUAUGUAUAAAAAGUAGAACCAGACCAGACAGAUGAUUCACUACUGAACUCUCUCUACUCUCUUUAACUGCUUCUUACUCUCUCUCAUUUACUUGCUUGUGGUAUACCUUACUAACUUGAGCGUUGGGGAAUGCCUCAAAAUAACAUUUUUGGCACACUGACUUCCUACCGUGUGAUAGGUCACACAAACUCUCCUUCUCAACCUCCAGUAAAACUUUCGACUAUCAGACCAGGAAUUACAUCAACAAUAUCAAUUAUGCAACUCAACUAUUUGCCGUGCAGGUAUUUGAUAUAAGCCAUGGCAUGUACAACAAUGACUACGCCUACCACUUUAGCUGCCAAAACUAGAAAGUACAUCUCCUAACACAGAAAAAUCUUCACAGACCAAGCUCAAGCUAAGAUGCUUUAUUCCUUUAUUAACUGCUACAUCACUACAGAGAAAAAAACAACGAAAAGAAAAUAACAAAGCUUCCAGUUCCAGGUAUCAAGCUCGACAAUUCCGAACUAACUUCGAUAGUAUUUUAUUGUCCCUAACAACUAUAGAUUUGACCAUGGCGAGAAAGAUUGAUAUAUUUCCUUUAUUAUUUUAUUCAACUUUAAUCCCAUAUCAUCUUUUGUUUCUUUGCUUCAGCACUCCCACAGACAAAAACAAAUGGUUUGUUGUAAGCUUUAUUGCUAUAUGAUUGAUUUGCAUGUAUUGACUAAACAAAAACAUGAGGGCAAUACAUUCAGUAACUUAUAUAUACUCACUUCUCUAGAAUGCCAAUGAAUCCUUUCAGUAACUUAUUCUCUAUCUAAUAGAAAUAAAGCGUCAUAACUAAAUAGCCAAUAUUCACAUUGAUGUGCUAAGUGUUCUGAUAUAGCCACUAAUCCAUAAUUAAAAGAUGAAGUAAUAGACGACAUGCUAUCUUUCAAUCACUGGUCAUUUUAUAGGUAGUAUUUUCUCUAGUGGCCACCUUGAUGCUGUAAACCAGGAAGGUUGUCAAGCCUUCUGACAUUUAGCCUAUUUUGAGUAUUAGCUCAGAAUUUAUGUUUAGAAGAUUGGUGCAGGUAAAAAGAUAUCUGAUGACUUUGGGGUUGACAAAAGCCACAUUGGACAGAGUGAUCAUGCAUAUAUGAAGACUUUGCCGCUAGAGGCUUUCUCCUACAAGUGUCCUCGUGCGGCCCUGAGUUCUUGCUCAUUUGAAUCCUUCUCUAACUACAAAUGUAAGUAUCAACUAGAAAAAUAGUUUAUUCUUAUGAAUUCAGUCAUUUGAAAAUUUUACAGGGAAACAAGAAAACAAAAACUCAUGCUAAAAAAGAAAAUUUUAGAGGGAAAAAAGGAAACAAAAAGAUUACUAUUUCUUGAGUUUAAGUUUAGGUUUGCUAGCUAAUUUCACUUUUUUUUUUUAUUUAAUGCAGACUGAAAAAUCAAAGAGUUAGCUAUAUAAGUACAUAUACAUAUACACCUUUAAAAAGAACAAAAAAUGGAACAAAUUUUACCUUGUUCAGAUUGUUGAGGUUCUGUUUCAAAUUGCUGAGGUUCUUUUCCUGGAUACUGGGGCUCGCUUGAAUCUGUCAUCUUGACAGAAACAAGAGCGAAGGUUUUAUAGGUUCCUUGCCUCAAGCAAGAUGAACUUCAAGUCAUUUACGACUGUUGCUUCAAUCACUUGAAAGAAGGUUUUAAACUAAGUGAGUCAAAAUCCUUAUUACAAUUAAUUAAGGUAAUGAAUGAUAGAAGAUCAACACACUAACUGGUGUCAUAACUAAAUUUUCAUAGAUAAGAUCAAGCUUUCUCUCAUGAAAGGCUAAAUGCUAAAUUUUUUACCCAAAUCAUAAAUUUCUAUUGAUGUAAGAAAGUGAAGGAAUUAAAUUUUUUAUCCUAAUCACAAAAUAUUUACAGUACUCACCUGAACAAGAAGUCUAAACCGCAAUGCCCAAUAUAUUUACUAUCACCCACGAUUGAAUAAUCGGAAUUGAAAUUACUGAACAAGAAGAGAUCAUCCUUUGUCAAAUACUGCAUUCACCAUUCCAACACUUACAAAUCAAAUGAGGCUAAAAUCAUAACUGAAUACAUCCUCCAAAAAUUAAGAGAAAAAUAACAUUUUAUUGGCUGGUCAUACUGCUUGCAGAGCUCAAAAACUGCUCUGCAGAAAUGUACAAGCCUUUUUGGAUUGGAGAGAUUGAAUGAUAUUCAAAAACACAUGGUCAAUUUAAGAAGUUGACUAGAGAGACCAUAUAUUUUGGAACAGCAACAUGCUUUAAGGGCCAUAUGUAGGGAGGGAGAAAUGUCUAUAGCCUCAAUAUUUGAUCAAAACUAUUCUCUCCAUUGCACUCACUAAACCACACACACUCACACACUGAGGUUCAAGCCUACAAGGUAACAUAUGCAAUUCUAAGUUAAAACACAACCUUUGGUGAUCUACGAAAGUCCAUGCAGAUAGAAAUUCAGAUACAAUUAUUCUAAAACAGAGCAUAAGAUUAAUUUCACAAAAAUAUUUAAACUCAAAACCUGUUCCUUUGCUAUCCAAUAAUAUUUGCCAAUUCAGAUGAACAUAAAGGAGGAAAAGAAAAUAACAACAAUAGUGGACAAACAUUGUACCUGUUUUACCGAAACAAUUGGCCAGAGAUCACAAAACUUAUCAAAAAUGUUUGAGUAAUUAAUAUCAAAAGACUCAUAUAUCAUUCCAUUCUUCAGAAUCCCAAGAGACUGGUUAUUCCUUCUAUGGAGCUGCAUUCCAUGUUUUGAAAAAAUUGUGUCCGGAACACUGUUUGUUGGAUCAUCCCUCACCACAUCUACAAAUCCCACCAUCCAAACAAUACUAAAUCAUUCAUAAAUUAUGAAAACACAGAAAGUGAUGAAUCAAAUUUCACCAAUAACAAAAUAUCAAAGCAUAUACCAUGCCAAUUUUCAAACCAAAAAACUCAACAAUAGAUUUCAAUUGCAGACACUUUCAAUCAAUUCAUCAUACUCGAAGAAAGGUGUAAUCUACCUAGACUAAUCACCUUAUAUACAUCUUCCAUCCCAAAACAUACCAAAUCAAAACACCAUAAAUUGAACUUUCUUAUCAAAUACAACUUGAACACACACAAAGGGUAAAUUUAAAAAAGAAGCAACACAUAAAUGCAAUUAACCUUUGCCAACCCAGAUUUAAACACGAGAUAAAAUACCCAUUACUCUUAACAAUUUACUAGUCAUAGUCAAAAUGCUAUAUCUGCAAAUACUGAAAUGGCUCAGUUCAUGGAAAAGUCAAUAAAAUCAUAUAACAGCAAAGCCCAAGUUCAUAAAAGUAGGAAUUUGUUACCAUCUUUAGCAAUUCUGAUUCCACCAAGCUCUAGCACUGAGGAAGCCACUGGUUGUCUCCACUUUUUCAUAGUAGACAGAGAAGCAGCAACAGAAGAAGAAGAGAAGGGUAAGAAAAAAGUGAAGCGUUUGAAACCAUUUAUGUGGUGAAAAAGGGUGGCAGUUGAAUGAGCAGUUGAAACUACUGCCAUAAAGCCUCGGUUUUCCGUUUCAGAAUGCUGGAUUCUGUGAAGAGAAGGAACAAGGAUUAGUCAGUUUGGGACUCGUUUCAAAGGCACGAAAAAAUUAAAAAUACGCUAAUUAUGUAAAAUAAGAAAAACUUUGCUCAUGGGAUAUGCGCGUUCGACGCCAGCAACCUAACUAUUAGUUAAUUUCAAAUUUUUAUUAAAAUAUAUAACAUAUUUUUGUUAGAGCAAAGCUCCUGCCAGCAAGGCUGAGGAAACAAAAUAAAUAAACCGAAAGUCUAUGCAAAGAAUUGAGAAAUCAAAAAUCGAUUAAAAAUUAUAAUAAAUUUUUUUAUUUGAUUCAGAUCGAUGAUUAAAUAUUUUUAUUCAAUUCAAAUGAUUUUUGAUUCAUUAAAUUAAAAAAAUUCCAAUCGAACUAAAUUAUAUUUUUAUUAAUUUUUAUAUAAAUUUUAUUAUUUUAUAAAAUAAAAAUAAUUUUUAUUUUAAAAUAAAGAGAAAUCAAAUUACAUAAAAAAAAAUUAUAUUUUUUAAUCAUUAAUUUCAAUUGAUACAAAAGAUGGAAUAAAUAAAUAAAUAAAUAAUUUAAUCUCAUUUUUUAAAUCAAUUAAAAUUAAUAAUUAAAAAACUAUAUAAAAUUAAAAAAUUUUAUAGUGAUAUAAGCUAAUCAUUCCCUUUAAAAAAAUAAUAUAAAAAUAAUAAUAAAUAAAUUUUUAAAAAUCAAUAAAUUAAAUCCAAUUAAUAAAAUUCAAUUCAAAUUAAUUCAAUUUAAAAAAUAAAUUAAAAUUUAGAUUAACUUUUGAAAAAUAAUAAUACUAAAUAUUAAUCAAAAUAAUCAAAGCGAUUUCUUAUCGGUCCAACUUGCUAGAGACAAUGCUUUAAAUCGGACCAAUAAUCAAAACCUCGGGUUACUGUUUUAACCUGUUUGACUGGUUUGAUCGAUGGAUCCAACAUCAUCCAUAAUUAAUUUUUGAAGAAUUAAAAAAAAAAAAGGAAAAAUAAGGUAGAAUCAGGAAUAUUUAGAAAAAAAAAAAUACUGCCCUUUUAAGGCUCUGUCUCCAAUAUUUUCAUCAACGUAAAAUUAAUCUUUCGCUAAAAAACGUUUAGUUCACACUCAACUUUUUUUUAAGCAACUUUUUAACGGCGGAAAAAGAUCCCUCUAUAAUAAGUUGUAGCGUAGCAGAGCAUACCAAUAAAAAUAUUACAAAAAUUAAUAUUAUGAAUAAUUUUAAAUCAUAAUAAAAUAUUUAAUAUUAUAUUUAAAUUUUAAAAUUUUUUAAUUUGAUAUUUAAAUUAUAAAUUUAUUAAUUAAUUUGAUUCUUAUUUUUAACGUGACUAGUUCAAAUAUCGCAUUAAAAUUUUUUAAAAUUUAAAUAUUGUAUUAAACAUUUUAUUAUAAUAUGUGCAAGUCAUACAACAUAAAAAAUGAGAUCAAUGAAAAUUAUUAAUUUUAUUUAUUAUUUUAUGUGAUUUAAUAACUUAAUUUUAAAGCCGCGGGAGCAGCUCGAGCAGUGCACCGGUAGCCGACGGGUUCGGAAUUGAGACCCCCGUACCCAACCCUUAGAGCCAAUCCUUUUCCCGAGGUUACAGAUCCAUUUUGCCGACUUCCCUUACCUACAUCAUUUUAAAAGCAUUGACAUUUUAAAAAAUUACAAUCUUGAAGGUCAGUUGCCAGAAUUUCCAUUAAACAAUGCUUUACGGAUCUUAAGGAUUUUUUCUGUAAAUUUCGGUGGAAAACUACCAGAAUCAAUUAGUAGUCUCAAAUUUUUGACAAUUUUAAGUCUCCAUAAUUGCAGUUUCUUUGGACAAAUUCCAUCAUCAAUUGCAAAUCUUACAAAUCUUGUGAAAUUGAGUUUAGCAAUUAAUAAUUUUAGUGGCUUAAUCCCUCCUUUUCAUAGAUCUGGAGUUUCAAAUCUUUCGUUUCUUAAUAAUUACAUUGGAGACAAGUACUACCAGGACUCUACGACAAUUGUAAAUAAAGGGUUUGAAAUUUUUUACAAGAAAAUCUUAACCAUUUUUGCUUGUCUUGACCUUUCCAAUAAUAGUUUCCAUGGGAGAAUACCGGAAGAAAUACAAAACCUCUAGUCACUCAACGCGCUAAACUUGUCCUACAACAGCUUCCUUGGCCCAAUCUCUUUAGCACUUGGAAACUUAACUGAGCUUGAGUCGUUAGACCUCUCCCAGAACAAACUCUCCGGAAAGAUUCCUCCACAGCUUACAAGCCUAACUUGCCGUGAAGUAUUGAAUCUCUCUUACAACCAACUUGAGGGAAGCUUACCACAAAGCUACAAAUCUAUACAUUUUCAAAGGAUUCUUACAAAGGGAACCCAAGAUUGUGUGCGCCACCUUUGACAAGGAAAUGCAAUGAAGUUGGUCUUGGAAUGUCACCCCCUAAGAAGACGAAGAUUCAUAGGUAGAUGGUAUAUCUGUUUGGAAAAUCGUAUUGAUUGGGUAUGAAUGUGGUUUAGUGAUUGGGUUAUCUAUUGGAUAUACAGUGCUGAAUGAAAUGGGAAACAAACGGAUUGAUAGGUUGACAUGGAACCGGAAUUGAAAAUGGAGAAAAUCUUCUAGGUGACUCUAUCAAAAUUCAAGUUUCAAAGUCAUUUGAUAAGUAUUUUAGAAUACUUAAAAACUCCAAAGUUGUUUUGUUGAUUCUUUGAGCUGUAAUUAAUUGCCUAAACAAAAAAAAAUUAUUUAAAUACCCUCUUGCAUUAUAAGUGUGAUAUAUAUACAUAUAUAUAUUGUAUCUCUACAAAAAAUGAUAUUUGACUAAAGUAAUUUUAUUUGAAAUUUAAUUAAAAAAGGUUUCAACUUUCAGCGUCUCAUUUCUUUUUUAAAUUUAGCAUUGCUUUUAAAACUAAAAACAAAAUUUGCCUGCAAACUAGGAUAUGUCCUUUGAAUUUCCUAACCUCAUUUUACAAAUGACAAUCAUGAGUUUCCAAGUUAAUAAUUUGUACCAAACAUGUGGGUGACUGGUAUUUUGAGUUAGAUUAGACUGUCAAAUAUCACAUUAAAAUUUUUUAAAAUUUAAGUAUUAUAUUAAAUAUUUCAUUAUAAUUUAAAAAUUAUUUAUGACAUUAAUCUUAUUAAAAAUUACAUUUUUUGUGCAGGCCGAAUGAGAUCAAUGAAAAUUAUUAAUUUUAUUUAUUAUUUUAUGUGAUUUAAUAACUUAGUUUUAUUCAUAUUGUAAUUUAAGAUGUAUUAAAAUCAUAUUGUUAAGAAGGAAUUGUAAAUGGUUCAAAACAAAAACAUGAGUGCAUCACUUCUUUUAAUCUAACAAAGGAAGAAUUCUUGGAUAUCCCCACACAAAUAGCUGAUCAUCAUCCUACACAUGGGUAUCAAUUGUUUUUGUAUACAGUGUCAGACGCAAAGGUUGGAGUAUGUUGUUCAUAGGCAUCUUAAAUAUUAAAAAAAUUUAAAAAAUUUAAAAGAAAAAUUUUUAUAAACAUUCUCAAAAAUUUUUUUCUUAAUGUUAUUUCUAUCGAUAAAAUUAAUAAAUUCAUCAAAAUAAAAUUUAAUAAUAUUAAUAAUGAUUCUUGAUUGAAUAAUUUUUAAUUACAUAUAUUGAAAACAUUAUGUAUUUAAUAAUAUUAAUGAUGAUGUAAUCAUAACUUUUUUUUUUAAACGUGAGAACUUUGGAUAAUUAUAAUAAUAUAACAAUAUAUUGUUUUAAAUUUGUGUUUAUAAUUUAUAUAUAUAUAUAUAUAUAUAAAUAUAUAUUACAAGUACAUGCUUUGAAAAAAAUCCAUUUGUUGUGUACAAAGAGAGAAAAUAUCUUUGCAUGGUGCAUUUUGCACUAACAUAUGAAGUUUGGGAAAUGGAAAUAUAUGGCAGAAAGUAAUCUUGAAAAAGAAUAAGUUUAACCUUCAAUUACGAUAGUAAGUUGAAAGAAUUGAAUUUUUUAAAGAGCGAAGCUUUGUUUUUUCUAUAAAAGUUAUAUACAUUAGAAUUAGAUCUGGAUUUUUUUAUUUUUUUAAAUUAUAUUUUAAAUAUGAAAAAGUAAAAAUUUUAUAUAAAUUUUAAUGGAUGAUAACAUAUAGACAAAUUUAAGGAUAUUUAUCUUUUUAAUAUAAAUUACAACAUAUAUAAAUGUUGUUUUUUUAUUAAUUUUAAGUAUUAAAUAGUAUAUUUAUUAAUAUAAUAUAUAAAUAUAAAUUUAAUAAAUAAUAAAAUAUAUUCUUUUAUAUAUCCAAAGGAGAAUUGAAAUUAAAUACUCCAAAUCUAAUCAUGACUUUACCUAAAUUGUUCAAAGAGAAAAAAAUUAACUCAAUUCUUAUUUAAAAAAAAAAAACUUAUAGAUUGUAGCGAAUCGAAACCUAUAGAUUGUUUUAUCAUCCCUACAUCUAUUUAUUUUUUCUUUAUAAAAUUUAUUUAAUAAAAAUUUUAAAAAACAAAAAAAUGACUAAAGAAGUCAAUUGGAGUGACACAUAAAUUUAUUAAUUUAAAAUAUUAAAUAAUAUUUUUUAUUAAAAAAUAUAUAAAUAUAGAAUUAAAUAAAUAAUAUAUAUUUUUAUAUAUACCAAAAUCGAAGUGUAACACUAAAAAUCUUACUUUUUUCUAAGCUUGAUUUAAAAAAAAAAUUCAACUCAUUUAUCACGAAUAAAAAGGAAACACACCAAUUGAAUUGGGAUAAAUCAAAACCUAUUAUAUACAAGUUAUUUUGUCACCUCUAUUUCAAUUAAUUUUUUUAUUACAAAAUUUAUCUAAUAAAAACUAAAAGUAAAAAAUUAGAAGAAAAAAAGAAAUACCAAAAAAUCAGAAGUUUUAAAAGGUAAAAAAACAAAAAACAAGAGAGAGAGGUACCACCUUGGCAAGUAGAACACUUUAAAUCCUUCUUCAACACAACCCUAUUUUCAAAAAAAAAAAAAAGAUUCAAUCUUAAUUUAAAAAGAAUGCACUUCAUGCCAAUUAAAAUUAAUCGAAUACAAAUUAUUUUAUCAUCCGUACUUUUAUUUUUUUUACAAAAUUUAUUUCAUAAAAAAAUUCAAAAACUAAAUAAAAAGAAAAAAUAAAAAAUAAAGAAAAAAUAAAGCUUUGGAGGAAGGGCAGGGUGAAAACACCCUCUCCUUUUUUCGUUCUGGGAUCCGAAGGCCUACUUUCCUUAUUUUAUUCUUUAAAGAAAACUCCUUUGAUAGAAAAAAAAAGAAAAGAUGCAUCAAUUAUAUCAAUUAUGUAUUGCUAAUAUCGCAUCAUCAUCCUUAAUUACUUCAAUAAUAAAUGAUAAAUCAAGUAAUAGUCUUCCUUUAUACUAAAACAGUUUUAUAUGAAAUCAACAAUUUGUAAUCUGUUGGAUCAUUCGAGCUCCCAUUUAAUUAUUAAAUCAUUUAAAUAUCAUACUUGUCAAUUUUAGAUCUUUCAAAGCCUUCAUUAAAAAAUGAUAUGUUUCAAAUGAUAAUGAAAACCAUAGUAUUUUUUUCCCAAUUUCAAUAUGUAUUGUGUAGAUAUGCUCUAGGAUAAUCUGGUUUAGAUAUAAAUAUUCUUGUAUAGAAUUGCCAAGAUAAUUUGCAUUAAACUAUAUUGUUAUAUAUUAAACAUACUCCAAAAGGUGUGAAAACUACAAUGCCAAUUGACAUUUUUAUUAGAUUUGCUCAUUUAUGUAUUAAUGUCAUAUUUAUUUUAUAUUAAAUAUAUAAAAUAAAAAAAUUAUUAUGUCAUAAUUGAUAUUAACCUAUAAAAUAUAAAAUAUAUAUUUUUACUUUUACCAAACUCAUAUAAUUUUUGUUUAAAUAUUAAAUUGUAUCACUUUUAUGUUUUAUUUCGAAUUAUAUGACUGUUUGUAUUUAAUAUUAUCAUAUUUAAAAUUUAUCAUCAAUUAAUACAUAAUAAUAAAGUAUUUGUAUUUAAAAAAUAAGAAAAAGAAAAUGCAUUGACCAAAUUCAUUAUUACAAGUUAGUCAGUCGGCCGGCCAGAUUUUUAUCUUGACAGGCUGAUUAGUUUAUUAAUUGGUUGUUUCGUAACAGGAUUUUAAUCAUAAUCUCUACAUUUCAAGUAAAAUGUGAGACUAAAAAUGUUGUGUAGUUAACCAUUCUACAAAGUAAUCAUCAAAUUAGUUAAAUAGGGCUUUUGAUGAGUGAAUAGGUUGCACAUUCAACCCGUUCAUACACGUUUAAAUCACUCUCUAAGUACUAAGCUAAAAAAACGAAUAUUAUGGUUUUUGAAAUCAACAAAGACAUAUUUUUAGAUUAUUAAUUUAUCUUGAAAUAAUGUGUUCCGUCAAUAAAAAUGUAAUCUAUUUAUAAAAUAUUUGAUGCUUUAAAUAUUAAAAUUUAAUUUUUAACAGUUUUAAGUGAAAAAUAAUUUUUAAUUUUUAAUAGUUUCAAGUUAAAAAAAAAUGGGCUCCAUACUUUUGCAAAAUCAAGAAACCAUGCCUGUGGAUGCAAGAGGGCAACAGAAAUAAUCGUAUACAUCUAAAAUAUCCUAACAUUGGGUCUUUUUUUAUUUAGAAUUAAAAGUAUUGCAAGAACUUUAUGUGGUUAUAUUUUAUUAUUUUUAAAAAGAACUUGCUUGUUAACUUCCACAAAAUUAAACAUGAUAUAUCUAGCUGAUCAACAGCAUCAUCAAGUUUUGAUUAUGAUAGAUUUGGAACUUCUGUCUUGUCUCCAAUGGAAAAAUGUGGUAGUUGGUAGAUACACAAAAUAUUCAAAGAGUGCAUUUCUUCAGAAUUGCUUGAUCAAUUUCCAAUUUGAAUGCCCCUAAAGUUUGAACCCAUCAUUUGUUUAAUGAUAUUUUCUUUGCACUAUUUUUUAAAAUUUAUUUCUGGUUCAAAUAGCUUUCACAUACAUAUAUAAAAUCCAAACUUCUUCUCCUUAAUAGAUUUAAUUAUAUGCUGGUACAUUGACAUUAAUGUUAAUUAAAUAAAUAAUCAUUAUAAAAAAAAAAAAAAAGACAAAUCGGUUUGAAGAUGAUCACCUGUCCAUUUGUCUUCAACAUUAUUUAGGAUACUGUUGCCAAGUGUUGGGCAGAAAAUGUGAAUGUAAUGUAAUGUAAGAAUAAACUAUGCCCCAAAUUUUACUUUCUCUUCCAAAGUUGAGCUUUGGGAUCCCAACAUAGAUUGUUGCUAUUGGAAAGGAAUUACAUAUGAUGCUUCUGGUCAUGUGAUUGAGCUCGAUUUCAGUUACAAAAACCUUUUUGGUAGCUUUCACUCCAUUUUCAAUCUUCAUCAUCUUCAAUACCUUAAUUUUGUUGGGAACAAUUUUAAUAUCGCUCUGCUUCAAUAUGAGUUUGACAGAUUCUCAAAUUUAACUCAUCUUGACUUUUCAAACUCAUGUUUCCAUAGCAAAAUUCUAGUGGAGAUUUCAUACUUAACAAGGUUAGUUCUAAUCAAGAUUCUUGCUAUCAACGGUAUAACCAAAUUCUCCAUCCAUACAAUAACUUCCACUACUAUCCAUUGCCUUUUGAACUUCAACAACCUCUAAAACUAGAAAACCCAAACUUCAAGACAUUAAUCCAAAAUUUAAGACCCCUUGCAAACGUCUAGAUAGUGUGAACAUUUCAACUCAAAGUAGUAAAUGGUGUGAAGCCACAUCCAUAGCACUUCCUAACUUGCAUAUUUUAAGUCUAUCGAAAUGUAAUUUGACAAGUGCAUUUUGUUCUUCACUCUCAAGACUAUCUUUCUUUCCAAACUUUUCCUUGGUUGGAAUCCAAUCUCUUAUUUGCCUCCUAAUUUCUUGGAAAUUUCCUCUAGUUUGGUUUCUCUCAGUUUAGUGAAUUGCAAUUUGAGUGUGUAUUUUCCAACAAAAGUUCUUUCAUUGCCAAAAUACAAAGCAUUGACAUUUCAAACAAUGACCAUCUGAUGGGUCAGUUGCCAGAAUUUUGUUAAACAUUGCUUUACGGAUCUUAUCGAUUUUGACUACAAAUUUCUCCGGGCAAAUUCCAUCAUCAAUUGCAAAUCUUACUAACCUUGUGCAACUGGAUCUAUCUAAUAACAAUUUCAGUGAUUUUAUCCCAGCAUUUCAUGGAUCUGGAGUUUCAAAUCUUGCAUCUUUCUUUGUCGGGGAACCGCCUCUCUGAAUCAAUACAUUCUUCUUUAUUUACUCUUCCAUCAGAUGGUCAUUGUUUGAAAUGUCAAUGCUUCCCUUUGAAGGAAGCAUACAGCAAAGCAAUCAAUUCGGUACAUUUUCGAACGAUUCUUACAAAGGGAACCCAAGAUCAUGUGGGCCACCUUUGACAAGGAAAUGCAAUGGAGCUGCUGUUCCAAUGCCUCCUCCAAUGGAAGAUGUAGAUUCAUGGCUAGAUGGUUUAUCUGAUUGGAGAAUCGUAUUGAUUGGGUAUGCAUGUGGAUUGGUGAUUGGAUUAUCUAUUGGAUAUACAGUGCUGAAUGAGAUGGGAAACAAAUGGCUUGACUGCUACAAAAGGAAUAGGAGAAGAUCAAGGUGAUUCCAUCAGAAUUCAAUUUUCAGUCUCAACAAGUAAGCAUUUUGGAAUAGUUAAUAACCCAAAUGUGUUGUUACUAAUUGUGGUAUAUUUCCGAUUUUGCAUGGUUGGUCUAUCUAAAAAGUUCUAUCUGAUUGCCUAAUAAUUCAUUAUCAUGUCAUAUUUGUUCUUGUAGCAUUGUCAUUCUUCAUCAACUUUCGUUUAGGCCGUUCAUUAUCAGUAAUUUUUUUACCAUUUUGUAGUUUAGGAAUCUGAAGUCUAAACCAAGCUACAUGGCAUGUAGAGCAGUGACUGAGCCUGAAAUAAUGAACAAGAGAAUAGAGAAUUGGGUGGAAAUCUCAAGAUUUGUUGAGAAAUUUGUUGAGACAGAGUCCUUGAUCAUGAUGCAAAUGGAGAUGAAGUGUGAGUCCUUUUCAAGAUUUCUGGUGUAGGUGUUAUUCUUCGAAGCCAAAAUCAUUUUUGUUGCUGCCCUUUUAUCCGACGUGGCUUAUUUUCAUAUAAGAGAUCCAGGAAUGCAUCUGUACUGCCAAUUGAUAGGUUUUCCCUAACAUUUUAUAGCUAAUUACUUUAGAGUAUUUUCUUCAUGUUAAUCCAAAAUCAUCAAUUGUUUCUCUGCUUCCGCACUCACCACACACAGUAAAAAUAAAUAAAUAAAUAAAUGUUUUCUUGUAAGCUAUAGUUCUAUAAAAUAGAGCUUAUGAGUAUAAAAGCCUUGAUUUUUUGUUUCUCAGCUUCAGGCCAAUGGUUUGAGAAGAUACCAGGGCCAACAUAUUUCUUGGAAAAGAAAGCAUGGAUUGCCAGAAUACAGUUCGGAAAAGCAUAUGAUUUCUGAAUAAAGGCUUAUUCCGCGUAGAUGUUACUUACAUAAUUGCUGCUUCAGCUGCAUCAUAUGUCCAGGCACAAGCAAAUGGCCUUUUCCCUCUCAACUUCAAGUCGUUGCAUGAAAGAGGUACAGUGAAAACCACCCAAGGUAGGACUGAAAAUUUGCAUCAGGUAUCCACCAUGGACCACUACCAAGAGAGUACCUUGGUUGCUUGGAUGAUGACCUUACAUAUACUCACAUCUUCAUGAUUCAAGUAAAUCCUUUCGGUAAUUUGUUCUCUAUCAAAUAGGAGAAAUGGUCAUUCAUUACUAGAUAUACAGUCAAAUAUACAAAAUGAUCUGCCAAGCAUUGUUCUGAUAUAACUACUAAUCCAUAGUUAAUAAAUGAAGUUAUAAAAUUCAAAUAAUUGAAUCUUUUUUUGGACAUAAAGGAAUGAUAAAAUCUUGAUUAUAUUUUCCCCACUUUCUCUUAAAACAUCUAAUUACAUUUUACUUUCAGGGACUAAACUCCAUGCAUCUUGGCAGCCAAUCCUCUUCUUUGAACAAUUCAUGUCAGAAAUCAUGGACCUCUGAAGACAUGAUAUGCUUUGAAUCACUGGUCAUUUUGUCAAGCCUUCUGCAAUUUUCAAUUUAGCCUGUUUUGAGUUUUAGCUCGGCAUUUAUUUUUGGAAGUUUUGUGCGGGUGGAGGGAUAUUUGAUGACUUGGGGUUGAUGAAAGCCUCAUUGCCUGUGUUCUUAAGUUAGUGCUUAAGACAUUGCCGCUAGAAGCUUCUCCUGAUCAUCUAGCCUGUAUUCUUGCUCCCUGGAAUGGAUUCUUGUGUUCAAAUCCCCUGCCUAAUCUAAAACGUAAGCAUUAACAAGAAAACAUUAACCUCAUUACACAAAAUGUUUAAAAAAUUUUAGUCGUAAAAAAUACAAAAGAGUUCUAUAUCAUUGUGGAAGUUUAGUAUGCUAAGUUAUUUUAAUAACCUUUUUCGAUUGAAGUUCUCAAGGGAAUGCUUUCUAUGCUAUGGACAGCACCACAUUCGGAUUCCUAAACCCAAAUGAACCUGUCUUUAGUCAUACAACCUAUGGCUCUGAAGUUACCAUCAUAAGAGCUAAACAUUAACAGCAAGUUGAAAGCAAUUAUUGGGGUUUUAGUUAGGGGAACAUAAAAAAAAAAGAUGAUUUUCAAGAAGAUGAGAUAAAAGAGAAGCCAGUUACGGCCGCUGCUUGGUUCAUCAUCUCAUCUCCUCACUGCUGGAGCCACCAGAGUGAUUUGGAUUUUGAAGGCAGCAAAUUCAAUGUUAAUAAUAAUACAAAAUUAAGAAGCAUUGAUAAAUAAUGUAUUGAGGUUAUAUUGAAUGUGAGAUUUCCUCCUUUACUUCCCUUUUUCCUUUUGUACAAUGAUCAUUUUGUAACUAUGACUGGUGCUCAAAAUUUCAGCAACUUCUCUGUAUCCUAUCUUCUUCUUUUUAUCUAUCUAUACAUAUUAUUAAAGUUCAACCAGUUAAUUGAAUGGCAUCACAAAAUUGAAUAGAGAAAAAAGGAAAGAGGGAAAAUAGGGUGUGGGAGAAAUAAAUAAUAAAAUAGCUAUUUGAACUUUUUCAAAAAUAUAAUUUUUAAAAAAGAUUGUAAUUAAGUAAUAUGUUAUAAAAUUCCUAUUAACUUUGUUAUAUAAGUAAAUGAAUAAUGAUUUCAUUGGAAAAAAAUGAAUAAAUACGAAAAUCAUAUCAACAAUAAUAUAAUUAAUGUGAAUAAAAGUAAAAAUAUUUAAUUAAUGUUAAUUAUUAUUAUUAGAAAUAUAGUAAUUAUGAUUGAUUUUAAAUCCUAUAAACGAUCUAUAUAAUAUAAGUUACAAAUACAAUAUACUCAUUUAAAAAUAAAUUUGACCAAAAUAUGAUAUAAAUUGUGAGCUUUGUUAUUAAUAAUUGAAUCAAGUUUUGCAAACAAAUAAUUUGAUAACAUAAACAUUAAUGCUAACGUAUAUGAAUAUUAAUAUAAACGCAUUAGUUUUAAUAACAAUACAAAUGUUUUUUAAAGGUAUACCAUCUAUGCCUUCAAAUAUGUAUGUUCAUAAUAAAAAUUAUGUAAUUUAAGAAUAAUUAUUUAUUCUUAAAUUACAUAAUUUUUAUUGUAAUAAAGCAAUGGUGAGGAACUAAAUAAAAAACUGAAAAAGUGACUUCAAUUUUCUUAAAAAUACAUAUAAAUAAAACUCAAUGAAAAUGAAGUUGCUGUAUGUUCAAAUUGUUCAAUACUUAAAAAUAGAAAGUAAUAUUAAAUUAAGAAUAAUUUGAUGUCUAUUUAAAAUUAGAUCAUCUCUAAAAAACUAUUUAGGCCCAUUUAGAUUCCUUACUCAAUGCCAUUGAAUUCAGGCUAAAAUAUAAAUUUAUUGUCAUCUUUGUGUUUGUAUUUAAGAUAUAUUUCAUCUUUAAUUUUAAUUUUACAAUUAUCAUAUUUAAUUUCACUACUACAAUAAUUAAUUUUAUCAUUGUCUUUAUUUUUAAUUUUACUAAAAUUAAUUUCACUCCUUAUCCAAAUUUUUAUUAAGAAAACAAAAAGAUAUUUAACACAAUAUUAUUACUCUUUCCAUUAUACAAAAAAAUAUAUAUAUUUUUGGUAUAUAAUACACAAUAGAUGGCAUACUUUUUAUGUAUAAAAAAAAAUUCAUGAAUUUAAGUAUAAUUAAAUUUUGUUUUAAUUCUAUUUCAAAAUUUAUAUUAAGUUUUGAAAUUUAUAUAAUUGUUUUAAUUCAAAUUUCUAAAAAUAAAUUUAAUUAACAAAAAAAAUCCUCUUUCAUUGAUCAAACAAAAACAAUAAAGUAACAAUCAUAGAGGAAAGAAAAACUAAUACCUCGAAAACAAAAAUACGAAUUUUGGGCUCUAAAAAUGUUUGUUUUUCAAAAAAAAAAUGUAAAAAAAAAAUUCAUACAUAUAAAUAAAAUUAAUAACCAACAAAAAAAGCAAAAUUAAUUACCGGUAUUGAUAGGCCUAUUGGGUCAAAAGACACAGUUUUUCUUACAUGGGCUGGGUCCAUUAGUACCGAAAUCGGGCUUUCCUUUGCACUAAAACACAAUGAUCGAUUCCCCAAUUUGGUAAUUUUUUGGAAUUAUAAACUGAUUGAAGAAAGAUACGCAAAGCAAUUAACAUAGAAAAGCAAAAUAAAAGAAAAUUGUUGUCAAAAGGGGUUUAAAGUUAUGGGAUUUCAAUCAAUUUUUCCCCCUCUUCUUUUUCUUUUUCCUGGUAAAAAUUUCCUCAUGCCCAGUUUUAUUUUCAAUCUUAAAAAAUUCUUUUUUUUACUGUAAAAUAUGGGUCUUUUUUUAAUUGAUUUUAUCUACUGUCUUUACAGUGACACUAUAAUUCGAGAGCUGGAGCAAUUGCAGCAAAUUUUUGGACACCCAACAUCGGCAAGGGCAGAGUAUUUGAUUUUUUUUUUUAAUUUCUUCUUUCUAUGAUCUUUGUUGGACUUUCACUGUGUAGAACGAAUUCUAUUUUUAGCUAGGCAUAACUUCUUUUUUUCUUAUUUUUGUUACUCAGGCUUUAUUGUAUGUUGGUUCUGUUCUGUUUUACCCAUAUUUCAUCAAUUUUUAUGAUUUAAAUUGAACUACUAUGUGAAAAGGAAUAUCGAGUAUUGCCAAGUAGUAUUUUCUUUGACUAUUACUGUACAUAAUUGUCAAUUUUGUUGUUCAAUUGCUAGCUGUUAAAUUUGCUGCAAAAGAAUGAUUAUUGCAGUUUGAAUCUCUUGUUUUUAUGGGGAAGAAUGGGAGGGUUGAAAAAGGGAAAUAAAAUGAAAUAGUUGGGUGGAAAGUGUUACCUUUUAUGGAGUUCUAGCUUAAUCAUCAUUUGUUUAAUUGUACAUUUUACACUUUCCAACAAUUGAAUGGAGCGAGUUUUUUGGAUUUCCAUUUCAUUGCUUUCAAGUAUCUUGGUCUAGAUAAGUUCCGUCCGUGUUUUCUGUUUUCAAAAUGAAUUAAUAUAUAUGACAUAACAGGUUCUUCUUGCAAAUUGGGAAUUGAAUGUUUAUAUGAAAAGGUGUUUAAAAUCUGAUCUUUUCUUUGUGGCAUCCAUAUUCUGCAAAGAUCUUUUGCCCUGUCUUUGUCCACCUCCUAGGUCUCAGUAUUUUGUCGGUUUGCUUAUGGUAGAGUUUGAUCUCCUUCUCUCCCAUUUUCCCUUUGUCCCCACUUUUCCUCUCCUUCCGCUUUAGCUCUUGAAAUUGCAUUUUAGAUCCUUGGUUGUUAUAGUGGAUUACAAGCAUACUUAACACUACGUUCAAGCUGUUGAAUUUUAGGUUCAACUUUCAAGUGUUAAAGUUUUAUUAAAGUUUUGAUUUCUUAUGUAAGCUUGUUUUACCCCCUUUUUUAGAGGGAGAGGGGGUUUGAGAGAGAUAAAAAUAGCACUUAUAUUAGUGUAUAUGGAUGUAUGUAUGUAUGUAUGUAUAUGGUAUACAUAAACAUAGGUUUAAAAAGUAUGCUACAUACGAUGUUUCUAUAAUACAAAAUUGUGUAAUUGCAAAAUAAAAUGUAAAUUUCAAGUACUGUGCACACUUAAAUUAUUUCUUAAAAAAUUCUAAAAAUUAAAUUCAAUAAAAUUAGAGUAUAACUUAAUGACCAAUAACAAAUAAAACUAAAAAAGGGAACCAUCAAGAACAUAAAAUUACUUGUGCAAAAUUAAUGCAUUAGCGAACCAUAUGAGGUUCUUGGUUGUUUUGCCUUAUUUAGAGGCUGUUUGAUUGGGUUUUUGCUAUUUGCUUUUUGCUUCCGAAAGUAAAAAAGCAAAAAUUGCAUUCCCAUAAGCAAUAAAAUAUUGAAGAGUUAAACACAAAAUAUGUAAAUUUUUUAUGAUUAACUACAUGAUUCUACUUCUAUAUAUACUAAUUGUGUUAUAACUGAUUUUAUAUUUUAAUUAUUUUUUCUGUUUCAGAUCAGUUAUGAUAUAUUUAUUGUUUACCUUUUGCUUUUCCUUUCUAGUAAAAUAUAUACGUUUUAUUCAUGUUCAUUUGUAACUUACCAGACUUCUUGACCAUGUUCUAGAAAUGCUAGUAUGUAACGAGUUUGCUUUGAAUAUGGCAGCUAACAAUAUCAGUGAAUCUUAGGUUUGUUGAUGCAAAUCAUGGCUAAUAGAUUCACUUGAAGCCUACUUAUCUAAAGAUCUUUAGAUUUUUGGAGGAUGAAAUACAGAGGUGGUGCUGAUGUUAAUAAUAUUGGACACUGAACACUGUCAAACAACAUAGAGGUGGAAAUAUACUGACUUUUUCAGGUUUCAGGGUUGGUUUUAUUUGUUGACUUCAUUCUACUACUUUUUUUUUUUUUUUUUUGGAAAGAUAUAUACCAACAUCUUAUGUAAAUAUGUAACUUGAUAUAGAUAAUUUGUAAUUUUGGGGAAGAGAGAGAAGGAAUGAAAUUGAGAAGAUAGUGGUUUUUCUUUGAAAUUUUGCCAUGAUGUAAAGUUGUUCUAGUCAGAGUUUUUUGAUGUUAUGAUGCUUAAGAAAUCCAGAUACUAGUGAUAUCUUUCCCCAAAAUAGUUCAUUCUUCAACUCCAUCUAUUUCAUCUGGUUUGUUUCUGGGAAUAAAAGCAUAUUCCUUAUUGGUUGCAAAAUUUUCAUUCAUUUUAGCUUCAAAUUUAUUGAUCAAUUAAAUUAUUAAUUGACUUGGUUAGUAUUUGUUGAAUCAUAUAACUUAGAAAAUGCAAUCAGUUAGUGGAGUUUUUAGAUUAUACAAGUUAGAGGGCUGUCACAAACCCUUUUACAAAUGUAUUAAAAAAUUAUAUAAAAAAAUUAAGAUAUGUGAUUUUUUUUAAUAUUGUUUAUAAAAUUUAAAAGUUUCUAUUAAACAUAUGUAAAGAAAUAAAAAUAUAUAAAAAUUAUCUCGUAUACAUGAAAUUUGCGAAAGAAGAAGAUUUUUUUUUUUUUUUAUGUGAGGUUGUUAGGAUUUAAACUUAAACUAUUGAAACUAAGAGUUUUACAUUUUACUAACAGGUUACAUGGUUAUUGUCUCAUUGAAUUUUUAAAUUCAGAGGAACUCUUUUAAAUAUAUUAACAAUAAAAAACUAAAAAGAUGCACAUACCAUGAAAUCUAAUAGUACAUUAGGAACAAAAACAUGAGAAACAAGUUGCUCAAUCAACAAAUUGAUUGGCCAAAAAAUCAACAAAUUAAAAACCCUCGUUUUAUUUUUGCUCAAAAGUUUGAAAAAAAAAAAAUCAAAAGAACACAUUCAUUCCCACUUCUCAAACUUGUCUGUUUUAGAAAUUGUGAUUUUAUAAUAGUGGAAUAAGAAAGAAAAUGAUAGGUACCAUGGGAAUGUAUUGGUCUAAGUCUUAGUCUUUGCUUUAUACUUAAUUUUUUCAUCAAGCAUGCAGAUGUAUUAAUCUUUUUGGCCCCAUCUUUACUUCACAAAAAUAAUAAUUUUAGCAGUUGCUUCAAUCUAAAUCAUUAAAAAGACUAAAAUAUAACAAUAAUAAUUAAUAUACUUAAAAUCCAUUCCCUGUAUGCUAAUUUAAUUGAAAGACAAAAGACAACCUUUAUUGAAAAAAUUGUUAUAUAUAUUUUAUCUUUUUUAAAAGACAAACUUGACUUAAGCGAACUAUUAAGAAGAUUAUUUUUAACAGAGUAAUGAUAGGGUAAGAAGACUUAAACAUUUGUAUGAUUGGAAGAUGUAAAAGUAUAAAGCAAACAAAAGACUAAAUACCAAUAAAAAAAAUCUCAUACUAUCAUUUUCUUUGUGAGUCCAAAAUUAGAAUAUCAAUUUUUUUUAUAAACUAUAAUUUUAUGAUGGGUGAAUCAAAAUACAUCAUCAUUUUGUUUAUCUACAUCCACUUUUUAAAAAAUUUUUAAGUGAAAUUACUUAUUUACCUAUCUCAUUUUAAUUUUAAAACUUCUAGAUAUGCAUUUCUGAUAAAUUAUAUAAUUUUUUAGAUUUUCAUAUCUAAUAAGUUAAAAAAGAUAUAUUUAGGUUUGGAAAAAAAAAUUCAAAGAAAAUAUCUUACAAAAAGUAAGAGAUUCUAAUACUGUUUAAAAAAUUUUAAAACUCUAUUAAUCAUGUGUAAAGAAAUCGAAAUAUAUAAAAAUUAUCUUGUAUACAUGAAAUUUGUGAAAAUAGAAGAUUGUCUUUUUUUUUCUGCUUGUAUAUGAGAUUGUCUAGAUUUGAACUUUAAACUAUUAAAAGUAAGAGUUCAAUAUUUUAUUAACAAAUUACAUGGUUAUUGGCUCAUUCAAUUUUUAAAUCAGUGCAUCACUUUAAAAUAUAGUAACAAUAAAAAACUAAAAAAGAUACACAUAUCAUGAAAUCUAAUAAUACAUUAGGAACAAAAGCAUAAGAAACAAGUUGCUUAAUCAACAAAUUGAUUGGCAAAAAAAAUCAACAAAUUAAAAACCUAUCUUUUAUUUUUGCUGAAAAGAUUGAAACAAAAAAAAAAAAAUCUAAACAACACAUUCACUCCUAUUUCUCAAACUUGUCUAUUUUUGGAAAUUGUGAUUUUAUAAUGGUGGAAUAAGAAAGAAAAAGAUAGAUCCUAUCGAAAUGCAUGGCAUCAAGCAUGCAAAUGUGUCAGUCUUUUCACCCCCAUUUUUACUUCAAAAAAAAAAUGAUGUUAGCAAUUGCUUCAAUCUAAGUCAUUGAAAAGACUAAAAUAUAACAAUAUUAAUUACUAUAUUUAAAAUCCAUCUCCAGUCUACCAAUUUAAUUGGAAGACAAAAGACAACCACCAUUGAGAAAAUUGCUAUUUUUUUGUCUUUUUUAAAAGAUAGACUUGGCUUAAACAAACAACUAAGAAGAUUAUUUUUCAUAAAGUAAUGAUGGGACAAGAAGACUUAGACAUUUGCAUGAUGGAAAGACUUAAAAGUAUAAAGUAAAGAAAAUACUAAAUACCAAUAAAAAAAAUCUCAUAUUAUCAUUUUCUUUGUUAGUCCAAAAUUAGAAUAUCAAUUUUUUUUGUAAAGUAUAAUUUUGUGAUGGGUGAUUCAAAAUACACCAUCAUUUUUUCUCUACAUCCACCUUGUUUAAAUUUUUUUUAAGUGAAAUUACUUAUUUACUUAUCUUGUUUUAAUUUUAAAACUUCUAAAUAUGUAUUUCUGAUGAGUUAUAUAACUUACAAAAUUUUCAUAUCUGGUAAGUUAGAAAAAGUUACAUUUAAGUUUUGAAAAAAAAUAGUUAAGAGAAAAUAUCUUACAAAAAGUAUGAGAUUAUAAUACUAUUUAUAAAAUUUAAAAACUCUAUUAAUCAUUUGUGAAGAAAUUAAAAAAAUAUAUAAAUUAUCUUGUAUACAUGAAAUUUUUUCAUUUGAAGAUUGUCUUUUUUUUAUUUUUUUUAUAUGUGAGAUUGUUAGGAUUUGAAUUUUAAAUUAUUGAAACUAAGAGUUUAGCAUUUUACUAACAGAAUAUAUAGUUAUUAGCUCAUCGAAUUUUUAAAUUAGAGGAUAUCUUUAAAAUAUAUUAACAAUAAAAAAUUAAAAAAAAAUGCACAUACCAUGAAAUCUAACAAUACAUUAGGAACAAAAGCAUGAGAAAGAAGUUGCUUAAUCAACAAAUUGAUGGGCCAAAAAAAAUCAACAAAUUAAAAACUUGUGUUUUACUUUUGCUGAAAGGUUUGAAAAAAACAUCUACAUAAUAUAUUCAUUCUCACUUCUCAAACUUGUGUAUUUUGGAAAUUGUGAUUUUAUAAUGGUGGAAUGAGAAAGAAAAAGAUAGAUCCUAUCAGAAUGCAUGGGUCUAAAUCAUAGUCUUUGCUUCAUACUUAGUCUUGGCAUCAGGCAUGCAAAUGUGUCAAUCUUUUCACCCCCAUUUUUACUUCAAAAAAAUAAUGAUGUUAGCAAUUGCUUCAGUCUAAGUUAUUGAAAAAACUAAAAUAUAACAAUAUUAAUUAAUAUACUUAAAAUCCAUCCCUUGUGUGUCAAUUUAACUAGAAGAAAAAAGACAACUUUCAUUGAGAAAAUUGUUGUUUUUUAUUUUUUUGUCUUUUUUAAAAGGCAGACUUAACUUAAGCAAAUUGAUAAGAAGAUUAUUUUCACAGAGUAAUGAUGGGGCAAGAAGACUUAGAUGUUUGCAUGAUGGGAGGACUUAUAAAAUAAAGAAAAGAUUAAAUACCAAUAAAAAGAUCUCAUACUAUCAUUUUCUUUGUGAGUCCAAAAUUAAAAUAUCAAAUUUUUUAUAAAAUAUAAUUUUCUGAUGGGUGAUUCUAAAUAUAUCAUCAUUUUUUUCUCUACAUCAAAAUUUUUUAAAAUUUUUAAGUGAAAUUACUUAUUUACCCAUCUCGUUUUAAUUUUAAAGCAUCUAGAUAUAACUUAUUAGAUUUUCAUAUCCAGUAAGUUAAAAAGUUACAUUUAGGAAUGGAAAAAAAUAGUUAAGAGAAAAUAUCUUGCAUAAAGUAUGAGGUUCUAAUGCCAUUUAUAAAAUUUAAAAUCUCUAUUAAUCAUAUAUGAUGAAAUUGAUAUAUAUAUAUAUAUAUAUAUAAAUAAUCUUGUAUACAUGAAAUUUGUGAAAUUAGAAAAUUAUCUUUUUUUUUUUUUUUGUAUGUGAGGUUAUCAAGAUUUGCACUUUAAACUACUAAAAUUAAGAGUUCAACAUUUUACUAACAAACAAUAUGGUUAUUUGCUCAUUUAAUUUUAAAUCAAAGAAUCUCUUUAAAAUAUAUUAACAAUAAAAAAACUAAAAAAUAAAAAAAUGCACAUACCAUGAGAUCUAAUAGUACAUUAGGAACAAAAGCAUGAGAAAGAAGUUGCUUAAUUAACAAAUUGAUUGCCAAAAAAAAAAAAAUCAACAAAUUAAAAACUUGUCUUUUGUUUUUGUUGAAAAGUUUGAAAAAAAAAUCUAAAGAACACAUUCACUCCUAUUUCUCGAACUUGUCUAUUUUGAAAAUUGUGAUUUUAUAACAGUAGAAUGAGAAAGAAAAAGAUAAAUAGAUCCUAUCGGAAUGCAUGGGUCUAAAUCAUAGUCUUUGCUUCAUACUUAGUCUUGGCAUCAACCAUGCAAAUGUGUCAAUCUUUUUGCCCCCUUUUUUACUUCAAAACAAUAAUGAUGUUAGCAAUUGUUUCAGUCCAAGUCAUUGAAAAGACUAAAAUAUAAUGAUAUUAAUUAAUAUACUUAAAGUCCAUUUCCAGUUUGCCAAUUUAAUUAGAAGACAAAAGAUAACCAUCAUUGAAAAAAUUGCUAUUUUUUUGUCUUUUUCAAAAGAUAGACUUGACUUAAGCAAACUGCUAAGAAGAUUAUUUUUCACAAAGUAUGAUGGGGCAAGAAGACUUAGACAUUCUGUAAUGUGGGAAACUUAAAAAGUAUAAAUAAGAAAGACUAAAUACGCAAUAAAAAAAUCUCAUACUAUCAUUUUCUUUGUUAGUCCAAAAUUAGAAUAUCAAUUUUUUUUUUUUGUAAAUAAUAAUUUUGUGGUGGUGAUUCUAAAUACAACAUCAUUUUUUCUCUACAUCCACCUUUUUAAAAAAUUUUUAAGUGAAAUUACCUAUUUACUCAUCUUGUUUUAAUUUUAAAACUUCUAAAUAUACAUUCCUAAUGAGUUAUAUAACUUACAAAAUUUUCAUAUCCAGUACGUUAGAAAAAGUUACAUUGAAGUUUGAAAAAAAAAGUUAAGAGAAAAUAUCUUAUAAAAAGUAUAAGAUUUUAAUAAUGUUUAUAAAAUUUAAAAACUCUAUUAAUCAUAUGUGAAGAAAUUAAAAUAUAUAUAUACAUAAAUUAUCUUGUAUACAUGAAAUUUUUUUCAUUUGAAGAUUGUUUUUUUUCAUUAAUUUUUUUAUAGUGAGAUUGUCAUGAUUUGAAUUUUAAACUAUUGAAACUAAGAGUUUGGCAUUUUACUAAUAGACUAUAUGGUUAUUUGCUUAUUGAAUUUUUAAAGUAGAGGAUACCUUUAAAAUAUAUUAACAAUAGAAAACUAAAAAAAUGCACAUGCCAUGAAAUCUAAUAGUACAUUAGGAAUAAAAGCAUGAGAAAGAAGUUGCUUAAUCAAGAAAUUGAUUGGCAAAAAAAAACAACAAAUUAAAAAUCUGUGUUUUAUUUUUACUGAAAGGAUUGAAAAAAAAUCUAAAGAACACAUUCACUUUCAUUUCUCAAACUUGUCUAUUUUGGAAAUUGUGAUUUUAUAAUGGUGGAAUGAGAAAGAAAAAGAUAGAUCCUAUCGAAAUGCAUGGGUCUAAAUCAUAGUCUUUGCUUCAUACUUAGUCUUGGCAUCAACCAUGCAAAUGUGUCAAUCUUUUCGCACCCAUUUUUACUUCAAAAAAAUAAUGAUGUUAGCAAUUGCUUCAGUCUAAGUUAUUGAAAAAACUAAAAUAUAACAAUAUUAAUUAAUAUACUUAAAAUCCAUUCCUAGUUUGCCAAUUUAAUUAGAAGACAAAGACAACCACCACUGAGCAAAUUGCUUUUUUCUUUUUUUUUUGUUUUUUUUAAAUGAUAGACUUGACUUAAGCAAACUACUAAAAAUAUUAUUUUUCAUAGAGUAAUGAUAGGGCAAGAAGACUUAGACAUUUGCAUGAUGGGACGGCUUAAAAAUAUAAACUAAAGAAAAGACUAAAUACCAAUAAAAAAAAAUCUCAUACUAUCAUUUUUUUUGUGAGUCCAAAAUUAAAAUAUCAAUUUUUUUAUAAAGUAUAAUUAUGUGAUGGAUGAUUCUGAAUACCCCAUCAUAUUUUUCUUUACAUCCACUCUUUUUUUUUUAAUUUUUAAGUAAAAUUACUUAUUUAUCCAUCUCUUUUUAAUUUUAAAACAUCUGGAUAUAACUUAUUGGAUUUUCAUAUCUGGUAGGUUAAAAGUUACAUUUAGGUUUGGAAAAAAAUAGUUAAGAGACAAUAUCUUGUAUAAAGUAUGAGAUUCUAAUGCCAUUUAUAAAAUUUAAAAUCUCUAUUAAUUAUAUAUGAUGAAAUCAAAAAAUAUAUAAAUUAUCUCGUAUGCAUGAAAUUUUUGAAAUUAGAAAUUUAUCUUUUUCUUUUUUUUGUAUGUGAGGUUAUCAAGAUUUGAACUUUAAACUACUAAAAUUAAGAGUUCAACAUUUUACUAACAAACUACAUAAUUAUUUGCACAUUUAAUUUUAAAAACUAACAAUAAAAACAUUUUAAAAUAUAUUAACAAUCAAAAUCUAAAAAAUAAAAAAAUGCGUAUACCAUGGGAUCUAAAAGUACAUUAGGAACAAAAGCAUGAUAAAGAAGUUGCUUAAUCAACAAAUUGAUUAAAAAAAUCAACAAAUUAAAAACCUAUCUUUUAUUUUUUUCUGAAAAGUUUGAAAAAAAAAAAUCUAAAGAACACAUUCACUCUCAUUUCUCAAACUUGCCUAUUUUGGAAAUUGUGAUUUUAUAAUGGUGGAAUGAGAAAGAAAAAGAUAGAUCCUAUCAGAAUGCAUGGGUCUAAAUCAUAGUCUUUGCUUCAUACUUAGUCUUGGCAUCAAGCAUGCAAAUGUGUCAAUCUUUUUGCCCCCAUUUUUACUUCAAAAAAAUAAUGAUGUUAGCAAUUGCUUCAGUCUAAGUUAUUGAAAAAACUCAAAUAUAACAAUAUUAAUUAAUAUACUUAAAAACCAUUCCUAGUCUGCCAAUUUAAUUAGAAGACAAAGACAACCACCACUGAGAAAAUUACUUUUUUUUUGUCUUUUUUAAAUGAUAGACUUGACUUAAGCAAAUUGUUAAAAAUAUUAUUUUUCACAGAGUAAUGAUAGGGCAAGAAGACUUAGACAUUUGCAUGAUGGGAAGGCUUAAAAGUAUAAAGUAAAGCAAAGACUAAAUACCAAUAAAAAAAAUCUCAUACUAUUAUUUUUUUUGUGAGUCCAAAAUUAGAAUAUCAAUUUUUUUAUAAAGUAUAAUUUUGUGAUGGAUGAUUCUGAAUACCCCAUCAUAUUUUUCUUUACAUCCACUCUUUUUUUAAAAAAAUUUUUUAAGUGAAAUUAUUAAUGUACUUAUCUCAUUUUAAUUUAAAAGCUUCUAGAUAUGCGUUUCUUAAGUUAUAUAUCUUAUUGAAUUUUCAUAUUCGAUAAAUUGAAAAAGGUUAUAUUUAGGUUUGAAAAAAAAUAGAUAAGAGAAAAUAUCUUAUAGAAAUUACAAGAUUUAAGAAUGUUUAUAAAAAUGAAAAACUCUAUAUAAAUUAUCUCUCAUACAAGAAAUUUUUUUAAAUUAGAAGUUUUUUUUUUUUUUAUAUGAGGUUGCUAGGGUUUGAACUUUAAACUAUUAAAACUAAGAGUUAAGCAUUUUAUUAACAGAUUAUGUGGUUAUUAACUCAUUGAAUUUUUAAAUAAGAGGAUAUCUUUAAAAUAUAUUAACAAUAACAAUUAAAAAAUAAAAAAACUGCACAUACCCUAAAAUCAAAUAGUACAUUAGGAAUAAAAGCAUGAAAAAGAAGUUGCUUAACGAACAAAUUGAUUGGCCAAAAAAAUCAACAAAUUAAAAACUUGUGUUUUAUUUUUGCCAAAAAGUUUGAAAAAAAAUCUAAAGAACAUAUUCAUUCUCACUUAUCAAACUUGUCUAUUUUGGAAAUUGUAAUUUUUUAAUGGUGGAAUAAGAAACAAAAUGAUAGAUACUAUAGGAAUGUAUUGGUUUAAGUCUUAGACUUUGCUUUAUACGUAGUUUUGGCAACAAGCAUGCAAAUGUGUUAGUUUAUUUGCGUCCAUCUUUACUUUACAAAAAUAAUAAUCUUAGCAAUUGCUCCAAUCUAAGUCAUUAAAAAGACUAAAAUAUAACAAUAAUAAUUAAUAUACUUAAAAUCCAUUUUCAGUUUGUCAAUUUAACUGGAAGACAAAAGAUAACCUCCAUUAAGAAAAUUGCUAUGAUUUUUUUAUCUUUUUUAUAAGACAGACUUAACUUAAGCAAAUUGGUAAGCAGAUUAUUUUUCAUAGAGUAAUGAUGGGAUAAGAAGACUUAGAUAAUUGCAUGAUGAGAAGACUUAAAAGUAUAAAGUAAAGAAAAGACUAAAUGCCAACAAAAAAUCUCAUACUAUCAUUUUCUUUGUGAUUCCAAAAUUAGAAUAUCAAUUUUUUUAUAAAGUAUAAUUUUUUGAUGGGUGAUUCUAAAUACACCAUUUUUUCCUCUACAUUUACUUUUUUUUUAAAGUUAUAUUACUUAUUUACACAUCUCAUUUUAAUUUUAAAACUUUUGAAUAUACAUUUCUGAUAAGUUGUAUAACUUAUCGAAUUUUCAAUUCUGAUAAGUUAAAAAUGAUAAAUUUGAUUUGGAAAAAAAAAAGUUAAAAGAAAAUAUGUUACAAAAGUAUGAGAUGCUAAUAUUGUUUAUAAAAUUCAAAAAAUCUAUUAAUUGUAUGUGGAGAAAUCGAAUAUAUAAAAAUUAUCUCGUAUAUAUGAAAUUUGUGAAAUUGGAAGAUUGUCUUUUUUUUUCUUGUAUGUGAGGUUGUCAAGAUUUGAACUUUAAACUAUUGAAACUAAAAAUUUAGUAUUUUACUAAUAGACUACUUGGUUAUUGGAUCAUUGAAAUUUUAAAUUAGAGGAUCUCUUUAAAAUAUAGUUAAUCAUAAAAACUUGAAGAAAUAAAAAAUGCACAUACCAUGAAAUCUAGCAGUACAUUAGGAACAAAAUCAUGAAAAAAAAUUGUUUAAUCAACAAAUUGAUUGGCCAAAAAAAAUUAAUAAAUUAAAAAUCUGUGUUUUAUUUUUUUGAAAAGUUUGAAAAAAAAAUCUAAAGAACACAUUCAUUCUCUCACUUCUUAAACUUGUUAAUUUGGAAAUUAUGAUUUUAUAAUGGUAAAAUAAGAAAGAAAAUGAUAGAUACUAUGGUAAUGUAUGGGUUGAAGUCGUAGUCUUUGCUUUAUACUUAGUCUUGGCAUCAAGCAUGCAAAUGUGUUAGUCUUUUUGCCUCAUCUUUACUUUACAAAAGUAAUAAUAUUAGCAAUUGCUUUAGUCUAAGUUAUUAAAAAAAACCAAAAUAUAAAAAUAAUAAUUAAUAUACUUAAAAUCUUGUCCCAGUCUGUCAAUUUAACUAAAAGACAAAAGACAAUUUCAAUUGAGAAAAUUGUUCUUUGUUUUGUCUUUUUUAAACGAUAGACUUGACUUAAACAAAUUGCUAAGAAGAUUAUUUUUCAUAGAGGAAUGUUGGGGUAAGAAGACUUAGACAUUUGCAUGAUGAGAAGACUUAAAAGUAUAAAGUGAAUAGAAGACUAAAAACCAAUAAAAAAAUCUCAUACUAUCAUUUUCUUUGAGUCUAAAAUAAAAAAAUCAAUUUUUUUAUAAAGUAUAAUUUUGUGAUGGAGAUUGUAGAUACACUAUCAUUUUUUUCUCUACAUCUGGAUAUGAAAAUUAGGUAAUUUAUAUAACUUAUUAGAAAUACAUAUCUAGAAGCUUUAACAUUAAAAGGUGGAUCUCUAUAAAGUAUAAUUUCCAUUGAUUCAAGGACUUUGAAAAAAAAAAUAAAGACAAUUUUCAAAUCCUAAAGUUUUUCUUUCAUCCUAUUAUUUUCAAAUAAUUAAAAAUUUAGAUCCUAUUAUUUUCAAAUAAUUGAAUAUUUAGGUAUCUAUUGAAUACUACGAUCAACGUCUUGACUCUUUCAUUGUACGUUCUCAAAUCUUAUAGAUAAGAUUCCACCAAGUGAAUAAUUGCUAAUUAUUUAAGAUGAUUAAUUAUUACAUUCUUGAGAUUCAACUAAAAAAUAUAAUUUAGAUUUCAUUUGGUUUGUAUUUUUUUCUUUUACUAUUUUUUUUUCAAUUCAUUUAUUAAAAAAUAAAAACCAAAAGCAUCAAUUAAUUGGAGGAUUAAAAAGUGAGAAAAUUAUGUAAUCUCAUUGGUUAAUUUCCUUUUUUCGAUUAAAAAAUUUAUUCAGUUUAAAACAAUAUAAAGUAUGAGUGUAUUUGAUAUUAUAGAUAAAAUUUCUAAUGUUCUUUUUAUUUUUUAAAUUUUGUUGGGAUUUUAGAUUUUGAUUUAUUAUGAGUGUAUUUUAUAUUAAAAUCUUAAAUUUAUUAUAUAAAAUUUAUAUUUUGAGGUUUCAAAUAUAAAAAUGUAAUCAAAAUCAAAAUGAUUUUGGAAUAUACUCGUAUAGAAAAGUAAUAGAAUUUUGUGUUGGAAAAGCAAAGAUGAUAAUUUUGAAAUAUCCAAGUAGAGAAUGAUAGAUAAAGAAAAUGAGAUAGUGAGAGUAUAAUUAAUUAGUAAUUAGAAAAUGAAUUGAAAAAAAAAAAAAAAACUUAGAAGUGAUGAUUGAAGACAAUUGAAAAGAUCAAUAUAAUUACGUAAAGAUGGUAAUAUAUAGUCUAAUUAAAGAUUGAAGUUGAACAAUUAAUAUUUAAUUUUGAAUAAUUUAAAUUAAAUUCCCUUUUGAACAAUUAAAAAAAAAAGUUAGUAUUAAUUUCUUAUGUAGCGCGACAAUGAGAUUGAAACAAAAAUGCACCAAAUGACGUUCUUCUUCUGACUCCACUAGUGCCAAGUGUGCCAAAGUUCAUUCUCCAUUUUUGUCAUCUGAAUGACUUCGCCGGUAAGCAAUUCCGAAGGCUAUAAACUUUAAUUAGCAUAAAACAACACCAAUGCCAAGAUUACAUAUAAUAUUUUAUAGAAAAAAUUAUAAUAAUUUUUUUUAAAGGUUAGAUUUAAGAAGAGAGAAGGUGCUAUAGGUAAAAGAAUUUGAACUCUAAACCUGUUAGAUAUUAUCUUUUAAUGAUAAUUGUAUAAAUCAACUAGGAGCGUAACUAGGCUCAAAUUUUUUUUUUUAACCAUUGUAGCAUAAUACCUUAUCCAACAAAAAAUAAUAUUUGAUCCCUUCUUUCCUAAUCAAAUUAUAAUUUGACCUCUCAUUUCUUUUAUUUUUGGCUCUCCUUUCGAAAGUAACAAAUUCAAAAAAUUAUUUUAUUAUUAAUAUUCUUUUAUAUAAAUGUAUUUUAUUUAUUUAGUUUCUUAUGAGGUUGAUCAAGGAAGGAAGAAAGAAGCUUCUGACCUUAGACAAAGUAACUUUAGACCAAUUCUAAAGUUCUUUUAAAGAAAAGGAAACAAUUUUAGAUAAAGCAAAGCAAGAAACAUGUGUAUGAGGCAAGAACAAGAAAAACCCACGCGUCAUGAAUUGAAGACUAAUUCAUUAAUAGAAAAUCCCAUUAAUUAUUGUUCUAUGGAAAAAUAAUCGUUUUGUCACUUUCAUAUUUCUAAUGUUCAUAUUUGUAAUUUCACUCAUUCAUUAAUAUUAAGGUUCAUUCCCAUUAAAAUAAUAUUGGUUGAUAUUUUUAUUUGAAGUAUUGUAAAAUAUUAAAUAUGAAUCUAUAUGUUCUAAGUUCUUACAAUUCAAACCAAUAUUCUUUAAUAAUAUUAAAAACAAAAAUAAUAAAAAGUACUAUACAUAUGAUAAAUUCAAUAUUAAAUUAUUAAUAUGUUGUUUUGAAUUCUUAAUGAUUAAUAAAAAUAUUUUGCAAAUAAUAAUCCAAAAAUACAUUUCAAGACGAUUACAUAAAGUAAUAUAUUCACCUAAUGCAUUAAAAAUAAUAGAUAUAAAAUUAACUAUAUCAACCAUUACAUUUAAGAUUAAAUUAUUACAAUAAAUAGUAUAUUAACUAAUUUUAAAGAGUGGAUAAAUAAGUAUUACAAUAAGUAAUAUAUUAACUAAUUUUAAAUAGCAUAAAUAGUAUAUAUCAAAUAAUAUAUCAAAUAUUCAAUUAUUUACCAUCUAUCACCAUCCCUAAACAGAAUUUCAAGAGAGAAGCAAUCAAUCAAAUCUAAUGGAAUGGAUAGGAAGGUGAAGCACGGUCUAAAGCUAAGCUCCUGUGUCAGAUCCCAUUAUUUCCUCUGACUUGACAUCAAUAUACAAGCGAAAUCUGAAUGCUUGGAAACUCAGUUUCAGCAAUUUCACUUGGUUGCCUAGAUGUUUCCUGCAUGCUAUCAUCUUUUGCCUUCGUUUCCUUUCAUUCAUGCUUUUGCUUUAGAUUUUCAGGUUAGGUAGGCAAUAUUUUUACAACAUAUGAUACCAUAUUACAACAGGUUUUGCAACAAAAAAAGAAUAAAAAAUGCACUAAAUGGUAUCCAUAUGACUAAAUGAUAUCCUUUCUUUUUAAUUAUUAAUCUAAUGGUGCUAGGAUAAACUUUAUUAUAGACCAAAGAAUAAGGCAUACUAUUAUAAAGAAAGAAUUGUUAAAAUAAUUAUUCUUUUCUCUGAAUGCAUAUUUAGAAAAAAAAAAGAAAUUGAUACAUAUGAGGAAGUUGAUCAAGGAAACAAAAGGAGAUUCAAACGUUGAAUUGAAGAAGAAGAAGAAGAAACAAACUUAUUAAUUAGGAUUUAAAAAAAAAAAAAAAGAAGUGUUCCAUCUAAUUUCAUAAUAACAAAGUUGAGUUGACUCAUUAAUCUUUGCAAGUUUUACUUCUCUUCAGAUGUUAAACUUAGUGAAAAUUUUCAUUAUUUUUUAGUAGUGAAGAAAUUCCUUCCUACUGAUCUACAUGUAACACUGUUACCUAACAUUGAGAAAAUUAAUUUUUUUAUUUGUUUUUUUUUUUUUUUGCAUGAAUGCAUAAUAUGAAAUAAAAAGUAGGAAGAAAGGAAAAAAUAUAGUGACAAAGAUUAAUUUACAAAAGCAAAAUUAUCAGCCUUAUCACCAUUCAAAUCUGUUAUUCAUUCUUUAAAAUUCAAAAUGGACAAGCACUAAAUAUGUCUGUCAAUCUUCCACCUAUUUUGAUUCAACUCCUACAGAAAAAGCUCAAACUCAUGAUUUGUAGAAACACGUGAUUGGAAAAACGCAUGUGAACCUAUCUCUUGAUAUCUAGGGAGAUAUAUAGCUACAAUAACAGUAUAAUAAUGUGAAGUACUUGUCUAUAUAUACCAUGCAAGGAAAUCUCAAACUCCACAGUCUUCCCUUCAUUUUUUUAUAGAGAGCCAACAAAACAUGAAGAAUCCUCAUAUCCUAAUUUCACUCAUUUUUCCUAGCUUGUUUUUCUCCUCAUGCUUUGUAUCUCUUGUGCUAUCUUUUUCCCCUUCUUAUACUGAUCUCCAAAACCAGUGCCUUGAUGACCAGAGAUCUACUCUGUUGCAAUUGCAUCGUGAUCUUUACUAUGCUCCAAAUUUUACUUUCUCUACCGAAGUUGAGCUUUGGGAUCUCAACACUAAUUGUUGCUCUUGGAAAGGAAUUACAUGCGAUGCUCUUGGUCAUGUGAUUGGGAUUGAUCUCAGUUACAAAAAUCUUUCAGGCAGCUUUCACUCCAUUUUCAAUCUCCAUCAUCUUCAACGCCUUAAUCUUGCUGGAAACAAUUUUAAUUCCACUCUGUUUCAAUAUGAGUUUGACAAACUCCCAUAUUUAACUCAUCUCAACCUUUCAAACUCAUGUUUCCAUGGCCAAAUUCCUGUGGGGAUUUCAUACUUAACAAGGUUAGUCUCUCUUGAUCUAUCUAAUCAAGAUUCUUGCUAUCUACACAAUUACCAAAUUCUUGAUCCAAAUUUCUGGUAUGAUGUUUUUCCUUACAACCUUUAUCAACCUUUAAAACUAGAAAACCCAAACUUCAAGUCAUUCAUCCAAAAUUUGAAAUCUCUUACGGAGCUCUACUUGGAUAGUGUGAACAUUUCAACUCAAAGUACUAAAUGGUGUGAAGCCACAUCCAUAGUACUUCAUAACCUGCAUGUGUUAAGUCUGUCAUAUUGUGGUUUGAUAGGUCCAGUUUGUUCUUCACUCUCAAGACUUCCUUUUCUUUCCAAACUUUUCCUCAACGGGAAUUCGAUCUCUUAUUUGCCUCCUAAUUUCUUGGAAAUUUCCUCUCGUUUGCUUUCUCUCAGUUUAGUGAAUUGCAAUUUGAGUGGGCAUUUUCCAACUGAAGUUCUCUCAUUGCCAAAAAUUCGGAGCAUUGACAUUUCAGAAAAUCACUUUCUUGGAGGUCAGUUGCCAGAAUUUUCAUUAAACAAUGCUUUACAGAUCUUAACGAUUUAUUCUACAAAUUUCAGUGGAAAACUGCCAGAAACAAUUGGUAAUCUCAAGUUCUUGACAAAUUUAGAUCUCGAUAAUUGCAAUUUCUUUGGACAAAUUCCAUCAUCAAUUGCAAAUCUUACAAACCUUGUGGAACUGGAUCUAUCUGGUAACAAUUUCAGUGGUUUUAUCCCUGCAUUUCAUAGAUCUGGAGUUCCAAAUCUUGCAUAUCUUUAUUUGUCGUGGAACCACCUUUCUGGAUCAAUACAUUCUUCUUUAUUUACUCUCCCAUCAUUGCAGGCCUUGGAUCUUAGUGAAAAUCAAUUGAUUAGUGAAAUUGAAGAGUUCCUCAAUGAAUCUUCUUCAUUGAUUGAAACAUUGUAUUUAGGCUACAAUAGCUUUAGUUCCAUGAAGCUUGGCAUGUUCUCGCAACUCAAGAACUUACGGUUUCUUGACCUUUCCAAUACGAGCUUGUCAAUUGAAAGCAACAUCACAAGCCUUGCUUUUCCCCGAUUAGAGGAGCUAAACCUAAAUUCAUGUAACCUUACUGAAUUUCCAGAAUUCAUCAAAACUCAAGACAAGUUGACUAUUCUAUGUCUUUCUAACAACGAAAUCCAUGGUUUUGUGCCUAAUUGGUUGUGGAAGACCACUCUUUUAUGGUUAGACCUUUCUUUCAAUGCGAUUGAUUUUCCAAAAGACGUCCCUUUUGGUGAUGCAAACUCCUCUUUUCCAAUGUUGAGUCACUUGCGUUUACAAUUCUGUAACCUAAGCAUGUUUCCAGAGUUUUUAAAGAGUCAAACUAGUUUAGAAUAUCUUGUCCUUUCAAAUAACAAAAUAAGUGGUGCAGUGCCAAACUGGGUGUGGAAGAAAAGUUUGUGGUAUCUAAAUCUUUCUAACAAUUCUCUCUCAUCUUUGGACCAAUUUUCUUUGAACCAAUCUCUAACUUCUUCACAAGGCUCUUUAUCAAGACCUAUUUGCAAUUUGAGUCAACUUGCGACCUUUAAUGCAUCCUUUAACAAAUUAAGUGGGCCAAUCUCAAGUUGCUUGGGCAAUCUCAGUUCCCUCAGCUCUUUGGAUCUACAAAAAAAUAAUUUCAGCGGCAGCAUACCAGAUUUUGCAAAAGCGACCCACUUAUAUUGGCUUCAACUCAAUGAUAAUAAAUUGGAAGGGAAGUUGCCAAGGUCAUUAGCCAAUUGCACAAUGCUCCACGUUUUAAAUCUUGGAAACAAUACUCUGCAUGACACAUUCCCUUUGUGGUUGGGAAAAUUGCCUGCAUUGAUGGUUCUUGUAUUGCGUGCAAAUAAGUUUUAUGGUCCAAUUAAACAUAUGAAAAAUUGUUUUCAAGAUUUGGAUGUACUAGACAUUGCUUUCAAUAAUUUUUCUGGUCAAUUACCAAUUGAAUUCUUUCAAGCCCCUCAACUAAGGUCACUCAACAUUGGUGCGAAUAAACUGGAAGGAAAGUUGCCGAGGUCAUUAGCCUAUUGCAAAAAGCUUGAAGUUUUGGAUGUUGGAAAAAAUAUGAUACAAGACACAUUUCCUUUUUGGUUGGUGAAAUUGCCUUCUUUAAAGGUUCUUGUACUAAGAGCAAAUAGAUUUUAUGGUCCAAUUAAAAUUUCUGAGGAUGAAAAUGUUUUCCCAGAAUUACACAUAUUGGACCUCGCUUCCAAUAACUUUUCAGGUGUGUUAUCUGUUGGAUUUUUUCAAUCUUUGAAGGCAAUGAAGUCGAUGACUGAUCGCAACAAAGCUAAGCCAGAUUACAUUGGAGACAUGUACUACCAGGACUCUAUGACAAUUGUGAAUAAAGGGUUUGAAAUUUUUUACAAGAAAAUCUUAACCAUCUUUUCUUGUCUUGACCUUUCCAAUAAUAGUUUCCAUGGGAGAAUACAGGAGGAAAUACAAAACCUCAAGUCACUCAAAGCGCUAAACUUCUCCUACAACAGCUUCCUUGGCCCAAUCCCUUCAGCACUUGGAAACUUAACUGAGCUUGAGUCGUUGGACCUCUCCCAGAACAACCUCUCAGGAAAGAUUCCUCCACAGCUUGCAAGCCUAACUUUUCUUGAAGUAUUGAAUCUCUCUUACAACCAACUUGAGGGAAGCAUACCACAAAGCUACCAAUUUGGUACAUUUCAAAACGAUUCUUACAAAGGGAAUCCAAGAUUGUGUGGGCCGCCUUUGACAAAGAAAUGCAAUGAAGUUGGUCUUGGAAUGCAACCGCCUAAGGAAGAUGAGGAUUCAUGGGUAGACGGUAUAUCUGUUUGGAAAAUCGUUUUGACUGGGUAUGGAUGUGGUUUGGUAAUUGGGUUAUCUAUUGGAUAUACAAUGCUGAAUGAGAUGGGGAACAAAUGGAUGGAUAGGUUUACAUGGAAUCGAAAUCAAAAAUGGAGAAGAUCUUCUAGGUGACUCCAUCAAAAUUCAAGUUUCAAAUUCAUUUGGUAAGCAUUCUAGAAUACUCAAUAAUUCAAAAGUUUUCUUAUUGGUUCUUUCAGCUGUAGUUUAUUGCCUAAACAAAUAAAAUUAUUUAAAUACUCUGGUGCAUUAUAAGUGUGAUAUAUAUAUAUAUAUAUAUAUAUAUAUAUAUAUACUCAUUUCCCUUUUAAACUUGGCAUUGCUUUUAAAACUGAAAACAAAAAUUGCCUGCAACCGAGGAUAUGUCCUUUGAAUUCCUAACCUCAUGUUAUAAAUGACAAUCAUGAGUUUCCAAGUUAGUAAUUUGUAAAAGACAUGUGGGUGACUGGCAUUUUGAGUUAGAUUGGGCUGUCAACCAUCUUAACAGCAAAGCAAAGCUUUGGCAUCUAUUGUCCUUAAUUAGAUUGGCUUGGGAUGCUCAUAUAUAUUUUAUUUGGCAGGAGCACAAUCAAAGGAAGUUUGGCAGGCCAUCUAAAGAUAUAGAAGCUAUUGUUUCAACUAUCAGAAGUUACUUUUCGCUUAGUUCAAUAACAAGAUUGCAGUCUUCAGUUGCACUCUUCCUCUUCAACAACAGAAAUUGUGUCUGAAUGUUUUUAGCUUGGUGUUACGGUACUUGUGUCUUAGUUCUUUCUCUUCUGUUCACCUAAGAUGAUUGGCAGUAUGUCUGGUUGUAUUGUGCUUCUCUUCUGUUCUGUCUAUAAGGUGGCGUUUUACUGCUGAGUUAUGGGGUUCCCCUGUUGUUCACCCUAUUGUGUAACUCUGUUUUUAUUAAUAAUUUCUGGCUUAGCAAAAGAAAAAUGUGUCUGAAUUGGGGACAGGUUCCUUAAUGUUGCUUAGUUUGAUUACUUUGCAAAAGUUAGAUUGUUCUUGGACAUUUGUAAUGUUUUGAUAGCUUACUGUUUACUUGUAGCAAGUCUAAUGCUUUCUUUGCGUUAAUAAAAAUCAUUCACCCAAAGAAAUUCUUAACGAAAAUCUUAUUAUCUUUUAAGCUCUUCAUUAUUGUUAUACCUAAGUGAUCAUGUUAGCAGCCACAUAUUAGGUCUUACACAUGAAAACCCCGUUUGCGACAUCAUCAUCUAAAAGGUAUAAAAAGUAGAACCAAACCAGAGAGAUGAUUCGCUACUGAACUCUCUCUACUCUCUUUAACUGCUUCUUAUCAUUUACUUGCUUCUGGUAUACCUUACUAACUUAACUUGAGCGUCGGGGAAUGCCUCAAAAUAACAUUUUUGGCACACUGACUUUCUGCUCUGUGAUAGGUCACACAAACUCUCCUUCUCAACCUCCGGUAAAACUUUUGACUAUCAGACCAGGAAUUACAUUAACAAUAUCAAUUAUUCAACUCAACUAUUUGCGGUGCAGGAAUUUGAUAUAAGCCAUGGCAUGUACAACAAUGACUACGCCCACCACUUUAGCUGCCAAAACUAGAAGUUACAUCUCCUAACACAGAAAAAUCUUCACAGACCAAGCUCAAGCUAAGAUGCUUUAUUCCUGUAUUAACUGCUACAUCACUACAAAGAAGAAAACAUCGAAAAGAAAAUAACAAAGCUUCCGGUUCUAGGUAUCAAGCUCGACAAUUCCAAACUAACUUCGAUAGUAUUUUAUUGUCCCUAACAACUAUAGAUUUGACUAUGGCGAGAAAGAAUGAAAUAUUUCGCUUAUUAUUUUCUUCAACUUUAAUCCCAUAUCAUCCUUUGUUUCUUUGCUUCAGCACUCCCACAGACAAAAACAAAUGGCUUGUUGUAAGCUCUAUUGCUAUAUGAUUGAUUUGCAUGUAGAAUAGACCUUGACUAAACAAAAACAUGAGGGCAAUACAUUCAGUAACUUAUAUAUACUCACUUCACUAGAAUUCCAGUGAACCCUUUCAGUAACUUAUUCUCUAUCUAAUAGAAAUAAAGCGUCAUAACUAAAUAGGCAAUAUUCACAUUGAUGUGCUAAGUGUUCUGAUACAGCCACUAAUCCAUAAUUAAAAGAUGAAGUUAUAGAAGACAUGCUAUCUUUCAAGCACUGGUCAUUUUAUAGGUAGUUUUUUCUCUAGUAGUUACCUUGAUGCUGUAAACCAGAAAGGUUGUCAAGCCUUCUGACAUUUAGCCUAUUUUGAGUAUUAGCUCAGAAUUUAUGUUUAGAAGGUUGGUGGAGGUAAAAAGAUAUCUGAUGACUUUGGGGUUGACAAAAGCCACAUUGGGCAGAGUGAUCAUGCAUAUAUGAAGACUGUGCCCCUAGAGGCUUUCUCCUACAACUGUCCUCAUGCAGCCCUAAGUUCUUCCUCAUUUGAAUCCUUCUCUAACUAGAAAUGUAAGUAUCAACUAGAAAAAUAAUUUAAUCUUAUCAAUUCGGUCAUUUGAAAAUUUUACAGAGCAAAAAGAAAACAAAAACUCAUGCUAAAAAAGAAAAUUUUAGAGGGAAAAAAGGAAACCAAAAAAUAUUACUAUUUCUUGAGUUUAAGUUUAGGUUUGCUAGCUAAUUUCAUUUUUUUUUUAUUUAAUGCAGGACCUGUAUUUUUCCAGGAAGAAAACUGAUCAUUAAUGUUUUCUAUGCUUUGGACUUGGACAGCACAAAAAAUGACAGUUUCCAUUAGCCGCCCUACCCAAUUGAAACUACCUGCAAUCCAACAUUCUUAAACUCUUUGAAGUAACAUCCUAGAUCCUACCAGUAUGUGUCAUCGAGACCUGGAUUCUGAUCUGAUCAAGCUGAAUUCUUGGCCAUUAUGAAGGUUGUGAAGUUGGAUGCUGACCCUUGGAAAAUUAAUACUGGAUUGCAAUGCUAUCUCUAGGUAGAAGAAAUGCUACUUCGUGGGUAAAAGGCAGCAAUAGGGUUUGUUGGCAUCUUAGGAACGCCAAUUUUGUAUAUAAAUUACAAGUUUUACAAUUGUCUACUCAUUCAGCUGUUUUCGACGACUCUUGGAAUUUCAUGUAAAAACCUAAUUCUUGCUCUGCUUAAUACUAUCACUCAAUUCAUAAGUCUGUUGUGGAAUGACAGAAAAAAAUGCUUACCUAAAUAGUAAUGCACAUGCCUGCAGCAACAAUGAUUUUAAAGAGCUCAUCACUGCAUAAUCCAAAAUUCCCCCAAGCUCAAGCAGGGAAAUGAUUUCGUUUAAUAAGGUAUUCAGACAAGGGAAAUGAUUUUAAAGGGCGAUGAAUCGUCAUUGUCAUCAUCACUCUGGCCUACCCCUGCCUCAUCAUCAUCAUAAUCGCUACCCAAAACCAGAUUUCUCUUCCUUGCUUUCUCUGCUUCUUCCAGUCCUUCUCUAAUUGCCAUCCAGACUUGUAAUCUCCACUAUCAUGCAUAAACUUACAUGAAUCCUCUAACCACAGUAACCAGUUUCUUUGUAGUCUAUACAGAUGUCAGGUUGAUAAUCAAAUCUCUCUGAAACCCUGAUGUGGGCAGAAGCCCUAACGUGAGCCACCAGCUUUCUCACUGGCAACUGUCUGCUCCCUUCAAACGCAGCCUUAUGAUCCACAUAGCCAUGCUUUCCUUUAUACAACUUCUCUCCCACAGAGCUUUGGCUUUCCCCUUCAAAGCCUCCUCUGCUUGUUUAAGAACUUUCUCACCUAUAGCUCGAGCAUCUUAUAUAAACUCAGUCUCAGUUUCUAAGGUUGCGGUAGCUCUGCUAUCAUUUUGAACUUGAAGUUCCUUCGAAGACUCAAAUUGAAAAAUCGGUUUGUCAAAUUCUGUAUCUGAUUCAUUGAGAGCAGCACUCCUGGGGGAUCCAGUCGAAAAGUAUAACUUAUUGUCAGGCUUCAAAGCCCUCUUCUGAUUGUGUGACGGGGAUGUGCCAUUUCUGGAGUCUUCAUCUUCAUCUUCAUUUGUUUUCCUUUUCCUUAUGUUUUUGCCCUUUGUUAGCUUCCUAAAGAAAUUGCAGACUGAAAAAUCGAAGAGUUAACUAUAUAAGUAAAGAUACUGUCUGAAUUUGAUGCACACUAACAGAAACGGCCGGUUCUUUUUCAUUAUUAUUAUUUUUUUCAAAAAGAAAUGUCACAAUCACAGCGGCAAUGGGAGAACGCGACCACCGGUGCAGUGGCGGGCUUCGCCACCGUUGCAGCGAUUUACCCCCUGGACAUUGUCCGUACGAGAUUUCAAGGUAAUCCUCUUCUUCUUCUUCUUCUUCCGUCUCUUUCUUUAUAUAUACAUAGUUUCGACAAAAAAGUUUCAGUUUUUUUGGUGCUGAUUGGAUCGAGUUUUCAAAUAGUUAACGAUGGUCGACUCACCAAUUUCCCGACUUACAAGAACACCGCCCACGCCAUUUUUAUCAUUACUAGCUUAGAGGUUCACACCUUUUUUUUUCUUUCAUUUAAUUAGGCUUAGGCACUUUAUUUUUCUUUUCUCUCCAUGUAAAUUUGAGGUCUUUCUCGCUUUCAUUGGAGAUUAACGUUUCUCUUUUGUAUGCUGUUUUUCUUUUGAUAUAUGCUAAAAGUUUGGUGAGUUUGUCAUGCAGGGUUUGAAAGGGCUUUAUGCAGGCUUCUUUCCUGCAGUUUUAGCGUCCUCUGUUUCCUGGGGUUUAUAUUUCUUCUUGUAGGUGCCAUCAUCAAUUUACAUGUUACAACUUUUCCUUUGAUUACAGUACAUUUGUUGUCAAAUAUAUGUGCACAUUUGAAUUAUUAGCUGCAGCGGAAACGACUAAUUUGCUGAUUUUUUUUAAUGUAAAUAGAUUGAUUUUAAUAUGCAAUGGGGAAUAUAAAGAGUUAAUGUGUUUUGAUUUGUUGAAAAAUGUAGUGUGACAAUCAAUUAAUCUAAAGUGUCUGCUACUACUGUCUUAAUUUGAUGCAAGUUGCAAAUUAUCUCUGUUGAAACCCAGUUUUGAUGUUUAGAAACCAAAAUUCUGAGUAGAGUUUGAUAUGCAAUCAAACGGAAAAAGGGAAAAAAAACUCAACAAAAGAAAUGUGCUUCUGCAAUCUGCAAAAUUGGCUUGAAGAUCUUUCCUGAUUGAAGUGAAGCUUCAGAGAUGGAAAAUUGGCAAGUAAUAAUAAGUAAACACAUAUUAAUUACCUGCUUAAUCCAUUAAAUAAGAGAAAAAAACCUUAAUGACUUCAUAUCAAUAAUGAAAUGGGCCUACUGCAACAAUUCAGAAAAUGGAAUCAUACUUCAAAAACAUUCCAUUUGCUACAAUAUUGAUUGUACUGGUGACAAUGUCUAACCCACAAGCAUGAGCUCCAUGACCAAAGGUCCCUGCAAAUAGCUUCCACCAAUGCCGAGGAUUCUAAAGCUGUACAUAGCAAUUUGGUUGAAAGCAGAUUUGUGAAGCUUUCAUUUCAUAUAACUUGGCAGCAAGAAAAUGAUUGGGAGAAGCUAGUGAGUAUGGAGAAACGAUAUGGACAGGAUCACUAUCUUCAAUUUUGGACAGGAUGUUUUGAAGUCAAGAUCAGCUUGACGGGGUAAAGCAAAGACUUGGUGACUGGUGAGGAACUAAAUAAAAACUGAAAUAAUACCUUCAAUUUCCUUAAAAAUAUAAAUAAAACUCAAUGACAAUGAAGUUGAUGUAUUUUCAAAUUGUUCAAUGUUUAAAAACUGAAAACAAAAGAAGUAAUAGCAUCAUAUGUUGGCUGUUGGGUUCAGAAUAAUUUGUUGCUUACUUAACAUUAAAUCAUCUAUAAAGAAACUAUUUAGUCCCUUUUAGAUGCCAUCACAGACUCAGUGUGAUAGAAUUCAGGUCAAAAUAUGGAUUCAUCACCAUUUAUAUAUUUGUAUCUCACAUAUAUUUCAUUAUUGAUUUUAAUCUCUAUGCUAUUAUAUCUAAUCUCAUCAUAAUAAUAAUUAUUUUUUCUAUUAUCGUUAUUUUUAAUUUCACGGAAACUAAUUUUGCUUCUCAUCUAAAUUGUUAUCGAAAAAAAAGUGAGAUCUAGCACAAUACUUAUUACCCUUUUCAUUAUAUAUAUAUAUAUAUAUAUAUAUAUAUAUAAAACUUACAUAAUGCACAAUAGAUGGCACAAUUUUUAUGUAUAAAGAAGAACUCAUGAAUUUAAGUAUAAUCAUAUUUUGUUUUUAUUUUUUAAAAAAAUUUAUAUUAACAUUUGAAAUUUAUAUCCCUUUCUUUUGAAUUCAAAUUUCUAAACACAAAUUUAAUUAACAAAAGAAAUUCCUCUUUCAUUGAUCAAACAACAAAAAUUAAGAAACAAUCAUUGAGGAAAGAAAAACUAAUACCUCGAAAACAAAAAUAAGAAUUUAGGGCUUUAAUAAUGUUUGUUUUUCAAAAAAAAAAAAGAUUGUAAAAAAAAUUCAUACGUAUAAAUAAAAUUAAUAAUCAACCAAAAAGAGCAAAAUUAAUUACCCGAAUUAGUUUGGAUAAGCCUAUUGGGUCAAAAGACCUCUUUUUUUUACAUGGGCUGGGCCCAUUAAUACCGAAAUCGUGCUUCCCUUUGACUUCUUGCACUAAAAAUACAAUGAUGGAUUCCGAAUUUGGCAAUUGUUGUGAAUCAUAAAGUGUUUGAAGAAAAAUACGAAAAGCAAUUAACUGAGAAAAGCAAAAUUUAAAAAAAAUGUUGUCAAAAGGGAUUAAAGUUAGGGCGUUUUAAUCGAAUUUUCCUCUCCUUUUUUCAUUUUCCUGGUGAAAACUUCCUCAUGCCCAGUUUUAUUUUCAAUCUUAAAAUUUUUUUAAUUGAUUUUAUCUCCUGUUUUUGCAGUGACACUGUAAUUCGAGAGCUGGAGUCAUUGCAGGUAAUUUUUGGAAACCCCACAUUAGCAAAGGCAGAGUAUUUGAUUUUUUUUUUUUUUAAUUUCUUUUUUCUGUGAUCUUUUUUAGACUUUCACUGUGUAGAAAAGUUCUAUUUUUUGCUAAGCAUAACUUUUUUUUUUCUUAUUUGUGUUUCUCAGGCUUUAUUGUAUGUUGGUUUUGUUCUGUUUUAUCCAUAUUUCAUUUAUUUUUAUGAUUUGAAUUGAACUACUAUGUGAAAAGGAAUAUUGAGUAUUGCCAAGUAGUAUUUUCUUUGACUAUUACUGUACAUAAUUGUCAAUCUGUUAUUCAAUUGCUGGCUGUUAAAUUUGCUGGAAAAGAAUGAUUAUUGCAGUUUGAAUCUCUUGUUAUUAUGGGGAAGAGUGUGAGGGUUGAAAAAAGGGAAAGCAAAAUAAAAUGAAAUAGUUGGGUGGAAAGUGUUACCUUUUAUGGAGUUCUUGCUUGCAAUCAUCAUUUGUUUAAUUGUACAUUUUGCAUUUUCCAACAAUUGAAUGGAGGGAGUUUUUCGGAUUUCCAUUUCACUGCUUUCAAGUAUCUUGGUUUAGAUAAGUUUCGUCAGUGUUUUCUGUUUUCAAAAUGAAUUAAUAUACAUGACAUAACAGGUUCUUCUUGCAAAUCGGGAAUUGAAUGCUUAUGUGAAAAGGUGUUUAAAAUCUGAUCUUUUCUUUGUGGCAUCCAUAUUCUGCAAAGAUCUUUUGCCCUGUCUUUGUUCACCUCCUAGGUAUCAAUAUUUUAUCGGUUUGCUUAUGCUAGAGUUUGAUCUCUUUCUCUACCAUUUUCCCUUUGCCCCUACUAUUCCUCUUCUUCCUCUUUAGCCUUUGAAAUUGCUUUUUAGAGCCUUGGUUGUUAUAGUGGAUUACAAGCAUACAUAACACUAUGUUCAAGCUGUUGAAUUUUAGGUUCAACUUUCAAGUGUUAAGAGUUUUAUUAAAGUUUUAAUUUCUUGUGUAAGCCUUGUUUUACCCCCUUUUUUAGAGGGAGAGGAGGUUUGGGAGAGAUAAAAAUAGCACUUAUUUUAGUGUAUACGGAUGUAUGUAUGUAUGUAUGUAUAUGGUAUAUAUAAACAUAGGUUUAAAAAAUAUGCUACAUACAAUGUUUCUAUAAAAAAUCAUGAUUGCAAAAUAAAAUGUAAAUUUUAAGUACUGUACAUACAUAAAUCAUUUCUAAAAAAAUUCUAAAAAUUAAAUUCAAUAAAAUUAGAGUAUAACUUAAUGACCAGAAACAAAUAAAACUAAAAAAAAGAACUACCAAGAACAUAAAAUUAUUUGUGCAAAAUUAAUGCAUUAGUGAAUCAUAUGAAGUUCUUGGUUGUUUUGCCUCAUUUAGAGUCUGUUUGAUUGGUUUUUUGCUAGUUGCUUUUUGCCUCCAAAAGCAAAAAUGAAAAAAUUGCUUUUCCAUAAGCAAUAAAAUUUUGAAGAGCUAUACACAAAAUAUGUAAAUUUGUUAUGAUUAACUACAUGGUUCUACUUCUAUAUAUACUAAUUGUGUUAUAUAUUUUAAUUAUUUUUUCUGUUUUAGACCAGUUAUGAUAUAUAUAUUUUACUUUUUUCUCUUCCUUUCUAGUUAAAUAUAUACGUUUUAUUCAUGUUCAUAGGGAACUUACCAAACUCCUUGACCAUGCUCUAGAAAUGCCAGUAUGUAACGAGUUUGCUUUGAAUAUGGCAGCUAACAACAUCAGUGAAUCUUAGGUUUCUUGAUGCAAAUCAUGGCUAAUAGAUUCACUUGAAGCCUACUUAUCUAAAGAUUUUCGGAUUUUUGGAGGAUGAAAUACAGAGGUGGUGCUGAUGUUAAUAAUAUUGGAGACUGAACACUGUCAAACAACAUAGAGGUGGAAAUAUACUGACUUUUUCAGGUUUCAGGGUUGGUUUUAUUUGUUGACUUCAUUCUACUAUUUUUUUUUUUUGGAAAGAUAUAUACCAACAUCUUAUGUAAAUAUGUAACUUGAUAUAGAUAAUUUGUAAUUUUGGGGAAGAGAGAGAAGGAAUGAAAUUGAGAAGAUAGUGGUUUUUCUUUGAAAUUUUGCCAUGAUGUAAAGUUGUUCUAGUCAGAGUUUUUUGAUGUUAUGAUGCUUAAGAAAUCCAGAUACUAGUGAUAUCUUUCCCCAAAAUAGUUCAUUCUUCAACUCCAUCUAUUUCAUCUGGUUUGUUUCUGGGAAUAAAAGCAUAUUCCUUAUUGGUUGCAAAAUUUUCAUUCAUUUUAGCUUCAAAUUUAUCGAACAAUUAAAUUAUUAAUUGACUUGGUUAGUAUUUGUUGAACCAUAUAACUUAGAAAAUGCAAUCAGUUAGUGGAGAUUUUAGAUUAUACAAGUUAGAGGGCUGUCACAAACCCUUUUACAAAUAUAUUAAAAAAGUAUAUAAAAAAAUUAAGAUAUGUGAUAAUUUUUUAAUACUAUUUAUAAAAUUUAAAAGCUCUAUUAAACAUAUAUGAAGAAAUCAAAAUAUAUAAAAAUUAUCUCGUAUACAUGAAAUUUGCGAAAGAAGAAGAUUUUUUUUUUUUUUUAUGUGAGGUUGUUAGGAUUUAAACUUAAACUAUUGAAACUAAGAGUUCUGCAUUCAUUCCCACUCUUAUUUUGGAAAUUGUGAUUUUAUAAUGGUGGAAUAAGAAAGAAAAUGACAGAUACUAUGAGAAUGUAAUGGUCUAAGUAUUAGUCUUUGCUUUAUACUUAGUUUUGGCAUCACGCAUGCAAAUUUAUUAAUCUUUUUGCCCCCAUCUUUGCUUCACAAAAAUAAUAAUUUUAGCAGUUGCUUAAGUCUAAGUCAUUAAAAAGACUAAAAUAUAACAAUAAUAAUUAAUAUAUUUAAAAUCCAUUUCCUGUGUUCUAAUUUAACUAGAAGACAAAAGACAACCUCUAUUAAAAAAAUUGUUAUUAUUUUUUUUGUUUUUUUUAAAGACAAACUUCACUUAAACAAACUGCUAAGAAAAUUAUUUUUUAUAGAGUAAUGAUAGGGUAAGAAGACUUAAACAUUUGCAUGAGUGGAAUAAUUAAAAGUAGAAAGCAAAGAAAAGACUAAAUACCAACAAGAAAAUCUCAUACUAUCACUUUCUUUGUGAGUCCAAAAUUAGAAUAUAAAUUUUUUUAUAAACUUUAAUUUUAUGAUGGGUGAUUCAAAAUACAUCAUCAUUUUUUUUCUCUACAUCCAUUUUUAAAAUUUUUUUUAAGUGAAAUUACUUAUUUACACAUUUCGUUUUAAUUUUAAAACUUCUAGAUAUGCAUUUUUGAUAAGUUAUAUAACUUUUCAGAUUUUGAUAUCUGGUAAGUUAAAAAAAUAUAUUAAGGUUUAAAGAAAAUAAUUGAGAGAAAAUAUCUUAUGGAAAGCAUGAAAUUCUAAUACCAUUUAAAAAAUUUAAAAACUUUAUUAAUCAUAUGUAAAGAAAUUGAAAUUUAUAAAAAUUAUCUCACAUGAAAUUUGUGAAAAUAAAAGAUUGUCUUUUUUUUUUCUUGUAUAUGAAGUUGUCAAGAUUUGAACUUUAAACUAUUAAAACUAAAAGUUCAAUAUUUUACUAACAAAUUAUAUGGUUAUUGGCUUAUUGAGUUUUUAAAUCAGUGCAUCACUUUAAAAUAUAGUAACAAUAAAAAACUAAAAAAAAAUGCACAUACCAUGAAAUCUAAUAGUACAUUAGGAACAAAAGCAUAAGAAACAAGUUGUUUAAUCAAUAAAUUGAUUAGCCAAAAAAAUCAACAAAUUAAAAACCUGUCUUUUAUUUUUGCUGAAAAGUUUGGAAAAAAAAAUUCUAAAGAACACAUUCACUCCCAUUUCUGAAACUUAUCUAUUUUGGAAAUUGUGAUUUUAUAAUGGUGGAAUAAAAAAGAAAAAGAUAGAUCUUAUCAUAAUGCAUGGGUCUAAAUUAUAGUCCUUGCUUCAUACUUAGUCUUGGCAUCAAGCAUGCAAAUGUGUCAAUCUUUUCGCCCCCAUUUUUACUUCAAAAAAUUAAUGAUGUUAGCAAUUGCUUUAGUCUAAGUCAUUGAAAAGACUAAAAUACAAAAUAUUAAUUAAUAUACUUAAAAUCCAUUCCCAAUCUAUCAAUUUAAUUGGAAAACAAAAGAUAACCACCAUUGAAAAAAUUGCUAUUUUUUUUUGUCUUUUUUAAAAGAUAGAUUUGAUUUAAGCAAACUGCUAAGAAGAUUAUUUUUCAUAGAAUAAUGAUAGGGUAAGAAGACUUAGACAUUUGCAUGAUGGAAGACUUAAAAGUAUAAAGUAAAGAAAAGACUAAAUACCAAUAAAAAAAAAUCUCAUACUAUCAUUUUCUUUGUUAGUCAAAAAUUAGAAUAUCAAUUUUUUUUUGUAAAGCAUAAUUUUGUGAUGGGUGAUUCUAAAUACAACAUUAUUUUUUCUCUACAUCCACCUUUUUUUAAAAAAUUUUAAGUGAAAUUACUUCUUUACUCAUCUUGUUUUAAUUUUAAAACUUUUAAAUAUGCAUUUCUGAUGAGUUAUAUAAUUUACAAAAUUUUCAUAUCUGGUAAGUUAGAAAAAAGUUACAUUUAGGUUUAAAAAAAUAGUUAAGAAAAAAUAUCUUACAAAAUGUAUGAGUUUUUAAUAUUGUUUAUAAAAUUUAAAAACUCUAUUAAUCAUAUAUGAAGAAAUUAAAAUACAUAUAUAUAUAUAUAUAUAUUAUCUUGUAUACAUGAAAUUUUUUCAUUUUAAGAUUGUCUUUUUUUUUUUUUUUUAUAUGUGAGAUUGUCAAGAUUUGAAUUCUAAACUAUUGAAACUAAGAGUUUAGCAUUUUACUAUCAGACUAUAUGAUUAUUAGCUCAUUGAAUUUUUAAAUUAGGGGAUAUCUUUAAAAUAUAUUAACAAUAAAAAACUAAAAAAAUGCACAUACCAUGAAAUCUAAUAGUACAUUAGGAACAAAAGCAUGAGAAAAACGUUGCUUAAUCAACAAAUUGAUUGGCCAAAAAAAAAUCAACAAAUUAAAAACCUAUGUUUUAUAUUUGUUGAAAGGUUUGAAAAAAAAAAUGGUGGCAUAAGAAAGAAAAUGAUAGAUACUAUGGGAAUGUAUUGGUCUAAGUGUUAGUCUUUGCUCUAUACUUAGUUUUGGCAUCAAGCAUGCAAAUGUGUCAAUCUUUUUGCCCCCAUCUUUACUUCACAAAAAUAAUCUUAGUACUUCAGUCUAAGUUAUUAAAAAGACUAAAAUAUAACAAUAAUAAUUAAUAUACUCAAAAUCCAUUCCUUGUGUGCCAAUUUUAGUAGAAAACAAAAGACAACUUUCGUUGAGAAAAUUUUUUUUUUUUUUAUCUUUUUUAAAAGGCAGACUUGACUUAAGCAAAUUGCUAAGAAGAUUAUUUUCACAUAAAAAUGAUAGGGCAAGAAGACUUAGACAUUUGCAUGAUGGAAAGACUUAAAAGUAUAAAACAAAGAAAAUGAUUAAAUACCAAUAAAAAUAUAUCAUACUAUCAUCUUUUUUGUGAGUCCAAAAUUAAAAUAUCAAUUUUUUUAUAAAGUAGAAUUUUGUGAUGGGUGAUUCUAAAUAUAUCAUCAUUUUUUCUCUUUAUCAAUUUUUUAAAUUUUAAGUGAAAUUACUUAUUUACCAAUCUUGUUUUAAUUGUAAAGCAUCUAUAUAUAACUUAUUGGAUUUUCAUAUCCGACAAGUUAAAAAAAGUUACAAUUAGGUUUGGAAAAAAAUUAAGAGAAAAUAUCUUGCAUAAAGUAUGAGAUUUUAAUACCAUUUAUAAAAUUUAAAAUCUCUAUUAAUCAUAUAUGAUGAAAUCGAAAUAUAUAUAAAUUAUCUCGUAUACAUGAAAUUUGUGAAACUAGAAAAUUGUCCUUUUUUUUUUUUUGUAUGUGAGGUUAUCAAGAUUUGAACUUUAAACUACUAAAAUUAAGAGUUCAACAUUUUACUAACAAACUACAUGGUUAUUUACUCAUUUAAUUUUAAAUCAAAGAAUCUCUUUAAAAUAUAUUAACAAUAAAAAACUAAAAAAUAAAAAAAUGCACAUACCAUGAGAUCUAAUAGUACAUUAGGAAUAAAAGCAUGAGAAAGAAGUUGCUUAAUCAACAAAUUGAUUGGGAAAAAAAAUCAACAAAUUAAAAAUUGUCUUUAUUUUUGCUGAAAAGUUAAAAAAAAAAAAUCUAAAGAACACAUUCAUUCCCACAUCUAUAACUUGUCUAUUUUGAAAAUUGUGAUUUUAUAAUGGUGGAAUAAGAAAGAAAAUGAUAGAUACUAUGGGAAUGCAUUGGUCUAGAUCUUAGUCUUUGCUUUAUACUUAGUAUUAGCAUCAAACACGCAAAUGUGUUAGUCUUUUUGCCCCUAUCUUUACUUCACAAAAAUAAUAAUUUUAGUAGUUGUUUCAAUCUAAAUCAUUAAAAAGACUAAAAUAUAAUAAUAAUAAUUACUAUACUUAAAAUCCUUUCCUAGUUUGCCAAUUUAAUUGAAAAACAAAAGACAACCACCAUUUAAAAAUUGUUAUGUUUUUUUUUUUUUUUUUUAAGAGACAAACUUGACUUAAACAAAUUACUAAGAAGAUUAUUCUUCACAGAGUAAUGAUGGGGCAAAAAAACUUAGACAUUUGCAUGAUGGGAAGGCUUGAAAGUAUAAAGUAAAGAAAAGACUAAAUAUCAAUAUAAAAAUCUUAUACUAUCAUUUUCUUUGUGAGUCCAAAAUUAGAAUAUCAAUUUUUUUUAUGAAGUAUAAUUUUGUGAUGGGUGAUUUUGAAUACACCAUCAUAUUUUUCUCUACAUCCACUCUUUAUUUUUUAAAUUUUUAAGUGAAAUUAUUUAUUUACUCAUCUUGUUUUAAUUUUAAAGCUUCUAGAUAUGCAUUUCUUAAAUUAUAUAACUUAUUGGAUUUUCAUAUCCAAUAAGUUGAAAUACAUUUAGGUUUGAAAAAAAAAUAGUUACGAGAAAAUAUCUUGCAGAAAGUACGAGAUUUAAUGUUUAUAAAAUUUAAAAACUUUAUUAAUGAUAUGUGGAGAAAUAUAUACAUAUAUAUAUAAAUUAUCUCGCAUACAAGAAAUUUUUUAAAUUAGAAGAUUUUUUUUUAAUAUGAGGUUGUCAGGGUUUGAGCUUUAAAUUAUUAAAACUAAGAGUUAUACAUAAACUAUUAAAACUAUUAAAAAUAGCCCUUAUAUUAGUGUUUGGAUGUUUGUAUGUAUGUAUAUGGUAUACAUAAACAUAGGCUUAAAAAAUAUGCUACAUACGAUGUUUCUAUAAAAAUUCAUGUAAUUGCAAAAUAAAAUGUAAAUUUCAAGCACUAUGCAUACAUAAAUCAUUUCUAAAAAAAUUCUAAAAAUUAAAUUCAAUAAAAUUAGAAUAUAACUUAAUAACCAGAAAUAAAAAAUACUAAAAAAGGCAAAUACCGAGAAUAUAAAAUUACUCAUGCAAAAUUAAUGCAUUAGCGAACCAUAUGAAGUUCUUGGUUGUUUUGUCUUAUUUACAAUAUGUUUGAAUGGAUUUUUGCUAUUUGCUAUUUGCUUCCGAAAGCAAAAAAGAAAAAAUUGCAUUUCCAUAAGCAAUAAAAUUUUGAAAUAUGUAAAAUUUUUAUGAUUAAUUACAUAAUUCUACUUCUAUAUAGACUAAAUGUGUUAUAAUUGAUUUUAUAUUUUAAUUAUUUUUUUCUCUUUUAGAUCAAUCAUGAUAUUGUAUUUUUACCUUUGGCUUUUCCUUUCUAGUAAUUUUUCUAAAGGCAAAAAGUAGAAACUCCAACUAGAUGGGAUCUUAUAGUUUCUUUUAUUCUCUUAGUUGUUUCUUUUAAGCAGGUGGGAGACAUAAUGAAACUUUAACCUUUUGGUAUGGAGUCAAAAGUUGGCAAGUAUUACAUUUAUAAGUAUCCAUUACAAACAAAUUAAUCAUUUACCGAUUAAAAUUUUGGUUAAAACUUACCCUGAAUAAAAGAUUUUCAAGUACAAAACUGUUUCUACUUUAUAGGACUUUUAUGUGGAAGGGCAACGAUAUACUCACCCAUGCAGGGGCCAAAAUUUUAUUAAUGUGAGGAAAAUUAUACUGAAAAAUAUCAUUACUGAAAUUGGAAGGUGUUCAGGACUUCUGCUAAGCCCCUUCACUUCCCUAUUGGAAAAGUUGUUUUUAUUCUGGCGGAUGUCUUUGUUUUCUUUCAUCCCAAAUAAUAAAUCUAUGACCAUGAAAUUCUUAACGCUUUCUCUUUCUUCAUGUACUAAGAAGAGCAUCAAGGUUGGGAAUUUGUCACUUCUUUUCCCACAAAAUGACAAUGAAACCGUCAAAAAACAUUUGGAUUCGACAUCCGCAGUGCCAUGUGGAGAUUGGAAGUGUUAUGUUAAGUAUGAAGGAGAAGAUCAGACAUCAGUAAGCUCUCAGCACUGUCAGGUAAUAAAGAAUGAGACAGCUUCAACAUCCUUAUCAUCAGAAGCUGUCUUUAUGCCAUAUGUAUGUCAAAUUUUCAAAGGUGAUGAUGAUUCUUUGGAGUACUAUAGCAAUUUUGCACGGAAGAAUGGAUUUUCAAUAACAAAAGCACGCUCCAAAGAAAGCUAGAAUUUAGGGAUCUACCAACGAGAUUUUAUCUGUUAUAGUUAUGGGUUUAAUCAACCAAGAAAAAAGGCCAAUGUGGAGCAUCCAAGAGACUGGAAUUCAGUGCGAUGUGGAUGUGAUGCAAAAUUUUAUUCGACAAAAGAAAUCAUCCAUGAUGUUACUCAAUAGUGUGUUUCACAAUUUAGUAAUGUCAAUAACCAUGAAUUAUUGGAAGAUGACCAAGUAAGUUUGCUUCCUGCAUAUCGGAAAAUUCAGGAAGCAGAUCAGGAAAGAAUUCUUUUACUCUCCAAAGCUGGGUUUCCUGUCAAUAGUAUCAUGAAGGUUUUGGAAUUAGAAAAGGGAGUCCAGCCCGGGCAGUUGCCUUUUGUCAUGAAGGGUGCUAGGAAUUUUGUACGGACUUGUGCAAAGACUGUUCAAGAAAGUGACGUUUUGCUUACCGAGAAAAAAGAAAAUGAUACAUUCGAACUUCUUGAGGCCUGCAAGGCUACGCAGAGAGGGAUGCUAAUUUUGUUUAUGAUUAUACUACAGAUGAAAAUAGUAAGGUUGAAAAUAUUGCAUGGUCAUACGGAGAUUCUAUUCGUGCAUAUACAGUAUUUAGUGAUGCUGGUACCUUUGACACUACAUAUUGUUCUAUCCCUUACGGAUUGCUUCUUGAAGUAUGGUUUGGUCUAGAUAAUCGUGGAAAGCCAAUUUUCUUUGUAUUACUGCAAGAUGAAAGUGUGUCAGUCUUUUUGCCCCCCAUCUUUACUUCACAAAAAUAAGUAUAAAGCAAAGACUAAAACUUAUCAUAGAAAUUAAGGAAAGCUUUUAAAAAGAAAAAAAAAUAAUGAAAGAAAGAUAAGUCUUAGUCUUUGCUUUGUACUUAGUCUUGACAUGAAACAUGUAAAUGUAUCAGUCUUUUUGCCCCACCUUUACUUCACCAAAAUAAAUAUAAAGCAAAGGUUAAAACUUGUCACAGAAAUUAAGGGAAGUUUUAAAAAGAAAAGAAACCAAAGAAAGAAUGAUAAGUCUUAGUCUUCGCUUUAUACUUAGUCUUAACAUGAUGCAUGCAAAUGUGUCAAGUCUUUUUGCCCCCAUCUUUACUUCAAAAAAAUCACAAUAAAGCAAAGACUAAGACUUAUCAUAGAAAUUAAGGGAAGUUUUAAAAAGAAAACGAAAGAAAGAAUGAUAAGUCUUAGUCUUUGCUUUAUACUUAGUAUUGGCAUGAAGCAUGCAAAUGUGUCAAUCUUUUUGCCCCUAUCUUUACUUCACAAAAUUAAUAAUAUUAGCAUUUACUUUCAUUGAAAAGACUAAAAUAUAGUAAUAAUAAAUAAUAUACUUAAAACCACUUCUCAAUUUGUCAAUUUAAUUGGAAGACAAAAGAUAACCUCCAUUAAGUAAAUUAUUGUGUUUUUUUUUAUCUUUUUUAAAAAGAUAGAAUUGACUCAAGCAAACUAUUAAAAAAAUUAUUUUUCAUAAAGGUAAGAAGACAUAGACAUCUGCAUGAUGAGAAGACUUUUAAAAAUAUAAAGCAAAGCAAAGACUUAAUACCAAUAAAAAAAAUCUCAUUCUAUCAUUAUCUUUGUGAGUCCAAUUUUGUGAUUCACUUAUGACAUAUAAUAUUUAUAUAUUGGUAAUGUAUCAAAUAUAAAUUAUUUUUAAAAUAAAAUAUGCUGAGAGUUGGAAAAAUAAUGAUAUCUUUUUGUUUAUAUUCAUUAAUCACUCAAUCCCAUUAAUAUGUAUAUAAUAUAUAUUUUUAAAAUUUUAUUAUAUAUUAUUUAUAAUUAAUUUUAAAAAUUAUUUAUUAUAUUUACAAUACAAUAUGGUAUUUGAUAUUAGAUUCUCAAAUUAUAAUACCUAUUUCAAUUUAACAAUUAUACUGAUAUAUAUUUUUUUUGAACUUUUACUUCGCAGCUUAUAAAUAUUCAACGCUUGACAUAUAUGUAAUAUUUUUUAAGUUUAUCCUUUUAUUUAUAAUUAAAUUUACAAUAAAGUUUUAUCAUCUUUUAUAAUAAAGAAAUAAUUAAUCAUUUUAAUGGUAACGUCUAAAUGUAGGAUUCCUUUUCAAGCUCUUUAUUAUUGUUACACUUAAGUGGUAAUAUCAGCAGCCACAUAGUAGGCCUUACACAUGGAAACCUAGUUAGCCACGUCAUCACCCACGAGAUAAAAAAGGUUGAAUCAUACCAUACAUGUGAUUCACUACUCAACUUUCUUUACUCUCUUUAGUUGCUUCCUGCUUUCUCUCAUUUCCUUGUUUCUGAUAUACCUUACUAACUUAAGUGUUGGAACAUAUGCUCCAAAAUAACUUCUUAAUCAUUUGAUAGAACGUAUUAAUUUAUAGGCAGAAAGAGGAGCAAUUUUUCUUUCUUUAAUCAAUAAUAAUUAUUCAUUUGUUCUAUCAAUGUAUGAGUUAUUAACAAAAUAACUUUCUCUUUACUUUUUAUUUGAUCAAUAGGAGUUUUAGCAAACAUUAAGUAUUAAACCAUAAUUAUCUUUUAAAUGAAUCAAAAGAUAUUUUCUUAAGUUAGAUAAUGACACUUGACUACAUCAUAUCUAACACUUCCAUAUAUAUUUAAUUAAAUUUAGUUUCGAUAACUGAAUCUAAAUCUAUUUAAAUAACUACUAUUAUCCGCUAAAUAUCUAAAUCAUUAAAAUAUUUGAUUAUUUAAGUUUUUUUAUUAAGAUAUAAAAUAAACAAAAUUAAUUUUAAAAUUCAAGUUCAAUUUUAGUAAAUAUCAAAUAAAGGUUGUUUUUUAACAUUCAAAACUUUUCACAACUAUAAAAUUUUAUAUAUUUUGCAUAUAUAAAUGAAUAAUGAAUUUGGAUAUUUAAUACUAUCUAUUAAAAUGUAAACAGAUUUAGAUAUUUUAUAUUUGAGAAGUAUUAUAUGAAUUCUAUCAAUAUCCAUCACAAAUAUUAAACCAAUUAUCCAAAAUCAUAAUUAUCCAUUUAUAAAUUUUUUAUCAGAACAUAAACAAAUUAGAUAAUACCAAAUAUAUGAUUAUUUAGUAUAUAUUGUCAUCUCUAAAUGAAGUCCAAGAGAGAAGCAAUCAAUUAAAUCUAAUGAAAUGGAUGGAAAGGUGAAGCAUGGUCUAAAGCUAAGCUCCUGUCUCCCAUUAUUUCCUGUGUCUUGACAUCAAUAUACAAGCGAAAUCUGAAUGCGUGGAAACUCAGUUUCAGCACUUUCAUUUUGUUGGCUAGAUAUUUCCUGCAUGCUUUCAUUUUUUGCCUUUGUUUCAUUUCAUUCAUACUUUUGCUUUAGAUUUUCAGGUUAGGUGGGCAAUAUUUUUACAACAUGUGAUGCCAUAUUACAACAGGUUUUGCAAUAAAAAAAAAUGCACCAAACGGUAUCAAUAUGACUAAACGAUAUCCCUUUUUCUUAAUUAUUAAUCUAUUGGUGCCAGGAUGACUAAACUUCGCUGUAGACCGAAGAAUAAAGCAUACUAUACUAUUAUUUAGAAAGAAACAAUACAUAUGAGGAAGUUGAUCGAGAGAAGAAAAGGAAAUUGAUCGGAGAAGAAUAAGAAGAAGAAACAAACUUAUUAAUUAGAAUUAAAAAAAAAAAAACGUUCCAUCUAAUUCCAAAUAACAGAGUUGAGUUGAAUAAUAAAUCUUUGUAAGUUUUACUUCCUUUUAGAAUCAAGUUUAGUGAAAAUUUUCACUAUUUUUUUAGUAGCGGAGAGGAUUUUUUGCUACUAAUAUACACGUAUCACUAUCACCUAAUUUUGAGAAAAUUAAUUUUUUUUAUUUAUUUAUUUUUUGUACAAAUGCAUAAUAUGAAAUAAAAAGUGGGAAUAAAGGAAAGAAUAUAAUGAUAAAGAUUAAUUUACAAAAGCAAAACUAUCAGCUUUAUCAUCAUUGAAACCCAUUAUUCAUUCUUUAAAAUUCAAAUGGACAACCAAUAAAUAUGUUUGUCUUCCACCUAUUUUGAUUCAACUCUUAUAGAAAAAGCUCAAACUCAUGAUUUGUAUAAACACGUGGUUGGAAAAAUACAUUUGAACAUAUCCCUUGAGAUCAAGGGAGAUAUAUAGCUACAAAAACAAUAUGUAAUAUGAAAUACUUGUCUAUAAAUACCGUGUAUGCAAAUAUUAAACUCCAUAAUCUUCCCUUCAUUUUUUUUUCCAUAGAGAGCUAGCAAAACAUGAAGAAUCUUCAUAUCCUAAUUCCACUUUUUUUGCCUACCUUAUUUCUCUUCUCAUUCUCCUUAUCUCUUGUGCUAUCUUUUUCCCCUUCUCAUACUCAUCUUCAAAACCACUGCCUUGAUGACCAAAGAUCUGCUCUGCUACAAUUGCACCAUGAUCUGUACUAUGCCCCCAAUUUUACUUUCUCUUCCAAAGCUGAGCUUUGGGAUCUCAACACUGAUUGUUGCUUUUGGAAAGGAAUUACAUGUGAUGCUAUUGGUCAUGUGAUUGGGAUUGAUCUCAGUUAUAGAAACCUUUCAGGCAGCUUUUACUCCAUUUUCAAUCUCCAUCAUCUUCAACUCCUUAAUCUUGCUGGAAACAAUUUUAAUACCACUUUGUUUCAAUAUGAGUUUGAUAAACUCCCAAAUCUAACUCAUCUCAACCUUUCAAACUCAUGUUUCCAUGGCCAAAUUCCAAUGGAGAUUUCACAGUUAACAAGGUUAGUCUCUCUUGAUCUAUCUAAUCAAGAUUCUUGCUAUCUAAGAUACCCACUGCCUUCUGUAUUUAAACAACCUCUUAAACUAGAAAACCCAGACUUCAAGACAUUCAUCCAAAAUUUGAAGCCACUUACAGAGCUCUACUUGGAUAGUGUGUAUAUUUCAACUCAAAGUACUAAAUGGUGCGAAGCAACAUCCACGGUUCUUCGUAACCUGCAUGUGUUAAGUUUGUCAAAUUGUGGUUUGACAGGUCCAUUUUGCUCUUCACUCUUAAGACUUCCUUUUCUUUCUAACCUUUUCCUUGCUGGGAAUCCCAUCUCUUAUUUGCCUCCCAAUUUCUUGAAAAUCAAAUCUCCUUUGGUUUCUCUCAGUUUAGUGAGUUGCAAUUUGAGUAGGUAUUUUCCAACAGAAAUUCUCUUGUUGCCAAAAAUGAAAAGCAUUGACAUUUCAGAAAAUUACGCUCUUGGAGGUCAGUUGCCAGAAUUUCCAUUAAACAAUGCUUUACAGAUCUUAACGAUUUCUUCUACAAAUUUCAGUGGCAAACUACCAGAAUCAAUUGGUAAUCUCAAAUUCUUGACAAAUUUAGAUCUCAAUGGUUGCAAUUUCUUUGGACAAAUUCCAUCAUCAAUUGCAAAUCUUACUAACCUUGUGAAACUGGAUAUAUCCUAUAACAAUUUCAAUGGUUUUAUCCCUGCAUUUCAUAGAUCUGGAGUUCCAAAUCUUGCAUAUCUAUAUUUGCAGGGGAACCACCUCUCUGGAUCAAUACAUUCUUCUUUAUUUGCUCUCCCAUCAUUGCAGGCCUUGGAUCUCAGUGAAAAUCAAUUGUUUGGUGAAAUUGAUGAGUCCCUCAAUGCAUCUUCUUCAUUGAUUGAAACAUUGUAUUUAGGCUACAAUAGCUUUAGUUCCAUGAAGCUUGACAUGUUCUUCCAACUCAAGAACUUAAGGCGUCUUGACCUUUCCAAUAUGAGCUUAUCAAUUGAAAGCAAUAUCACAAGCCUGACUUUUCCCCAAUUAGAGGAGCUAGACCUAAGUUCAUGCAACUUUACUGAAUUUCCAGAAUUCAUCAAAACACAAGACAAGUUGGCUUCUCUAGAUCUCUCUAACAACCAAAUCCAUGGUUUUGUGCCUAAUUGGUUGUGGAAGACCACUCUUUCAUGGUUAGACAUUUCUUUUAAUGCGAUUGACUUUCCAAAAGAGAUUCCUUUUGGUGACGCAAAUUCCUCUUUUCCAAUGUUGAGUAGUUUAGAAUAUCUUGACCUUUCAAAUAACAAAAUAAGUGGUGCAGUACCAAACUGGGUGUGGAAGAAAAGUUUGUGGCAUCUGGAUCUUUCUAACAAUUCUCUCUCAUCUUUGGACCAAUUUUCACUAAUCCAAUCUCAAACUUCUUCACAAGGCUUUUUAGCAAGAUCUAUUUGCAAUUUGAGUCAACUUGAGAGGUUUAAUGCGUCCUUUAACAAAUUAAGCGGGCCAAUCCCAAGUUGCUUGGGCAAUAUCAGUACUCUCAGCUAUUUGGAUCUAAAAAAUAAUAAUUUCAGCGGCAGCAUACCAGAUUUUGCAAAAGCAACCCAAUUAAUUUUGCUUCAACUCAAUGACAAUAUAUUGGAAGGGAAGUUGCCAAGGUCAUUAGCCAAUUGCACAAUGCUCAAAGUUUUAAACCUUGGAAACAAUACUCUGUAUGACACAUUCCCUUUAUGGUUGGGAAAAUUGCCUUGGUUGGUGGUUCUUAUAUUGCGAGUAAAUAGGUUUUAUGGUCCAAUUAAAAAUGUGAAAAAAAAUUUUCAAGACUUAGAUGUUCUAGACAUUGCUUUCAAUAAUUUUUCUGGUCAAUUACCAGUUCAAUAAAGUGUUUAUAAAAUUGAUGUAUGUUCAAAUUAUUCAAUACUUAAAAACUAAAAAAGUAAAAACUAAUAACAUGUUAUGUUAACUGUUGAGUUAAGAAUAAUCUAGUGCCCACUUAACAUAAGAUCAUCUUUAAGGGUCCUUUUGGAUUUCUUAGUAUAUUUGGUGCGAUAGAAUUUAGGCUUAAAUACGGAUUUAUUAGUAUUUUUAAUUUUGUAAAAAUUUAUUUUUCUUUUCAUUCAAAUUGUUAUUAAGAUCUAACACAAUAUUUUAUUAUCCUUUCUAUUAUAAAAGAAAAUUAUAUUUUGGUACAUAAUGCUCAAUAGAUAACAUACUUUUUACAUAUAAAAAAGAAAUAAUGAAUUUAAGUAUAAUCAUAUUUUGUUUUAAUUCUAUUUCAAAAUUUAUAUUAACAUUUAAAAUUUAUAUCUUUUUCUUUUGAAUUUAAUUUCUAAACACAGAUUUAAUUAACCAAAAAAACUCUCUUUCAUUGAUCUAACAACAACAAUGAAGAAGCAAUCAUAGAGGAAAGAAAAACUAAUACCUUGAAAACAAAAAUAAGAAUUUAGGGCUUUUAUCAAAAUUUUUUUCAAAAAGAUUGUAAAAAAAUUCAUACAUAUAAAUAAAAUUAAUAAUCAACCAAAAAAGCAAAAUUAAUUACCCGAAUUCGUAAUGAUAGGCCUAUUGGAUCAAAAGACCUGGCUUUUCUUAAAUAGGCUGAGUCCAUUAAUACCAAAAUGGGCCUUUCUCCUGACUUUUUCAAUAAAACACAAUGAUCGAUUCCCAAUUCCGCAAUUUUUUUAAUCAUAAACUGAUUGAAGAAAAGUAUGCAAAGCAAUAGGAAAGCAAAAUUAAAAAAAAAAAAAAAAAAGUUGCCAAAAGGGGUUUAAAGUUAGGGGGUUUUAAUCAAUUUUUCCCCGUCUUUUUCUUUUUUCUUUUUCCAGGUAAAAAUUUCCUCAUGCCCAGUUUUAUUUUCAAUCUUAAAAAAUUCUUUUUUUUUUUACUGUAAAAUAUGGGUAUAUUUUUAUUGAUUUUAUCUCUUGUUUUUAGAGUGACACUUAAAUUCGAGAGCUGGAGCAAUUGUAGCUAAUUUUUGGAAAUCCCACAUUGGCAAAGGCAGGGUAUUUCAUUUUUUUUUUAUUUCUUUUUUCUAUGAUCUUUGUUAGACUAUCACUGUGUAGAAAAUUCUAUUUUUAGCUAAGCAUAACACUUCUUUUUUUUUUUUUCCAAUAUUUGUGUUUUUUAGGCUUUAUUAUGUGUUGAGUCUGUUCUGUUUUACCCAUAUUUCAUUUAUGUUUAUGAUUUGAAUUGAGUUACUUUGUGAAAAGAAACAUUGAGUUACGCCAAGUACUUUGUGAAAAUGAAUAUUAUGUCAAAUUUGGUGCAAAAGAAUAAUUAUUGCAGUUUUGUAUCUCUUGUUAUUAUGGGGAAGAAUGGGAAAAAGAAUUAAAAUGAAAUAGUUGGGUGGAAAGUAUUAGCUUUUAUGGACUGCUAACUUGUAAUCAUCAUUUCUUUAAUUGUACAUCUUGCAUUUUCCAACAAUUGAAUGGAUUGAGUAUUUGGGGUUUCCAUGUCAUUAGUUUCAAGUAUCUGGUAUAGAUAAGUUUCAUCAAUGUUUUCUAUUUCCAAAAUAAAUUAAUAUAUAUGACAUAACAGGUUCUUUAUAUGACAUAAAUUUACUCAAAAUUUAUUAAGUUUAUCAUAGACAUAAAAAAAAAAGUUUUUUUUUUUAUAAAGAACAAAGAAAGAAGGAUAAGUCUUAGUCUUUAUAUUUAGUAUUGACAUCAAGUAUGUAAAUGUGUGGUCUUUUUUCCGUUAUCUUUACUCUACAAAAAUAAUAAUCAUAGCAAAUGCUUCAGUCUAAGUUAUUAAAAAGACUAAAUAUAACAAUGAUAAUUAAUAUAUUUAAAACAAUCUGCUAAUUUAAUUGGAAGACAAAUAAUAACCCAUAUGAAUAUUAACAUCCACACAUUAAUUAUUAAUAAAAUAUAAAUAUUUUUUAAAAGUAUACCACUUAUGCCUUCAAUUUAAUAUGUUAAUGAUAUAAAUUAUGUAAUUUUUAAUGAUUAUUUUUAAUAUUUAAUUUUGAUUUUAUUUCAUUAUUAGAACUAUUAUUGAUAGAAUUAUUGUUAUUAACAAAAUAUAAUUAUAUUGAUAUUUGCAUGUAUUAAAAUAUUCAAUUAAUAUUAAUUAUUAAAAUCAUCAAAUAAUUAAUUAUCUCACAUUAUAAUUUUUCUAUUAAUUCUUUUGAAUGGGUUGUGGAGGGCAAAAUGAAAAAGUGGGUUUAGGCCUUAAUUAGCCCUUACCAUGUGAAGCAACAAAUCCCUCGUAGGAAAAACAUAUACGACAAAGCUUCAAAUCUAUUGGAUUAUUAACUUUCUUUUUUAAUUUGGGAAAAUGACCUUAGAACCGUGCUUCAAAGAAGAGUGUGUAUCAAUUAUUUGAGUUAAAUGCUCGAAUGCCACUAAUUUUUAUUUUAAAUAUAGAAUAUAUAUAGGGAAAUUACUAAUUAUAUUGUCAAUAUAGUUUUUUAACUUUAUAAGCAAGAUUUAAGGAUGUCAAUGGAUAGAAUAUGGAGUGGAUAGAGCAUUCUCUAUCCUAUUUCUGAAUUUAAUAUUAUAUCCAUCCUUGUGUUAUGCUUUAACUUAAGAAAAUGAUAAGUCUUUAUCUUUGCUUUGUACUUAGUCUUGGUAUGAAGCAUGCCAAUGUGUCAGUCUUUUUGCCUCCAUCUUUACUUUUAUAAAAAUAAGUAUAAAGCAAAGAUUAAGACUUAUCAUAGAAAUUAAGAAAAAUUUUUUAAAAGAAAAAAAAUGAAUGAAUGACAAGUCCUAGUCUUUGCCUUAUACUUAGUGUUGGCAUGAAGCACAUGCAAAUGUGGUAGUCUUUUUGCUCCGAUCUUUACUUCACAAAAAAAAAAGCAUAAAAUAAAGAAUGACUUAUCGUAGAAAGUAACGAAAGUUUUUAAAAAGAAAAAAAAAAAGAAAGAAUAAAUUAUAACUCUUAGUCUUUGCUUUAUUCUUAGUUUUGGCAUGAAACAUACAAAUGUGUCAAUCAUUUUGCCUCAUCUUUACUUCACAAAAAUAAGUAUAAAGCAAAGAUUAAGAGUUAUCAUAGAAAUUAAUGGAAGUUUUAAAAGGAAAAGUAAAACCAAAGAAAGAAUGAUAAGUCUUAGUCUUUGCUUUACACUUAGCCUGGGCAUGAAGCAUGCAAAUGUGUCAGAUUUUUUGCCCCCAUCUUUACUUAACAAAAAUAAGAAUAUUAGUGUUUACUUCAGUCUAAGCCAUUGAAAAGAUUAAAAUAUAAUAAUAAUAAUUAAUAUACUUAAAAUUCAUUAUUAGUCUUUCAAUUUAAUUGGAAGACAAAAGAUAACCUUCAUUAAGUAAAUUAUUGUAUUUUCUUGUCUUUUCUAAAAGAUAAAAUUAACUUAAGCAAACUACUAAGAAGAUUAUUUUUCAUAAAGUAAUGAUGGGACAAGAAGAUUUAAACAUUAACAUUAUGUGAUGACUUAAAAGUAUAAAGCAAAAAAAAAAUACUAAAUACCAAUUCAAAAAUCUCAUACCAACAUUAUCUUUGGAAGUCUAAAAUUAAAAUAGCAAUUUUUUUAUGAAGUAUAAUUUCGUGAUUCACUUAUAGCAUAUAAUAUUUAUAUAUUGAUAAUGUAUUAAAUAUAAUUUUUUAAAAAUAAAAUAAGUUGAGAGUUUGAAAAAUAAUUAUAUCUCUUUGUUUACACCCAUUAAUCACUCAAUCCCAUUAAUAUUAGAAUAUUUUUUAAAAAUUUUAUUUUAUAUUUAUAUAUUAUUUGUAAUUAAUUUUAAAAAAAUAUUUAUUAUAUUUCCAAUACGAUGUGAUACUUGAUAAUAAAUUCUCAAAUUACAAUACCUAUUUUAGUUUGACAAUUAUACUGAUAUAUAUAUUUUUUGAACUUCUACUUUGUGGCUUAUAAUUAUGCUGAUAUUCAAGUUCGAUAUUUAUAUAUAUAUAUAUAUAUGUAACUCUUUUUUUUAAGUUUAUCAUUUUAUUUAUGAUUAGAUUUAUAAUAAACUUUUAUCAUCUUUUAUAAUAGAGAACUUAUUAAUCAUUCUAAUGGUAAGGUCUAAUGUAGGAUUUAGUCGGUGUCAUUUUCUUUGUUCAUUUUUAAUGAAAAUGUUAUUAUCUUUUAACCUCUCCAUUAUUGUUACACAUAAGUGGUCAUAUCAACAGCCACAUAGUAUAUCUUAUACAUGGAAACCUAGUUAGUCGGAUCAUCACCCACAAGGUAAAAAACGUAAAAUCAAACCAGACAGGUAAUUCACUAAACUCUCUUUAUUCUAUUUAACUGCAUCCUGCUCCCUAUCAUUUCCUUUCUUUUGGUAUACUUUACUAAUUUGAGCAUCAAAGUAUAUGCCCUGAAAUAACAUCUAGAUCAUCAGAUAGAACACAUUAAUUUAUAGGCAGAGAGAGGAGCAAUUUCUUUCUUUAAUUAUAAUCAUUAUAAUUCAUAUGUUCCAUCAACAUAUGAGUUAUUAAUAAAAUUAACUCUUUAGUUUAUAUUUGAUCAAUAGGUGUUUUAGCAAACAAUAAGUAUUAAAUCAUAAUUGUCUUUUAAAUUAUGAUUCAAAUAAGUUAUGGAAUUAAUUUUGAUCCAAGGAUCUAAAAAAAUAUAAGAUUACAUUAGUGUAAGUUGAUCCCUAUUAUAUAUAUAUAUAUAUAUAUGUUUUUUUUUUACAAAAUUGAUAUAUAUAUAUAUAUAUACACGUGUGUUUAUAUAUAUUUAUGUGUAAAAAGUAUAUGUUUAUAUUAUAAACUUUUACGAUUAUAUAUAUUUAUUCAAAUAAGUAUAAUGAUAGAAAUAUCACUUUUAAGUUAUAUAAUACAAUAACAAAACAAGUUUAAUAAAGAUGGUUUUAGGUUAAAUUGGAUUUUACCUAAUUGAAAACUUGCCAAUUUGCCAUUCGCAUAAGUUUACCGACAAAAGAGAUUAAGAUUAGGAAAAGAAAAUUUAUAAAUACUGAAAAUUAAACCUUAUUUUACUAGAAUUCACUUUUUAAGAGAGAUAAAUAAACCAUUUGAGUAAAGCUUUAUGUUUUUAUUUUAAUUCACAUACAUAAACNNNNNNNNNNNNNNNNNNNNNNNNNNNNNNNNNNNNNNNNNNNNNNNNNNNNNNNNNNNNNNNNNNNNNNNNNNNNNNNNNNNNNNNNNNNNNNNNNNNNNNNNNNNNNNNNNNNNNNNNNNNNNNNNNNNNNNNNNNNNNNNNNNNNNNNNNNNNNNNNNNNNNNNNNNNNNNNNNNNNNNNNNNNNNNNNNNNNNNNNNNNNNNNNNNNNNNNNNNNNNNNNNNNNNNNNNNNNNNNNNNNNNNNNNNNNNNNNNNNNNNNNNNNNNNNNNNNNNNNNNNNNNNNNNNNNNNNNNNNNNNNNNNNNNNNNNNNNNNNNNNNNNNNNNNNNNNNNNNNNNNNNNNNNNNNNNNNNNNNNNNNNNNNNNNNNNNNNNNNNNNNNNNNNNNNNNNNNNNNNNNNNNNNNNNNNNNNNNNNNNNNNNNNNNNNNNNNNNNNNNNNNNNNNNNNNNNNNNNNNNNNNNNNNNNNNNNNNNNNNNNNNNNNNNNNNNNNNNNNNNNNNNNNNNNNNNNNNNNNNNNNNNNNNNNNNNNNNNNNNNNNNNNNNNNNNNNNNNNNNNNNNNNNNNNNNNNNNNNNNNNNNNNNNNNNNNNNNNNNNNNNNNNNNNNNNNNNNNNNNNNNNNNNNNNNNNNNNNNNNNNNNNNNNNNNNNNNNNNNNNNNNNNNNNNNNNNNNNNNNNNNNNNNNNNNNNNNNNNNNNNNNNNNNNNNNNNNNNNNNNNNNNNNNNNNNNNNNNNNNNNNNNNNNNNNNNNNNNNNNNNNNNNNNNNNNNNNNNNNNNNNNNNNNNNNNNNNNNNNNNNNNNNNNNNNNNNNNNNNNNNNNNNNNNNNNNNNNNNNNNNNNNNNNNNNNNNNNNNNNNNNNNNNNNNNNNNNNNNNNNNNNNNNNNNNNNNNNNNNNNNNNNNNNNNNNNNNNNNNNNNNNNNNNNNNNNNNNNNNNNNNNNNNNNNNNNNNNNNNNNNNNNNNNNNNNNNNNNNNNNNNNNNNNNNNNNNNNNNNNUGAGGAAAUUUUUACCAGGAAAAAGAAAAGAAGAGGGGGAAAAAUUGAUUGAAAAUCCCAUAACUUUAAACCCCUUUUGACAACAAUUUUCUUUUAUUUUGCUUUUCUAUGUUAAUUGCUUUGCGUAUCUUUCUUCAAUCAGUUUAUAAUUCCAAAAAAUUACCAAAUUGGGGAAUCGAUCAUUUGUGUUUUAGUGCAAAGGAAAGCCCGAUUUCGGUACUAAUGGACCCAGCCAUGUAAGAAAAACUGUGUCUUUUGACCCAAUAGGCCUAUCAAUACCGGUAAUUAAUUUUGCUUUUUUUGUUGGUUAUUAAUUUUAUUUAUAUGUAUGAAUUUUUUUUUACAUUUUUUUUUUGAAAAACAAACAUUUUUAGAGCCCAAAAUUCGUAUUUUUGUUUUUCGAGGUAUUAGUUUUUCUUUUCCUCUAUGAUUGUUACUUUAUUGUUUUUGUUUGAUCAAUGAAAGAGGAUUUUUUUUGUUAAUUAAAUUUAUUUUUAGAAAAUUUGAAUUAAAACAAUUAUAUAAAUUUCAAAACUUAAUAUAAAUUUUGAAAUAGAAUUAAAACAAAAUUUAAUUAUACUUAAAUUCAUGAAUUUUUUUUUAUACAUAAAAAGUAUGCCAUCUAUUGUGUAUUAUAUACCAAAAAUAUAUAUAUUUUUUUUGUAUAAUGGAAAGAGUAAUAAUAUUGUGUUAAAUAUCUUUUUGUUUUCUUAAUAAAAAUUUGGAUAAGGAGUGAAAUUAAUUUUAGUAAAAUUAAAAAUAAAGACAAUGAUAAAAUUAAUUAUUGUAGUAGUGAAAUUAAAUAUGAUAAUUGUAAAAUUAAAAUUAAAGAUGAAAUAUAUCUUAAAUACAAACACAAAGAUGACAAUAAAUUUAUAUUUUAGCCUGAAUUCAAUGGCAUUGAGUAAGGAAUCUAAAUGGGCCUAAAUAGUUUUUUAGAGAUGAUCUAAUUUUAAAUAGACAUCAAAUUAUUCUUAAUUUAAUAUUACUUUCUAUUUUUAAGUAUUGAACAAUUUGAACAUACAGCAACUUCAUUUUCAUUGAGUUUUAUUUAUAUGUAUUUUUAAGAAAAUUGAAGUCACUUUUUCAGUUUUUUAUUUAGUUCCUCACCAUUGCUUUAUUACAAUAAAAAUUAUGUAAUUUAAGAAUAAAUAAUUAUUCUUAAAUUACAAAAUUUUUAUUAUGAACGUACACAUUUGAAGGCAUAGAUGGUAUACUUUCAAAAAAAUAUUUGUAUUGUUAUUAAUAACUAAUGCGUUCAUAUUAAUAUUCAUAUACGUUAGCAUUAAUGUUUAUGUUAUCAAAUUAUUUAUUUGCAAAGUUUGAUUCAAUUAUUAAUAACAAAGCUCACAAUUUAUAUCAUAUUUUGGUCAAAUUUAUUUUUAAAUGAGUAUAUUGUAUUUGUAACAUAUAUUAUAUAGAUCGUAUAUAGGAUUUAAAAUCAAUCAUAAUUACUAUAUUUCUAAUAAUAAUUAAUAUUAAUUAAAUUUUUUACUUUUAUUCACAUUAAUUUUAUUAUUGUUGAUAUGAUUUUCGUAUUUAUUCAUUUUUUUCCAAUGAAAUCAUUAUUCAUUUACUUAUAUAACAAAGUUAAUAGGAAUUUUAUAACAUAUUACUUAAUUACAAUCUUUUUUAAAAAUUAUAUUUUUGAAAAAGUUCAAAUAGCUAUUUUAUUAUUUAUUUCUCCCACACCCUAUUUUCCCUCUUUCCUUUUUCUCUAUUCAAUUUUGUGAUGCCAUUCAAUUAACUGGUUGAACUUUAAUAAUAUGUAUAGAUAGAUAAAAAGAAGAAGAUAGGAUACAGAGAAGUUGCUGAAAUUUUGAGCACCAGUCAUAGUUACAGUAUAUUAUGCACAAAAAAUUAUCAUUGUACAAAAGGAAAAAGGGAAGUAAAGGAGGAAAUCUCACAUUCAAUAUAACCUCAAAAUAUUAUUUAUCAAUGCUUCUUAAUUUUGUAUUAUUAUUAACAUUGAAUUUGCUGCCUUCAAAAUCCAAAUCACUCUGGUGGCUCCAGCAGUGAGGAGAUGAGAUGAAUGAACCAAGCAGCGGGCCGUAACUGGCUUCUCUUUUAUCUCAUCUUCUUGAAAAUCAUCUUUUUUUUUUUUUUUUUUUUUAUGUUCCCUUAACUAAAACCCCAAUAAUUGCUUUCACUUACUGUUAAUGUUUAGCUCUUAUGAUGGUAACUUCAGAGCCAUAGUUGUAUGAACUAAAGACAGGUUCAUUUGGUUUAGGAAUCCGAAUGUGGUGCUGUCCAUAGCAUAGAAAGCAUUCCCUUGAGAACUUCAAUCGAAAAAGGUUAUUAAAAUAACUUAGCAUACUAAACUUCCACAAUGAUAUAGAACUCUUUUGUAUUUUUUACGACUAAAAUUUUUUAAACAUUUUGUGCAAUGAGGUUAAUGUUUUCUUGUUAAUGCUUACGUUUUAGAUUAGGCAGGGGAUUUGAACAACAAGAAUCCAUUCCAGGGAGCAAGAAUACAGGCUAGAUGAUCAGGAGAAGCUUCUAGCGGCAAAUGUCUUAAGCACUAACUUAAGAACACAGGCAAUGAGGCUUUCAUCAACCCCAAGUCAUCAAAUAUCCUCCACCCGCACAAAACUUCCAAAAUAAAUGCCGAGCUAAAACUCAAAACAGGCUAAAUUGAAAAUUGCAGAAGGCUUGACAAAAUGACCAGUGAUUCAAAGCAUAUCAUGUCUUCAGAGGUCCAUGAUUUCUGACAUGAAUUGUUCAAAGAAGAGGAUUGGCUGCCAAGAUGCAUGGAGUUUAGUCCCUGAAAGUAAAAUGUAAUUAGAUGUUUUAAGAGAAAGUGGGGAAAAUAUAAUCAAGAUUUUAUCAUUCCUUUAUGUCCAAAAAAAGAUUCAAUUAUUUGAAUUUUAUAACUUUAUUUAUUAACUAUGGAUUAGUAGUUAUAUCAGAACAAUGCUUGGCAGAUCAUUUUGUAUAUUUGACUGUAUAUCUAGUAAUGAAUGACCAUUUCUCCUAUUUGAUAGAGAACAAAUUACCGAAAGGAUUUACUUGAAUCAUGAAGAUGUGAGUAUAUGUAGGUCAUCAUCCAAGCAACCAAGGUACUCUCUUGGUAGUGGUCCAUGGUGGAUACCUGAUGCAAUUUUCAGUCCUACCUUGGGUGGUUUUCACUUUCAAAUGUGAGUCAUUAGUACCUCUUUCAUGCAACGACUUGAAGUUGAGAGGGAAAGGCCAUUUGCUUGUGCCUGGACAUAUGAUGCAGCUGAAGCAGCAAUUAUGUAAGUAACAUCUACGCGGAAUAAGCCUUUAUUCAGAAAUCAUAUGCUUUUCCGAACUGUAUUCUGGCAAUCCAUGCUUUCUUUUCCAAGAAAUAUGUUGGCCCUGGUAUCUUCUCAAACCAUUGGCCUGAAGCUGAGAAACAAAAAUCAAGGCUUUUAUACUCAUAAGCUCUAUUUUAUAGAACUAUAGCUUACAAGAAAACAUUUAUUUAUUUAUUUAUUUUUACUGUGUGUGGUGAGUGCGGAAGCAGAGAAACAAUUGAUGAUUUUGGAUUAACAUGAAGAAAAUACUCUAAAGUAAUUAGCUAUAAAAUGUUAGGGAAAACCUAUCAAUUGGCAGUACAGAUGCAUUCCUGGAUCUCUUAUAUGAAAAUAAGCCACGUCGGAUAAAAGGGCAGCAACAAAAAUGAUUUUGGCUUCGAAGAAUAACACCUACACCAGAAAUCUUGAAAAGGACUCACACUUCAUCUCCAUUUGCAUCAUGAUCAAGGACUCUGUCUCAACAAAUUUCUCAACAAAUCUUGAGAUUUCCACCCAAUUCUCUAUUCUCUUGUUCAUUAUUUCAGGCUCAGUCACUGCUCUACAUGCCAUGUAGCUUGGUUUAGACUUCAGAUUCCUAAACUACAAAAUGGUAAAAAAAUUACUGAUAAUGAACGGCCUAAACGAAAGUUGAUGAAGAAUGACAAUGCUACAAGAACAAAUAUGACAUGAUAAUGAAUUAUUAGGCAAUCAGAUAGAACUUUUUAGAUAGACCAACCAUGCAAAAUCGGAAAUAUACCACAAUUAGUAACAACACAUUUGGGUUAUUAACUAUUCCAAAAUGCUUACUUGUUGAGACUGAAAAUUGAAUUCUGAUGGAAUCACCUUGAUCUUCUCCUAUUCCUUUUGUAGCAGUCAAGCCAUUUGUUUCCCAUCUCAUUCAGCACUGUAUAUCCAAUAGAUAAUCCAAUCACCAAUCCACAUGCAUACCCAAUCAAUACGAUUCUCCAAUCAGAUAAACCAUCUAGCCAUGAAUCUACAUCUUCCAUUGGAGGAGGCAUUGGAACAGCAGCUCCAUUGCAUUUCCUUGUCAAAGGUGGCCCACAUGAUCUUGGGUUCCCUUUGUAAGAAUCGUUCGAAAAUGUACCGAAUUGAUUGCUUUGCUGUAUGCUUCCUUCAAAGGGAAGCAUUGACAUUUCAAACAAUGACCAUCUGAUGGAAGAGUAAAUAAAGAAGAAUGUAUUGAUUCAGAGAGGCGGUUCCCCGACAAAGAAAGAUGCAAGAUUUGAAACUCCAGAUCCAUGAAAUGCUGGGAUAAAAUCACUGAAAUUGUUAUUAGAUAGAUCCAGUUGCACAAGGUUAGUAAGAUUUGCAAUUGAUGAUGGAAUUUGCCCGGAGAAAUUUGUAGUCAAAAUCGAUAAGAUCCGUAAAGCAAUGUUUAACAAAAUUCUGGCAACUGACCCAUCAGAUGGUCAUUGUUUGAAAUGUCAAUGCUUUGUAUUUUGGCAAUGAAAGAACUUUUGUUGGAAAAUACACACUCAAAUUGCAAUUCACUAAACUGAGAGAAACCAAACUAGAGGAAAUUUCCAAGAAAUUAGGAGGCAAAUAAGAGAUUGGAUUCCAACCAAGGAAAAGUUUGGAAAGAAAGAUAGUCUUGAGAGUGAAGAACAAAAUGCACUUGUCAAAUUACAUUUCGAUAGACUUAAAAUAUGCAAGUUAGGAAGUGCUAUGGAUGUGGCUUCACACCAUUUACUACUUUGAGUUGAAAUGUUCACACUAUCUAGACGUUUGCAAGGGGUCUUAAAUUUUGGAUUAAUGUCUUGAAGUUUGGGUUUUCUAGUUUUAGAGGUUGUUGAAGUUCAAAAGGCAAUGGAUAGUAGUAGAAGUUAUUGUAUGGAUGGAGAAUUUGGUUAUACCGUUGAUAGCAAGAAUCUUGAUUAGAUAAAUCAAGAGAGACUAACCUUGUUAAGUAUGAAAUCUCCACUAGAAUUUUGCUAUGAAAACAUGAGUUUGAAAUGUCAAGAUGAGUAAAAUUUGAGAAUCUGUCAAACUCAUAUUGAAGCAGAGUGAUAUUAAAAUUGUUCCCAACAAAAUUAAGGUAUUGAAGAUGAUGAAGAUUGAAAAUGGAGUGAAAGCUACCAAAAAGGUUUUUGUAACUGAAAUCGAGCUCAAUCACAUGACCAGAAGCAUCGCAUGUAAUUCCUUUCCAAUAGCAACAAUCUAUAUUGGGAUCCCAAAGCUCAACUUUGGAAGAGAAAGUAAAAUUUGGGGCAUAGUUUAUUCUUACAUUACAUUACAUUCACAUUUUCUGCCCAACACUUGGCAACAGUAUCCUAAAUAAUGUUGAAGACAAAUGGACAGGUGAUCAUCUUCAAACCGAUUUGUCUUUUUUUUUUUUUAUAAUGAUUAUUUAUUUAAUUAACAUUAAUGUCUAUGUACGCGAGCAUAUAAUUAAAUCUAUUAAGAAGAAGUUUUGGAUUUAUAUAUGUAUGCUGAAAGCUAUUUGAACCAGAAAUAAAUUUUAAAAAAUAGUGCAAGAAAAUAUCAUUAAACAAUGCAUGGGUUCAAUCCUUUAAGGGCAUUCAAAUUGGAAAUUGAUCAAGCAAUUCCUGAAGAAAUGCACUCUUUGAUAUUUUGUGUAUCCUACCAACUACCACAUUUUUCCAUUGGAGACAAGAGAGAGUUCCAAUCUAUCAUAAUCAAAACUUGAUGUAUCAGCUAGAUAUAUCAUGUUUAUUGUUGUGGAAGUUACAAGCAAGUUCUUUUUAAAAAUAAUAAAAUAUAACCACAUAAAGUUCUUGCAAUACUUUUAAUUCUAAAUAAAAAAAGACCCAAUGUUAGGAUAUUUUAGAUGUAUACCAUUAUUUCUGUUGCCCUCUUGCAUCCACAGGCAUGGUUUCUUGAUUUUGCAAAAAUAUGGAGCCCAUUUUUUUUUAACUUGAAACUAUUAAAAAUUAAAUUUUAUUUUUUUACUUAAAACUGUUAAAAAUUAAAAUUUAAUAUUUAAAGCAUCAAAUAUUUUAUAAAUAGAUUACAAUUUUUAUUGACGGAACACAUUAUUUCAAGAUAAAUUAAUAAUCUAAAAAUAUGUCUUUGUUGAUUUCAAAAACCAUAAUAUUCGUUUUUUUAGCUUAGUACUAAGAGAGUGAUUUAAACGUGUAUGAAAGGGUUGAAUAUGCAACCUAUUCACUUAUCAAAUCUUAUUUAACGAAUUUGAUGAUUACUUUGCAGAAUGUUUAGCCACACAAUGUUUUUAGUCUCACAUUUUGCUUGAAAUGUAGAGAUUAUGAUUAAAAUCCUGUUACGAAACAAUCAAUUAAUAAACUAAUCAGCCUGUCAAGAUAAAAAAUCUGACCGGCCGACUGACUAACUUGUAAUAAUGAAUUUGGUCAAUGCAUUUUCUUUUUCUUAUUUUUAAGUACAAAUACUUAAUUACUAUGUAUUAAUUGAUGAUAAAAUUUAAAUAUGAUAAUACUAAAUACAAUACAGUCAUAUAAUUCAAAAUAAAACAUAAAAGCAAUACAAUUCAAUAUGUAAACAAAAAUUAUAUGAGUUCAAUAAAAAUAAAAAUAUAUAUUUUAUAUUUGAUUUGUUAAUAUGAAUUAUGACAUAAUAAUUUUUUUAUUUUAUAUAUUUAAUAUAAAAUAAAUAUGACAUUAAUACAUAAAUGAGCAAAUCUAAUACAUAUCCUAGUUUGCAGGCAAAUUUUGUUUUUAGUUUUAAAAGCAAUACUAAAUUUAAAAAGGCAAUGAGACGCUGAAAGUUGAAACCUUCUUGAAUUAAAUUUCAAAUGAAAUUACUUAAGUCAAAUAUCAUUUAGUGUAGAGAUAUAAUAUAUGUAUAUAUAUAUGUAUAUAUAUCACACUUAUAAUGCAAGAGGGUAUUUAAAUAAUUUUUUUUGUUUAGGCAAUUAACUACAGCUCAAAGAAUCGACAAAAAAACUUCGGAGUUUUUAAGUAUUCUAAAAUACUUAUCAAAUGACUUUGAAACUUGAAUUUUGAUGGAGUCACCUAAAAGAUUUUCUCCAUUUUCGAUUCCGGUUCCAUGUCAACCUGUCAAUCCGUUUGUUUCCCAUUUCAUUCAGCACUGUAUAUCCAAUAGAUAACCCAAUCACUAAACGACAUCCGUACCCAAUCAAUACGAUUUUCCAAACAGAUAUACCAUCUACCUAGGAAUCUUCAUCUUCUUAGGGUGUGGCAUUCCAAGAUCAACUUCAUUGCGUUUCCUUGUCAAAGGUGGCGCACACAAUCUUGGGUUCCCUUUGUAAGAAUCGUUUGAAAAUGUAUAGAAUUGUAGCUUUGUGGUAAGCUUCCCUCAAGUUGGUUGUAAGAGAGAUUCAAUACUUCACUGCAAGUUAGGCUUGUAAGCUGUGGAGGAAUCUUUCCAGAGAGUUUGUUCUGGGAGAGGUUCAACGACUCAAGCUCAGUUAAGUUUACAAGUGCUAAAGGGAUUGGGCCAAGGAAGCUGUUGUAGGACAAGUUUAGCGCGUUGAGUGACUAGAGGUUUUGUAUUUCUUCCGGUAUUCUCCUAUGGAAACUAUUAUUGGAAAGGCCAAGACAAGCAAAAAUGGUUAAGAUUUUCUUGUAAAAAAUUUCAAACCCUUUAUUUACAAUUGUCGUAGAGUCCUGGUAGUACUUGUCUCCAAUGUAAUUAUUAAGAAACGAAAGAUUUGAAACUCCAGAUAUAUGAAAAGGAGGGAUUAAGCCACUAAAAUUAUUAAUUGCUAAACUCAAUUUCACAAGAUUUGUAAGAUUUGCAAUUGAUGAUGGAAUUUGUCCAAAGAAACUGCAAUUAUGGAGACUUAAAAUUGUCAAAAAUUUGAGACUACUAAUUGAGUCUGGUAGUUUUCCACCGAAAUUUAUAGAAAAAAUCCUUAAGAUCCGUAAAGCAUUGUUUAAUGGAAAUUCUGGCAACUGACCUUCAAGAUUGUAAUUUUUUAAAAUGUCAAUGCUUUGUAUUUUUGGCAAUGAGAAAACUUUUGUUGGAAAAUGUCCACUCAAAUUACAAUUCAUUAAAUUGAGAGAAACCAAAUGAGAGGAAAUUUUCAAGAAAUUGGGAGGCAAGUAAGAGAUCGAAUUCCCACGAAGGACAAAUUGGGAAAGAAAAGGAAGUUUUGAGAAUGAAGAACAAAAUGGCCCUGUCAAACCAUAGUUUGAUAGACUUAACACAUGCAGGUUAGGAAGAAUUAUGGAUGUGGUUCACACCAUUUAGUACUUUGAGUUGAAAUGUUCACACUGUCCAGGUAGAGCUCUGUAAGAGGUUUCAAAAUUUGGAUUAAUGUCUUGAAGUUUGGGUUUUUUAGUUUCAGAGGUUGUUCAAGUUGAAAAGGCAGAUGGUUUGGAUCAAGAAUUUGCAAAUAUCUUAGAUAGAAAGAAUCUUGAUCAGAUAGAUCAAGAGAGACUAACUUUGUUUCGUAUGAAAUCCCCACUGAAAUUUGGUCAUGGAAACAUGAGUUUGAAAGAUUGAGAUGAGUUAAAUUUAUGAGUCUAUCAAACUUAUAUUGAAACAUAGUGAUAUUAAAAUUGUUUCCAGCAAGAUUAAGACGUUGAAGAUGAUGGAGAUUGAAAAUGGAGUGAAAGCAGCCUGAGAGAUUUUUGUAACUGAGAUCAAGCCCAAUCACAUAACCAAGAUCAUCACAUGAAAUUCCUUUCCAGGAGCAACAAUCAGUGUUGGGAUCCUAGAGCUCAACCUUGGAAGAGGAAGUAAAAUUUGGGGCAUAGUAAAGAUCAUGGUGCAAUUGCAGGAGAGCAGUGUUUUGGUCAUCAAGGCACUGGUUUUGAAGAUCAGUAGGAGAACACUAAAAAGAUAGAAUAAGAGAGUACAAAGCAUGAAAGAGAAAUAAGGUAGGCAAAAGAGUGAAAUCAAAGAUACGAAGAUUAUAUUGCUAUUGCCGAAUCCUUUUUUUCGAAGUUAAGUUACUAAUUUAAAAAAAAAAAAUGUGUUUUGUUGAUUUCAAAAAUUAUAAUAUUCCUUUUUUUUUUUUACACUUAGUACUUAGAAAGGUGAUCUUAACGCGUAUGAAGAGUUGAAUGUGCAACAUUACUCACUCAUCAAAACACCCUAUUUACAUAAUUUGAUGAUUACUUUUUAGAACGAUUAGCUAUACGUAAUAUUUGUAGUCUCAGAUUUUAGCUUGAAUUGUAGAGAUUAUGAUUAAAACUUGUUAGAACAGGCCAAUGAAUAAACUAAUCAGCCUGUUAAGGAAAAAAAAAUCCUGGACGGCGGCCGAUUGCACCUACUUGUAAUAAUGAAUUUGUUGGCUAUUAAUUUUAAAGUCAAUGCAUUUUUUUUCUUAUUUUAAGUACAAAUACUUAAUUAUUAUUUAUUAAUAGUUAAAAAAAAUUAUAUAUGAUGAUGUUAAAUAUGAUAUGGUAACACAAUUAGAAAAAAGACACAAAAACGAUAUAAUUAAAAUUUUAACAAAAGUCAUUUGAGUUUGAUAAAAGAAAAAACCUAAAAAUUAAAUUGUGUUUAAUAUAUUAAUAUGAAUUGUGACAUAAUAACUUUUGUAUUUUAUAUAUGUUCAACGUAAAUAUACGAAUUUAGUAGAUCUAAUAAAAAUGUCAAUUAAAAUUGGAUCAAGAUUUUUUUUUUUGAAAAUAGAGUUAUGUUGAAAACGCAUUUAAAGUGUUUUACUCUAUCUUGUUAUCCACAUGAUAUCUCUAUCUUGUUUUUAAAAAAACUUCCAAUUUUUGGGAUUUUCUUUUUUUUUUUUUUAAUUUUUUACUUUUAGUUUUUUAUCAGAUAAAUUUUAUAAUAAAAAAGUUAAUUAAAAUAGAGGUGACAAAAUAACCUUUAUAUGAUGGGUUUCAAUUGAUUCCUAUUCAAUAGGUGCAUAUUCUUUUAAUUUGAGAUAAUUGGAUUGAGCACUUUUUUAAAUCGAGCUCCAGAAAGAAUAAGAUUUUUAAUAUUACGUUUUCAGCUUGAAUGUGUAUAAAAAAUAUAUUUUUUAUUAUUUAUUCAUUCUAUAUUUAUAUAUAUUUUUAUUAAAAACAUAUUAUUUAAUAUUUUAAUUUAAUAAAUUUAUUUGUUUUAUUACAAUCCAAUUGAUAUGAUUUUUUUAAAAAUAAAGAUUGAGUUAAGUUUUAUUUCUUUAUAUAAUUUAGAUCAAGUCAAAAUCAGUUUUAAUAUAUUCUGUCUUGAAUCUCUUUUGGAUAUAUAAAAGAAUAUAUUUUAUUAUUUAUUAAAUUUAAAUUUAAAUUUAUUAUAUUAAUAAAAAUAUUAUUUAAUAUCAUAAUUUAAUAAAAAACUAUAUUUAUAUAAUUAAGUUGUAAUUUAUAUUGAAAAAUAAAUACAAUUACAUUUGUCUAUUUGUUAUCAUCUAUUAAAAUUUGACAUAAAAAUUUUUCUUUGCUUACGUUUAAGAUAUAAUUUAAAAAAUAAAAAAUAAUAUUGUGACAAAACGUGGAUCUAAUUUUAAUGAAAGUAACAAUUAUAGAAAAAAAAAAUGCUUCUUCACUCUUUGGAAAAUUCAAUGGUUUCAACUUACAAUCAUAAUUGAAAGUUAAAAGUGAUUUGUUUUCAAGAGUAUUUUUAGCCAUAUAUUUCUAUUACCUAAACUUCGUAUGUUGGUGCAAUAUGCACCAUGCAAAGAUAUCUUUUUCUCUCUCAAUACCGUAAUAGAUUUUUUUUAAGUGUUUACUUAUAAUAUGUAUAAAAAAUUAUAAAUAUAAUUUUGAAAUAAUAUAUUAUUAUAUUAUUAUAAUUAUUUGAAGUUUUUAUAUUUUGAAAAAAAUUAUAAUUACAUUAUUAUUAAUAUUAUCAAAUAUAAAUUAUAUAAUAAUUAAAUAAUCAAUCAAUCAAAAAUAAUUGUUAAUAUUAUUAAAUUUAUUUGGAUGAAUUUAUUAAUUUUGUCGGUAGAAAUGAUGUUUAGAGAAAAAUUUUAAAGAUGUCUUUUAAUUUUAUUUUUUAUUUUUUAAUAUUUGAAGUGUCUAUGAACAUUGUACUCCAACCUUUGCAUCCACACUGUAUACAAAAAACAAUUGAUACCCAUGUAUAGGAUGAUGAUCAGCUAUCACCGUAGGGAUAUCCAAGAAUUCUGCCUUUGUUAGAUCAAAAGCAGUGAUGUACUCAUGUUUUUGUUUUGAACCAUUUACAAUUCCUUUUUAAUAAUAUGAUUUUAAUACAUCUUAAAUUACAAUAUGAAUAAAACUAAGUUAUUAAAUCACAUAAAAUAAUAAAUAAAAUUAAUAAUUUUCAUUGAUCCCAUUUCUUAUUUUGUAUGACUUGCACAAAUUAUAAUAAAAUAUUUAAUAUGAUAUUUAAAUUUUAAAAAAUUUUAAUUCGAUAUUUGAACUAAUCAUGUUAAAAAUAAGAAUCAAAUUAAUUAAUAAAUUUAUAAUUUAAAUAUCAAAUUAAAAAAUUUUAAAUUUUAAAUAUAAUAUUAAAUAUUUUAUUAUAAUUUAAAAUUAUUCAUAAUAUUAAUUUUUGUAAUAUUUUUAUGGGUAUGCUCUGCUACGCUACAACUUUAUUUAGAGGGAUCUUUUUCCGCCGUUAAAAAGUUGCUUAAAAAAAAAGUUGAGUGUGAACUAAACAUUUUUUAGCGAAAGAUUAAUUUUACGUUGAUGAAAAUAUUAGAGACAGAGCCUUAAAAGGGCAGUAUUUUUUUUUAUUUUUCUAAAUAUUCUUGAUUCUACCGUAUUUUUCCUUUUUUUUUUAAAUUCUUCAAAAAUUAAUUAUGGAUGAUGUUGGAUCCAUCGAUCAAACCAAUCAAACAGGUUAAAACAGUAACCAGAGGUUUUGAUUAUUGGUCCGAUUUAAAGCAUUGUGUCUAGCAAGUUGGACCGAUAAGAAAUCGGUUUGAUUAUUUAUAUUUUUAAGGAAAUUGAAGGUAUUAUUUCAGUUUUUAUUUAGUUCCUCACCAGUCACCAAGUCUUUGCUUUACCCCGUCAAGCUGAUCUUGACUUCAAAACAUCCUGUCCAAAAUUGAAGAUAGUGAUCCUGUCCAUAUAGUUUCUCCAUACUCACUAGCUUCUCCCAAUCAUUUUCUUGCUGCCAAGUUUUAUGAAAUGAAAGCUUCACAAAUCUGCUUUCAACCAAAUUGCUAUGUACAGCUUUAGAAUCCUCGGCAUUGGUGGAAGCUAUUUGCAGGGACUUUUGGUCAUGGAGCUCAUGCUUAUGGGUUAGACAUUGUCACCAGUACAAUCAAUAUUGUAGCAAAUGGAAUGUUUUUGAAGUAUGAUUCCAUUUUCUGAAUUGUUGCAGUACGCCCAUUUCAUUAUUGAUAUGAAGUCAUUAAGGAUUUUUUCUCUUAUUUAAUGGAUUAAGCAGGUAAUUAAUAUGUGUUUGCUUAUUAUUACUUGCUAAUUUUCCAUCUCUGAAGCUUCACUUCAAUCAGGAAAGAUCUUCGAGCCAAUUUUGCAGAUUGCAGAAGCACAUUUCUUUUGUUGAGUUUUUUUCCCUUUUUCCGUUUGAUUGCAUAUCAAACUCUACUCAGAAUUUUGGUUUCUAAACAUCAAAACUGGGUUUCAACAGAGAUAAUUUGCAACUUGCAUCAAAUUAAGACAGUAGUAGCAGACACUUUAGAUUAAUUGAUUGUCACACUACAUUUUUCUACAAAUCAAAACACAUUAACUAAUUGUAUUCCCCAUUGCAUACUAAAAUCAAUUAUUUACAUUUAAAAAAAUCAGCAAAUAAGUCGUUUCCGCUACAGCUAAUAAUUCAAAUGUGCACAUAUAUAUUUGACAACAAAUGUACUGUAAUCAGGGGAAAAGUUGUAACAUGUAAAUUGACGAUGGCACUUACAAGAAGAAAUAUAAAUCCCAUGAAACAGAGGACGCUAAAACUGGAGGAAAGAAGCCUGCAUAAUGCCUUUUCAUACCCUGCAUGACAAACCCACUAAACUUUUAGCAUAUAUCAAAAGAAAAACAACAUACAAAAGAGAAACGUUAAUCUCCAAUGAAAGCGAGAAAGACCUCAACUUUACAUGAAGAGAAAAGAAAAAUAAAGAGCCUAAGCCUAAUUAAAUGAAAAAAAAAAAAAAAAGAGAAAAAAAGUGCGAACCUCUAAGCGAGUAAUGGUAAAAAUGGCGUGGGCGGUGUUCUUGUAAAUCAGGAAAUUGGUGAGUCGACCAUCGUUAACUAUUUGAAAACUCGAUCCAAUCAGCACCCAAAAAGACUGAAACUUUUUGUCGAAACUAUGUAUAUAUAAAGAAAGAGACGGAAGAAGAAGAAGAAGAGGAUAACCUUGAAAUCUCGUACGGUCGAUGUCCAGAGGGUAAAUCGCUGCAACGGUGGCGAAGCCCGCCACUGCACCAGCGGUUGCGUUCUCCCAUUGCCACGGUGAUUGUGACAUUUCCUUUUGAAAAAAUAAUAAUAAUGAAGGGGAACCGGCCGUUUCUGUUAAUGUGCAUCAAAUUAAGACAGUAUCUUUACUUAUAUCGUUAACUCUUUCAUUAUUCAGUCUGCAAUUUCUUUUGGAAGCUAACAAAGGGCAAAAACGUAAAGUAAAUGAAGACGAAGAUGAAGACUCCAGAAAUGGCACAUCUCCGUUACACAAUCAGAAAAAGGCUUUGAAGCCUGACAAUAAGCUAUACUUUUCGACUGGAUCCUCCAGGAGUGCUGCUCUCAAUGAAUCAAAUACAGAAUUUGACAAACCGAUUUUUCAAUUUGAGUCUUCGAAGGAACUUCAAGUUCAAAUUGAUAGCAGAGUACGGCAACCUUAGAAACUGAGACUGAGUUUACAUAAGAUGCUCGAGCUAUACGUGAGAAUGUUCUUAAACGAGCAGACAAGGCCAUGAAUCUACAUCUUCCAUUGGAGGAGGCAUUGGAACAGCAGCUCCAUUGCAUUUCCUUGUCGAAGUUGGCCCACAUGAUCUUGGGUUCCCUUUGUAAGAAUCGUUCGAAAAUGUACCGAAUUGAUUGCUUUAAUGUAUGCUUCCUUCAAAGGGAAGCAUUGACAUUUCAAACAAUGACCAUCUGAUGGGAGAGUAAAUGAAGAAGAAUGUAUUGAUUCAGGGAGGCGUUCCCCGAACAAGAAAGAUGCAAAGAUUUGAAAAUGCCAGAAUCCAUAUGAAAUGGCAGGGAUAAAAAUCACUGAAAUUGUUAUUAGAUAGAUCCGUUGCACAAGGUUAGUAAAGAUUUGCAAUUGAUGAUGGAAUUUGCCAGAGAAUUGUAGUCAAAAAUCGAAUAAGAUCCGUAAAGCAAUGUUUAAACAAAAAUUCUGGCACUGACCCAAUCAGAUGGUCAUUGUUUGAAAAUGUGGCAUGGCCUUGUUACUUUUGGCAACUGAAAGAACUUUUUGUUGGAAAAACAUACCACUCAAGUUGCAGAUUCACUAAACUGAGAGAAAACCAAACCUAGAAGGAAAUUUCCAAAAAUUAGGAGGACAAAUAAGAGAUUGGAUUCCAACCAAGGAAAAGUUUGGAAAGAAAAGAUAGUCUUGAGAGUGAAGAACAAAAUGCACUUGUCAAAUUACAUUUCGAUAGACUUAAAAUAUGCAAGUUAGGAAGUGCUAUGGAUGUGGCUUCACACCAUUUACUACUUUGAGUUGAAAUGUUCACACUAUCUAGACGUUUGCAAGGGGUCUUAAAUUUUGGAUUAAUGUCUUGAAGUUUGGGUUUUCUAGUUUUCGAGGUUGUUGAAGUUCAAAAGGCAAUGGAUAGUAGUGGAAGUUAUUGUAUGGAUGGAGAAUUUGGUUAUACCGUUGAUAGCAAGAAUCUUGAUUAGAACUAACCUUGUUAAGUAUGAAAUCUCCACUAGAAUUUUGCUAUGGAAACAUGAGUUUGAAAAGUCAAGAUGAGUUAAAUUUGAGAAUCUGUCAAACUCAUAUUGAAGCAGAGCGAUAUUAAAAUUGUUCCCAACAAAAUUAAGGUAUUGAAGAUGAUGAAGAUUGAAAAUGGAGUGAAAGCUACCAAAAAGGUUUUUGUAACUGAAAUCGAGCUCAAUCACAUGACCAGAAGCAUCAUAUGUAAUUCCUUUCCAAUAGCAACAAUCUAUGUUGGGAUCCCAAAGCUCAACUUUGGAAGAGAAAGUAAAAUUUGGGGCAUAGUUUAUUCUUACAUUACAUUACAUUCACAUUUUCUGCCCAACACUUGGCAACAGUAUCCUAAAUAAUGUUGAAGACAAAUGGACAGGUGAUCAUCUUCAAACCGAUUUGUCUUUUUUUUUUUUUUUAUAAUGAUUAUUUAUUUAAUUAACAUUAAUGUCAAUGUACCAGCAUAUAAUUAAAUCUAUUAAGAAGAAGAAGUUUUGGAUUUUAUAUAUGUAUGUGAAAGCUAUUUGAACCAGAAAUAAAUUUUAAAAAAUAGUGCAAAGAAAAUAUCAUUAAACAAAUGAUGGGUUCAAGCUUUAGGGGCAUUCAAAUUGGAAAUUGAUCAAGCAAUUCUGAAGAAAUGCACUCUUUGAAUAUUUUGUGUAUCUACCAACUACCACAUUUUUCCAUUGGAGACAAGAGAGAAGUUCCAAAUCUAUCACAAUCAAAACUUGAUGAUGCUGAUGAUCAGCUAGAUAUAUCAUGUUUAAUUUUGUGGAAGUUAGCAAGCAAGUUCUUUUCAAAAAUAAUAAAAUAUAACCACAUAAAGUUCUUGCAAUACUUUUAAUUCUAAAUAAAAAAAGACCCAAUGUUAGGAUAUUUUAGAUGUAUACCAUUAUUUCUGUUGCCCUCUUGCAUCUACAGGUAUGGUUUUCAUUAUCAUUUGAAACAUAUCAUUUUUUAAUGAAGGCUUUAAAAGAUCUAAAAUUGACAAGUAUGAUAUUUAAAUGAUUUACUAAUUAAAUGGGAGCUUGAAUGAUCCAACAGAUUAUAAAUUGUUGAUUUCAUAUAAAACUGUUUUAGUAUAAAGGAAGACUAUUACUUGAUUUAUCAUUUAUUAUUGAAGUAAUUAAGGAUGAUAAUGUGAUAUUAGCAAUAAAUAAUUGAUUUAAUUGAUACAUCUACCUUUUUUUUUUUUUUUCUGUCAAGGAGUUUUCUUUAAAGAAUAAAAUAAGGAAAGUAGGCCUUCGGAUCCCAGAACGAAUAAUAUAUCACAUAGCAAGUGUCGUUUAAUGUUGAUUCGUUGCAUCAACAAUAGCGCGUAUUCUACUCCUUUUCAACCAAAAAAGGGCAUGCAGUUGUCUUUAGAGUUGGGAUCGGCGGUCAGCUAUUGAAACUCUAUCUCCACUCCCAUGAAGUUCCAUGAGAGCAAUCCAAGAAGGAAAAAAAAAAAAAACAAAACAAAAUAGCAACAUCGUGCACUACAUCAAAUAUUGAGAUUAGAGUAGGAAAUAGGAGAAAAUGCCAUACACAUACUUUUUGAAUCAUAUAACUUCUAAUUUAUAUAAUUAAUGUUAUAGAUAAUGAAAAAAGGAGAGGGUGUUUACGUGCCACCCUACCCUUCCUCCAAAACUUUAAUUUUUAUUUACUUUUUAUUUAGUUUUUUAAUUUAUUUUUUUAAAUAAAUUUUGUAAAAAAAAAUAUGGAUGAUAAAAUAAUCUAUAUUUGAUUAAUUUUAAUUCGCAUCAAGUGCAUUUUUUUUAAAUUAAUAUUGAAUCGAGUUUUUUUUUCUUUUGGAAAAUAGGGUUAUUGGCUUGAAGAAUGAUUUAAAGUUUUCUACUCCAUCAACGUGGUACCUCUCUCUCUUGUUUUUUAGUUUUUAUUUUUUAAAACUUCUUAUUUUUUGGGGUUUCCUUUUUUCUUUUUCCUUUAUUUUAAAAAUUUUUUACUUUUAUUUUUUUAUUAGAUAAAUUUUGUAAUAAAAAAUUAAUUGACAUAGAGGUGACAAAAUAACUUGUAUAUAAUAUGUUUCGAUUUAUCCCAAUUCAAUUGGUGUGUUUCCUUUUCAUUCAGGAUAAAUGGGUUGAAUUUUUUUAAAAUCGAGCUUAGAAAAAAGUAACAUUUUUAGUAUUACACUUCGAUUUUGGUAUAUAUAAAAAAUAUAUAUUAUUAUUUAUUUAAUUCUAUAUCUAUAUAUGUAUUUUAUUUAAAAAAUAUUAUUUAAUAUUUUAUUUAAUAAAUUUAUGUGUCACUCCAUUUGACUUUUUUAGUCAUUUUCUUUAUUUUUUUAAAUUUUUAUUACAUAAAUUUUAUAUAAAAAAGUAAACAGAUGUAGGGAUAAUAAAACAAUCUAUAGGUUUUGAUUCGCUACAACCUAAUCGAUAAUUUUUUUUAGUAAGAAUUGAGUUUUCUUUUUUUGAACAAUUUAGGUCAAGUCAUGAUUAGAUUUGGAGUGUUUAAUUCCAAUUCUCCUCUGGAUAUAUAAAAAAAUAUAUUUUAUUAUUUAUUAAAUUUAUGUUUAUAUAUAUUAUAUUAAUAAAUAUACUAUUUAAUACUUAAAUUUAAUAAAAAAAAUAACAUUUAUAUAUGUUGUAAUUUAUAUUAAAAAAAUAAAUAUACUUACAUUUGUUUUGUCAUUCAUUAAAAUUUAUAUAAAAAUUUUACUUUUUUUCAUAUUUAAAAUAUAAUUUUAAAAAAUAAAAAAAUCCAGAUCUAAUUCUAAUGGAUGUAACCAUUAUAGAAAAAAAAAAGCUUCUUCGCUCUUUGGAAAAUUUAAACUUAUUCUUUUUCAAGACCAUUUUUCGCCAUAUAUUUCUAUUUCUGAAACUUCGUAUGUUGGUGCAAAACGCACCAUGCAAAGAUAUCCUCUCUCUCUCUCUACACAACAAAUGGAUUUUGUUUCAAAGCAUGCACUUAUAAUAUAUAUAUAUAUAUAUAUAUACACAUAUAUAUAAAUUAUAAACACAAAUUUAAAACAAUAUAUUGUUAUAUUAUUAUAUAUAUAAUUAUCCAAAGUCCUCACAUUUAAAAAAAAUUAUAAUUACAUCAUUAUUAAUAUUAUUAAAUACAUAAUUUUUUCAAUAUAUGUAAUUAAACAAUUAUUCAAUCAAGAAUCAUUAUUAAUACUAUUAAAUUUUAUUUUGAUAAAUUUAUCAAUUUUAUCGACAGAAAUAACAUUAAAAAAAUUUUUCGUUUAAAUUUUUAAAUUUUUUUUAAUAUUUAAGGUGUCUAUGAACAACAUACUUCAACCUUUGCAUCUGCCACUGUAUACAAAAACAAUUGAUACCCAUGUGUAUGACGAUGAUCAGCUAUUGGUGUAGGGAUAUCCAAGAACUCUUCCUUUGUUAGAUUAGAGGCAGUGACGCACUUAUGUUUUUGUUUUGAACCAUUUACAGUUCCUUCUUAAUAAUAUGAUUUUAAUACAUCUUAAAAUUACAAUAUGAAUAAAAUUAAGUUAUUAAAUUACAUAAAAUAAUAAAUAAAAUUACUAAUUUUCGUUGAUCCCAUUCCUUAUUUUAUAUGGUUUGGAUAGAAAAUAUAAUUUUUUAAUAAAAUUAAUAUCAUGAAUAAUUCUUAAAUUAUAAUUAAAUUUUAAUGUAAUAUUUAAAUUUAAAAAAUCUCUAAUAUAUAUAGUAUUUAAAUUAUGAAUUGUUAACUAAUAUCGUAUUUAAAAAGUUAUUUUAUUUAUUAUUUAUUAUCAUUUAAAAUUAAUUAUAUUAAAAAUAAAUGCUAUAUUAAUUAAUAAAUUUAUAAUUUAAAUGUCAAAUUAAAAAUUUUUAAAAUUUAAAUACUAUAAUAAAUAUUUUUUAUAAUUUAAAAACUAUUUAUAAUAUUAACCUUUCGUAAUAUUGCGAUAAGUAUGCUCUGCUCAUUCUUAUGCUACAACUUUGUGUUAAAAGACCCUUUUCCUCCGUUGACGAUAAAAAAAAAAUUGCUUAAACAAAAAGUUGAGUGUGGACUGAACUUUUUUUAAGAAAAAAUUAGUUUUACGUUAAUGAAAAUAUUAUAGAUGGUGACUCAAAAGGACAUUAUUUUUUUAAAAAAAUUUUCUAAAUAUUUCCUGAUUCAACCUUAUUUUCUCUUCUUUUUUUUUUGUUGAAAUUUCUUCAAAAAUUAAUUAUGGAUGACAGUGGAUCAGUCGGUCAAACCACUCAGACAAGUUAAAUCAAUGACCAGAGCUCUUGACUAUCGGUUUUAUUUUUAAAAAAUUGGGUUUAACAAGCCAAAGUAGUAAGGGAUCAGAUUCGAUAUUUUAAUAUUUAAUAUUAUAAAUUUUAAAAAAUUAAUUUAAAUUUAAAUAUUUUAAAAAUUAAAUUGAUGCGAAUUAAAUUUUAUUUGUUAAGUUUAAUUUAUUAAAUUUUUAAAAUGUACUCAAUAUCAUUUUCAUAUUAUUUUUUAAAUAUAUUUAAAUAUAAUAUAAUUAGUUUUGUUUUAUAAAAUAAAAAAAUUAUAUAAAAAUUAAUAAAAAUAUAAUAUGAUUUGAUUUGAAUUUUUUUUAUUACUUAAUUCAAUGAGUCAAAAAUCAACCCGAUUUGAAUUAAAAUAUUAAAUAUUUAAUUCCAAUCAAAUAAAAAAAUUAUUGUAAUUUUCAAUCAAUUUUUUAUUUCUCCAUUUUUUAAAAGAUUUUCGAUUUUAUUUUAUUUUCCAACGUUAUUGAAGCCAAAUUCUUCCUUAUUUAAGCUCAAUUUAAUUUAAUAAUAAAUGAACUUAUAAAUAAACAAACUCUUAAUAAAUUUAACAACACGUAUUCUAACUCAUUUUAAUUAUUUUUAUUGAACUUUAGCCGAACAUGAAAGAACUCGAACUUAAUGCUUAUAGCCCACAACCGUAGCUCACUAAGUAAUAUUCAUUGCUUAUUUUAAUUCUUAUGUUGACGUGGGAAUAUUAAAAAUAUGUUUUUAUUAUUUUAAACUUCAUUAAUAGAUUUUAUUUAAUUUGUAAGCAUAUAAAAAAAGUUAUUUUGUAAUAAUAUUUUUAAAAAAUUAAAAAAUAUUUUUAAUGAUAUAUAAUAAUUUAUAAAUUGAUAAAGAUAUUAAAUUUUGAAAUAAUUAAUUUAUAAUAUUUUAAAUAAAUUAUAAUUAAAUUUAUUCAUACACAUUAAAUAAGUUUGUUUGUAAAAAUAAAUAAAUUAAAUAGAUCUUUGUUAGUAUUUAAUUUAUUUAAUAAAUAAACAUAAAAAUAUUAUUUAAAAUUAUUUAUUAAAUUUAAUAAACAAUUAUAAAUAAAAAAAAUAUCAAAUAUAUUUAUGAAUGGUUCAUAAAAAAACUCUGUUGUUUACGUUGUGGCCUAUUACAUAAUUACUUAAAUUGUUUUAAACGCUUCACUUUUUUCUUACCCUUUUCUUCUUCUUCUUCUUCUUCUUCUUCUUCUUCUUCUGCUGCUGCUGCUUCUCCGUCUAGUAAGAGAAAGUGGAGACAACCAGUGGCUUCCUCAGUGCUAGAGCUUGGUGGAAUCAUAAUUGCUAAAGAAGGUAAAAAAUUGCUACUUUUUAUGAACUUGGUUUUGCUGUUAUAUGCUUUUAUUGACUGUUCCUUGAACUGGUCCAUUUCAGUAUUUGCAGAUAUUGGAUUCUAACUUUGACUAGUAAAUUAUUAUGCGUAAUGGGUAUUUUGUCCAGUACUUUAAUCUGGGUUGGGAAAGGUUAAUUGAAUUUAUAUGUUGGAGCUUUCAAAAUAUGCCCUUUGUUUGUGUUCAAAUUGUGUUUGAUAAGAAAGUUGGACUUAUGGUGUUUGGAUUUGAUAUAUUUUGGAAUGGAAUAUAAUUAUAAGAUGGUUAGUCUAGGUAGAUUACACCUUUCUUUGAGUAUCAUGAAUUGAUUGAAAGUGUCAGCAAUCAAAAUCUAUUAUUGAGUUUUUUGGUUUGAAAAUUGGCAUGGUAUAUGCUUUGAUAUUUUGUUAUUAGUGAAAUUUGAUUUACGACUUUCUGUUUUUUCAUAAUUUAUGAAUGAUUUAGUAUUUUUUGGAUGGUGGGAUUUGUAGAUGUGGUGAGGGAUGAUCGAACAAACAUUGCUCCGGACACAAUUUUUUCAAAACUGUGAAUGCAGCUCCAUAAAAGAAUAAUCAUCCUCUUGGGAUUCUGAAGAAUGGAAUAUAUGACUAUUUCAAUGCCAAUUACCCCAACAUGUUCUCUGGUUCAUAUUUUGUCAACCAAUCCUUCCUAAUUCACAUCUUUGCUGAAAGAAUAUCUUUUGUAAUUCCUUAAACAAGGAUUCAGAAAAUAUUGGAUCCCCACCUACACAAGAAAAUUGUUGAUAAAACUCUGAUAAGUUUGAUAAUCUCUGCCCAAUUGUUUCAGUAAAACUGGUAAAAUGUUUGUCCACUAGUGCCCUAUUUUUUUUCUUUUCCUCUUUUAUGUUCCUCUGAAUUGGCAAAUACUAUUGGAUAACAAAGGAACAGCUUUUGAGUUUAAAUAUUUUGUACAAUCAAUCUUGUGCUCUGUUUUAGAAUAAUUGGUCUAGGAUCUUUGAAAAAUUAAAAUAAAAAAGGUAUGUUAAUUUGUAUCCAUAUGGGCUUUCAUAGAUCACCAAAGGUUGUCUAUUAACUUGGGAUUACAUAUGUUACUAUGGAGGCUUGAACCUCUGUGUCUGAGUGUGGGUGGAUUAGUGAGUGCAAGGGAGUGAAUAUUUUUUAUCAAAUGUUAAGGUUAUAGAUAUUUCACUCUCCCUACAUAUGGCCCAUUAAAGCAUGUUGUUGUUCCACAAUAUAUGUAUACACAAUAUAUGUUGGAUCAUUUUAUUUAUUUUGGAUCCUUGGAUAAUGUUUUUAAGAAUUUUUUUUUAUAACAGUAAAUCUUCUUUUUGCUGAAUUUUGAUGAUGUACUGGUGCCUGCUGAUCAUGUAAGCGGUGGCUAUAAUGAUACAUAUUAUGUUGACUCUCAAACUGUACUGAGGUGUCAUACAAGUGCUCAUCAAGCAGACACGUUGAGAAUGGGCCACACUCAUUUACCUAUAACCGGUGAUGUUUACCUUAGAGAUUCUAUGGAUUCUACCCAUUACCCUGUAUUUCAUGAGGUUUCAUUUUGUUAAAAAUCUCUUUAAUUUUGAUUAGCUUUUUAAAAUUCUCUUCUCUUAGGAAAUUGUUCUGAGUACAUAGGAAUUUUGCUUCCCCUGCUACAUGCGGAGCACAGCCAUCUGUAUGUUGGGCCGUACAAUGUGCUCCUCAGUGGGUUAACAGGAUGAACAACUGUAUUCUUGAUGAAGGCCAUUAAACAUGCAAAGCUGUUUGAUGAAGGUCGAUUCAUACUAAUUGAGCAUUUAGCCUUUCAUGAGAGAAAGCUUGUCUUAUCUAGUUAUGACACCAGUUAGUUUGUUGAUCAUGUAUCAUUCAUUACCUUAAUUAAUAGUAAUAAGGAUUUUGACUCACUUAGUUUAAAACCUUCUUUCAAGCGAUUGAAGCAGCAGUUGUAAACAAUUUGAAGUUCAUCAUGCUUGAGGCAAGGAAUCUAUAAAACUUUUGCUCUUGUUUUUGUUAAGAUGACAGAUUCAAGCGAGCCCUAUUAUCCAGGAAAAGCACCUCAACAAUCUGAACUAGGUAAAAUUUGUUCCUUUUUUUCUUAUUCUUUUUAAAUGUAUAAAUGUAUAUUUACUUAUGCAGCUAACUCUUUGAUUAUUCAGUCUGCAAUUUUUUUCAGGAAGCCAAAGGGCAAAAACAUAAGGAAAAGGACAAUAAAUGAAGAUGAAGAUGAAGAUUCCAGAAAUGGCAAAUUUCUGUUGCACAAUCAGAACAAGGCUUUGAAGCCUGACAAUAAGUUAUACUUUUCAACUGGAUCCUCCAGGAGUGCUGCUUCCACUGAAUCAAAUCGAUUUUUCAAUUUGUCUUCGAAGGAAAUUCAAGUUCAAAAUGAUAGCAGAGCUACGGCAACCUUAGAAACUGAAACUGAGUUUACAAAAGAUGCUCGCACUAUACGUGAGAAAGUUCUUAAACGAGCAGAGGAGGCUUUGAAGGGGAAAAGCACAAGCUCUGGCAGAUAGAAGUUGUAUAAAGGAAUGCAUGGCUAUGUGGAUCAUAAGGCUGGGUUUCGAAGAGAGCAAACAGUUGCUAGUGAGAAAGCUGGUGGCUCACAUGGACCUCUUAGUGCUUCUGCCCACAUCAGGAUUUCAGCGAGAUUUGAUUAUCAGCCUGACAUCUGUAAAGACUACAAAGAAACUGGUCACCGUGGUUAUGGAGAUUCAUGUAAGUUUAUGCAUGAUCGUGGAGAUUACAAGUCUGGAUGGCAGUUAGAGAAGGACCAGGAAGAAGCAGAGAAAGCAAGGAAGAGAAAUCUGGCUUUGGGUGGCAAUGAUGAUGAUGAGGCAGGGUUAGACCAGAGUGAUGAUGAUGAUGAUGAUUCGUUGCCCUUUGCAAGUUUUAUUUGCCUGCAUCCUUUUGUGGAUCGUGUUGUUACUAAGUGCAAGCACUAUUUCUGUGAGCAUUGUGCUUUAAAGGUCCCCUCAUAUGCCCUUUCAUAUAGAGUAAUUUUAUUUAAUGUCUUUUUGUUCUAGGUUAAUAUCUAUUAGUUUUUGUUAUAUUUGUUGUGAAUGCAUUACUUAGAUGGUAAACUUUUUUGGUUACUGACAUACAAAGAAUAUUUUAUGUGGUCAAACUUUCUUUUUUUUUUUUUUUUUUCUGGUAUAGAAAUAGGACAUGUUUGCACUGUACUUCUUCAACUUUUGGUGUCUCAUGUCAAUAUGGUUUACAUUAUUAUUUUCAUUUGAAUGUAAACUGACCAAUUGCAUCUUUUGUUUUUCUUUUUUCAGCAUCAUGCAAAGAAUGCGAAGCGCUUUGCAUGCAGCCAACUCACCCUUGGCAUUUUCAACACUGCACAUGAGAUACGUAGACAGAUGGCUGAAGAGGGUAAACGAUAAGUCCAUUGAUGCUUUGCUUCAACUCCUGUUGCCAUGAACACUUUUAUUUCCGUGCUUGAGCUGGGGGAAUUUUGGAAUGAUGAGCCCUUUAGAAUCAUUGUUGCUGCAGGCAUGUGCAUUAGUAUUUAGGUAAGCAUUUUCUGCAGCAUUCCACAACUGACUUAUGAGUUGAGUGAUUGUAUUAAGCAGAGUAAGAAUUAGGUUUUUACAUGAAGUUGCAAGAGUUGUCGAAAACAACUGAAUGAGUAGACAAUUGUAAAACUUGUAAUUUAUAUACAAAACUGGCUUUCCUAAUAUGCCAACAAACCCUAUUGCUACCUUUUACCCAUGAAGUAGCGUUUCUUCUACCUUGAGAUAGCAGUCCAAUCCAGUAUUAACUUUCCAAGAAUCGGCAUCCAACUUCACAACCUUUGUAAUGGCCAAGAAUUCAACUUGAUCAGAUCAGAAUCCAGGUCUCGAUGACACAUACUGGUAGGAUCUAGGAUGUUACUUCAAAGAGUUUAAGAAUGUUGGAUUGCAGGUAGUUUCAAAUGGGUAGGGGGCUAAUGGAAGCUGAGAUUUUUUGUGCUGUCCAAAUCCAAGGCAUAGAAAACAUUAAUGAUCAGUUUUCUUCCUGGAAAAAUACAGUUCCUGCAUUCAAGACCCCAAAAAAAAAAAAAAGUGAAAUCAGCUAGCAAACCUAAACUUAAACUCAAGAAAUAUUAAUCUUUGGCUCUUAGCAGUAGUUGUAUAGACAAAAAAUUUUUAGCAUGACCUUUUGUUUCCUUUUUUCCCUCUAAAUUUUUCUGUUUUAGCAUGAGUUUUUUUUCUUUUUUCCCUGUAAAAUUUUAAAACGGCCAAUUCAUGAGAAUAAAGUAUUUUUCUAGUUGAUACUUACAGUUCUAGUUGGAGAUGGAUUUAAAAGAGCAAGAUCUUAGGGCUGCAUGGGAAGGACAGUUGUAUGAGAAAGCCUCUAGUGGCAAAGUCUUUAUAUAUGCGUAAUCACUCUGUCCAAUUUGGCUUUUGUCAACCACAAAGUCAUCAAAUAUCAUUUUACCUGCAAAAUCUUCUAAACAUAAAUUCUGAGCUAAUGCUCAAAAUAGGCUAAAUAUCAGAAGGCUUGACAACCUUCCUGGUUUACAGCAUCAAGCUGACUACUAAAGAAAAAACUAACUUUAAAAUGACCAGUGAUUGAAACAUAGCAUGUCUUCUAUAACUUCAUCUGUUAAUUAUGGAUUAGUGGCUAUAUCAGAACACUUGGCACAUCAACGUGAAUAUUGGCUAUUUAGUUAUGAUGCUUUAUUUCUAUUAGAUAGAGAAUAAGUUACUGAAAGGAUUCACUGGAAUUCUAGAGAAGUGAGUACAUAUAAGUUCAUCAUCCAAACAACCAAGAUGCUUUGGUGCCUCUUGCGUUUUUCUGUUCAAACUAGUGAUCUCUUCUAUUACUUGAUACAAAUGUUCUUGUGGAAAAACACUUAUUUACAGCUGAUUGUAAUCUUAUAAUCUGUAUAUUUAUAUUUGUAUCUCUAGAAUUAAGUAUUUAUAUCCCUAUAAUUAAGGACAAAAAAUUAGGAUAAAUAAUCCCUCAAUUAUAGGAUCAGUUUUUUGGAAGAUUUAGUUUCCUAGUUUACCCACCAGUUAGUUGUAUAUAAAUCUAUGGUGCUUGUAUAAUUCUUCAUGAGCAGUUUUUCAAUAUACAUUCAGUUUUACUCUUAGUUUUUCAUACAGUUUUAUUUCUUAGUUUUUCCAUAGUUCAAUGUCCCACCUUGGAUGGUUUUCACUUUCAAAUACAAUGGUCAUUCUUGCUUCUCACUAGACAAAAGAUGCAGCCGAAACAUCAGUUUUGUAAGAAACAGAUAAGCUGUUUAAGCUUUUAAAGAUAAAAUUAAAUCAAUUAAUCAAGUCCACAUAAUAAUUUAAGUUUAGCAUUCACAUAUCUUUCUCGCCAUAGUCAAAUCUAUAGUUGUUAGAGAUAAUAAAAUACCAUCGAAGUUACUUUGGAAUUGUCGAGCUUGAUACCUGGAACUGAAAGCUUUCUUCUUUUCUUUUCAGUGUUUUUCUUCUCUGUAGUGAUGUAGCAGAUAAUACAGGAAUAAAGCAUCUUAGCUUGAGCUUGAUCUGUGAAGAUUUUUCUGUAUUAGGAGAUGUAACUUCUAGUUUUGGCAGUUAAAGUGGUAGGAGUAGUCAUUGUUGUACAUGCCAUGGCUUGUAUUAAACCUGCACUGCAAAUAGUUGAGUUGAAUAAUUGAUAUUGUUGAUGUAAUUUCUGGUCUGAUAGUCAAAAGUUUUACUAGAGGUUGAGAAGGAGAGUAUGUGUGACCUGUCACAGAGUAGAAAGUCGAGUGUGCUGAAGAUAUUAUUUUGAGACAUUCUCGGAUGCUCAAGUUAGUAAGGUAUACCAUAAGCAAGUAAAUGAGAGAGAGUAGGAAGCAGUUAAAGAGAGUAAAGUGAGUUCAACUGUGAAUCACCUGUCUGCUCUGGAUGCUUCUUAGAUGACGACAUAGCAAACUGGGCUCUCAUGUGUAAGAUCUACUAUGUGGCUGCUGACACGACCACUUAGGUAUAACAAUAAUAAAGAGUUUAAAAGACGAUAAGAUUCUUGUUAAGAAUUUAUUUUGGAUAAAUGAUUUUUAUUAAUCCAAAAAAAGCAGUAGGUAUGCUACAAGUAAACAGCAAGCCAACGUUACAAACUUCCAAGAACUAGCAAAUAAAGCAAACUAAUUAACAAAAGAGUCUAACUUUUGCAAAGUAAUCAAACUAAGCAACAUUAAGGAACCAGUCCCCAAUUCAGACACAUUUUUUUGCUAAGCCAGAAAUUUAUUAAUAAAAACAGAGUUACACAACAGGGGAACCUCAUAACUCAGCAGUAGAACACCACCCUAUAGAUAGAACAGAAGAGGAGCACAAUACAACCAGACAUUACCGCCAAUCAUCCUAGGCGAGCAUAAGAGAAAGAACUGAGACACAGAUACCAUAACACCAGGCCAAAAACAUUCAGGCACAAUUUCUGUUGUUGAAAAGGAAGAGUGGAACUGGAGACUGCAAUCCUGUUAUUGAAUCGAAGCCAAAAGGAACUUUUGAUAGCUGAAACAAUAGCUUCUAUAUAUCUAGAAGGCCUGCCAAACUUCCUUCUAUUGUGCUCCUGCCAAAUAAAAUAUAUGUGAGCAUUCCAAGCCAAUCUAAGGAAAAUAAAUGCCAAAACUUUGCCCUUAAAAUGGCUGACAGCCCAAUCUAACUCAAAAUACCAGUCACCCACAGGUCUUGUAGAAAUUACUAACUUGAAAAUUAAUUUUCAUUUGUAAAAUGAGGUUAGGAAAUUCAAAGGACAACCUAGUUUGCAGGCAAUUUUUUUUACCAAGUUUCAAAAAGGGAACGAGACAUAAAGUUGAAAUGUUCUUGAAUUAAAUUUUGAAUGCAAUCACUUUAAUAAGUUAUUAGUUAGUUAGUGCAGAUAAAUGACAAUAUAAGAGAGCAUUUAAAUAAUUUUAUUUGAUUUGGCUACAGUUCACAGAAUCAGUAACAAAAGUUUUGAGUUAUUAAGUAUUCUAGAAUGCUUACCAAAUGACAUUGAAACUUGAAUUUUGAUUGAGUCACCUUGAUCUUCUCCAUUUUCGAUUCCAAUUCCGUGUAAACCUUUCCAACCAUUUGUUCCCCAACUCAUUCAGCACUGUAUAUCCAGUACAUAAUCCAAUGACCAAUCCACAUCCAUACCCUAUCAACACAAUUUUCCUGUCAGAUAAACCAUCUACCCAUGAAUCUGCAUCUUCCUUAGGGGUUGGCAUUCCAGGACCAUCUUCAUUGCAUUUCCUUGUCAGAGGCAGCCCACAUAAUCUUGGAUUCCCUUUGUAAGAAUCGUUUGAAAAUGUACCGAAUUGGUAGCUUUGUGGUAUGCUUCCCUCAAGUUGGUUGUAAGAGAGAUUCAAUACUUCAAGAAAUGUUAGGCUUGUAAGCUGUAGAGGAAUCCUUCCGGAGAGUUUGUUUUGGGAGAGGUCCAACGACUCAAGCUCAGUUAAGUUUCCAAGUGCUAAAGGAAUUGGGCCAAGGAAGCUGUUGAAGGAUAAGUUUAGCACUUUGAGUGACUUGAGGUUUUGUAUUUCUUCCGGUAUUCUCCCAUGGAAACUAUUAUUGGAAAGGUCAAGACAAAUAAGGAUGGUUAAGAUUUUCUCAUAAAACAUUACAAACCCUUUAUUCACAAUUGUUACAGAGUCCUGGUAGUAAUUAUCUCCAAUAUAAUCUGGCUUAGCUCUGUUGCCAUCAGUCAUCAUUCUCAUUGCCUUCAAAGAUUGGAAAAAUCCAACAGAUAACUCACCUGAAAAAUUAUUGGAAGCAAGGUCCAGUAUGUGUAACUCUGGGAAAGCAUCUUCAUCCUCAGAAAUUUUAAUUGGACCAUAAAAUCUAUUUGCUCUUAGUACAAGAACUUUCAAAGAAGGCAAUUUCACCAACCAUGAAGGAAAUGUGUCCUGUAUCAUAUUUUUUCAAAGGUCCAAAACUUCAAGAUUUCUGCAAUUGGCUAAUGAACUCGGCAACUUCCCUUCCAAUUUAUUCCCACUGAUUAUGAGUGACCUUAGUUCAGUGGCUUGAAAGAAUUCAAUUGGUAAUUGACCAGAAAAAUUAUUGAAAGCAACGUCUAGCACAUCCAAGUCUUGAAAAUAAUUUUUCACAUGUUUAAUUAGACCAUAAAACCUAUUUGCUCUCAAUAUAAGAACCACCAACCGAGGCAAUUUUCCCAACCACGAUGGGAAUGUGUCAUACAAAGUAUUGUUUCCAAGGUUUAAAACUUCGAGCCAUGUGCAAUUGACUAAUGACCUUGGCAACUUUCCUUCCAAUUUAUUGUCAUUGAGUUGAAGCAAAAAUAAUUGGGUGCCUUUUGCAAAAUCUGGUAUGCUGCCGGUAAAAUUAUUUUUUUGUAGAUCCAAAUAGCCGAGAGUUCUGAUAUUGCCAAAACAACUUGGGAUAAGCCCGCUUAAUUUGUUAUAAGAUGCAUUUAACCUUUCAAGUUGACUCAAAUUACAAAUAGAUCUUGAUAAAGAGCCUUGCGAAGAAGUUAGAGAUUGGUUUAGUGAAAAUUGGUCCAAAGAUGAGAGAGAAUUAUUAGAAAGAUCCAGAUACCACAAACUUUUCUUCCACACCCAAUUUGGCACUGCACCACUUAUUUUGUUAUUUGAAAGGUCAAGAUAUUCUAAACUAUUUUGACUCUUUAAAAACUCUGGAAACAUACUUAGGUUACAGAAUUGUAAACCUAAGUAUCUCAACAUUGGAAAAGAGAAGUUUGCAUCACCAAAAGGAAUCUCUUUUGGAAAAUCAAUUGCAUUGAAAGAGAGGAAUAAGGUUGAAAGAGUGGUCUUCCACAACCAAUUAGGUAUAAAACCAUGGAUUUGGUGGUCAGAAAGAUAUAAAGAAGCCAACUUGUCUUGUGUUUUGAUGAAUUCUGGAAAUUCAGUAAGGUUGCAUGAACUUAGGCCUAGCUCCUCUAAUUGGGGAAAAGUAAGGAUUGUGAUGUUCUUUUCAAUUGAUAAGCUCAUGUUGGAAAGGUCAAGGUGCCUUAAGUUCUUGAGUUGGAAAAACAUGUCAAGCUUCUUGGAACUAAAGCUAUUGUAUCCUAAAGACAAUGCUUCAAUCAAGGAGGAAGAUGCAUUGGGGAACUCACCAAUUUCACCAAUCAAUUGAUUUUCCCCAAGAAACAGGGUAUGCAAUGAUGGGAGAGUAAAUAAAGAAGAAGGAAUUGAGCCAGAGAGGUGGUUCCCCUGCAAAUGAAGAUAUGCAAGAUUUGGAACUCCAGAUCUAUGAAAUGCAGGGAUAAAACCAUUGAAAUUGUUAUAGGAUAUAUCCAGUUCCACAAGGUUAGUAAGAUUUGCAAUUGAUGAUGGAAUUUGUCCAAAGAAAUUGCACCAACUGAGAUCUAAAUUUGUCAAGAGCUUAAGAUUACCAAUUGUUUCUGGCAGUUUUCCACUGAAAUUUGUAGAAGAAAUUUUUAAGAUCCGUAAAGCAUUGUUUAAUGAAAAUUCUGGCAACUGACCUCCGAGAGCGUAAUUUUCUGAAAUGUCAAUGCUUUGUAUUUUUGGCAACGAAAGAACUUCUGUUGGAAAAUCCCCGCUCAAAUUGCAAUUCACUAAACUGAGAGAAACCAAAGGAGAGGAAAUUUCCAAGAAAUUGGGAGGUAAAUAAGAGAUUGAAUUCCCACCGAGGAAAAGUUUGGAAAGAAAAGGAAGUCUUAAGAGUGAAGAACAAAAUGGACCUGUCAAACCACAAUUUGACAAACUUAACACAUGCAGGUUACCAAGAACUAUGGAUGUGGCUGGACACCAUUCGGUACUUUGAGUUGAAAUGUUCACACUAUCCAAGUAUAGCUCUGUAAGUAGCUUCAAAUUUUGGAUGAAUGUCUUGAAAUUUGGGUUUUCUAGUUUAAGAGGUUGUUUAAAUCCAGAAGGCAGUGGGUAUCUUAGAUAGCAAGAAUCUUGAUUAGAUAGAUCAAGAGAGACUAACCUUGUUAAGUAUGAAAUCUCCAUUGGAAUUUGACCAUUGAAACAUGAGUUUGAAAGGUUGAGAUGAGUUAGAUUUGGGAGUCUAUCAAACUCAUAUUGAAACAAAGCGGUAUUAAAAUUGUUUCCAGCAAGAUUAAGGAGUUGAAGAUGAUGGAGCUUGAAAAUGGAGUAAAAGCUGCCAGAAAGGUCUCUAUAACUGAGAUCAAUCCCAAUCACAUGACCAAUAACAUCACAUGUAAUUCCUUUCCAAAAGCAACAAUCAGUGUUGAGAUCCCAAAGCUCAGCUUUGGAAGAGAAAGUAAAAUUGGGGGCAUAAUAAAGAUCAUGGUGCAAUUGUAGCAGAGCAGAUCUCUGGUCAUCAAGGCAUUGUUUUUGGAGAUGAGUAUGAGAAGGGGAAAAAGAUAACACAAGAGAUAAAGAGCAUGAGAAGAGAAAUAAGGUAGGCAAAAAGAGUAGAAUUAGGAUAUGAAGAUUCUUCAUGUUUUGCUAGCUCUCUAUGGAAAAAAAAUGAAGGGAAGAUUGUGGAGUUUAAGAUUUGCAUACACGGUAUUUAUAGACAAGUACUUCAUAUUACAUACUGUUAUUGUAGUUAUAUAUCUCCCUUGAUAUCAAGGGAUAGGUUCAAAUGCAUUUUUCCAACCACGUGUUUGUACAAAUCUUGAGUUUGAGCUUUUUCUAUAAGAGUUGAAUCAAAAUAGGUGGAAGACAAACAUAUUUAUUGGUUGUCCAUUUGAAUUUUAAAGAAUGAAUAAUGGGUUUCAAUGAUGAUGAAGCUGAUAGUUUUACUUUUGUAAAUUAAUCUUUAUCACUAUAUUCUUUCCUUUAUUCCCACUUUUUAUUUCAUAUUAUGCAUUUGUACAAAAAAUAAAUAAAUAAAUAAAUAAAUUUUCUCAAAGUUAGGUGAUGUAUAUUGGUAACAAAGAAUCCUCUCCGCUAAUAAAAAAAAAAGUGAAAAAUUUCAUUAAACUUGAUUCUGAAGGGAAGUAAAACUUACAAAGAUUUAUUAUUUAACUCAACUAUGUUAUUUGGAAUUAAAUGGAACAUUUUUUUUUUAGAAAAAUUCUAAUUAAUAAGUUUGUUUCUUCUUAUUUUUCUCCGAUGAAUUUCCUUUUGUUCUCUCGAUCAAAUUCCUUAUACAUAUUGUUUCUUUCUAAAUAAGCAUUCAGAGAAAAGAAUAAUUACUGUAACAAUUUUGUCUUUAUAAAAUUCUUUGGUCUACAGUAAUGUUUAGUCAUCCUGGCACCAAUAGAUUAACAAUUAAGAAAAAGGGAUAUCGUUUAGUCAUAUUGAUACCGUUUGGUGCAUUUUUUUUUUAUUGCAAAACCUGUUGUAAUAUCACAUGUUGUAAAAAUAUUGUCCACCUAACCUGAAAAUCUAAAGCAAAAGUAUGAAUGAAAUGAAACAAAUUCAAAAGAUGAAAGCAUGCAGGAAAUAUCUAGCCAACAAAGUGAAAGUGCUGAAACUCAGUUUCCACGAUUUCGCUUGUAUAUUGAUGUCAAGACAGAGGAAAUAACGGUAGACAGGAGCUUAGCUUUUGACCGUGCUUCACCUUUCCAUCCAUUUCAUCAGAUUUAAUUGAUUGCUUCUCUCUUGGACUUCAUUUAGAGAUGGCAAUAUAUACUAAAUAAUCAUAUAUUUGGUAUUAUCUAAUUUGUUUCUGUUCUGAUAAAAAAUUUAUAAAUGGAGAAUUAUGAUUUUGGAUAAUAGGUUUACUAUUUGUGAUGGAUAUUAAUAGAAUUUAGAUAGUACUUCUCAAAUAUCAAAUAUCUAAAUUUAUUUAAAUUUUAAUAAAUAGUAUCAAAUAUUUGAAUUCCUUAUUAAUUCAUAUAUGCAAAUUAUAUAAAAUUUUAUAGUUGUGAAAAGUUUUGAAUGUUAACAAAUAACUUUUAUUUUAUAUAUACUAAAAUUGAACUUGAAUUUUAAAAUUAAUUUUUUUUAUUUUAUAUUUUAAUAAAAAAAACUUAAAUAAUCGAAUAUUUUAACGAUUUAGAUAUUUAACGGAUAAUGCUUAUUUAAAUAGAUUUAGAUUCGAAUAUUGAAUCUAAAUUUAAUUAAUUAUUUAAAUGGAUUCGAAUGUAAUGAAAAUUAAAUAAAUUUAUAUACAAAUACCUCAAAAAUAACAAAAUCUUUUAUUUAAUUUUGAGAAUUUAAAACAACAUAUUAAUAAUAUAAUAUUGAAUUUAUACAUCAUGUGUAUAAUACUUUCUUAUUAUUUUUUUUUUAAUAUUGUUAAUGAAUAUUGGUCUGGAUCGUGUGAACUUAGAAUAUAUAGAUUCAUAUUUUAUAUUUCGAAAUACUUCAAAUAAAAACAUUAACCAAUAUUAUUUUUAAUGAUAAUGAACCUUAAUAGUAAUGAAUAUAUAAGUGAAAGUUACAAAUGAGAACACUAGAAAUAUGAAAGGGACAAAAUGAUUGUUUUUUCAUAGAACAAACAUUAAUGGGAUUUUCUAUUAAUAAAUUAGUCUUGAAUUUAUCAUGCACGGGUUUUUCUUGUUCUUGCCUCGUACACAUAUGUUUCUUGCUUUGCUUUGUCUAAUGUUGUUGGUCUAAAGUUGUUUCCUCUUUUUUAAAAGAACUUUAGAAUUGGUCCAAAGCUGCUUUGUCUAAGGUCAGAAAUUUCUCUCUUCCUUCCAUCAACUACCUCAUAACAAAACAAAAAAUAAAAUAAAUACUUAUAAAAAAAAUAUUAAUAAUAGGAUAAUUUUUUAAUUUAAAAUUCAUCUCAAUUGAUUCAUAUAAUUAUUAUUGAAAUAUAAUAUCUAACAAGUUUAAAGUUCAAUUUCUCACGUAUAUAACACCAUCUCUUUUCAUAGACCACGGCUUUUUUUCCUUUAAUUAUAAUAAUUUUAUUUCUAUACAAUAUUAUAUGUUAUCUUUGCAUUGGUGUUGUUUUAUACUAUUUAAAGUUUAUAGCCUUUGUAAUUUCUUACAAGCAAAGUCAUUCAAAAGACAAAAAUGGAGAAUGAACAUUGGGCACACCAGGCACUAGUGAAGUCAGAAAAAGGACAUCAUUUGGUGCAUUUUUUGUUUCAAUCCCAUUGUCACGCUACACAAUAAAUUAAUAGGAACUUUUCUCUUUUCUUUUUUUUUUUUCUAAAUUGUUCAAAAGGGAAUUUAAUUUAAAUUGUUCAAAAUUAAAUAAUAAGUGUUCAACUUCAAUGUUUAAUUAGACUACAUAUUAUCAUCUUUACGAGAUUAUACUUAUCUUUCCAUAUGUCUUCAAUCAUCACUUCUAAGUUUUUUUUUUUGUUAUUUAUUUCUUAUUUUCAAUUCAUUUCUAAUUAGUAAUUAAUUAUACUUUUAUUAUCUCAUUUUCUUUAUCUAUCAUUUCCUAUUUGGAUAUUUUAAAAAUUAUCAUCUUUGCAUUUUGCAACACAAAAUACUUUUACUUUUAUGUACGAGUAUAUUCCAAAAUCAUUUUGAUUUUUUAAUACAUUUUUAUAUUUAAAACCUCAAAAUAUAAGUUUUAUCUAAUAAACUUAAGUUUUUAAUAUAAAAUACCUCAAGUCUAAUAAGUAAUAUUCUUAAAUACCAUAAAAAUCAAAUAGAGAAAAUGCAAAUUUGAUGGAGGGAAUAUAAAUAAAAUUUUAAUGUAAAAAUUUUUAAAAAAAGAAAAUGAUAUGUAUAUAUAAUUUGAAUAAUUUCUGUAAUUGUAAUGAACCUUAAUAUUAACAAUAUCUAAAAAUUAAAAAUGUGAAAUCACUCAUAUAUAUAUAUAUAUAUAUAUAUAUAUGAAAGGGAGAAAAUGAUUGUUUUUGCAUAGUACAACAAUUAAUGGGAUAUUGUGCUAAUGAAUUAGUCUUCAAUUCAUUAUUCAUACAUGCUUUUCUUGACUCUGCGUCGUACACAUAUGUUUCUUGCUUUGCUUUACGUGUCUCAUGAUUCAUGAAACCACUCAAGUCUCAGCGAAGGCUUGACUCUUCAAUAUGUUUCUUGCUUUGCUUCAUGUGUUUCAUGAUUCUUGAAACCACUCAAGUCUCAUAGAAGACUUGACUUCAUCAAAGAAGUGAGGAGACAAAAGCAAACUCAUAAUAUUAGUAUAAUAUAAAUGUGAAUCAUAAUUGUUAUUAAUUAGCUCUCUUAUUACCAUUUUCAUUGAUGAUGAUGAAUUAUAAUUACCUGCACAAUGAUAUAUAUAUAUAAAUAUAUAUUAUUUGAAUACAAAAAUAGAACUUUACUCAAAUGGUUUAUUUACUUCUCUUAAAAAGUGAAUACUUAUAAAAUAAGGUUUAAUUUUCAGAACUUAUAAACUUAUGCGAAUGGCAAAUUGAUAAUUUUUCAAUUAGGGAAAAUCCAAUUUAACCCAAAAUCAUCUUUAGUAAACUUAUUUUAUUAUUGUAUUAUACAACUUAAAAGUGAUAUUUCUACCAUUUAUCGUAAAAAUUUAUAAUAUAAAUAUAUACUUAUAAUAUAUAAAUACAUAUAAACACACAUUUAUAUAUAUCAAUUCUAUAAAAAAGAAAAUAUACAUAUAUAUAUAAUAGGAAUCCACUUACACUAAUAUAACUUUACACUUUUUAGAUUCUUAGAUUAAAAUUAAAUUUAUGACUCAUUUGAAUAGUAAUAAUAUUUUUAAAUUUUGAUCCAAGUAUAAAAAAAAAUGUAUAAAAAUUAUACUAGUGUAAGUAGAUUUUUUACGCACACACAUACAUAUAUGAAAGGUAUUAGAAAUUAUGGGUCAACGUGUCAUUAUCUAACUUAAGUAAAUCUCUUUUGAUUCAUUUAAAAGAUAAUUAUGAUUUAAUAUUUAUUGCUUGUUAAAACUCCUAUUGAUCAAAUAAAAACUAAAAAGAGAGUUAUUUUGUUAAUAACUCAUACAUUAAUAGAGUGUAUGAAUAAUAAUUAUUAAUUAAAGAAACAAAAAUUAUUCCUCUCUCUACCUAUAAAUUAAUGUAUUCUAUCUGAUGAUUAAAAUGUUAUUUUCGGGUAUAUGCUCCAAUGCUCAAAUUAGUAAGGUAUAUCAGAAGUAAGUAAAUAAGAGAGAGCAAAAAGCAGUUAAAAAAAGUAAAGAGAGUUGAGUAGUGAAUCACAUGUCUGGAAAGAUUCUACCUUUUCUACCUUGUGGGUGGCAACGUCGCUAAGACCUACUAUGUAGCUAUUGAAAUGACCACUUAAGUGUAACACUAAUGAAGAGCUUAAAAGAUAAUAAUAUUUUCGUUAAAGAUGAUCAAAGAAAUGAAACGGGAGAAAUGCUACAUUUAGAUGUUAUCAUUAGAAUGAUUAAUAAGUUCUCUACCGUAAAAGAUGAUAAAAGUUUAUUAUAAAUUUAACUAUAAAUAAAAGGAUAAACUUUAAAAAAGUUAUAUAUAUAUAUAUGUCAAACUUUGGAUAAUUAUAAGCCACAAAGUAAAAGUUUUUUAAAAAAUCAACAUGAUUGUUACAUUGAAAUAGGUAUUAUAAUUUGAGAAUGUAAUAUUGCAUAUCAUAUUGUAUCCUAAAUAUAUUAAAUAAUUUUUAAAAUUAAUUAUAAAUAAUAUAUAUAAAUAUACAAUACUUUUUUUAAAAAAUACUAUACAUAUUUAAUGAGAUUGAGUGAUUAAUGGAUAUAAACAAAAAGAUAUAAUUAUUUUUCAAACUCCUGACAUAUUGUGUUUCAAAAAAAUAUUUAUAUUUGAUACAUUGUUAAUAUAGAAAUAUUAUAUAUAAUAAGUAAAUCAUGAAAAUAUAUUUUAUAAAAAAUUGAUAUUUUAAUUUUAGACUCAUAAAAAUAAUGAUAGUAUGAGAUCUUUUCUAUUGGUAUUUAGUGUUUUCUUUGCUUUAUACUUUUAAAUCUUCCCAUCAUGAAAAUGCUAAGCUUUCCUGCCCCAUCAUUACUUUAUGAAUAAUAAUCUUUCUUGUAGUUUACUUAAGUCAAGUUUGUCUUUUAAAAAAGACAAAAAAAAAUAGUAAUUUACUCAAUGAAGGCUGUCAUUUAUCUUCCAACUAACUGGGAAUGGGUUUUAAGUUUAGUAAUUAUUAGUACUAUAUUUUAAUCUUUUCAAUGACUUAGACCAAAGCAAACGCUAAUAUUAUUAUUUUUGAAAAGUAAAGAUGGGAGCAAAAAGACCAAUACGCUUGCGUGCUUCAUACCAAGACAAAGUAUAACAAAGAUGCUUAAUAUUCUUUACAUAUAAGAAGAAAUCCUACUAUAAACAAUAUUACAUAAUUAGCUAAUAGUGUUAUUUAUAUAUCCGUGGGAAAGAAUCUCUCCACUACUAAAAAAUAAUGAAAAUUGUCACUAAGCUUGACGUCUGAAGGGAAGUAAAACUUGCAAAGAUUUAUCGGUCAAGUCAACUCUGUUAUUAUGUUAUUAACUGAAACACUUCUCUUUUGAAAAUUCUAAUUAAUAAUUUUGGUUAUUCUUCUUCUUCAAUUCAAAGUUUGAAUCUCCAUUUGUUCCCUCCAUCAACUUCCUCAUAUUUAGCAUUUAUUUUUUUCUAAAUAAGCAUUCAGAGAAAAGAAUAAUACCGUAACAAUUCUGUCUUUAUAGUAGUAUGCGUUAUUCUUUGAUCUGUAAUAAAGUUUAGUCAUCCUGGCACCGUACCAUUAGAUUAAUUAUUAAGAAAAAGGGAUAAAGUUUAGUCAUAUGGAUAUCGUUUGGUGCAUUUUUUUUGUUGCAAAACCUGCUGUAAUAGGGCAUCACAUGUUGUAAAAAUAUUGCCCACAUUAACUGAAAUUCUAAAGCAAAAGUAUGAAUGAAAUGAAACGAGGGCAAAAGGUGAAAGCAUGCCGGAAACAUUCAGCCAACAAAGUGAAAGUGCUGCAACUGAGUUUCCACGCAUUCAGAUUUCGCUUGUAUAUUGAUGUCAAAGUCAGAGGAAAUAAUUGGAGACAGGAGCUUAGCUUUAGACCGUGCUUCACCUUCCCAUCCAUUUCAUUAGAUUUGAUUAAUUGCUUCUCUCUUGGACUUCAUUUACUGAUGACAAUAUAUACUAAAUAAUCAUAUGUUUGGUAUUAUCUAAUUUGUUUAUAUUCUGAUAAAAAUUUAUAAAUUGAUAAUUAUGAUUUUGGAUAGUAAGUUUAAUAUCUGUAAUGGAUUUGGAUAGGAUUCUGAUAUUAUUCUUUAAAUAUCAAAUAUCUUAUCCGUUUAAAUUUUAAUAAAUAUUAUCGAACAUCGGAAUCCAUUAUCCGUUUACAUAUAUAAAAUUUUUAAAUCUUAACAAACAACAUUUAUUUGUUAUUUAUUAAAAUUGAACUUGAAUUUUAAAUUUAAUUUAAUUUAUUUUAUAUUUUUACAAAAAAACUUAAAUAAUCAAAUAUUUUAACGAUUUAGAUAUUUAGCAGAUAAUGCUUAUUUAAAUAGAUUUAGAUUCGGAAAUCAAAACUAAAUUUAAUUAAAUAAUGGAUUCUAAUAUAAUGAAAAUUAAAUAAAUUCAUAUACAAAUACCUCAAAAAUAGCAAAAUCUUUUUAUUAAUAUUGAAAAUUUAAAACAACAUAUUAAUAAUAUAAUACUGAAUUUAUCAUAAGUAUAGUACUUUUUAUUAUUUUUGUUUUUAAUAUUGUUAAUGAAUAUUGGUUUGGAUAGUAUGAACUUAGAAUAUAUAGAUUCAUAUUUUAUAUUUUAAAAUACUUCAAAUAAAAAUAUUAACCAAUAUCAUUUUUAAUGGUAAUGAACCUUAAUAUUAAUGAAUAAGUGAAAGUCACAAAUGUGAACAUUAGAAAUAUGAAAGGGACAAAAUGAUUGUUUUUUCAUAGAACAAAAAUUAAUGGGAUUUUCUAUUAAUGAAUAAGUCUUCAAUUCAUCAUGCAUGAGUUUUUCUUGUUCUUGCCUCGUACACAUAUGUUUCUUGCUUUACUUUGUCUAAUGUUGUUGGUCUAAAGUUGCUUUGUCUAAGGUCAGAAAUUUCUCUCUUCCUUCCAUCAACUACCUCAUAACAAAACAAAUAAAUAAAAUAAGUACUUAUAAAAAAAAUAUUAAUAAUAAAAUAAUUUUUUAAUUUGAGAUUUAUCUUAAUUGAUUCAUAAGUUAUUGUUGAAACUUAGUAUCUAACAUGUUUGAAGUUCAAUUUUUCAUGUCUAUAACACCUUCUCUUCUCAUAGACCAUGAUUUUUUUUUUUAAAUUAUAAUAAUUUUUUUCUAAAUAAUAUUAUAUGUAAUCUUAGCAUUGGUGUUGUUUUAUGCUAAUUAAAGUUUAUAGCCUUUGUAAUUGCUUACAAGCAAAGUCAUUCAGAAGACAAAAAUGGAGAAUGAACUUUGGCACACCGGGCACUAGUGGAGUCAGAAAAAGGACAUCGUUUGGUGCAUUUCUUGUUUCAAUCCCAUUGUCACGCUACGCAAUAAAUUAAUAGGAACUUUUCUCUUUUUUUUUUUUUUUUCUCUAUAUCGUUUAAAAGGGAAUUUAAUUUAAAUUGUUCAAAAUUAAAUAAUAAGUGUUCAACUUCAAUGUUUAAUUAGACUACAUAUUAUCAUCUUUACGAGAUUAUACUUAUCUUUCCAUAUGUCUUCAAUCAUCACUUCUAAGUUUUUUUUUUUUGUCAUUUAUUUUUUUAUUUUCAGUUCAUUUUCUAAUUCGUAAUUAAUUAUACUUUUAUUAUCUCAUUUUCUUUAUCUAUCAUUUCCUAUUUGGAUAUUUUAAAAUUAUCAUCUUUGCAUUUUGCAACACAAAAUGCUUUUACUUGUAUGUAUGAGUAUAUUCCAAAAUUAUUUUGAUUUUUAAUACAUUUUAUAUUUAAAACCUCAAAAUAUAAGUUUUAUAUAAUAAAUUUAAGUUUUAAUAAAAUACACAAAAGUCUAAUAAGUAAUUUUCUUAAAUACCAUAAAAAUCAAAUAGAGAAAAUGAAAAUUUGAUGGAGGGAAUAUAAAUAAAAUUUUAAUGUGAAAAAUUAAAAGAAAAUGAUAUGUAUAUAUAAUUUGAAUAACUCCCGCAAUUGUAAUGAACCUUAAUAUUAAUAAUAUAUAAAAAUUAAAAAUGUGAAAUAACUGAUAUAUAUAUAUAUAUAUAUAUGAAAGGAAGAAAAUAAUUGUUUUUGCACACUACGACAAUUAAUGGGAUUUUUUCUUCAAUUCAUUAUUCAUGCAUGUUUUUCUUGUCAUUGUGUCGUACACAUGUUUCUUGCUUUGCUUUAUGUGUCUUAUGAUUCAUGAAUCCACUCAUGUCUGAGCGAAGACUUGACUUCUUCAAAUAAUUGAGGAGACAAAAGCAAACUCAUAAUACUAGUAAAAUAUAAAUGUGAAUCAUAAUUAUUAUUAAUUAGCUCUCUUAUUACCAUUUUAUUGAUGAUUAUGAAUUAUAAUUACCUGCACAAUGAAAUAUAUAUUACAUGAAUAAAAACAUAGAGUUUUAUUUAAAUGGUUUAUUCAUCUCUCUUAAAAAGUAGAUUCUCCUAAGAUAAGAUUUAAUUUUCAGUAUUUAUAAAUUUUCGUUUCUUAAUUUUUCCUAAAUUUUUAUCUCUUUUGUACUUAAGCUUAAUUGGCAAGUUUUCAAUUAGGUAAAAUCCAAUUUAACCCAAAAUUAUCUUUAUUAAACUUAUUUUAUUACUGUAUUACAUAACUUAAAAGUGAUAUUUCUAUUAUUAUACUUGAAUAAAUUUAUAUAAUCGUAAAAUUUUAUAAUAUAAACAUAUACUUAUUAUAUAUAAACAUAUAUAAACACACAUGUAUAUACAUAUCAAUUCUGUAAAAAAGAAUAUAUAUAAAUAUAUAUAUAAAUAAUAAAAAUUCACUUACACUAGUAUAAUCUUACACUUUUUUGGACCCUUUGAUAAAACUUAAAUUCAUAAAUCAUUUGAAUCAUAAUAAUAUUUUUAAAUUUAGUAAUUUUGAUCUAAGUAUCCAAAAAAGUAUAAAAGUUACAUUAAUAUAAGUAGAUCUUUCAUAUAUAUAUAUAUAUUUAUUAUAUAUAUAUAUAUAUAUAUACAUAUAUAUGGAAGGUGUUAGAUAUUAUGUACUCAACGUGUCAUUAUCUAACUUAAGAAAAUAUCUUUUGAUUCAUUUAAAAGAUAAUUAUGGUUUAAUACUUAUUAUUGCUAAAACUCUUAUGAUCAAAUAAAAACUAGUGAGAGUUAUUUUGUUAAUAACUCCUACAUUGAUGGAACAUAUGAAUAAUGAUUAUUGAUUAAAGAAAGAAAAAUUGCUCCUCUCUUUGCCUAUAAAUUAAUAAUCAAGAUGUUAUUUUGGGGCAUAUACUCCGAGACUCAAGGUAGUAAGGUAUAUCAGAAGCAAGGUAAUGAGAGAGAGCAGGAAGCAAUUAAAUAGAGUAAAGAGAGUUUAGUAGUGAAUCACAUAUUUGGUUUGAUUCUACCUUUUCUAUCUUAUGGGUGAUGACGUGGAUAAAUGGGCUUCCAUGUGUAAGACCCAUUAUAUGACUACUGACAUUACCACAUAACUGUAACAAUAAUGAAGUGCUUAAAAGGUAAUAACAUUUUUGUUAAAGAUUAAAAAAGAAAAUGAGACAGAAGAAAUCCUACAUUUAGACGUUACCAUUAAAGUGAUUAAUAAGUUCUUUAUUGUGAAAGAUGAUAAAACUUUAUUGUAAAUUUAAUUGUAAAUAAAAAGGACAAACUUGAAAAAGUGUUAUAUAUAUGUCGAAUUUUGGAUAAUUAUAAACCAUGAAAUAAAAGUCCAAAAAAGAAUAUCAAUAUAAUUAUUAAAUUGAAAUAGGUACUAUAAUUUGAGAAUAUAAUAUCAAGUAUCAUAUCGUUUUGUAAAUAUAAUAAAUAAUUUUAAAAAUUAAUUAUAAAUAAUAUAUAUAUAAAUAUAUAAUAAAAUUUUUAAAAAAUAUUAUACAUAUUAAUGGGAUCGAGUGAUUAAUGAAUAUAAACAAAAAGAUACCAUUAUUUUUCUAACUCUCAACGUAUUUUGUUUUUUAAAAAAAAUUAUAUUUGAUACAUUAUCAAUAUAUAAAUAUUAUAUCCUAUAAGUGAAUCACAUAAUUAUACUUUAUAAAAAUUGAUAUUCUAAUUUUGGACUCACAAAGACAAUGAUAGAAUAAGAUUUUUUUUUAUUGGUAUUUAGUCUUUUCUUUGCUUUAUAUUUUUAAGUCUUCCCAUCAUGCAAAUGUCUUAAGUCUUCUUGCCCCAUUAUUACUCUAUGAAAAAUAAUCUUCUUAGUAGUUUACUCAAGUCAAUUCUGUCUUCUUUUAAAAAAAAAAGCAAUAAUUUACUUAAUAGAGGUUCUCUUUUGUCUUCCAAUUAAAUUGACAAACUAAGAAUAGAUUUGAAAUUUAUUAACUAUUAUUACUAUAUUUUAGUAUUUUUAAUGACUUGAACUGAAGUAAACGCUAAUAUUAUUAUUUUUUUGAAGUAAAGAUUGGGGCAAAAUUAUAGAUACAUUUGCUUGCUUCAUACCAAGACUAAGUAUAAAGCAAAGACUAAGACUUAUCAUUCUUUCUUUGGUUUUCUUUUUCUUUCUAAAACUAAGUAUAAGUCUUAGUCUUUGUCGUUAUACUUAUUUUUGUGAAGUAAAGAUGGGAACAAAAACACUGACACAUUUGCAUGCUUCAUGCCAAGACUGAGCAUAAAGCAAAGACUAAGACUUAUCAUUCUUUCUUUGGUUUUACUUUUCUUUUUAAAACUUCCCUUAAUUUCUAUGAUAAGUCUUAGUCUUUGCGUUAUACUUCCCUUAAUUUCUAUGAUAAGUCUUAGUCUUUGCAUUAUACUUAUUUUUGUGAAGCAAAGAUGGGGGCAAAAACACUGACACAUUUGCAUGCUUCAUGCCAAGACUAAGCAUAAAGCAAAGACUAAAACUUAUCAUUCUUUCUGUGGUUUUACUUUUCUUUUUAAAACUUCCCUUAAUUUCUAUAAUAAGUCUUAGUCUUUGCUUUAUACUUAUUUUUGUGAAGUAAAGAUGGGGGCAAAAACACUGACAUAUUUGCAUGCUUCAUGCCAAGACUAAGUAUAGAGCAAAGACUAAGACUUAUCAUGUUUGUGAAGUAAAGAUGGGGGCAAAAAGAUUGACAUACUUUCAUCCUGCAGUAAUACACAUCCUAAGAAAAUUAGCUUUCCAUGAUUAUCUAUACCAAAUCAUACUCCAAUAAGCAAUCCGUAAGUGAUAGAACAAUAUGUAGUGUCAAAGGUACCAGCAUCACCAAAUACUGUAUAUGCACAAAUAGAAUCCGCAUAUGACCAUGAAAUAUUUUCAACCUUACUAUUUUCAUCUGUAGUAUAAUCAUAAACAAAAUUAGCAUCCCUCUCUGCAUAGCCAUGCAGGCCUCAAGAAGUUCGAAUGUAUCAUUUUCUCUUUUCUCGAUAAGCAAAGCAUCACUUUCCUGAACAAUCUUUUCACAAGUCCGUACAAAAUCCCUAGUAUCCUUCUUGAUAAAAGGCAACUGUCCGGGCUGGACUCCCUUUUCUAAUUCCAAAACCUUCAUAACAAUUUUUUAAAAAGACAGAAAAAAUAACAAUUUUCUCGAUGGAGGUUACCUUUUCUUUUCUAGUUAAAUUGGCAUAUUGAGAAUGGAUUUUAAGUAUAUUAUUAUUAUUAUUAUUAUUAUUAUUAUUAUUAAUUUUAGUUUUUUUAAUGAUUUAGACCGAAGCAACUGCUAAAAUUAUUAUUUUUGUGAAGUAAAGAUGGAGGCAAAAAGACUAACAUUUGCAUGCUUGAUGCCAAGACUAAGUAUAAAGCAAAGACUAAGACUUAGACCAAUACAUUCCUAUGGUAUCUAUUAUUUUCUUUCUUAUUCCACCAUUAUAAAAUCCUAAUUUCCAAAAUAAGUAAGUUUAAGAAGUAAGAAUGAAUGUGUUUUUUAGAUUUUUUUUUUCAAACCUUUCAACAAAAAUAAAACACAAGUUUUUAUUUUGUCGAUUUUUUUUUGCCAAUCAAUUUGUUGAUUAAGCAACUUGUUUUUCAUGCGAUUGUUCCAAAUGUACUUUUAGAUUCAUGGCAUGCUCAUUUUUUUUUUUUUAGUUUUUAUUUUUAAUAUAUUUUUAAAAGAUCCUAUGAUUUAAAAAUUCAAUGAACCAAUAACCAUGUAGUCUGUUAGUAAAAUGCAAAACUUUUAGUUUCAGUAGUUUAAAAUUCAUAUGCUGACAACCUCACAAACCAAAAAAAAAAAGACAAUCUUCUAAUUUCACAAAUUUUUUGUAUACAAGCUAACUUUUAUAUAUAUAUACCAAUUUCUUUAUGUAUGAUUAAUAAAGGAUUUAAAUUUUAUAAAUGGUAUUAGAAUCUCAUAUUUUCUGUAUGUAUGAUAUUUUCUCUUAAUUAUUUUUUUUCAAACCUAAAUGUAACUUUAUUAACUUAUCGAAUAUGAAAAUCUGGAAGUUAUUUAACUUAUCAAAAAUGUAUAUCUAGAAGCUUUAAAAUUAAAAUGAGAUGGAUAAAUAAGUGAUUUCACUUAAAAGAUUUAAAAAAAAAAGUGUAUGUAAAGAAAAAAAAAUGGUAUAUUUAGAAUCACCCAUCACAAAAUUAUACUUUAUAAAAAAUUUUGACAUUCUAAUUUUGGACUCAUAAAGAAAAUGAUAGUAUGAGAUUUUUUUUAUUGGUAUUUAUUCUUUUCUUUGCUUUAUACUUUUAAGUCUUGUCAUCAUGCAAAUGUUUAAGUCUUCUUGCUCCAUCAUUUCUCUUGUGAAAAAUAAUCUUCUUAGCAAUUUGCUUAAGUCAAGUCUAUCUUUUAGAAAAGACAAAAAAUAAAAACAUAGCAAUUUUCUCAGUGGAUGUCAUUUUUUGUCUUUUAGUUAAAUUAGCAAAUUGAGAAUGGAUUUUAAAUAUAUUAAUUAUUAUUGUUAUAUUUUAGUAUUUUUAAUUAUUUAGACUGAAGUAACUACUAAGAUUUUUAUUUUUGUGAAGUAAAGAUGGGGGCAAAAAGACUAACACAUUGGCAUGCUUGAUGCCAAACUAAGUAUAAAGCAACAACUAAUACUUAGACCAAUUCAUUCCCAUAGUAUCUAUCAAUUUCUUUCUUAUUCCACCAUUAUAAUGUCACAAUCUCCAAAAUAGACAAGUUUGAGAAGUGAGAAUGAGUGUGUUCUUUAGAUUUUUUUUUUUCAAACUUUUCAACAAAAAUAAAACAUAGGUUUUUAAUUUGUUAUUUUUUCUUUUGCUAAUCAAUUUGUUGACUAAGCAACUUGUUUCUAAUGCUUUUGUUCCUAAUGUACUAUUAGAUUUCAUGGUGUGUAUUUUUUUUAUUUUUUAUUCUUAUUAUAUUUUAAAUAGAUCCUAUGAUUUAAAAAUUCAAUGAGCCAACAACUAUGUAGUAUGUUAGUAAAAACUAAACUCUUAUUUUCAGUAGUUUAAAAUUCAAAUUCUAACAGCCUCAAAUAAAAAAAAAGAAAAAAUCUUUUGAUUUCACAAUUUUCAUGUAUAUUUCAAUUUCUUCACAUAUGAUUUAUAGAGGAUUUAAAUUUUAUAAAUAGUAUUAGAAUCUUAUGCUCUUUAGAUAUUUUCUGUCAACUAUCUUUUUCCAAACCUAAAUGUAAUUUGUUUUAAAUUACCAGAUAUGAAAACCCGUAUGUUCUAUAACUUAUCAUAAAUGCAUAUCUAGAAGUUUUAAAAUUAAAAUGAGAUGGAUAAAUAGGUAAUUUCACUUAAAAAUUAAAAAAAAGUAGAUGUAGGGAAAAAUGAUGAUGUACUUAGAAUCACCCAUCACAAAAUUAUACUUUUAUAAAAAGUUGAUAUUUUAAUUCUGGACACACGUAGAGAAUGAUAGUAUGAGAUUUUUUUAUUGGUAUUUAGUCUUUUCUUUGCUUUAUUCUUUUGAGUCUUCCCAUCAUGCAAAUGUCUAAGUCUUCUUGCCCUAUUAUUAGGCUAUGAAAAAGAAUUAUGAUAGGGCAAGAAAACUUAAACAUUUGCAUGAUGGGAAGACUUAAAAUUAUAAAGCAAAGCAAAGACUAAAUACCAAUAAAAAAAAUCUCAUCCUAUCAAUUUCUUUGCGAGUCCAAAAUUAGAAUAUCAAUUUUUUUUUAAUAAAGUAUAAUUUUGUGAUGGGUGAUUCUAAAUACACCAUCAUUUUUUUCUCUACAUUUACUUUUUUCUUAAUUUUUAAGUGAUAUUACUUAUUUACCCAUCUCAUUUUAAUCUUAAAGUUUUUAAAUAUGCAUUUUUGAUAAGUUACAUAACUUAUUGGAUUUUCAUAUCCGAUAAGUUAAAAAAAGUUACAUUUAGGUUUGAAAAAAAAGGUUAAGAGAAAAUAUCUUAUAAAAAGUAUGAGAUUCUAAUACCAUUUAUAAAAUUUAAAAACUCCAUUAAUCAUAUGUGAAGAAAUUGAACUAUAUAUAUAAAUAAAUUACCUCGUAUACAUGAAAUUUGUGAAAUCAAAAGAUCAUCUUUUUUUUUUUUGUAUGCGAGGUUGUUAAGAUUUGAACUUUAAACUACUAAAAUUAAAAAUCCAACAUUUUACCAACAAACUACAUGGUUAUUGGCUCAUUGAAUUUUUAAAUUAGAGGAUCUCUUUAAAAUAUAUUAACAACAAAAAAAAACUAAAGAAAGAAAUACAUAUACCAUAAAAUCUAAUAGUACAUUAAGAACAAAAAGAUGAGAAACAAGCUACUUAAUCAACAAAUUGAUUGGCCAAAAUAAUCAAUAAAUUAAAAGCCUGUGUUUUAUUUUUGCUGAAAAGUUUGAAAAAAAAAUCUAAAGAACACAUUCAUUCUCACUUUAUAAACUAGUCUAUUUUGGAAAUUGUGAUUUUAUAAUGGUGCAAUAAGAAAGAAAAUGAUAGACACUAUAGGAAUGUGUUGGUCUAAGUCUUAGUCUUUGCUUUAUACUUAGUCUUGACAUCUUUUUACACCCAUCUUUACUUCACAAAAGUAAUAAUCUUAGCAGUUGCUUCAGUCUAAAUCAUUAAAAAGACUAAAAUAUAACAAUAAUAAUUAAUAUACUUAAAAUCCAUUCUCAGUCUACUAAUUAAAGUGGAAGAUAAAAGAUAAUUUCCAUUGAGAAAAUUGCUAUGUUUUUUUUUCUAAUCUUUUUUAAAAGACAUACUGGACUUAAGCAAACUGUUAAGAAAAUUAUUUUUUCACAAGGUAAUGGUGGGGCAAAAUGACUUAAACACUUGCAUGAUGGGACAACUUAAAAGUAUAAAGUAAUGAAAAGAAUAAAUACCAAAAAAAAAAAACUCAUAUUAUCAUUUUCUUUGUGAGUCCAAAUUAGAACAUCAAUUUUUUUUAUAAAAGUAUAAUUUUGUGAAGGUCGAUUCUAAAUACACCAUCAUUUUUUUUCUACAUAUACUUUUUUUUUUAAUUUUUAAGUGAAAUUACUUAUUUAUCCAUCUCAUUUUAAUUUUAAAGCUUCUAGAUAUACAUUUAUGAUAAGUUAUAUAUCUUAUUAAAUUUUCAUAUCUGGUAAGUUAAAAAAAGUUAUAUUUAGGUUUAGAAAAAAAUAAUUAAUAGAAAAUAUCUUAUAGAAAGUAUGAGAUUCUAAUACCGUUUAUAAAAUUUAAAUCCUCUAUUAAUCAUAUGUGAAGAAAUCAAUAUAUAUAUGUGUGUGUGUGUAUAUAUAUAAUUAUCUCAUAUACAUGAAAUUUGUGAAAUCAUAAUAUUAUCUUCUUUUUUUUUGUAUGUCAGGUUAUGAGGAUUUGAACUUUAAACUAUCAAACUAGGAAUUCAAUAUUUUACUAAUAAAUUACAUGGUUAUUGGCUCAUUGAAUUUUUAAAUCAGAGAAUCUCUUUCAAAUAUAUUAACAAGAAGAAAACUAAAAAAAUAAAAUAAUGUAGACACCAUGAAAUCUAAUAGUACAUUAGAAAUAAAAACAUGACAAACAAGUUGCUUAAUCAACAAAUUGAUUGGCCAAAAAAAAAAACCAACAAAUUAAAAACCUAUGUUUUAUUUUUGUUGAAAAGUUUGAAAAAAAAAAUCUAAAGAACACAUUCAUUCUUACCUUUGAAGCUUGUCUAUUUUGAAGAUUGUGAUUUUAUAAUGGUGGAAUAAGAUAGAAAAUGAUAGAUACGAUGCGAAUGUAUUGGUUUUAGUCUUUGCUUUAUACUUAGUCUUGGCAUCAAAUAUGCAAAUGUGUCAAUCUUUUUGCCCCUAUCUUUACUUCACAAAAAUAAUAAUUUUAGCAGUAGCUUCAGUCUAAGUCAUUAAAAAUACUAAAAUAUAACAAUAAUAAUUAAUAUACUUAAAAUCUAUUGUCAAUCUACUAAUUUUACUAGAAGACAAAAGAUAACCUCUAUUGAGAAUAUUGCUAUGUUUUCGUAAGAUUUUUUUUAACUAUUUUUUUUCUAAACCUAAAUGUAACUUUUUUUAACUUACUGAAUAUGAAAAUCUGGUAAGUUGUAUAAUUAUAAAAAAUAUAUAUCUAGAAGCUUUAAAAUUAAAAUGAAAUGGAAAAAUAAGCGAUUUCACUUACAAAUUAAAAAAAAAAAAAGAUGUAUGUAGAGAAAAAAAAUGAUGGUGUUUUUGAAAUCACCUAUCACAAAAUUAUACUUUAUAAAAAAAAUUGAUAUCUAAUUUUGGACUUACAAAGAAAAUGAUAGUAUGAGAUUUUUUUUAUUGGUAUUUAUUCUUUUCUUUGCUUUAUACUUUUAAGUCUUCCUAUCAUGUAAAUGUCUAAGUCUUCUUACCCCAUCAUUACUCAAUCAAAAAUAACUUUCUUAGCAGUUUGCUUAAGUCAAGUCUAUCUUUUAAAAAAGAUAAAAACAUAGCAAUUUUCUCAAUGAAGGUUGUCUUUUUGUCUUCCAUUUAAAUUAGCCUGAGAAUGGCUUUUAAGUAUAUUAAUUAUUAUUGUUAUAUUUCAGUAUUUUUAAUGAUUUAGAUUAAAACAACUGCUAAGAUUAUUAUUUUUGUGAAGUAAAGAUAGGGGCAAAAAGAUUGACACAUUUGCAUGCUUGAUGCCAAGACUAAGUAUAAAGCAAAGACUUAAGACUUAGACCAAUACAUUCCCAUAGCAUCUAUCAUUUUCUUUCUUAUUCCACCAUUAUAAAAUCUCAAGUUCCAAAAUAGACAAAUUUGAAAAGUGAGAAUGAAUGUAUUUUUUAGAAUUUUUUUAAAAACUUUUCAGCAAAACUAAAACACAAGUUUUUAAUUUGUUGAUUUUUUUUGGCCAAACAAUUUGUUGAUUAAGCAACUUGUUUCUCAUGUUUUUGUUCCUAAUGUACUAUUAGAUUUCAUCACAUGUGCAUUUUUUUUUUAUAUUUUUUAGUUUUUAUUAUUAAUACAUUUUAAAGAGAUCUUUGAGUUAAAAAUUCAAUAAGCCAAUAUCCAUAUAGUCUAAUUAGUAAAAUGCUAAACUCUUAGUUUUUUAGUAGUUUAAAGUUCAAAUCUUGACAACUUCACAAAGAAAAAAAAACAAAUUUCUAAUUUUGCAAAUUUCAUGUGUAUGAGAUAAUUUUUAUAUAUUUUGAUUUCUUCACAUAUGAUUAGUAGAGGAAUUAAAUUUUAUGAAUGGUAUUAGAACCUCAUACAUUCUGGAAGAUAUUUUCCUUGAACUAUUUUUUUUAAGCAUAAAUGUAGCUUUUUUUUAACUUAUCAGAUAUAAAAAUCUAGUAAAUGGAAAUGUGAAUUUAGAAGCUUUAAAAAUAAAACUAGAUGGGUAAAUGGUAGUAUCACUAAGAAAAUUAAAAAAAAAAGUGAACGUAGAGAAAAAAAUGAUGGUAUGUUUAGAAUCAUCCAUCUCAAAAUUAUACUUUAUAAAAAACUUGACAUUUUAAUUUUGGACUUCCAAAGAAAUUGAUAGUAAUGAGAUUUUUUUAUUGAUAUUUAGUCUUUUCUUUGCUUUAUUCUUUUUAGUCAUCCAUCAUGUAAUUGUCUAAGUCUUCUUGUCCCAUUAUUACUCUAUGAAAAAUAAUCUUCUUAAUAGUUUGCUUAAGUCAAGUCAAUCUUUUAAAAAAGAUAAAAAGCAUAGCAAUUUUCUUAAGGGAGGUUGUCUUUUGUUUUCCAGAUAAAUUAGCAUAUUAGGAAUGCAUUUUAAGUAUAUUAAUUAUUAUUGUUAUAUUUUAAUCUUUUUAAUGACUUAGACUGAAGGAACUGCUAAGAUUGCUACUUUUGUGAAGUAAAAAUGGGGGCAAAAAGACUUACACAUUUGCAUGCUUGAUGCCAAAACUAAAUAUAAAGCAAAGACUAAGACUCAGACCAAUACAUUCCCAUAGUAUCUAUCAUUUUCUUUCUUAUUCCACCAUUAUAAUAAUAUCACAAAUUUCAAAAUAAACAAGUUUGAGAAGUAAGAAUGAAUGUGUUGUUUAGAUUUUUUUUCGUCAAACUUUUUAGAAAAAAUAAAACAUAUGUUUUCAAUUUGUUGAUUUGUUUUUUUGCCAGUUAAUUUGAUUAUUAAGGAACUUGUUUCUCAUGCUUACCUAAUGUACUACUAGAUUUCAUGGUAUGUCCAUUUUUUUUUUUUUAGUUUUUUUAUUGUUAAUAUGUUUUAAAGAGAUCCUCUCAUUUAAAAUUCAAUGAUGUCUAUUAAUAAAAUGCUAAACUCUUAGUUCCAAUAAUUUAAAGUUCAAAUCUUGACAACCUCAUGUACCACAAAAAAAAAAAAAAAAACAAUCCUUUAAUUUCACAAAUUUCAUUUAUACAAGAUAAUUUUUAUAUAUUUCAACUUAUUCACAUAUGAUUAAUAGAGUUUUUAAUUUUUAUAAAUGGUAUUAGAAUAUUAAUACAUAUCCUAAUAUUUUUAUAUAACUUUUAAUAUAUUUAUAAAAGGGUUUGUGACAACCCUCUAACACUUAUAAUCUAAAAACUCUACAAACUGAUUGCAUGUUCUAAGUUAUAUGAUUCAACAUAUACCAACCAAGUUAAUUAGUAAUUUAAUUGUUUGAUAAAUUUGAAGGUAAAAUGAAUGAAAUUUUUGCAGCCAAUAAGGAAUAUGCUUUUAUUCCCAGAAACAAACCAGAUGAAAUGGAUGAAGGUGAAGAAUGAACUAUUUUGGAACAAGAAAUCACUAGUAUUUGGAUUUUUGAAGCAUUAUAACAUCAAGAAAAUCUGACCACAACAACUAAACAUCUGCAUCAAGUUGCAUAUUUACAUCAGAGCAAUCAAAUGAUUCCACUGAUGUUUUCUCCUCUAUUCCCUCUAAGUGACACAACAUAUCAAACUCAACUUUGAACUCUUCAUACUAUGGCCUAAAUGGUAGAGAGAACCAACUUGAUAAUUUGGAAAGAACAUGCCAUGAACAUAUAACAUGUUCUAUAUUUGCCGAUUCUCUUGCAAUAGCAUCUUUCAGGUUAGAGUCAAUAACCAUUAGAAUCAAUCAACCCAUUUUGAGACCAAUUGUACCAAAAAUAAUUAAGUUAAACAUGGGUUAACUCUAUUAAUUAAUACUGAUAGCCUGAGCUCUUUUCACUAAAAUAACCAUAUCUCAAGAUAUCCAACUUAGAAUUAAGAUCUUUUUAAUACGUUAGAAACUAAAGUCAAUAAGUUUACUAACUAUAUAUGGCCCAUCUCGUGAUUCCUUAUAGAUUAAUUAAACAAUUUUUAUAAUCCAUGUCAUAUGCUGUUGUCAAACAGUAUGUAUACCUUCUAAUAAAAAUUACACAUUUAUUCAUAGGAAACUCAAAAUUCAAUUCCACUUGUUUUGUUGGAAAAUAAACUUAAUAACCUUUUCAAACAUAUAUGGCACAAUUUUUAAUUCCUUGUAUAAAAUUUAAGAUAAUUUUCAUAAUUCAACCUUGAUGAUGCUACCAUAUAGUCUGCAUAUCCUUAAGUAAAAAUUAGACAACUCUACAUAAAAAACUUGGAUUCGACUUCUGUUUAUUUCAUUAAAAAGUAGAUUCAACAUACUUUCCAACAAUAUAUAAUAAUCAUAGCAAUAAUCUAUCCAUUAAUACAUAAUUAUAUUUUAAUUCACUCUUGUAGAUCAUAGCAUCUCAUCUCAAAACAAAAUUUCUACUUCAAUAUUUAAAAACUCAAAUCCCCAUUUUCAGCCUUUAAACUCCAUUCAAUUAUCAUCAAUAAAUCUUAAGAACAUGAAAUAAACAAAGCCUAAUAAUUUACGCAAAUUGAUCAUGAAGAUUAAUGAAAGAUAUCAUAAUUUUCUUGGUUUUUCUCUCAAAACUUUAACUCCAUUUAAAAGCAACCAAAAUAGUAUAUUUAUCUUAAAUAAAAAUAGGGCUUAUGUCACCAUUAAGAGACUAACUCGAAUGUAGUCUCUGAUUUUGGAUUCUAUAUUUGAUUUUCAUGCUUUCUAACCUUAAGGAAGACCGGUAAGAAGAAUUCUCAUUUUCUUUUCUGUUUCAUUAUAACUGGAUUUUUCUUAGUAAAACACCUUAGCCACUUUUUCUUUAAUAAUUAACCUCUUAAUUAACUUAAUGAGCUUUAGUAAUAGUCUAGCCCAAUUAUCAUUUGGGUUGGGUAUUACAAAAUCACAUAUCUAUUUUGAUUCUACCUUUUCUAUCUCGUGGAUGACUACGUGGCUAACUGGGUUUCCAUGUGUUAAACCGACUAUAUGGCUGCUAAUAUUUUUCACUUAAGUGUAACAAUAAUAAAGAGCUUAAAAGAUAAUAGCAUUUUCGUUAAAGAUAAACAAAGAAAAUGAGACGGAAGAAAUCCUAUAUUUAGACGUUACAGUUAAAAUGAUUAAUAAGUUUUCUAUUGUAAAAGAUGAUAAAACGUUAUUGUAAAUUAAAUUCUAAAUAAAUGGAUAAACUUAUAAAAGUGUUACAUAUAUGUCAAACUUUGGAUAAUUAUAAGCCCUGAAGUAAAAGUUUGAAAAAGAAUAUUCGUAUAAUUAUUAGAUUGCACUAGGUAUUAUAAUUUGAGAAUCUAAUAUUAAGUAUCAUAUCGUAUCGUAAAUAUAAUAAAUUAAUUUUAAAAUUAAUUGUAAAUAAUAUAUAAAUAUAAAAAAAAUUAAAAAUAUUAUUCAUAUUAAUGGGAUUGAGUGAUUAAUGAAUAUAAACAAAAAGAUUUAUUAUUUUUCUAACUCUCAACAUAUUUUGUUUUAAAAAUAAUUUAUAUUUGAAACAUUGUCAAUAUAUAAAUAUUAUAUGCUAUAAGUGAAUCACAAAAUUAUACUUUAUAAAAAAUUAUUAUUCUAAUUUUGGACUCACAAAGAUAACAAUAGAAUGAGAUUUUUGUUGGUAUUUAGCCUUUGCUUUUCUUUAUACUUUUAAGUCUUCCCAUGCAAAUGUCUAAGUCUUCUUGCCCCAUCAUUACUCUAUGAAAAAAUAAUUUUCUUAAUAGUUUGCUUAAGUCAAUUCUAUCUUUUGAAAAAGACAAAAAAAUAGUAAUUUACUUAAUGGAGAUUAUCUUUUGUCUUCUAAUUAAAUUGACAAAUUGAGAAUGGAUUUUAAGUGUAUUACUAUAUUUUAGUCUGUUUUAUGACUUAGACCGAAGUAAAUGCUAAUAUUAUUAUUUUUGUGAAGUAAAGAUGGGGGCAAAAAGACUAAACACAUUUGCAUGCUUUAUGCCAAAGACUAAAUCUAAAGCAAAUACUAAGACUUGUCAUUCUUUCUUUGGUUUUACUAUUCCUUUUAAAACUUCCCUUAAUUUCUAUUAAGAUAAGUCUUAGUCUUUCCUUUAUACUUAUUUUUGUGAAGUAAAGAUAGGGAUGCUUCAUGCCAAGACUAAAUAUAAAGCAAAGACUAAGACUUAUCAUUUUUUCUUUGGUUUUACUUUUCUUUUUAAAACUUCCCUUAAUUUCUAUGAUAAGUCUUAGUCUUUGCUUUAUACUUAUUUUUGUAGAGUAAAGAUGAGGGCAAAAAGAUUGACACACUUUCAUCUUGCAGUAAUACACAUCCUAAGAAAAUUAUCUUUCCAUGAUUAUCUAUACCAAACCAUACUCCAAGAAGCAAUCCGUAAGUGAUAGAACACUAUGUAGUGUCAAAGGUACCAGCAUCAACAAAUACUGUAUAUGCUGGAAUAGAAUCUGCAUAUGACCAUGAAAUAUUUUCAACCUUACUAUUUUCAGCCGUAGUAUAAUCAUAAACAAAAUUAUCUUCCCUCUCUGCCAUAGCCUUGCCGGCCUCAAGAAGUUACGAUGUAUCAUUUUCUCUUUUCUCGGUAAGCAAAGCAUCACUUUCUUGAACAGUCUUUUCACAAGUCCGCACAAAAUUCCUUGCAUCCUUCUUGAUAAAAGGCAACUGUCCGCGCUGGACUCCCUUUUCUAAUUCCAAAACUUUCAUGAUACCAUUGACAGGAAACCCGGCUUUGGAGAGUAAAAGAAUUCUUUCCUGAUCUGCUUCCUGUAUUUUCCGAUAUGCCGGAAGCAAACUGACUUGGUCAUCUUCCAAUAAUUCAUGGUUAUUUACAUUACUAAAUUGUGAAACACACCAUUGAGUAACAUCAUGGAUGACUUCUUUUGUGGAAUAAAAUUUUGCAUCACAUCCACAUCGCACUGAAUUCCAGUCUCCCGGAUGCUCCACAUUGACCUUUUUUCUUAGUUGGUUAAACCCAUAUCUAUAACAGAUAAACUCUCGAUGGUAGAUCCCUAAAUUCUAGCUUUCUCUGGAGCAUGCUUUUGUUAUUGAAAAUCCAUUCUUCCGUGCAAAAUUGCUAUAGUACUCAAAAUAAUCAUCAUCACCUUUGAAUAUUUGACAUACAUAUGGCAUAAAGAUAGCUUCUGAUGAUAAGGAUGUUGAAGCUGUCUCAUUCUUUAUUACCUGAGAGUGCUGAAAGCUUACUGAUGUCUGAUCUUCUCCUUCAUACUUAACAUAACACUUCCAAUCACCACAUGGACACUGCUGAUGUCGAAUCCAAAUGUUUUUUGACGGUUUCAUUGUCAUGUUGUGGGAAAAGAAGUGAUAAAUUCCCAACCUUGAUGCUCUUCUUAGUACCUGGAGAAAGAGAAAGCCUUAAGAACUUCAUGAUCUUAGAUUUAUUAUUUGAGAUGAAAGAAAACAAAGACAUCCACCAGAAUAAAAAACAUCUUUUCCAAUAGGGAAGUGAAGGGGCUUAGCAGAAGUCCUGAACACCUUCCAAUUUCAGUAAGGAUAUUUUUCAGUAUAAUUUUUCUCACAUUAAUAAAAUUUUGGCCCCUGCGUGGGUGAGACUAUCGUUGCCCUUCCACAUAAAAGUCCUAUAAAGUGGAAACAGUUUUGUACUGGAAAAUCUUUUAUUCAGGGUAAGUUUUAACCAAAAUUGAAUCGGUAAAUGAUUAAUUUGUUUGUAAUGGAUACUUAUAAAUGCAAUACUUGCCAACUUUUGACUCCAUACCAAAGGGUUAAAGUUUCAAUAUGUCUCCCAACUGCUUAAAAGAAACAACUAAGAGUAUAAAAGAAACUAUAAGUCCCCUUCUAGUUGGAGCUUCUACUUUUUGCUUUUUGCUUUUAGAAGAAUUACUAGAAAGGAAAAGCCAAAGGUGAAAAAAAACAACAAUAUCAUAAUUGAUCUAAAACAGAAAAAAUAAUUAAAAUAUAAAAUCAAUUGUAACACAUUUAAUCUAUAUAGAAGUAGAAUUAUGUAGUUAAUCAUAAAAAAUUUACAUAUUUCAAAAUUUUAUUGCUUAUGGAAAUGCAAUUUUUGCUUUUUUGCUUUCGGAAGCAAAAAGCAAAAAGCAAAAAUCCAAUCAAACGGACUCUAAAUAAGACAAAACAACCAAGAACUUUACAUGGUUCACUAAUACAUUAAUUUUGCAUGAGUAAUUUUAUGUUCUCGAUAGUUCCCUUUUUUAGUAGUUUCUAUUUCUAGUUAUUAACUUAUAUUCUAAUUUUUUUUUAAUUUAAUUUUUAGAAGUUUUUUAGAAAUGAUUUAUGUAUGCACAGUGCUUGAAAUUUACAUUUUAUUUUGCAAUUACUUUAUUGUUUAUAGAAACAUCGUAUGAAGCAUAUUUUUUAAGACUAUGUUUAUGUAUACCAUAUACAUACAUACAUACAUCCAUACAUCCAUAUACACUAAUAUAAGGGCUACUUUUGAUAGUUUUAAUAGUUUAUGUAUAACUCUUAGUUUUAAUAGUUUAAAGUUCAAAUUCUGACAAUCUCAUAUAAAAAAAAUCUUCUUAUUUAAAAAAUUUCUUUUAUGCAAGAUAAUUUAUAUAUAUCUAUAAAUUUCUCCACAUAUGAUUAAUAGAAUUUUUAAAUUUUAUAAACAUUAUUAAAUCUCAUAUUUUUUGUAAGAUAUUUUCUCUUAACUAUUUUUUUCAAACCUAAAUGUAAUCUUUUUCAACUUAUCGAAUAUGAAAAUUCAGUAAGUUAUAUAACUUAAGAAAUGCAUAUCUAGGAGCUUUAAAAUUAAAAUGAGAUGAAUAAAUAAAUAAUUUCACUUAAAAAUUAAAAAAAGGAGUGGAUGUAGCGAAAAAUAUGAUGGUGUAUUCAGAAUCACCCAUCAGAAAAUUAUACUUUAUAAAAAAAUUGAUAUUCUAUUUUUUGAACUCACAAAGAAAAUGAUAGUAUGAGAUUUUUUUAUUGGUAUUUAGUCUUUUCUUUACUUUAUUCUUUUAAGCCUUCCCAUCAUGCAAAUGUCUAAGUCUUCUUGCCCUAUCAUUACUCUGUGAAGAUAAUCUUCUUAGCAAUUUGCUUAAGUCAAGUCUGUCUCUUAAAAAAGAUAACAAAACAUAACAACUUUUUCAAUGGUGGUUGUCUUUUUUCUUUUUUUCAAUUAAAUUGGCAAACUAGGAAUGGAUUUUAAGUAUAUUAAUUAUUAUUGUUAUAUUUUAGUCUUUUUAAUGAUUUAGAUUGAAGUAACUGCUAAAAUUAUUAUUUUUGUAAAGUCAAGAUGGGGGAAAAAAGAUUAACACAUUUGUGUGUUUGAUGCGUAUAAAGCAGGACUAAGAUUUAGACCAAUGCAUUCCCAUAGUAUCUAUCAUUUUUUUUCUUAUUCCACCAUUAUAAAAUCACAGUUUUAAAAAUAGACAAGUUUGAGAAGUGGGAAUGAAUGUGUUCUUUAAAAUUUUUUUUCAAACUUUUUAACAAAAAUAAAAUAUAGGUUUUUAAUCUGUUGAUUUUUAUUUUUUGCCAAUCAAUUGGUUGAUUAAGCAACUUCUUGCUCAUACUUUUGUUCUUAAUGUACUAUUAGAUCUCAUGAUAUGUGCAUUUUUUUAUUUCUUAGUUUUUUUAUUGUUAAUAUAUUUUAAAGAGAUUCUCUUAUUUAAAAUUAAAUGAGCAAAUUAAUAACCAUGUAGUUUGUUAGUAAAAUGUUGAACUUUCAUUUUCAAUAGUUCAUAAUUCAAAUCCUGAUAACCUCACAUAAAAAAAAAAAAGACAAUUUUCUAGUUUCAUAAAUUUCAUGUAUAUGAGAUAAUUUAUAUAUAUUUCGAUUUCAUCAUAUAUGAUUAAUAGAGAUUUUAAACUUUAUAAAUGGUAUUAGAAUCUCAUCCUUUAUGCAAGAUAUUUUCUCUUAACUAUUUUUUUUCCAAACCUAAAUGUAACUUUUUUCUAACUUACCAGAUAUGAAAAUCCAAUAAGUUAUAUCUAUAUGCUUUAAAAUUAAAAAAAGAUGGGUAAAUAAGUAAUUGCACUUAAAAAUUAAAAAAAAUGAUAUAGAGAAAAAAAUGAUGAUAUAUUCAUAAUCACCCAUCACAAAACUAUACUUUAUAAAAAAAUUGAUAUUUUAAGUUUGGACUCACAAAGAAAAUGAUAGUAUAAGAUCUUUUUAUUGGUAUUUAAUCUUUCCUUUGUUUUAUACUUUUAAGUCUUCUCAUCAUGCAAAGGUCUAAGUCUUCUUGCCCCAUCAUUAAUAUGUGAACAUAAUCUUCUUAGCAAUUUGCUUAAGUCACGUCUACCUUUUAAAAAAGACCAAAAAAAAAAAACAAUUUUCUCAAUGAAAGUUAUCUUUUGUCUUCUAGUUAAUGGCACACAAGGAAUGGAUUUUAAGUAUAUUAAUUAUUAUUGUUAUAUUUUAAUCUUUUUAAUGACCUAGACUGAAGCAAUUGCUAAGAUUAUUUUUGUGAAGUAAAGAUGGGGGCAAAAUGAUUGACACAUUUGCAAGCUUGAUGCCAAAACUAAGUAUAGAGCAAAGACUAAGACUUAGACCAAUACAUUCCCAAAGUAUCUAUCAUUUUCUUUCUUAUUCUACCAUUAUAAAAUCACAAUUUUCAAAAUAGAGAAGUUUGAGAAGUGAAAAUGAAUAUAUUCUGUAGAUUUUUGUUUUUCAAACCUUUCAGCAAAAAUAAAACACAAGUUUUUAAUUUGUUGAUUUUUUUUGGCCAAUCAAUUUGUUAAUUAAGCAACUUCUUUCUCAUGCUUUUGCUCCUAAUGUACUAUUACACUUCAUGGUAUGAGCAUUUUUUUAGUUUUUUAUUGUUAAUAUACUUUAAAGAUAUCCUUUAAUUUAAAAAUUCAAUGACCUAAUAACCAUAUAAUUUGUUAGUAAAAUGCUAAACUCUUAGUUUCAGUAGUUUAAAAUUUAAAUCCUGACAAUCUCACAUAUAAAAAAAUAAAAAAAAAAGACAAUCUUCAAAUGAAAAAAUUUCAUGUAUAUGAGAUAAUUUAUAUAUAUAUUUUAAUUUCUUUACAUAUAAUUAAUAGAGUUUUUAAAUUUUAUAAACAGUAUUAAAAUCUCAUACUUUCUAUAAGAUAUUUUCUCUUAAUUAUUUUUUUUUCAUACCUAAAUGUAAUUUUUUCUAACUUACCAGAUAUGAAAAUUCUGUAAGUUAUAUAACUCAUCAAAAAUACUUAUUUAGAAAUUUUAAAAUUAAAACAAGAUGAGUAAAUAAGUAAUUUCACUUAAAAUAUUUUUUUAAAAAGGUGGAUGUAGAGAAAAAAUGAUGGUGUAUUUAGAAUCACCCAUCACAAAAUUAUACUUUACAAAAAAAAAAUUGAUAUUCUAUUUUUGGAUUAACAAAGAAAAUGACAGUAUGAGACAUUUUUUAUUGGUAUUUAGUCUUUUCUUUACUUUAUACUUUUAAGUCUUCCCAUCAUGCUAAUGUCUAAGUCUUCUUGUCCCAUCAUUACUCUGUGAAAAAUAAUCUUCUUAGCAAUUUGCUUAGUCAAGUCUUUCUUUUAAAAAGACAAAAAAUAGCAAUUUUCUCAAUGGUGGUUGUUUUUUAUCUUCUAAUUAAAUUGGCAAACUGGGAAUGGAUUUUAAGUAUAUUAAUUAAUAUUGCUAUAUUUUAGUCUUUCAAUGACUUAGACUGAAGCAAUUGCUAACAUCAUUUUUUUUGAAGUAAAAAUAGGGGCAAAAAGAUUGACAUAUUUGCAUGCUUGAUGCCAAGACCAAGUGUGAAGCAAGGACUAUGAUUUAGAUCAAUGCAUUCUGAUAGGAUCUACCUUUAUCUUUCUUAUUCCACCAUUAUAAAAUCACAAUUUCCAAAAUAGACAAAUUUGAGAAAUGGGAGUGAAUGUGUUCUUUAGAUUUUUUUUUUCAAACUUUUCAACAAAAAUAAAAGAUAGGUUUUUAAUUUGUUGAUUUUUUUAGCCAAUCAAUUUGUUGAUUAAGCAACUUGUUUUUAUGCUUUUGUUGNNNNNNNNNNNNNNNNNNNNNNNNNNNNNNNNNNNNNNNNNNNNNNNNNNNNNNNNNNNNNNNNNNNNNNNNNNNNNNNNNNNNNNNNNNNNNNNNNNNNNNNNNNNNNNNNNNNNNNNNNNNNNNNNNNNNNNNNNNNNNNNNNNNNNNNNNNNNNNNNNNNNNNNNNNNNNNNNNNNNNNNNNNNNNNNNNNNNNNNNNNNNNNNNNNNNNNNNNNNNNNNNNNNNNNNNNNNNNNNNNNNNNNNNNNNNNNNNNNNNNNNNNNNNNNNNNNNNNNNNNNNNNNNNNNNNNNNNNNNNNNNNNNNNNNNNNNNNNNNNNNNNNNNNNNNNNNNNNNNNNNNNNNNNNNNNNNNNNNNNNNNNNNNNNNNNNNNNNNNNNNNNNNNNNNNNNNNNNNNNNNNNNNNNNNNNNNNNNNNNNNNNNNNNNNNNNNNNNNNNNNNNNNNNNNNNNNNNNNNNNNNNNNNNNNNNNNNNNNNNNNNNNNNNNNNNNNNNNNNNNNNNNNNNNNNNNNNNNNNNNNNNNNNNNNNNNNNNNNNNNNNNNNNNNNNNNNNNNNNNNNNNNNNNNNNNNNNNNNNNNNNNNNNNNNNNNNNNNNNNNNNNNNNNNNNNNNNNNNNNNNNNNNNNNNNNNNNNNNNNNNNNNNNNNNNNNNNNNNNNNNNNNNNNNNNNNNNNNNNNNNNNNNNNNNNNNNNNNNNNNNNNNNNNNNNNNNNNNNNNNNNNNNNNNNNNNNNNNNNNNNNNNNNNNNNNNNNNNNNNNNNNNNNNNNNNNNNNNNNNNNNNNNNNNNNNNNNNNNNNNNNNNNNNNNNNNNNNNNNNNNNNNNNNNNNNNNNNNNNNNNNNNNNNNNNNNNNNNNNNNNNNNNNNNNNNNNNNNNNNNNNNNNNNNNNNNNNNNNNNNNNNNNNNNNNNNNNNNNNNNNNNNNNNNNNNNNNNNNNNNNNNNNNNNNNNNNNNNNNNNNNNNNNNNNNNNNNNNNNNNNNNNNNNNNNNNNNNNNNNAUUCAGUGUUCCAAGGCACCAAUACAUGAUUGUGUUUAAUUCCAUUUGUGAUGGCAUAGAAAACAUUGUAUAAUUUGUCAUAUAUAUGAAAAUGAACUAAAUGGGAUGAAAUUUUCUUUCUUAUUCAUAUAAGAAAGAUAUGACUAUGGAGAUAGAAUGCCAUCAUCCAAUUAAUACAUUAUUGGUUAAAGAAAAUAAAGGUAUUUUUGCUUCUUGUACCUGAAAAAAUGGUCUUUUAUAGGCUGUUUUAAAAUGAAAACUGAACAAGUUUUUAGAGGGUUUUUAAUAGUAUCAUGGACAAAUGGCCAAAGAUGUGGCUUGGUUAUAUACCAGUAUUAACAUAUGGGCGUUAAAUUAAUAAAUUGGGUUUGUGAAAGCUGUAGCCUUAGAGUUAGGCAAUCAAUGAUUUAACCAACAUUGAAAUUCAUUCAUGAAUUUUUACAUGAAAUUAUGAGUAGAACUUUAGGAUUAUAAUUAUUGUUUAUAUUAGUGUAUGAAAAUGAUUAUUUGGAAUUCAUGUUUAUGACUUGCAUUUGAUAUAGUGAUCUAGAUAUGAACAUAUUGGUCACAAAUGAUUGUGAAAAUAUUUAAAAUUAGAGUUAAAUAUACUAUUAGACACUAUUGUAAAUAAGCAUAUUGGUCUUAUGAGUAAAGUUUUAAUUUAUUAUAUAUCCAAAAAUGUUUUGACCAAUUAAAAGGUGUUAAAUAACAAGAUAUAUAGGCUACACAAUGGUGGAGAGAAAUAAAGUUCUCAUAAAAUUUUGAAAUCAAGUUUAGAGGUUUCAAUAAUCAUGAACUUGGGAAUUGGCUAUUGGGCAAUUACUAUAUGCAUUGAAAACUCAUGAUAACAUUUGAGAUGGUUGGCUUUCACUAAAAGACAUCAUUAUAACUGAGAUAAUUUUAAUAGCCAAAUCUACAUGAUUUUUAGGUAUGAGGUGGAUUAUUAUGGUGGGAGUAGAAUAGCCAUAAGCCAAAAUUGAUGCCACAAUCUUGAUCAUGUUGUGGUAAUUUUUGUUACGUAUAUGGUCUACUUCAUAGAUUGUACAAAUGAUUUAUCAUCUAUGGUUUUAUAGAGUUAAAAUUUCAAAGUAUAUUUACUUUGGAAGCCAUGAGUGAUUCAAAGAUCUUAUGAAUUUGAAAACUUUUAUAAUAGCAAAAAGAAUGCUAUUUGAUCCAUUUGGGUGAUGAAAGUGGUUUUGUUCAUGGUAAUAAAAAAUUAUUAAUAGUGUCCAUGAUGAAAUAGAUUCAUAUAAAUAUUUAUGUAUUGACAUAAAAGUCUUAAAAAGAGAUCAUAGAAGCAUGAUUAUAUAUGAAAUCUAAUUAUUGAUAUAAACUCUUAUAUUAAGUUAAAAUAUAAAAGUUUUAGAACUUUUAUUGAAAUAUUAAAAUAUCAGCUAAUUAUCUUUCAUUAAGAAUGGAUUUGGAGGCCUCCUACUUAAAAAGAAAAAAGCCACCAAAUAGUUAAAAGAUAAAUGAAAUGACAAUUUGAUUAAAUAUAUAUGAUAUCUUGACAAUUGAAUAAGAUAUUCUUUAAUAAAAGAAUGCAUACUUGCACAUGGUGGGGGUGAUAAGAAUCAAAAUAAAUAAAAAUUACCACCAUAGUGUUAUAAGAUUUUAUUAAAAUUUUAUGAGCAAAUUAUAUAAGCUAAUAAGUUUAAACAUUUAUUAAAGUAAAGUCAUAAAAAAAGUCCUUAAAAAUCUUAGAAGGACUAAAAUUGUUUGGUUUAUUCAUUGAGUUUAUCUAAUUGUACUAGAAGUAUAAUUGUAUUAAAAAUGUAUAAAAGUAUGGAAAUAGAGUGGUUGAAAUUAAUAAAUAUAGAGUUGUGGCCACAACCAAAACCAACCAUUUCUUAAAAUGAUAAGAAUUAGGCAACAAUGUCCAAAGCAUAUAAAUGAUAUACAAAACAUACUAGCCUGAAGUAAUUAUAUUAGAGAUUCAAUCUCAAGUGGGGAUAAUUACCAUAAAAGAAAUUUGAAUUUCAAAAUAUUUGAUUUGUAGUAUUACAACUAGAAUGGAUUUAAACCCUUACUAUUAGACACCGAUAAUGGGAACUAAACUUUGAAUUAGUAAUCUGUAAUUACAAAGUUUAAUGGGUAAAAAUAAGUUAUUAUUACAUGUCUAUUAAACACUAAUAAAAUCCAUUUAAAUUUUAGAAACUAGUGUGAUCCAUUGCAAGGGGAGGAUAAGUUUUUAUACUUUUAAUGGAGUUUUAAAUGUCUAAAAAAAUGGAGACAUAAUAGAAACUUACCUAUAUUAACAUAGAAGUGGUGCCGCUUCAACAAGACGAAUUGGGUCUCUCUUGUAAAUGUUUAUGAAUAGGAUAAGCACAUAGCCAUAACAGUGCUAAAAACGGUUAUAAACCUCCUACAAAAGAAUAAAUAAGAAUUAUAUGUGUUAUACUUUAAUUCUAAUACCAAGAGUUGACGUUUAAUAUACGGAUACCAUCAACUUUAUUAGAAUUUUAAGAUAUAUACACUAAUUGAAGGUUUAAAUCGAGAAAUACUUUCUUGUAUUCAUAAUAUUUAUUAGUGUGAAAGGUAAAAAUUAAGCACCAACAUUCCAAACUAAUGGGGUAUUGUUGGUAGUUUAGAAUGUGGUGCAUCUCACAUUGGAUAGAAAGAUUUAAUUAUUGAUAGAUAAAAUUAAUUUUUGUAUGAAUUUAUUCAUAUUUUAAAUAAUUAUGUUUGAAUAAAAAUAAUUAUCAUAUGACAUAUGGUCAUAACUAUUUGAAUAUAAAUAAAUUAUUAUUCAUAAAGGUCAUGAUUAUAUAGAAUAUCAUAAUCAUCUGAAUAUAAGUUUAUGUCUUUUCAUUUAUUAUAAAUAAAUCUUUUAGUAUAACCAUUUUCACUACUUUUGAUUGGAGAGUUUGAGAUUAAUUUCUAUUAUUUCUCUUCUCUUAUUUAUUUUUUCUAACAUAUACAACUUCUCUCCCCCUAACCUUGUGUUUUCUCCCCCAAAGCCUCCUCUGCUCGUUUAAGAACUUUCUCUCGUAUAGCAUGAGCAUCUUCUGUAAACUUGGUCUCAGUUUCUAAGGUUGCCGUAGCUCUGCUAUCAUUUCAAACUUGAAUUUCCUUCGAAGACUCACAUUGAAAAAUCGGUUUAUCAAAUUCUGUAUUUGUUUCAGUGGGAGCAGCACUCCUGGAGGAUUCAGUUGAAAAGUAUAACUUAUUGUUAGGCUGCAAGCCUUUUUCUGAUUGUGCAACAGAGAUGUGCCAUUUCUGGAGUCUUCAUCUUCAUCUUCAUCUUCCUUUGUUGUCCUUUUCCUUAUGUUUUUGGCCUUUGUUGGCUUCCUAAAUAAAUUGCAGACUGAAAAAUCAAAGGGUCGGCUAUAUAAGUAAAUAUACAUAUACACCUUUAAAAGGAAAAAAAAAAAAAAAGAAAAAAAUUUUACUUGUUCAGAUUGUUAAGGUUCUUUUCCUAGAUACUGGGGCUCGCUUGAAUCUGUCAUCUUAACAGAAAAAAGAGCAAAGGUUUUAUAAGUUCCUUGCCUCAAGCAAGAUGAACUUCAAAUCGUUUCCGAUUGCUUCUUCAACACUUGAAAGAAGGUUUUAAACAAAGUGUCUCAAAAUCCUUAUUACUGUUAAUUAAGGUAAUGAAUGAUACAUGAUCAACAAGCUAACUGUUGUCAUAACAAGAUAAAAUCAAGCUUUCUCUCAUGAAAAGGCUAUAUGCUCAAUUUUACCCUAAAUCAUAAAUUUCUAUUUAUGUAAGAAAGUGAAGGAAUUAAAAUUUUUAUCCAAAUCACAAAAUGUAUUGGAGAAUUAGUAAGAAUCGGCCUUCAUCAAACACCUCCUUAUGUUUGAAGGCCUUCCUCAAGAAUACAAUUGUUCAUCCUGUGAACCCACUAAGAAGCCCAUUGUACGGCCCAACAUAUGGAUGGCUGUGCUGCGCAUGUAGCAGGGGAUGCAAAAUUCCCAUGUACUUGGAACAAUUUCCUAAGAGAAGAGAAUUUUAAAAAGCUAAUCAAAAUCAAAGAGAGUUUCAACAAAAUGAAACCUGAUGAAACACAGGGAAAUGGGUAGAAUCCAUAGAAUCUCUAAGGUAAACAUCGCCAGUUACAAGUAAAAGAGUGUGUCCCCUUCUCAACAGCUCUGCUUGAUGAGCACUUGUCUGACACCUCAGUACAGUUUGAGAGUCAACGUAACAUGUAUCAUUAUAGCUCCUGCUUACAUGAUCAGCAGGCACAAGGACCCUAUUGGCUGGUCAUACUGUUUGCAUAGCUCCAAAAACAGCUCUACCGAAAUGUAAAAGCCUUUUUGGAUUGGAGAGAUGGAAUGAUAUUCAAAAUCGCCUGGUCAAAUUAAAAAGCUCACUACAGAGACCAUGUAUUUUGGAACAACAUACUUUAAUGGGCCAUAUGUAGGGAGAGAGCAAUGUUUAUAAACUCAAUAUAUUAGCAAAACUAUUCUUUCCCUUGCACUCACUAACCCGCACACAAUCCCACAGGGGUUCAAGCCUACUGGGUAACUUAUGUAAUCCUAAGUUAAAACACAACCUUUGGUGAUCUACAAAAGCCCAUACAGAUACAAAAUUCAGAUCUUUUUUUUUUUAAAUUUUUCAAAGAUCCUUGUAAUACCCGUAAAAAAAAAGGGGGGGGGCUAUUUUAAGUGGGGGUUUAGUAAAGACUGAGAAAUGUAGAUGACCUAUUGAUAAAUAACUCAAUUUUUUUUAAUAGGGUUAACUUAUUUAGUUUUCAGUCGACGACUAAUCGAAAGAAAAAUACAAACUUAUUUUUCCUCUAUUUCUUAUACAGAAAAGAUAAAUUGAAGGAUUCCAAGUGAAGGGAAAGAACUAAUCUACAAGGAAAAUUGUCUAUCAAAGGUAAGUAAAUAAUCUCUUUCAAUUUUAGAAUAUUGAUUGUUAAGUCUUGAAGUGUAAUUUGUAAUCGUUCCAUUAUCUCUCUUCGGGCAGAUAAUUUAGGCUUUAAUUAGGGUCAAAUUAAGUGUUGAGAAAGUUGGUAAUGUGAUUUUAUUGCUGAAACAGAAAUUUGAUGAGAAUAGAAAGGAAAAUUUUUGUUUCAUAUGAAUCCUGAUAUGAAUCUUGUGUUUGUAGUGAUGGAUUAAGGUUAUAUUCUGUAUUAAAAGGUUAAAUAUUGCUAUGAUAAUUAUAUAUCGUUGAAAAGCAUGUUGAAUCUACUUUCUAAUGAAACAAACGGGAGUCAAAUUCGAGUUUUCUAUAAAGAGUUAUCCAAUUUUUACCUAAGGAUGUGCAGGCUGCCUAGUAGCAGCAAUAGGGAGGAAUUUCGAAAUUCCUCUUAAUUUUUAUACAAGAAUUUACAGAUUAAGCUAUAUAUGUUUGAAAAGCCUAUUGAUUCUACUUUCCAAUGAAUUAAGCAGAAUUGAAUUUGGAGUUUCUUAUGAAUAAAUACGUAAUUUUUAGGAGAAGGGAUACAGGCUGUCUGGCAGCAGCAUAUGACGUGGAUUGCAAAAAUUUUUAUAAUUAAUCCACAAGGAAUCACGAGAUGGCUCAUAUAUGGUUAGAAAGCUUGUCGAGUCUAGUUUCUAACACAUUAAAAAGAUUUUAAUUCUGAAUUUGAUAUCUUGAGAUAUGGUCAUUUUAGUAAAAGUAGUGCAGGCUGCCAGAAUUAGUUACUUGAGUUAUUUCUUAUUUAGAUUAAUUGUUUUGGUAUAAGCAGUCUUAAAUGGGUUGAUUAACUACUAUUAUGUUGAAAUUAUCUUGAAUAGGCCAUUAAUUAUUGAGGGAAAAAAACUAUGUGGCAGAAUCGGAAAGAGGUAAGUAGAAUCACACUUUGCUUGUUUUUGAAUCAAUGUAUAUAUAUGUUUUUCUAAAUGAAUAAAUGUUUUAUUUCUUUAUUUUCGACAUAUGAAAAUAGGAUCAAGCAUAUGAUUGUUUUGUGUUUUGCUAUGUAAAUAAUGGUUCAUGUUUAUGAAUGAAAUGAGAAAGUGAUUUUUGUUUAAAAGAAUGAUUUUAUGAUAGCUACGUUUUUACAUCUCUAGGAAGUGGAGUCUUCGACACCAGAACUAGUUCUACGGCCCUAGCUAAUGGUUUAUAAUAGUUAGCAAAGAAAUGAUCAUACGACCCUGUUAACGGGUUAUAGUAGUUAGUGUAAGGCCCUAGCUAGCGGGUUAUAAUAGUUAGCAAUGAUCAUAAGGAUGAAAUUGUUGAUACGGCCAAUGUCACGGGUUAUAUUAGUAACCAUAGCUAACAAUAAAUGAAUGAUAAUGAUGGUUUGUAAUGAAUGAUUUUUUUAUAAAUUGAUCUAUGAUUUGGUGACAUGUUUUGAUACUGAUUUACGAUCUAUGAAUACUUAAUAGAAUGCCGAUAUUUGAAUUAUUUUUGACAUUAUGCGUUGAUAAAUGUUUUAAAGAAUGAUCUAUAUAGUACGUAUGAAAAUGAUGUUUGAUCUGGUAAGAUGUGUGAGCCUAUACUUACUGAGCUAUAGUUUGCUCAUUCCCUAUUUUCUUUUCUUUUACAAAUAUUAUAAAUGAUAAGUAUGAUUAGUCUUGAGAGGAGCUAGAAGAAUCAACCAUUGGAGAACUACUUAGAAAUUAGGAUUUUAUAAAGUAUUGUUUUUUUUAGUUGUAAUACUUGACUUUGAACCUUUGGAGACUUGUUAUUUAGUUAUUUUCUUAAUGAGAACCUUAUUAUACUUGAGAGUUGUUCAAUGAUUAUGGAUUAGGCUUCAUAUUGCUUUGGGAUUUUACUUCAAAGUAAUAUGGCCGUGUUAUGUCUCAAUCUCAGGAUGUGACAAUCCUAAACCAAUUAUUCUAAAACAGAGCAUAAGAUUGAUUGUGCAGAAAAAAUUGGGCAGAGAUUAUCAAACUCAUCAAACAUGUUGGGGUAAUUAGUAUUGAAAUAGUCAUAUAUUCCAUUCUUCGGUUAUUCCUGCUAUGGAGCUACAUUCCCAGAUUUGAAAAAAAUUGUAUCCGGAAACAUUGUUUGUUAGAUCACCUCACCACAUCUACAAAUCCCACCAUCCAAACAUACUAAAUCAUUCAUAAAUUAUAAGUCAUGGAUCAGAUUUCACCAAUAACAAAAUAUCAAAGCAUGUUACCGUUCAAAUAUUCAAACCAAAAAACUCAAUAAUAGAUUUUGAUUACUGACACUUCAAUCAUGUAAUCCACCUAGACUACAGAUGCAUAUUUUGUUUAUGAUUAUUACUACAGAUGAAAUUUAAGGUUUGAAAAUAUUUCAUGGUCAUAUGGAGAUUCUGUUCGUGCAUAUACAGUAUUUUGUGAUGCGGUUUCCUUUGACACCACAUAUUGUUCUAUCACCUAUGGAUUGCUUCUUGGAGUAUGGUUUGGUAUAGAUAAUCAUGGGAAGCCAAUUUUCUUAGGAUGUGUAUUACUGUAAGAUGAAAGUUCUAAUUCUUUUGCUCGGGCUUUACAGUUUCGUGGACAUAAUUAAUUGUGAUCAAUCUGUAAUUGUCUUAUUGUCUAUUUAUGAUUUUCUUCUUUUGAACAGACUUUUCUUCGUUUUAUGAGAGUUAAACGUCCACAAACAAUUCUAACGGAUAUUGAAUCUAGCCUAAGAGAUGCUGUUGCAAGGGAAUUGCCAAAUACAAAACAUGUUAUAUGUUCAUGGCAUGUUCUUUCCAAAUUAUCAAGUCGGUUCUCUCUACCACUUGGGACACAGUAUGAAGCGUUCAAAGCUGAGUUUGAUAUGUUGUGUCACUUACAGGGAAUAGAGGAGAAAACGUCUGUGGAAUCAUUUGAUUGCUCGGAUGUAAAUAUGCAACUUGAUGCAGAUAAUUUUUAAUUUUGGGGAAGAGAGAGAAGGAAUGAAAUUGAGAGAUACUGUUUUUUUCUUUUGAAAUUUUACCAUGAUGUUUAGUUGUUGUAGUCAGAUUUUCCUGAGGUUAUGAUGCUUCAGAAAUCCAGAUACUAGUGAUUUCUUGUCCCAAAAUAGUUCAUUCUUCACCUUCAUCCAUUUCAUCUGGUUUGUUUUCCGGGAAUAAAAGCAUAUUCCUUAUUGGCUGCAAAAUUUUCAUUCAUUUUACCUUCAAAUUUAUCAAACAAAUAAAUUACUAAUUGACUUGGUUAGUAUAGUUGAAUCAUAUAACUUAGAAAAUGCAAUCAGUUACUAGAGUUUUUAGAUUAUAAGUGUUAUAAAUAUAUUAAAAAAUUAUAUUAAAAAUCUUAGGAUAUGUGUUAAUAUUCUAAUACCGUUUAUAAAAUUUAAAAACUCUAUUAAUCAUAUGUGAAGAAAUUGAAAUAUAUAAAAAUGAUCUCAUAUAAAUGAAAUUUGUGAAAUUAAAGGAUUGUCCUUUUUUUUUUUUUUGGGUACAUGAGGUUGUCAAGAUUUGAACUUUAAAAUUAUUGAAAUUAAGAGUUUAGGAUUCUACCAAUAGACCACCUAAUUGUUGAUUUAUUGAAUUUUAAAUGAGAGGAUCUCUUUAAAAUAUAUUAAUAAUAUAAAACUAAAAAAAUAAAAAAAAUGCACAUACCAUGAAAUCUAGUAGUACAUUAGGAAAGCAUGAGAAACAAGUUCCUUAAUAAACAAAUUAACAGGCAAAAAAAAAUCAACAAAUUGAAAACCUGUGUUUUAUUUUUUUCUAAAAAGUUUGAUGAAAAAAAAUCUAAAGAACAUAUUCAUUCUUACUUCUCAAACUUGUUUAUUUUGAAAAUUGUGAUAUUAUUAUAAUGGUGGAAUAAGAAAGAAAAUGAUUAGAUAUUAUGUGAAUGUAUUGGUCUAAGUCUUAGUCUUUGCUUUAUACUUAGUCUUAGCAUCAAGCAUGCAAAUGUGUAAGUCUUUUUACUCCAUCUUUACUUCACAAAAAUAAUAAUUUUAGCAGUUGCUUCAGUCGAAGUUAUUAAAAAGAUUAAAAUAUAACAAUAAUAAUAAUUAAUAUGCUUAAAAUGCAUUCCCAAUAUGCUAAUUUAAUUGGAAAACGAAAGACAACCUCUAUUAAGAAAAUUGCUAUUUUUUUUAUCUUUUUUAAAUGAUUGACUUGAUUCAAGUAAACUGUUAAGAAGAUUAUUUUUCAUAGAGUAAUGAUGGGGCAAGAAGACUUAGACAAUUGCAUGAGGGGAUGACUUAAAAGAAUAAAGCAAAAAGAAAAGACUAAAUAUCAAUAAAAGAAAUCUCAUUACUGUCAUUUUCAUUGUGAGUCCAAAAUUAAAAUAUCAGGUUUUUUUUAUAAAGUAUAAUUUUGUGAUGGGUGAUUCUAAAUAUACCAUCAUUUUUUUCUCUACAUUCACUUUUUUUUUUUUAAUUUUCUUAGUGAUACUACCUAUUUACCCUUCAAGUUUUAUUUUUAAAGCUUCUAAAUUCACAUUUCAAAAAAAAAUGCAUUUCCCAAUAUGACUAAUUUAUUGGGAUGAGAUUCUAAUAUAAGACAACCUCUAUUAAGAAAAUUGCUAUUUUUUUAUCUUUUUUAAAUGAUUGACUUGAUUCAAGUAAACUGUUAAGAAGAUUAUUUUUCAUAGAGUAAUGAUGGGGCAAGAAGACUUAGACAAUUGCAUGAGGGGAUGACUUAAAAGAAUAAAGCAAAAAGAAAAGACUAAAUAUCAAUAAAAGAAAUCUCAUUACUGUCAUUUUCUUUGAGUCCAAAAUUAAAAUAUCAAGUUUUUUUUAUAAAGUAUAAUUUUGUGAUGGGUGAUUCUAAAUAUACCAUCAUUUUUUUUCUCUACAUUCACUUUUUUUUUUUAAUUUUCUUAGUGAUACUACCUAUUUACCCUUCAAGUUUUAUUUUUAAAGCUUCUAAAUUCGCAUUUCUAAUAAGUUAUAUAACUUACUGGAUUCUAAUAUCCAAUAAGUUAAAAAAAAGGUUACAUUUAUGCUUAGAAAAAAAUAGUUCAGAGAAAAUAUCUUACAAAAUGUAUGAGAUUCUAAUAUCAUUUAUAAAAUUUAAUUCCUUUACUAAUCAUAUGUGAAAAUAUUGAAAUGUAUAAAAAUUAUUUCGUAUAUAUGAAAUUUAUGAAAUUAGAAGAUUUUUUUUUUGUGAAGUUCUCAGGAUUUAAACUUUAAACUACUAAAAAACUAAGAUUUUAGCAUUUUACUAAUAGACUAUACGGUUAUUGGCUUAUUGAAUUUUUAACUCAUAUGAUCUCUUUAAAAUAUAUUAACAAUAAAAAACUUAAAAAUGCAAAUGCAAUGAAAUCUAAUAGUAUAUUAGGAACAAAAACAUGAGAAGCAAGUUGCUUAAUCAACAAAUUGAUUGGCCAAAAAAAAUCAACAAAUUAAAAACUUGUGUUUUAGUUUUGUUGAAAAGUUUUUAAAAAAAUCUAAAAAAUACAUUCAUUCUCACUUUUCAAAUUUGUCUAUUUUGGAAAUUGUGAUUUUAUAAUGGUGGAAUAAGAAAGAAAAAUGAUAGAUACUAUAGGAAUGUAUUGGUCUAAGUCUUGGUCUUUGCUUUAUACUUAGUCUUGGCAUCAAGCAUGUAAAUGUGUUAGUCUUUUUACCCCAUCUUUACUUCACAAAAAUAAUAAUCUUAGCAAUUGCUUCAAUCUAUAUCAUUAAAAAUACUAAAAUAUAACAAUAAUAAUUAAUAGACUUAAAACCCAUUCUCAAUUUGCUAAUUUAAAUGGAAGACAAAAGACAGCCUUCAUUGAGAAAAUUGCUAUGUUUUUGUCUUUUUUAAAAGAUAAACUUGACUUAAGUAUGUAAUAAUAUAUAGAUCUGUAAAUCUAUAGCUAGAUACUGACUUGAGGAGUCGCCAUUAAUUUUUUUUUGUUUAGGUGCAAUCAGCCACUUAAUUGAAUCUAUCCCUUUUAAAGAGGAUUCCUAAGUUCGACUUAGGUAUCUCUAAAAGAUAAAUUCAAUGUCUGCGAAACCAAAACUAAGUCUGGGAAUACAGUUACGUGUGAGGAAGGUUAUAGCACCCUCACAACUCCCAUCGGAAGAUGGUACCAACUUGAUUUCGUGUUAUCCAUUAAGCUUAAAAAAUUUACCAAGUAAUUAAUUAUUAAAAAUUAUUCUUAAUUGACUCCAAUACUUUUGACAAAAAAUUAAGAAAAUUCCCUCACCUCAAGAGUAUACAAGAAAACUACUGUUUCUCUUGUAGAGGCUCCAUCGUCGGAUUAUUUAAUGUUUAAAAAUUUUUCAAAGAAAGAAAAAGAUAAAAGAAAUAAUAAUUCGACUUUUGACAUAGAUUUUUUUUUGUUGUUUUAUAAGAAACAAAAACUCAUGCUUUUAUACAAGAAAAAUUGAUACUUUCAACUUUUCCUUAAUGCAUUUUAAGGUUUUUUAUUUUCAAGGAAAAUUGAUACUUUCAAUUUUUCCUUAAGAAUAUUUUUUCGUCAAAUUUUAUUUUUAAGAAAAAUUGGUAUUUCCAACUUUUCCUCAAGAAAUGUUUUUUUGAAAAUUUUAUUUUCAAGGAAAAUUGAUACUUUCAACUUUUUCUUAAAAAUAUUUUUUGAAAAAUUUUAUUUUUAAGGGAAGUUGAUACUUUUAACUUUCCCUCAAAAAUAUUUUUAAAACAAUUUUUAUGUUCAAAGAAAAUUGAUACAUUCAACUUUCCUUCAAAAAUAUUUUUUCAAAAUUUUAUUUUAAAGAGAUUAUUUAAAAUUAAAGGAUAUUUAAUUAAAUAAAUAACUUAUUUUAAUUUAGUCAAUAAAUAAAUAAGGGAAAAAAUAAUAAUCAAUAAAUAAAUAAUAAAAUUAAAUGGAAAAGAAAAAAAAACCUUUCGUGUGGCUCAACUCAGCGGCUGAAACAACAUGGUUAUAGACACAAUAAGGGCUAGAAUGACAUUGCUUGGGGGUAUGACUCGGCUUAAGACAAAGACUGGAAAAAGUUGUUAAAUCUGGGAAUUUUCUAGAUUUUUUUUCAAAAAAAAAUUUAAAAACUCCAAAAAAUCUUAAAAAAAUUUUCUUGACUGCUUUCUCUAAUUUAUGCCUCUCUCCCUAAUUUUUUUUGUGUGUUUGUAUGAUCUGUGUGGGCAUGUAUUUAUAGGAUUCUGAAUUUGAGAAUUUCAAUCCAAAAAGGAAUCCCAAUUUCCUUUGAAUUCCAACCUCAAAUCCAACUCCAACUUUACAAACCAAUUCCAACAAUUUCACACAAACUCAACUACCUUUUUUUUUGUUUUUUUUAUUUUUUUAUUAGCAAAAAUCAAAAGUAAACUCUCGGACAGAUUGGGGUGUCUACAAAGCAAACUACUAAGAAAAUUAUUUUUCACUAAGUAAUGAUGGGGAAAGAAGACUUAGACAUUUAAAUGAUGAGAAGACUUAAAAGUAUAAAGCAAAGAAAAGAAUAAAUGCCAAUAAAAAAAAAUCUCAUAUUACCAUUUUCUUUGUGAGUCCAAAAUUAGAAUAUCAAUUUUUUUUAUAAAGUAUAAUUUUGUGAUAGGUGAUUCUAAAUACACCAUCAUUUUUUUUUCUCUACAUACUCUUUUUCUUAAUUUUUAAGUGAAAUCACUUAUUUAUCCAUCUCGUUUUAAUUUUAAAGCUUCUAGAUAUACAUUACUGAUAAAUUAUAUAACUUAUUGGAUAUUUAUAUUCAGUAAUUAUAAAAAAGUUACAUUUAGGUUUGGAAAAAAAAAUAGUUCAAAGAAAAUAUUUUACAAAAGCAUAGCAAUAUUCUCAAUGGAGGUUGUCUUUUGUCUUCCAAUUAAAUUAGCAAAAUGAAAGUAGAUUUUAAAUGUAUUAAUUAUUAUUAUUAUUAUUAUUAUUUUAAUGACUUAGAUUGAAGUAACUACUAAGAUUAUUAUUUUUGUGAAGUAAAGAUGAGGGCAAAAAAACUGACACAUUUGCAGGUUGAUGCCAAGACCAAGUAUAAAACGAAGGCUAAAACUUAGACCAAUACAUUUCCAUAGUAUCUAUCAUUUUCUAUUUUAUUCCACCAUUAUAAAAUUACAAUCUUCAGAAUAGACAAGUUUCAAAGGUGAGAAUGAAUGUGUUCUUCACAUUUUUGUUUCAAACUUUUCAACAAAAAUAAAACAUAGGAUUUUAAUUUGCUGGGUUUUUUUUUUUGGCCAAUCAAUUUGUUGAUUAAGCAACUUGUUUCUCAUGUUUUUGUUCCUAAUAUACUGUUAGAUGUCAUGGUAUCUGCAUUAUCUUAUUUUUUGGGUUCUUGGUUGUUAAUUUAUUUGAAAGAGAUCCUCUGAUUUAAAAAUUCAAUGAGCCAAUAACCAUGUAAUCUAUUAGUAAAAUAUUGAAUUCUUAGUUUUGAUAGUUUAAAGCUCAAAUUCUCACAACCUCACAUACAAAAAAAAAGAAAAAGAUAAUAUUCUGAUUUCACAAAUUUCAUGUAUAUGAGAUAAUUUAUAUACAUAUAUAUAUUUCUAUUUUUUCAUAUAUGAUUAAUAGAGGAUUUAAAUUUUAUAAAUGGUAUUAGAAUAUCAUACUUUCCAUAAGAUAUUUUGUUUAACUAUUUUUUUCUAAACCUAAAUGCAACUUUUUUUUAACUUAUUGGAUAUGAAAAUCCAAUAAGUUAUAUAACUUAUCAUAAAUGUAUGUCUAGAAGUUUUUAAAAUUAAAACAAGAUGGAUCAAUAAGUAAUUUCACUUAAAAAAAAAAUAGUAUAUGUAGAGAAAAAAAUGAUGGUGUAUUUAGAAUCACUCUUCACAACAUUAUACUUUUAAAAAAAUUGAUAUUCUAAUUUUGGACUUACAAGGAAAAUGAUAGUAUGAGAUUUUUUUUGUUUGUAUUUAUUCUAUUCUUUGCUUUAUACCUUUAAGUCUUCCCAUCAUGCAAAUGUAUAAGUCAUCUUGCCCCAUCAUUACCUUGUGAAAAAUAAUUUUCUUAACAGUUUACUUAAAUCCAAUCUGUCUUUUAAAAAAGAAAAAAAAAACAUAGCAAUUUUCUCAAUGGAACUUAUCUUUUAUUUUCUAGUUUAAUUAGUUGAUUGGGAAUGGAUUUUAAGUAUAAUAAUUAUUAUUGUUAUAUUUUAGUCUUUGUCAUGACUUAGACUAAAGCAACUGCUAAGAUUAUUACUUCUGUGAUGUAAAGAUGGGGCCAAAAAGAUUGACAUAUUUGCAUGUUUGAUGCCAAGACUAAGUAUAAAGCAAAGACUAAGACUUAAACCAACACAUUCCUAUAGUGUCUACCAUUUUCUUUCUUAUUGCAUCAUUAUAAAAUCACAAUUUCCAAAAUAGACAAGUUUGAAAAGUGAGAAUGAAUGUGUUCUUUAGAUUUUUUUUUCAAACUUUUCAGCAAAAAUAAAACACAAGUUUUUAAUUUGUUGAUUAAGCAGCUUGUUUCUUAAGCUUUUACUGCUAAUGUACUAUUAGAUUUCAUGGCAAAUGUAUUUUUUUCUUUCUUUAGUUCUUUCUAUUGUUAAUAUAUUUUAAAGAGAUUCUCUAAUUUAAAAAUUCAAUGAGCCAAUAAACAUGUAGUUUGUUAGUAAAAUGCUAAAUUUUUAAUCUCAAUAGUUUAAAGUUCAAAUCUUUACAACCUUACAUACAAAGGAAAAAAAGACAAUCUUAUGAUUUCACAAAUUUCAUGUAUACGAGAUAAUUUUUAUAUAUAUUUUGAUUUCUUCACAUAUGAUUAAUAGAGUUUUUAAAUUUUAUAAACGGCAUUAUAAUCUCAUAAUUUCUGUAAGGUAUUUUCUUUUUACUUUUUUUUCAAACCUAAAUGUAACCUUUUUAAAUUAUGGAAUAUGAAAUCUGAUAAGUUAUGUAACUUACUAUAAAUGCAUAUUUAUAAGCUUUAAAAUUAAAAUGAGAUGGGUAAAUAAGUAACAUCACUUAAAAAUUAAGAAAUAAAGUAAAUGUAGAGAAAAAAAAUGAUGGUGUAUUUAGAAUCACCCAUCACAAAAUUAUAUUUUAUUAAAAAAUUGAUAUUCUAAUUUUGGACUUACAAAGAAAAUGAUAGAAUGAGAAUUUUUUUUAUUGGUAUUUAGUCUUUUCUUUGCUUUAUACUUUUUAAUCUUCCCAUCAUGCAAAUGUCUAAGUUUUCUUGCCCCAUCAUUAUUAUUUUUCAUAGAGUAAUAAUAGGGUAAGAAGACUUAGACAUUUGCAUGAUGGGAAGACUUAAAAGAAUAAAGCAAAGAAAAGGCUAAAUACCAAUAAAAAAAAUCUCACACUAUCAUUUUCUUUGUGUCCAUAGUUAAAAUAUCAACUUUUUAUAAAAGUAUAAUUUUGUGAUGGGUAAUUCUAAAUACAUCAUCAUUUUUUUCUCUACAUCAACUUUUUUUUUAAUUUUUAAGUGAAAUUAUUUAUUUAUCCAUCUCAUUUUAAUUUUAAAACUUCUAGAUAUGCAUUUAUGAUAAGUUAUAGAACUUACCAGAUUUUCAUAUCUGGUAAGUUAAAACAAGUUACAUUUAGGUUUGGAAAAAAUAUAGUUAAGAGAAAAUAUCUUACAAAGAGCAAAAGAUUCUAAUACUAUUUAUAAAAUUUAAAUCCCUUAUAAAUCAUGUGUGAAGAAAUAGAAAUAUACAUGAAAAUUGUGAAAUCAAAAGUUUGGGUUUUUUUUUUUUGUGUGCGAGGUUGUGAAAAUUUGAACUUUAAACUAUUGAAACUAAGAGUUCAAUUUUUUACUAACAUAUUACAUGAUUAUUGGCCUAUUGAAUUUUUUAAUUAGAGGAUCUAUUUAAAAUAUAUUAAGAAUAAAAAAUAAAAAAAUGUACAUACCAUGAAAUCUAAUAGUACAUUAGGAACAAAAGCAUUAGAAAAAAGUUGCUUAAUCAACAAAUUGAUUGGCAAAAAAAAAAAAAGAAAUCAACAAAUUAAAAACCUAUGUUUUAUUUUUGUUGAAAAGUUUGAAAAAAAAAAAUCUAAAGAACACAUUCAUUCUCACUUCUCAAACUUGUCUAUUUUGGAGAUUGUGACUUUAUAAUGGUGAAAUAAGAAAGAAAUCGAUAGAUACUAUGGGAAUGUAUUGGUCCAAGUCUUAAUUUUCGCUUUAUACUUAGUUUGACAUCAAGCAUGCAAAUAUGUUAGUCUUUUUGCCCCAAUCUUUACUUCACAAAAAUAAUAAUCUCAGUAGUUGUUUCAAUCUAAGUAAUUAAAAAUACUAAAAUAUAAUAAUAAUAAUUAAUAUACUUAAAAUCCAUUCUCAGUUUACUAAUUUAACUGAAGGACAAAAGACAACCUCUAUUGAGAAAAUUGCUAUAUUUUUUUUGUUUUGUCUUUUAUAAAAGAUAGACUUGACUUAAGCAAAUUGUUAAAAAGAUUAUUUUUCAUAGAGUAAUGAUGGGCAAGAAGACUUAGACAUUUACAUGAUGAGAAGACUUAAAAGUAUAAAGCAAAGAAAAGAAUAAAUACCAGUAAAAAAUCUCAUACUAUCAUUUUCUUUAUGAGUCCAAAAUUAGAAUAAAAAGUUUUUUUAUAAAGUAUAAUUUGGUGAUGGGUGAUUCUGCAUACACCAUUUUUUCUCUACAUACACUUUUUUUUUUUAAUUUUUUAAAGUGAAAUCACUUAUUUAUCCAUCUCAUUUUAAUUUUAAAGCUUCUAGAUAUACAUUUUUUAUAAGUUAUAUAACUUACUGGAUUUUUAUAUUCGAUAAGUUAAAAAAGUUAUAUUUAGGUUUGAAAAAAAUAGUUAAGAGAAAAUAUCUUAUGUACAGAAAGUAUGAAUUCUAAUACCGUUUAUAAAGUUUAAAUCCUUUGUUGAUCAUACGUGAAGAAAUUGUUAUAUAUAUAUAUAUAUAUAUAACUUAUCUUGUAUACAUGAAAUUUGUGAAAUCAGAAGAUUGUCUUUUUUUUUUUUGUGAGAUUGUCAAUAUUUAAAUUUUAAACUAUUAAAACUAAGAGUUCAACAUUUUACUAAUAGACUAUAUAGUUAUUGGUUCAUUGAAUUUUUAAAUCAUAGGAUCUUUUGAAAAUAUAUUAACAAUAAAAACCAAAAAAAAAAAAAGUGCAUACCAUGAAUAUAAUAGUACAUUAGGAACAAUAGCAUGAGAAACAAGUUGCUUAAUAUUGGCAAAAAAUAAUCAACAAAAUAAAAACCUAUGUUUCAUUUUUAUGAAAAAAUUUGAAAAAAAAAAUCUAAAGAACGCAUUUAUUCUUACUUCUCAAACUUAUCUAUUUUGGAAAUUAUGAUUUUAUAAUGGUGGAAUAAGAAAGAAAAUAAUAGAUACUGUAGGAAUGUAUUGGUCUAAGUCUUAGUCUUUGCUUUAUACUUAGUCUUGGCAUCAAGCAUGCAAAUGUUAGUCUUUUUGUCCCCAUCUUUACUUCACAAAAAUAAAAAUUUUAGCAAUUGCUUCAAUCUAGGUCAUUAAAAAGACUAAAAUAUUAUUAUAAUAAUGAUAAUAAUAAUAAUAAUAAUAAUAAUAAUAAUAAUAAUAAUUAAUAUACUUAAAAUCUAUUCUCAAUAUGCCAAUUUAACUAGAAAAGAAAAGAUAGCCUCCAUUAAGAAAAUUAUUAUUUUUUUGUCUUUUUAAAAAAAGUAGACUUAACCUAAGCAAAUUGUUAAGAAUUUUUUUUUUGCAGAGUAAUGAUGGGACAAAAAGACUUAGAGAUUUGCAAGAUGGGAAGACUUAAAAAUAUAAAACAAAGAAAAGACUAAAUACCAAUAAAAAAAAUUUCAUACUAUCAUUUUCUUUGUGAGUCCAAAAUUAGAAUAUCAAUUUUUUCAUAAAGUAUAAUUUUGUGAUGGGUGAUUUUAAAUGCUAUGUCAUUUUUUCUCUACAUCCAUUUUUUUUUUAACUUUUUAAGUGAAAUUACUUAUUUAUCCAUCUCGUUUUAAUUUUAAACCUUCUAGAUAUGUAUUUCUAAUAAAUUCUAUAACUUACCAGAUUUUAAUAUCCGAUAAAAAAAGUUACAUUUAGAUUUUGAAAAAAAAAUAGUUAAGAGAAAAUAUCUUAUCAAAAUUUUUAAGCUUCCAGAUAUGCAAAUUUAGAAACUUUUAAAAGCUUUUGGAUAUGCAUUCUAGAGACUUUUAAGUGCUUCUAGAUUUACAAAUUUGAAAACUUUUAAAAGUUUUCAAAUUUUGUAAAUCCAAAAGCUUAAAAGUAAAAGGAGUGUGAAGAGAAAAAAGAAAGAGUAUUUAAAUAAUUUCAUUUAAAAUAAUUUUGAAAAAAAAAAAGAGGUGUGGAGAGACAAAAUGGGAGUAUAUUUAGAAUUUUCUUUAGUGAUUCACAUAUAGCAUAUAUUAUUUAUAAAUUAACAACGUAUCAAAUAUAAAAUUUUUCUUUUGAAAAUAGAAUGUGAUGAAAGUUUGAAAAAUAAUCAUAUUUUCUAUUUAUGUCCAUUAAUCACUUAAUCCCAUUAAUAUGUAGAGAAUUUUUUAAAAAAAUUUAUUUGAUUUAUAUAUUGUUUAUAAUUAAUUUUAAAAAUUAUAAAAAUUAUUUAUAAUAUUUACUAUAUGAUAUGAUACUCAAUAUUAGAUUCUCAAAUUACAAUGCAUAUUUUCACUUUAACAAUUGUGCUACUUUUUUUGUUUUUUGAACUUUUACAUCGUGACUUAUAACUGUCCAAAGUUCGACAUAUAUGUAACUCUUUUUAAGUUUAUCCUUUCAUUUAUAAUUAGAUUUAUAAUAAAGUUUUAUCAUCAUUUGCAAUAGAGAACUUAUUAAUGAUUCUGAUGGUAAUGUCUAGAUGUAGUAUUCCCACCGUCUCUUUUUUUUUUUUUUAGAUAUCUCAAAAUUAUGUCAUCUUUUUUUUUAUUGGAAUAUCUCAAACUCUUUUUUUUUUAUAUUUUAAAAUUAUUUUUGUGUCUUUUUAACUUUUUGACAUUAAAAAUCAUGAAAUUUUAAUCUUAUAAAAAAAUUAAAUUUUAAUAUUAAAAAUAUUAAAGUUAAAGUUUUUUUCUUAAACUCCAUAAAAAUUAAUAACCCAGAAAAAUGCUCACAUGCAUAAAUAUUAAUGCGUAUAUUUGCAGCAACAAUGAUGUAUAAGUCUCGUUCAAUUAAGCAUUAUAUCUACCUUGGUUUCCACAAUUAGAACAUACUUCAUUUAUUAAAUGCUCCAGUUAUAUGAGGUAGUAAAAAUUUAAUUUAAUUUGGAAGUGGUAAGGUCGUCGGAUCAUUGGAAAUGUCAAAAUAAAUGUGCGCAUCGUCAAGUGGUAGGAUUUUUUUUUUUGGUUAAUUUUCUUUACAUAGAAAUAUUUUGUUUAUUAUGAUAAAACAUUGUGUCCGUACAAAUGAAAAUAAAUGGCAAGAAAACAAGACUUUAAGGAAGAAAUUUUUCAAUAAUCCAUCUUUGAAAGAUGUGCGUGAUAAUAUAUCAAGAUAAGUUUUCAAGUAAUAAACAACAUAUAUUAUAUAUUAAAAAUUAUAAAAAAUAAAACAUGUGACAAUAUAUAUUAAUAAUAUAUACAAAUAUAUAUAUAUAUAAAUAUCUAUAAAUUAUGUGAAAUUUAUGAGGUCGGAGGAUUGUUAUAUAUCCCAAUAUGUUAGAAAGUAAAAAAUUAAUAUAAUUAAAAAAAUACAAUUGCCAUUAAAUCUAAUAGUAUAUUACAAACAAAAGCAAGAGAAACAAGUUGCCUAAUCAACAAAUUGAAAAGCAUGUUUUACUUUUGCUGAAAAUUUUGAAGAAAAAAUCUAAAGAACACAACUUUUUUUUCUGACGUUUCAAUUGAUUCAAGGACUUUGAAAAAAAAAUAAAGACAAUCUUCAAAUUCUAAAGUUUUUCUUUCAUCCUAUUAUUUUCAAAUAAUUGGAAAUUUGAGUAUUUGAUUGAAUUUGAAAAAAAAAUAAAGACAAUCUUCAAAUUCUAAAUUUUUCUUUCAUCCUAUUAUUUUCAAAUAAUUGGAAAUUUGAGUAUUUGAUUGAAUACUACCAUCAAUGUUUUAACUUUUUUCGCUGUACUUUCUCAAUUUUUGUAGAUAAGAUUCCACCAAGCAAUUAGUUGCUAAUUAUUUAAGAUGAUUAAUUAUAAUUAGAUUUCAUUUGGUUUGUAUUUUUUUCGUUUACUAUUUGUUUUUUGUUUUCAAUUCAUUUAUUAAAAAAAAUAAAAACCCUAAACUGAAAAAUAUAAUUUAGAUUUCAUUUGGUUUGUAUUUUUUUUCUUUUACUAUUUGUUUUUGUUCUCAGUUCAUUUAUUAAAAAAAUAAAAACCAAAAGCAUCCAUUAAUUGGAGGAUUAAAAGGUGAGAAAAUUAUGUAAUUUCAUUGGUUAAUUUCCUUUUUUUUUUUGUUAAAAAAUUUAUUGAGUUUAAAACAAUAUAAAGUAAGAGUGUAUUUGAUACCAUGGAUAAAAUUUCUAAAAUUCUAUUUAUUUUUUUAAUUUCAUUAGGGUUUCAGAUUUCUAUUAAUUAUUAGUGUAUUUUAUAUUAAAAACUUAAAUUUAUUAUAUAAAAUUUAUAUUUUGAGGUUUUAAAUAUUAAAAUGUAAUUUAAAAAAUAAAAAUGAUUUUGGAAUACACUUGUACAGAAAAGUAAUAGCAUUUUGUGUUGAAAAAAACGAAGAUUAUAAUUUUAAAAUAUCCAAAUAGGGAAUGAUAGAUAAAAAAAUAAAAGGAGAUAGUAGGUACAAAAUUAAUUGCUAAUUAGAAAAUGAAUUGAAAAUAAGAAACAAAUAACAAAAAAUAAAAAAACUUAGAAGUGAUGACUGAAGACAUUUGGAAAGAUAAGUAUAAUUACGUAAAAAUGGUAAUAUAUAGUCUGAUUAGAUAUUGAAGUUGAACACUUAUUAUUUAAUUUUGAAUAAUUUAAAUUAAAUUUCUUUUUAAACAAUUAAAAAAAAAAAGAAAAGUUACUAUUAAUUUCUUGUGUAGCUUGACAAUGGGAUUGAAACAAAGAUUCACCCAUUGAGGUCCUUUUUCUGACUUAACCGGCAAAGAAAAGCCCAUGCAUGAUGAAUUGAAGACUAAUUCAUUAAUAGAAAAUCCCAUUAAUUUUUGUUCUAUGGAAACACAAUCAUGUUGUCCCUUUUAUAUUUGUAAUGUUCACGUUUAUAACGUUCACUUAUUCAUUAAAAUUAAGGUUCAUUAUCAUUAAAAAUAAUAUUGGUUAAUAUUUUUAUUUGAAGUAUUGUAAAAUAUAAAAAUAUGAAUCUAUACAUUCUAAGUUCUUACUGCACAAAUCAAUAUUCUUUAACAAUAUUAAAAACAAAAAUAAUAAAAAGGACUAUAUAUAUAUAUAUGAUAAAUUCAAUAUUAAAUUAUUAAUACGUUGUUUUGAAUUCUCAAAGAUUAAUAAAAUGAUUUCACAAACAAUGCUCUAAAAGCUUACUCUAAGGUUAUUACAUAAAAUAAUAUCUUCAUCCAAUACAUUAAAAAUAAUAAAAAUGAAAAUUAUUAAGCAUCACCUAUUGCAUUUAAUAUAAAAUUAUUACAAUAAAUAAUAGAUUAACUAAUUUUAGAGAGUGAAAAACUCUUUAACGAAUUUGUUUUAUUUACGUGUAAGAAUGGAGAAGUAAAAAUGACAACACAGUGAAUAUCCGUUAUUGUUUAGAUAUUUGUAGUUAAAUCUAUUUAAUUUUCAUGGUCUUCAAAUUCAUUUAAAUAUUCGAUUAAAUUUAAUAUCAUUAUCUGAAUAUGAAACCAUUUAAAUAAACAUCAUCUGUUUCAUAUUUGAAUCCAUUAAAAUAUCCAAUUACUUAAAUUUAAUUUUUUACUAAAAUAUAAAUUCAACAAGAAUUAAAUUUAAAUUUAAAAUUUACUCUUGAUUAAUAAUAAGUAAAGGUUGUUUGUUAAGAUUCGAAAAUAAAAUUUUGCAUAUUUUACAUAUGUAAAUAGAUAAUAUAUUCAAAUAAUUGAUACCAUAUGGUUUAAAACUUAAACGAGUUUGAAUAUCCAAAUGGUACUAUCUAAAUUCUAUCUCAAUCUAUUCAAUAUCUAUUUAUAAAUAUUUGAAUUAGACAUAAACAGAUCAGAUAAUUUAUCAAAUAUUCAAUUAUUUACUGUCCAUCAUCAUUCCUAAACGGAAUAUCAAGAGAGAACCAAUCAAUCAAAUCUAAUUGAAUGGAGAGGAUUCCUCCCUACUAUAUACACGUGCCACCAUUAUCUAACUUUGAGAAAAUUAAUUUUUUAUUUUUUUUUACAAAUACAAAAUAUGAAAUAAAAAAGGGGAAUAAAAGAAAGAAUAUAGUGAUAAAGAUUAAUUUACAAAAGCAAAACUAUUAGCCUUAUCAUCAUUGAAACCCAUUAUUCAUUCUUUAAAAUUCAAAAUUGACAAGUAAUAACCAUGUUUGUCUUCCAUCUAGUUUGAUUCAACUCAUACAAAAAAGGUUCAAACUCAUGAUUUGUACAAACACGUGGUUGGAAAAACACAUUUGAACCUAUCUCUUGAGAUCAAGGGAGAUAUAUAGCUACAAUAACAGUAUGAAAUAUGAAGUACUUGUCUAUAAUAUCGUGUAUGCAAAUCUCAAACUCCACAAUCUUCCCUUCAUUUUUUUUUUUUUUAUAGAAAGCCAACAAAACAUGAAGAAUUUUCAUGUCCUAAUGUCACUCAUUUUCCCUACCUUGUUUCUCUUCUCAUGCUCUGUAUCUCUUGUGUUAUCGUUUUCCCCUACUCAUACUGAUCUCCAAAACCAGUGCCUUGAUGAUCAGAAAUCUGCUCUAUUGCAAUUGCACCGUGAUCUGUACUAUGCCCCAAAUUUUACUUUCUCUUCCAAAGUUGAGUUUUGGGAUCCCAACACUGAUUGUUGCUCUUUGAAAGGAAUUACAUGUGAUGCUGUGGGUCAUGUGAUUGAGCUUGAUCUCAGUUACAAAAACCUUUCGGGCAGCUUUCACUCCAUUUUCAAUCUCCAUCAUCUUCAACGCCUUAAUCUUGCUGGAAAUAAUUUUAAUACUACUCUGUUUCAAUAUGAGUUUGAUAGAUUCUCAAAUUUAACUCAUCUCAACCUUUCAAACUCAUGUUUCCUUGGCCAAAUUCCAGUGGGGAUUUCAUACUUAACAAGGUUAGUCUCUCUUGAUCUAUCUAAUCAAGAUUCUUGCUAUCAACGGUAUAACCAAAUGCUCCAUCCAUACAACUACGUCUUCUACUACUAUCCGCUGCCUUUUGACCUUCAACAACCUCUUAAACUAGAAAACCCAAACUUUAAGACAUUAAUCCAAAAUUUAAGAUCUCUUACGGAGCUCUACUUGGAUAGUGUGAACAUUUCAACUCAAAGUACUAAAUGGUGUGAAACCACCUCUGUAGUACUUCCUAACUUGCAUGUGUUAAGUUUGUCGAAUUGUGGUUUGACAGGUCCAUUUUGUUCUUCACUCUCAAGACUUUCUUUUCUUUCCAAACUUUUCCUUGGUGGGAAUUCAAUCUCUUAGUUGCCUCCCAAUUUCUUAGAAAAUUCCUCUCGUUUGGUUUCCCUCAGUUUAGUGAAUUGCAAUUUGAGUGGGCAUUUUCCAAUAGAAGUUUUCUUAUUGCAAAUACAAAGCAUCGACAUUUCAGAAAAUGACAAUCUUGAAGGUCAGUUGCCAGAAUUUUCAUUAAACAAUACUUUACGUGUCUUAAAGAUUUCUUUUACAAAUUUCAGUGGAAAACUGCCAGAAUCAAUUGGUAAUCUCAAGUUCUUGACAACUUUAGAUCUCCAUGGUUGUAAGUUCUUUGGACAAAUUCCAUCAUCAAUUGCAAAUCUUACUAACCUUGUGGAACUGGGUCUAUCCUAUAACAAUUUCAGUGGUUUUAUCCCCGCGUUUCAUAGAUCUGGAGUUCCAAAUCUUGCAUAUCUUUUUUUGUGGAGCAACCACCUCUCUGGAUCAAUACAUUCUUCUUUAUUUGCUCUCCCAUCAUUGCAGGCCUUGGAUCUCAGUGAAAAUGAAUUGUUUGGUGAAAUUGAUGAGUGCCUCAAUGCAUCUUCUUCAUUGAUUGAAACAUUGUAUUUAGGCUACAAUAGCUUUAGUUCCAUUAAGCUUGACAUGUUCUCCCAAAUUAAGAACUUAAGGGUUCUUGACCUUUCUAAUAUGAGCUUAUCAAUUGAAAGCAACAUCACAAGCCUGCUUUUCCCCAAUUAGAGAAGCUAUACCUAAGUUCAUGCAACUUUACUGAAUUUCCAGAAUUCAUCAAAACACAAGACAAGUUGGCUUCUCUAGAUCUUUCUAACAACCAAAUCCAUGGUUUUGUGCCGAAUUGGUUGUGGAAGACCACUCUUUUGAGGUUAGACCUUUCUUUCAAUGCGAUUGAUUUUUCAAAAGAGGUUCCUUUUGGUGAUGCAAACUCCUGUUUUCCAAUGUUGAUUAUCUUGUAUUUACAAUUCUGUAACCUAAGUAUGUUUCCAGAGUUUUUAAAGAGUCAAACUAGUUUAGAAGAGUUUGACCUUUCAAAUAACAAAGUAAGUGUGCAGUACCAAACUGGGUGUGGAAGAAAAGUUUGCGGUAUCUGGAUCUUUCUAACAAUUCUCUCUCAUCUUUGGACCAAUUUUCUCUCAACCAAUCUCUAACUUCUUCACAAGGCUCUUUAUCAAGACCUAUUUGCAAUUUGAGUCAACUUGAGACCUUUAAUGCAUCCUUAACAAAUUAAGCGGGCUAAUCCCUAGUUGCUUGGGCAAUAUCAGUUUUCUCAGGUAUUUGGAUCUACAAAAAAAUAAUUUCAACGGUAGCAUACCAGAUUUUGCAAAAGCGACCCAAUUAUAUUGGCUUCAACUCAAUGAUAAUAAAUUGGAAGGGAAGUUGCCAAGGUCAUUAGCCAAUUUGCACAAUGCUCCGAGUUUUAAACCUUGGAAAUAAUACUCUGCAUGACACAUUCCCUUUGUGGUUGGGAAAAUUGCAUGAGUUGAUGGUCCUUGUAGUGCGAGCAAAUAGGUUUUAUGGUCUAAUUAAACAUGUGAAAAAUUAUUUUCAGCAUUUGGAUGUACUAGACAUUGCGUUCAAUAAUUUUUCUGGUCAAUUGCUGAUAGAAUUCUUUCAAGCCCCUCGACUAAGGUCAUUCAAAAUUGGUGGGAAUAAACUGGAAGGAAAGUUGCCGAGGUCAUUAGCCCAUUGCAAAAUGCUUGAAGUUUUGGACGUUGGAAAAAAUAUGACACAAGACAUUUCCUUUUUGGUUGGUGAAAUUGCCUUCUUUAAAGGUUCUUAUACUAAGAGCAAAUAGAUUUUAUGGUCCAAUUAAAAUUUCUGAGGAUGAAAAUGCUUUCCUAGAGUUACACAUACUGGAUCUUGCUUCCAAUAACUUUUCAGGUGAGUUACCUGUUGGAUUUUUUCAAUCUUUAAGGCAAUGAAGUAGAUGAUUGAUGGCAACAAAGCUAAACCAGAUUAUAUUGGAGAUGAUUACUACCAGGACUCUGUGACAAUUGUGAAUAAGGGGUUUGAACUUUUUUACCAGAAAAUUUUAACCAUCUUUGUUUGUCUUGACCUUUCCAAUAAUAGUUUCCAUGGGAAAAUACCGGAAGAAAUACAAAACCUCAAAUCACUCAAAGUGCUAAACUUGUCCUACAACAGCUUCCUUGGCCCAAUUCCUUUAGCACUUAGAAACUUAACUCAACUUGAGUCGUUGGACCUCUCCCAGAACAAACUCUCCGGAAAGAUUCCUCUACAGCUUACAAGCCUAACUUUUCUUGCAGUAUUGAAUCUCUCUUACAACCAACUUGAGGGAAGCAUACCACAAAUCUACCAAUUCAAUACAUUUUCAAACGAUUCUUACAAAGGGAAACCCAAGAUUGUGUGGGCCGCCUUUGACAAAGAAAUGCAAAGAAGUUGGUCUUGGAGUGCCACCCUCUAAGGAAGAUGAAGAUUCAUGGGUAGAUGGUAUAUCUGUUUGGAAAAUCGUACUGAUUGGGUAUGGAUGUGACUUGAUGAUUGGGUUAUCUAUUGGAUAUACAGUGCUGAAUGAGAUGGGAAACAAAUGGAUGGAUAGAUUUACAUGGAAUCGGAAUCAAAAAUGGAGAAGAUCUUCUAGGUGACUCCGUCGAAAUUCAAGCUUCAAAUUCAUUUGGUAAGCAUUCUAGAAUACUUAAUAACUCAAAAGUUUUCUUCUUGAUUCUUUGAGCUGUAUUUAAUUGCCUAAACAAAUAAAAUUAUUUAAAUAUUCUCUUGCAUUAUAAGUGUGAUAAAUAUAUCUGCAGUAACUGAAAUUUGACUAAAGUGAUUACAUUUGAAAUUUAAUUAAAGAAGGUUUCAACUUUGGACAUCUCAUUCCCUUUUUAAACUCGGCAUUGCUUUUAAAACUAAAAGCAAAAAUUGCCUGCAAACUAGGAUAUGUCCUUUGAAUUCCUAACCUCAUUUUAUAAAUGACAAUCAUAAGUUUCCAAGUUAGUAAUUUGUAAAAGACAUGUGGGUGACUGGUAUUUUGAGUUAGAUUGGGCUGUCAGCCAUCUUAAGAGCAAAGCAAAGCUUUGGCAUCUAUUGUCCUUAAUUAGAUUGGCUUGGGAUGCUCAUAUAUAUUCUAUUUGGCAGGAGCACAAUCAAAGGAAGUUUGGCAGGCCAUCUAAAGAUAUAGAAGCUAUUGUUUCAACUAUCAGAAGUUCCUUUUGGCUUAGUUCAAUAACAAGAUUGCAGUCUCCAGUUCCACUCUUCCUCUUCAACAACAGAAAUUGUGUCUGAAUGUUUUUGGCUUGGUGUUACGGUACCUGUGUCUCAGUUCUUUCUCUUCUGCUCGCCAAAGAUGAUUGGCGGUAUGUCUGGUUGUAGUGUGCUUGUCAUCUGUUUUGUCUAUGGGGUGGUGUUUUACUGCUGAGUUAUGGGGUUCCCCUGUUGUUCACCCUAUUGAGUAACUCUGUUUUUAUUAAUAAUUUCUGGCUUAGCAAAAGAAAAAUGUGUCUGAAUUGGGGACUGGUUCCUUAAUGUUGCUUAGUUUGAUUGCUUUGCAAAAGUUAGAUUGUUCUUGGACAUUUGUAAUGUUUUGAUAGCUUACUGUUUACUUGUAGCAGGUCUACUGCUUUCUUUGGAUUAAUAAAAAUCAUUUAUCCAAAGAAAUUCUUAACAAAAAUCUUAUUUUUUUUAAACUCUUCAUUAUUGUUAUACCUAAGUGAUCAUGUCAGCAGCCACAAAGUAGGUCUUACACAUGAAAGCCCAGUUUGCCACAUCGUCAUCUAAGAGGUAUAAAAAGUAGAACCAGAUAAGACAGGUGAUUCACUACUGAAUUCUCUUUGCUCUCUUUAACUGCUUCCUACUCUCUCUCAUUUACUUGCUUCUGGUAUACCUUACUAACUUGAGUGUCGGGGAAUGCCUCAAAAUAACAUUUUUGGCACACUGACUUUCUACUUUGUGACAGGUCACACAAACUCUCCUUCUCACCCUCCAGUAAAACUUUAGACUAUCAGACCAGGAAUUACAUCAACAAUAUCAAUUAUUCACCUCAACUAUUUGCAGUGAAGGAAUUUGAUAUAAGCCAUGGCAUGUACAACAAUGACUACGCCUACCACUUUAACUGCCAAAACUAGAAGUUACAUCUCCUAACACAGAAAAAUCUUCACAGACCAAGCUAAAGCUAAGAUGCCUUAUUCCUGUAUUAACUGCUACAUCACUACAGAGAAAAAAACAACGAAAAGAAAAGAACAAAGCUUCAAGUUCCAGGUAUCAAGCUUGAAUAACUUCGAUAAUAUUUUAUUGUCCCUAACAACUAUAGAUUUGACUAUGGCGAGAAAGAUUGAAAUAUUUCCUUUAUUAUUUUCUUCAACUUUAAUCCCAUAUCAUCCUUUGUUUCUUUGCUUCAGCACUUCCACAGACAAAAACAAAUGGUUUGUUGUAACUCUAUUGCUAUUUGAUUGAUUUGCAUGUAGAAUAGACCUUGACUAAACAAAAACAUGAGGGCAAUACAUUCAGUAACUUAUAUAUACUCACUUCGCUAGAAUUCCAGUGAAUCCUUUCAGUAACUUAUUCUCUAUCUAAUAGAAAUAAAGCGUCAUAACUAAAUAGCCAAUAUUCACAUUGAUGCGCUAAGUGUUCUGAUAUAGCCACUAAUCCAUCAUUAAAAGAUGAAGUUAUAGAAGAUAUGCUAUGUUUCAAUCACUGGUCAUUUUAUAGGUAGUUUUUUCUCUAGUAGUCAGCUUGAUGCUGUAAACCAGGAAGGUUGUCAAGCCUUCUGAUAUUUAGCCUAUUUUGAGUAUUAGCUCAGAAUUUAUGUUUAGAAGAUUUUGUAGGUGAAAAGAUAUUUGAUGACUUUGGGGUUGACAAAAGCCACAUUGGACAGAGUGAUUGUGCAUAUAUGAAGACUUUGCCGCUAGAGGCUUUCUCCUACAACUGUCCUUCUCAUGCAGCCCUAAGAUCUUGCUCUUUUGAAUCCAUCUCUAACUAGAAAUGUAGGUAUCAACUAGAAAAAUACUUUAUUCUCAUGAAUUUCGUCAUUUGGGAAUUUUACAGGGAAAAAAGAAAACAAAAGCUCAUGCUAAAAAAGAAAAUUUUAGAGGGAAAAAAGGAAACAAAAAAUAUUACUAUUUCCUGAGUUUAAGUUUAGGUUUGCUAGCUAAUUUAACUUUUUUUUUUGUCAUGAAUGCAGGAAUCGUAUUUUUCCAGGAAGAAAACUUAUCAUUAAUGUUUUCUAUGCUUUGGUCUUGGACAGCAUAAAAAAUCACAGCUUCCAUAUGCCGUCCCUACCCAAUUGAAACCACCUGCAAUCCAAUAUUCUUAAACUCUUGGAAGUAACAUCCUAGAUCCUGCCAGUAUGUGUCAUCGAGACUAGGAUUCUGAUCUGAUCAAGCUGAAUUCUUGGCCAUUAUGAAGGUUGUGAAGUUGGAUGCCGAUUCUUGGAAAGUUAAUACUGGAUUGCACAGCUAUCUCUAGGUACAAGAAAUGCUACUUCAUGGGUAAAAGGCAGCAAUAGGGUUUGUUGGCAUCUUAGGAACGCCAAUUUUGUAUAUACAUUACAAGUUUUACAAUUGUCUACUCAUUCAGUUGUUUUCGACGACUCUUGGAAGUUCAUGUAAAAACCUAAUUCUUACUCUGCUUAAUACUAUCACUCAACUCACAAGUCUGUUGUGGACUGACACAAAAAAUGCUUACCUAAAUACUAAAGCACAUGCCUGCAGCAACAAUGAUUUUAAAGAGCUCAUCAUUGCAUAAUCCAAAAUUCCCCCAAGCUCAAGCGGGGAAAUGAUUUCGUUUAAUAAGGUAUUCAGACAAGGGAAAUGAUUUUAAAGGGCAAUGAAUCGUCAGUGUUAUCAUCAUUCUGGCCUAGCCCUGCCUCAUCAUCAUCAUAAUCGCCACCCAAAGCCAGCUAUCUCUUCCUUGCUUUCUCUGCAUCUUCCCAGUCCUUCUCUAAUUGCUAUCCAGACUUGUAAUCUCCAAGAUCAUGCAUAAACUUACAUGAAUCCUGUAACCACAGUAACCAGUUUCUUUGUAGUCUUUACAGAUGUCAGGUUGAUAAUCGAAUCUCUCUGAAACCCUGAGGUGGGCAGAAGCCCUAAGAGGUCCAUGUGAGCCACCAGCUUUCUUACUGGCAACUGUCGGCUCUCUUCAAACCCACCCUGAUGAUCCACAUAGCCAUGCAUUCCUUUAUACAACUUCUCUCCCACAGAGCUUGUGUUUUCCCCUUCAAAGCCUCCUCUGCUCGUUUGAGAACUUUCUUACCUAUAGCUCGAGCAUCUUAUAUAAACUCAGUCUCAGUUUCUAAGGUUGCCGUAGCUCUGCUAUCAUUUUGAACUUGAAGUUCCUUCGAAGACUCAAAUUGAAAAAUCGGUUUGUCAAAUUCUGUAUUUGAUUCAUUGACAGCAGCACUCCUGGAGGAUCCAGUCGAAAAGUAUAACUUAUUGUCAGGCUUGAAAGCCGUUUUCUGAUUGUGUAACGGAGAUGUGCCAUUUCUGGAGUCUUCAUCUUCAUCUUCAUUUAUUGUCCUUUUCCUGACGUUUUUGCCCUUUGUUAGCUUCCUAAAGAAAUUGCAGACUGAAAAAUCAAAAUAAUUUGAGUUAACAUACACAGUUAUUAAGAUAAUGAUCUUAAUUUGAUGCAGAAAAUACAUUAAACAGAAGGAAUAGUUCUUCUUUCUUAUUAUUUUUUUAAAAUAAAAUGUCAAUAAGUGGCAAUGGAGGAGAAUCAUUAAUCCCUCAGUGAGUACUUCCCCCUUUUAUUUGGACAUCUAUACGAGUUUCAAGUUAUUCCUUUUCUUCUAUUUAUUUGAUCGUCUUCCGCGUCUUUCUUUAUUUCAUGUUAAAAAAAUUUCUUUUGAUAGUGCUGAUUGAUCAGUUAUUAAAUAUUAGAUCUGAUCAAAUUAUUAAGAAUAAGGCAUUUUUAAUUACUGCUAGAUUACUUUUUUUAUCUUUUUUGUUCUUGAUCAUUUAUUAGGCUUAGGCACUUAUAUUUCUUUUCUCUCAUGUAAAUUUGAGGUCUUUCUCGCUUUCAUUGGAGAUUAACGUUUCUCUUUUGUAUGCUGUUUUUCUUUUGAUAUAUGCUAAAAGUUUAGUGGGUUUGUCAUGCAGGGUUUGAAAGGGCUUUAUGCAGGCUUCUUUCCUGCAGUUUUAGCGUCCUCUUUUCAUGGGGCUUAUAUUUCUUCAUGUAAGUGCCAUCAUCAAUUUACAUGUUACAACCUUUCCUUUGAUUACAGUACAUUUGUUGUCAAAUAUGUGUGCACAUUUGAAUUAUUAGCUGCAGCGGAAACGACUUAUUUGCUGAUUUUUUUUAAUGUAAAUAGAUUGAUUUUAGUAUGCAAUGGGGAAUACAAAGAGUUAAUGUGUUUUGAUUUGUUGGAAAAUGUAGUGUGACAAUCAAUUAAUCUAAAGUGUCUGCUACUACUGUCUUAAUUUGAUGCAAGUUGCAAAUUAUCUCUGUUGAAACCCAGUUUUGAUGUUUAGAAACCAAAAUUCUUAGUAGAGUUUGAUAUGCAAUCAAACGGAAAAAUGGAAAAAAACUCAACAAAAGAAAUGUGCUUCUGCAAUCUGCAAAAUUGGCUCGAAGAUCUUUCCUGAUUGAAGUGAAGCUUCAGAGAUGGAAAAUUAGCAAGUAAUAAUAAGCAAACAGAUAUUAAUUACCUGCUUAAUCCAUUAAAUAAGAGAAAAAAACCUUAAUGACUUCAUAUCAAUAAUGAAAUGGGCGUACUGCAACGAUUCAGAAAAUGGAAUCAUACUUCAAAAACCUUCCAUUUGCUACAAUAUUGAUUGUACUGGUGACAAUGUCUAACCCAUAAGCAUGAGCUCCAUGACCAAAAGUCCCUGCAAAUAGCUUCCACCAAUGCCGAGGAUUCAAAAGCUGUACAUAGCAAUUUGGUUGAAAGCAGAUUUGUGAAGCUUUCAUUUCAUAUAACUUGGCAGCAAGAAAAUGAUUGGGAGAAGCUAGUGAGUAUGGAGAAACUAUAUGGACAGGAUCACUAUCUUCAAUUUUGGACAGGAUGUUUUGAAGUCAAGAUCAGCUUGACGGGGUAAAGCAAAGACUUGGUGACUGGUGAGGAACUAAAUAAAAACUGAAAUAAUACCUUCAAUUUCCUUAAAAAUAUAAAUAAAACUCAAUGACAAUGAAGUUGAUGUAUUUUCAAAUUGUUCAAUGUUUAAAAACUGAAAACAAAAGAAGUAAUAGCAUCUUAUGUUGGCUGUUGGGUUAAGAAUAAUUUGUUGCUUACUUAACAUUAAAUCAUCUAUAAAGAAACUAUUUAGUCCCUUUUAGAUGCCAUCACUGACUCACUGUGAUAGAAUUCAAGUCAAAAUAUGGAUUCAUCAUCAUUUAUAUAUUUGUAUCUCACAUAUAUUUCAUUAUUGAUUUUAAUCUCUAUGCUAUUAUAUCUAAUCUCACCAUAAUAAUAAUUAGUUUUUUUAUUAUCGUUAUUUUUAAUUUCACGGAAACUAAUUUUGCUUCUCGUCUAAAUUGUUAUCGAAAAAAAAAAGAGAUCUAGCACAAUACUUAUUACCCUUUUCAUUAUAUUAUAUAUAAAAAAAAACCUACAUAAUGCACAAUAGAUGGCACACUUUUUAUGUAUAAAUAAGAACUCAUGAAUUUAAGUAUAAUCAUAUUUUGUUUUUAUUUUUUUAAAAAAUUUAUAUUAACAUUUGAAAUUUAUAUCCCUUUCUUUUGAAUUCAAAUUUCUAAACACAAAUUUAAUUAACAAAAGAAAUUCCUCUUUCAUUGAUCAAACAACAAAAAUUAAGAAACAAUCAUUGAGGAAAGAAAAACUAAUACCUCGAAAAAAAAAAUAAGAAUUUAGGGCUUUAAUAAUGUUUGUUUUUCAAAAAAAAAAAGAUUGUAAAAAAAAUUCAUACAUAUAAAUAAAAUUAAUAAUCAGCCAAAAAGAGCAAAAUUAAUUACCCGAAUUAGUAUGGAUAAGCCUAUGGGUCAAAAGACUCUUUUUUUUACAUGGGCUGGCCCAUUAAUACCGAAAUCGUGCUUCCCUUUGACUUCUUGCACUAAAAAUACAAUGAUGGAUUCCGAAUUUGGCAAUUUUUGUGAAUCAUAAAGUGUUUGAAGAAAAAUACGAAAAGCAAUUAACUGAGAAAAGCAAAAUUUUAAAAAAAUGUUGUCAAAAGGGGUUUAAAGUUAGGGCGUUUUAAUCGAAUUUUCCUUUCCUUUUUUCAUUUUCCUGGUAAAAACUUCCUCAUGCCCAGUUUUAUUUUCAAUCUUAAAAUUUUUUUAAUUGAUUUUAUCUCCUGUUUUUGCAGUGACACUGUAAUUCAAGAGCUGGAGUCAUUGCAGCUAAUUUUUGGAAGCCCCACAUUGGCAAAGGCAGAGUAUUUGAUUUUUUUUUUAAUUUCUUUUUUCUGUGAUCUUUUUUAGACUUUCACUGUGUAGAAAGGUUCUAUUUUUUGCUAAGCAUAAAUUUUUUUUUCUUAUUUGUGUUUCUCAGGCUUUAUUGUAUGUUGGUUUUGUUCUGUUUUAUCCAUAUUUCAUUUAUUUUUAUGAUUUGAAUUGAACUACUAUGUGAAAAGGAAUAUUGAGUAUUGCCAAGUAGUAUUUUCUUUGACUAUUACUGUACAUAAUUGUCAAUUCUGUUAUUCAAUUGCUGGCUGUUAAAUUUGCUGCAAAAGAAUGAUUAUUGCAGUUUGAAUCUCUUGUUAUUAUGGGGAAGAGUGUGAGGGUUGAAAAAAGGGAAAGCAAAAUAAAAUGAAAUAGUUGGGUGGAAAGUGUUACCUUUUAUGGAGUUCUAGCUUGCAAUCAUCAUUUGUUUAAUUGUACAUUUUGCAUUUUCCAACAAUUGAAUGGAGCGAGUUUUUCGGAUUUCCAUUUCAUUGCUUUCAAGUAUCUUGGUUUAGAUAAGUUUCGUCAGUGUUUUCUGUUUUCAAAAUGAAUUAAUAUACAUGACAUAACAGGUUCUUCUUGCAAAUCGGGAAUUGAAUGCUUAUGUGAAAAGGUGUUUAAAAUCUGAUCUUUUCUUUGUGGCAUCCAUAUUCUGCAAAGAUCUUUUGCCCUGUCUUUGUUCACCUCCUAGGUAUCAGUAUUUUGUCGGUUUGCUUAUGGUAGAGUUUGAUCUCCUUCUCUCCCAUUUUCCCUUUGCCCCCGCUAUUCCUCUUCUUCCUCUUUAGCCUUUGAAAUUGCUUUUUAGAGCCUUGGUUGUUAUAGUGGAUUACAAGCAUACAUAACACUAUGUUCAAGCUGUUGAAUUUUAGGUUCAACUUUCAAGUGUUAAGAGUUUUAUUAAAGUUUUGAUUUCUUGUGUAAGCCUUGUUUUACCCCCUUUUUUAGAGGGAGAGGAGGUUUGGGAGAGAUAAAAAUAGCACUUAUUUUAGUGUAUAUGGAUGUAUGUAUGUAUGUAUGUAUGUAUAUGUAUACAUAAACAUAGGUUUAAAAAAUAUGCUACAUACGAUGUUUCUAUAAUACAAAAUUGUGUAAUUGCAAAUAAAAUGUAAAUUUCAAGUACUGUGCACACUUAAAUUAUUUCUUAAAAAUUCUAAAAAUUAAAUUCAAUAAAAUUAGAGUUAUAACUUAAUGACCAAAUAACAAAUAAAACUAAAAAGGGAACCAUCAAGAACAUAAAAUUACUUGUGCAAAAUUAAUGCAUUAGCGAACCAUAUGAGGUUUCUUGGUUGUUUUGCCUUAUUUAGAGGCUGUUUGAUUGGGUUUUUGCUAUUUGCUUUUUGCUUCCGAAAGUAAAAAAGCAAAAAUUGCAUUCCCAUAAGCAAUAAAAUAUUGAAGAGUUUAAACACAAAUAUGUAAAUUUUUUAUGAUUAACUACAUGAUUCUACUUCUAUAUAUACUAAUUGUGUUAUAACUGAUUUUAUAUUUUAAUUAUUUUUUCUGUUUCAGAUCAGUUAUGAUAUAUUUAUUGUUUACCUUUUGCUUUUCCUUUCUAGUAAAAUAUAUACGUUUUAUUCAUGUUCAUUUGUAACUUACCAAACUUCUUGACCAUGUUCUAGAAAUGCUAGUAUGUAACGAGUUUGCUUUGAAUAUGGCAGCUAACAAUAUCAGUGAAUCUUAGGUUUGUUGAUGCAAAUCAUGGCUAAUAGAUUCACUUGAAGCCUACUUAUCUAAAGAUCUUUAGAUUUUUGGAGGAUGAAAUACAGAGGUGGUGCUGAUGUUAAUAAUAUUGGACAUUGAACACUGUCAAACAACAUAGAGGUGGAAAUAUACUGACUUUUUCAGGAUUCAGGGUUGGUUUUAUUUGUUGACUUCAUUCUAAUACUUUUGUUUUUGGAAAGAUAUAUACCCGACAUCUUCUGUAAAUAUGCAACUUGAUGUAGAUAAUUUGUAAUUUUGGGAAGAGAGAAGGAAUGAAAUUGAGAAGAUAGUGGUUUUUCUUUGAAAUUUUGCCAUGAUAUGAAGUUGUUUUAGUCAGAUUUUCUUGAUGUUAUGAUGCUUAAGAAAUCCAGAUGCUACUGAAAUCUUGCCCCAAUAUAGUUCAUUCUUCAACUCCAUCUAUUUUAUCUGGUUUGUUUCUGGGAAUAAAAGCAGAUUCCUUAUUGGUUGCAAAAUUUUCAUUCAUUUUAUCUUCAAAUUUAUCGAACAAUUAAAUUAUUAAUUGACUUGGUUAGUAUUUGUUGAAUCAUAUCACUUAGAAAAUGUUAUCAGUUAGUGGAGAUUUUAGAUUAUACAAGUUAGAGGGCUGUCACAAACCCUUUUACAAAUAUAUUAAAAAAUUAUAUAAAAGAAUUAAGAUAUGUGAUAAUUUUUUAAUACUGUUUAUAAAAUUUAAAAACUCUAUUAAACAUAUGUGAAGAAAUCAAAAUAUAUAAAAAUUAUCUCGUAUAUAUGAAAUUUGCAAAAGAAGAAGAUUGUCUUUUUUUUUUUUUAUGUGAGAUUGUUAGGAUUUAAACUUAAAUUAUUGAAAGUAAGGUUUUUGCGUUUUAUUAACAAAUUAUAUAGUUAUUGGCUCAUUGAAUUUUUAAAUCAAAGGAUCUUUUUAAAAUAUAUUAACAAUUAAAAACUAAAAAGAUGCACAUACCAUGAAAUAUAAUAGUAAAUUAGGAACGAAAGCAUGAGAAACAAGUUGCUUAAUCAAUAAAUUGAUUGGCCCAAAAAAUCAACAAAUUAAAAACCUGUGUUUCAUUUUUGCUCAAAGUUUGAAAAAAAAAUCUAAAGAACACAUUUAUUCGCACUUCUCAAACUUAUUUAUUUUGGAAAUUGUGAUUUUAUAAUGGUGGAAUAAGAAAGAAAAUGAUAGAUACUAUGGUAAUGCAUUGGUCUAAGUCUUAGUCUUUGCUUUAUACUUAGUUUUGGCAUCAAGCAUACAAAUGUAUCAAUCUUUUUGCCCCCAUCUUUACUUCACAAGAAUAAUAAUUUUUGUAGUUAUUUCAGUCUAAGUCAUUAAAAAGACUAAAUAUUACAAUAAUAAUUAAUAUCCUUAAAAUUCAUUCCCUGUGUGCCAAUUUAACCGGAAGACAAAAAGCAACCUCCAUUGAGAAAAUUUUUUUUUUUAUCUUUUUUAAAAGACAAACUUGAUUUAAGCAAAUUGCUAAGAAGAUUAUUUUUAACAGAGUAAUGAUAGGUUAAGAAGACUUAAAUAUUUGUAUGAUUGGAAGACUUAUAAGUAUAAAGCAAAGAAAAGACUAAAUAUCAAUAAAAAAAAUCUCAUACUAUCAUUUUCUUUGUGAGUCCAAAAUUAGAAUAUCAAUUUUUUUAUAAACUAUAAUUUUAUGAUGGGUGACUCAAAAUACAUCAUCAUUUUUUUACUCUAUAUCCAUUUUAAAAAAAUUUUUUAAGUGAAAUUAUUUAUUUACCCAUCUCAUUUUAAUUUUAAACUUUUAGAUAUGCAUUUCUGAUAAGUUAUAUAACUUUUCAGAUUUUCAUAUUUGGUAAGUUAAAAGAGAUAUAUUUAGGUUAGGAAAAAAAGUAGUUAAGAGAAAAUAUCUUACAGAAAGUUUGAGAUUCUAAAACCAUUGAAAAAAUUUAAAAACUCUAUUAAUCAUAUAUAAAGAAAUUCAAAUAUAUAAAAAUUAUCUCGUAUACAUGAAAUUUGUGAAAAUAAAAGAUUGUCUUUUUUUUUUUCUUGUAUAUGAGGUUGUCAAGAUUUGAACUUUAAACUAUUAAAACUAAGAGUUCGACAUUUUACUAACAAAAUACAUGGUUAUUAGCUCAUUGAAUUUUUAAAUUAGUGCAUCACUUAAAAAUAUAGUAACAGUAAAAAACUGAAAAAAAAUGUGCAUAACAUGAAAUAUAAUAGUUCAUUAGGAACAAAAGCAUAAGAAACAAGUUGCUUAAUCAACAAAUUGAUUGGCUAAAAAAAUCAACAAAUUAAAAACCUGUCUUUUAUUUUUGUUGAAAAGUUUGAAAAAAAAAAUUUAAAGAACACAUUUACUCCCAUUUCUCAAAUUUGUCUAUUCUGGAAAUUGUGAUUUUAUAAUGGUGGAAUAAGAAAGAUAAAGAUAGAUCCUAUCGGAAUGCAUUGAUCUAAAUCAUAGUCCUUGCUUCAUACUUGGUCUUGGCAUCAAGCAUGCAAUGUGUCAAUCUUUUUGCCCCUAUUUUUACUUCAAAAAAAUAAUGAUGUUAGCAAUUGCUUCAAUCUAAGUCAUUGAAAGACUAAAAUAUAACAAUAUUAAUUAAUAUACUUAAAAUCCAUUCCCAAUUUGCCAAUUUAAUUAGAAGAUAAAAAACAACCACCAUUGAGAAAAUUGCUAUUUUUUUGUCUUUUUUAAAAGAUAGACUUGACUUAAGCAAACUGCUAAGAAGAUUAUUUUUCACAGAGUAAUGAUGGGACAAGAAGACUUAGACAUUAGCAUGAUGGGAAGACUUAAAGUAUAAAGUAAAGAAAAGACUAAAUACCAAUAAAAAAUGUCUCAUAUUAUCAUUUUCUUUGUUAGUCCAAAAUUAGAAUAUCAAUUUUUUUUUUUUUGUAAAGUAUAAUUUUGUGAUGGAUGAUUCUAAAUACACCAUCAUUUUUCUCUACAUCCACCUUUUUAAAAAAAUUUUUAAGUGAAAUUACUUUAUUUACUCAUCUUGUUUUAAUUUUAAAAUUUUUAAAUAAGCAUUUUUGAUGAGUUAUAUAACUUACAAAAUUUUCAUAUCUGGUAAAUUAGAAAAAGUUACAUUUAGGUUGGAAAAAAAAAAAUAAUUAAGAGAAAAUAUCUUAUAGAAAGUAUGAGAUGUUAAUAUUGUUUAUAAAAUUUAAAAACUCUAUUAAUUAUAUGUAAAUAAAUUAAAAAAUAUAUAAAAAUUAUCUCAUAUACAUGAAAUUUUUUCAUUCGAAGAUUGUCUUUUUUUUUUUUUUAAUUUUUUUAUAUGUGAGAUUGUCAGGAUUUAAAUUUUGAACUACUGAAACUAAGAGUUUAGCAUUUUACUAACAAAUCAUAAGGUUAUUAGGUCAUUGAAUUUUUAAAUUAAAGGAUAUCUUUAAAGUAUAUUAACAAUAAAAAACUAAAAAAGUGCUGAUACCAUGAAAUCUAAUAGUACAUUAGGAGCAAAAGCAUAAGAAAUAAGUUGCUUAAUCAACAAAUUGAUUGGCCAAAAAAAAUCAACAAAUUAAAAACUUAUGUUUUAUUUUUGCUGAAAGGUUUGAAAAACAAAAAUCCACAGAAUAUAUUCAUUUUCACUUCUCAAACUUCUCUAUUUUGAAAAUUGUGAUUUUAUAAUGGUAGAAUAAGAAAAAAAAAAUGAUAGAUACUUUGGGAAUGUAUUGGUCUAAGUGUUAGUCUUUGCUCUAUACUUAGUUUUGGCAUCAAGCUUGCAAAUGUGUCAAUCAUUUUGCCCCCAUCUUUACUUCACAAAAAUAAUCUUAGCAAUUGCUUCAGUCUAGGUUAUUAAAAAGACUAAAAUAUAACAAUAAUAAUUAAUAUACUUAAAAUCCAUUCCUUGUGUGCCAAUUUAACUAGAAGACAAAAGAUAACUUUCAUUGAGAAAAUUAUUUUUUUUUUUUGGUCUUUUUUAAAAGGUAGACUUGACUUAAGCAAAUUGCUAAGAAGAUUAUUUUCACAUAUUAAUGAUGGGGCAAGAAGACUUAGACCUUUACAUGAUGGGAAGACUUAAAAGUAUAAAACAAAGGAAAGAUUAAAUACCAAUAAAAACAUCUUAUACUAUCAUUUUCUUUGUGAGUCCAAACUUAAAAUAUCAAUUUUUUUAAAAAGUAUAAUUUUGUGAUGGGUGAUUAUGAAUAUAUCAUCAUUUUUUUCUCUAUAUCAAUUUUUUUUUUAAAUUUUUAAGUGAAAUUACUUAUUUACCCAUCUUUUUUUAAUUUUAAAGCAUAUAGAUAUAACUUAUUGGAUUUUCAUAUCUGGUAAGUUAGAAAAAAGUUACAUUUAGGUUUGAAAAAAAUAGUUAAGAGAAAAUAUCUUGCAUAAAGGAUGAGAUUCUAAUAACAUUUAUAAACUUAAAAAUCUCUAUUAAUCAUAUAUGAUGAAAUCGAAAUAUAUAAAUUAUCUCGUAUACAUGAAAUUUGUGAAACUAUAAAAUUUUCUUUUUUUUUUUUUAUGUGAGGUUAUCAGGAUUUGAACUAAGAACUAUUGAAAAUGAAAGUUCAACAUUUUACUAACAAACUACAUGGUUAUUAAUUUGCUCAUUUAAUUUUAAAUAAGAGAAUCUCUUUAAAAUAUAUUAACAAUAAAAAACUAAAAAAUAAAAAAUACACAUACCAUGAGAUCUAAUAGUACAUUAGGAACAAAAGUAUGAGCAAGAAGUUGCUUAAUCAACUAAUUGAUUGGCAAAAAAUAAAAAUCAAUAGAUUAAAAACCUAUAUUUUAUUUUUGCUGAAAAGUUUGAAAAAAAAAUUUAAAGAACACAUUCAUUCCCACUUCUCAAACUUGUCUAUUUUGAAAAUUGUGAUUUUAUAAUGGUGGAAUAAGAAAGAAAAUGAUAGAUACUAUGGGAAUGCAUUGGUCUAAAUCUUAGUCCUGCUUUAUACUUAGUCUUGGCAUCAAACACGCAAAUGUAUUAAUCUUUUUUCCCCCAUCUUGACUUCACAAAAAUAAUAAUUUUAGCAGUUACUUCAAUCUAAAUCAUUAAAAAGACUAAAAUAUAACAAUAAUAAUUAAUAUACUUAAAAUCCUUUCUUAGUUUGCCAAUUUAAUUGAAAAACAAAAGAUAACCACCAUUGAAAAAAUUGUUAUGUUUUUUUGUCUUUUUUAAGAGAUAGACUUAACUUAAACAAAUUGCUAAGAAGAUUAUUCUUCACAUAGUAAUGAUGGGGCAAGAAGACUUAGACAUUUGCAUGAUAGGAAGGCUUAAAAGUAUAAAGCAAAGAAAAGACUAAAUACCAAUAAAAAAAUCUCAUACUAUCAUGUUUUAUGUGAGUCCAAAAUUAGAAUAUCACUUUUUUUUAUAAAGUAUAAUUUUGUGAUGGGUGAUUCUAAAUACACCAUCAUAUUUUUCUCUACAUCCACUUUUUUUUUUAAUUUUUAAGUGAAAUUAUUUAUUUACUCAUCCCGUUUUAAUUUUAAAGCUUCUAGAUAUGCAUUUCUUAAGUUAUAUAACUUAUUGGAUUUUCAUAUCCAAUGAAUUGAAAAAGGUUACAUUUAGGUUUGAAAAAAAAUAAUUAAGAGAAAAUAUCUUAUAGAAAGUAUGAGAUUUAAUGUUUAUAAAAUUUAAAAACUCUAUUAAUCAUAUGUGGAGAAAUAUAUACAUAUAUAUAUAAAUUAUCUCACAUACAAGAAAUAUUUUAAAUUAAAAGAUUUUUUUUAAUAUGAGAUUGUCAGGGUUUGAACUUUAAACUAUUAAAACUAAGAGUUAUACAUAAACUAUUAAAACUAUUAUAAAUAGCCCUUAUAUUAGUGUGUAUGGAUGUAUGGAUGUAUGUAUAUGGUAUACAUAAAAUAGGCUUAAAAAAUAUGCUACUUACGAUGUUUCUAUAAAAAAUCAUGUAAUUGCAAAAUAAAAUGUAAAUUUCAAGCACUGUGCAUACAUAAAUCAUAUCUAAAAAAAUUCUAAAAAUUAAAUUCAAUAAAAUUAGAAUAUAACUUAAUAACCAAAAACAGAAAACACUAAAAAACGGAACUAUCGAGAAUAUAAAAUUACUCAUGCAAAAUUGAUGCAUUAGCAAACCAUAUGAAGUUCGGUUGUUUUGUCUUAUUUAGAGUACGUUUGAAUGGAUUUUUGCUAUUUGCUUUUUGCUUCCUAAAGCAAAAAGCAAAAAUUGCAUUUCCACAAGCAAUAAAAUUUUGAAAUAUGUAAAUUUUUUAUGAUUAACUACAUAAUUCUACUUCUAUAUAGACUAAAUAUGUUAUAAUUGAUUUUAUAUUUUAAUUAUUUUUUCUGUUUUAGAUCAAUUAUGAUAUCGUUUUUUCUUUCACCUUGGCUUUUCCUUUCUGGUAAUUCUUCUAAAAGCAAGAAGCAAAAAGUAGAAGCUCCACCUAGAUGGGGACUUAUAGUUUCUUUUAUACUCUUAGUUGUUUCUUUUAAGCAGUUGGGAGACAUAUUGAAACUUUAACCCUUUGGUAUGGAGUCAAAAGUUGGCAAGUAUUGCAUUUAUAAGUAUCCAUUACAAACAAAUUAAUCAUUUACCGAUUCAAUUUUGGUUAAAACUUACCCUGAAUAAAAGAUUUUCCAGUACAAAACUGUUUCCAUUUUAUAGGACUUUUAUGUGGAAGGGCAACGAUAUUCUCACCCAUGCAGGGGCCAAAAUUUUAUUAAUGUGAGAAAAAUUAUACUGAAAAAUAUCCUUACUGAAAUUGGAAGGUGUUCAGGACUUCUGCUAAGCCCCUUCACUUCCCUAUUGGAAAAGAUGGAUUCGACAUCAGCAGUGUCCAUGUGGUGAUUGGAAGUGUUAUGUUAAGUAUGAAGGAGAAGAUCAGACAUCAGUAAGCUUUCAGCACUCUCAGGUAAUAAAGAAUGAGACAGCUUCAACAUCCUUAUCAUCAGAAGCUGUCUUUAUGCCAUAUGUAUGUCAAAUAUUCAAAGGUGAUGAUGAUUAUUUCGAGUACUAUAGCAAUUUUGCACGGAAGAAUGGAUUUUCAAUAACAAAAGCAUGCUCCAGAGAAAGCUAGAAUUUAGGGAUCUACCAUCGAGAGUUUAUCUGUUAUAGAUAUGGGUUUAACCAACUAAGAAAAAAGGUCAAUGUGGAGCAUCCAGGAGACUGGAAUUCAGUGCGAUGUGGAUGUGAUGCAAAAUUUUAUUCCACAAAAAAAGUCAUCCAUGAUGUUACUCAAUGGUGUGUUUCACAAUUUAGUAAUGUAAAUAACCAUGAAUUAUUGGAAGAUGACCAAGUCAGUUUGCUUCCUGCAUAUCGGAAAAUACAGGAAGCAGAUCAGGAAAGAAUUCUUUUACUCUCCAAAGCUGGGUUUCCUGUCAAUGGUAUCAUGAAAGUUUUGGAAUUAGAAAAGGGAGUCCAGCGCGGACAGUUGCCUUUUAUCAAGAAGGAUGCUAGGAAUUUUGUACGGACAUGUGAAAAGACUGUUCAAGAAAGUGAUGCUUUGCUUACCGAGAAAAGAGAAAAUGAUACAUUGUAACUUCUUGAGGCCGGCAAGGCUAUGGCAGAGAGGGAAGAUAAUUUUGUUUAUGAUUAUACUACAGAUGAAAAUAGUAAGGUUGAAAAUAUUUCAUGGUCAUAUGCAGAUUCUAUUCCAGCAUAUACAGUAUUUGUUGAUGCUGGUACCUUUGACACUACAUAUUGUUCUAUCACUUACGGAUUGCUUCUUGGAUAUGGUUUGGUAUAGAUAAUCAUGGAAAGAUAAUUUUCUUAGGAUGUGUAUUACUGCAAGAUGAAAGUGUGUCAAUCUUUUUGCCCUCAUCUUUACUCUACAAAAAUAAGUAUAAAGCAAAGACUAAGACUUAUCAUAGAAAUUAAGGGAGGUUUUAAAAAGAAAAGUAAAACCAAAGAAAAAAUGAUAAGUCUUAGUCUUUGCUUUAUACUUAGUCUUGGCAUGAAGCAUGCAAAUGUGUCAGUCUUUUUGUCCCCAUCUUUACUUCACAAAAAUAAGUAUAAAGGAAAGACUAAGACUUAUCAUAGAAAUUAAGGGAAGUUUUAAAAGGAAUAGUAAAACCAAAGAAAGAAUGACAAGUCUUAGUAUUUGCUUUAGAUUUAGUCUUGGCAUAAAGCAUGCAAAUGUGUUAAGUCUUUUUGCCCCAUCUUUACUUCACAAAAAUAAUAAUAUUAGCAUUUACUUCUGUCUAAGUCAUAAAACAGACUAAAAUACAAUAAUACACUUAAAAUCCAUUCUCAAUUUGUCAAUUUAAUUAGAAGACAAAAGAUAACCUCCAUUAAGUAAAUUACUAUUUUUUUUUGUCUUUUUCAAAAGAUAGAAUUGACUUAAGCAAACUAUUAAGAAAAUUAUUUUUCAUAGAGUAAUGAUGGGGCAAGAAGACUUAGACAUUUGCAUGGGAAGACUUAAAAGUAUAAAGCAAAGCAAAGGCUAAAUAGCAACAAAAAUCUCAUUCUAUUGUUAUCUUUGUGAGUCCAAAAUUAGAAUAAUAAUUUUUUAUAAAGUAUAAUUUUGUGAUUCACUUAUAACAUAUAAUAUUUAUAUAUUGACAAUGUUUCAAAUAUAAAUUAUUUUUAAAACAAAAUAUGUUGAGAGUUAGAAAAAUAAUAAAUCUUUUUGUUUAUUAAUUACUCAAUCCCAUUAAUACGUAUAAUAUUUUUUAAAAAUUUAUUUUAUAUUUAUAUAUUAUUUGUAAUUAAUUUUAAAAUUUAUUUAUUAUAUUUACGAUAUGGUAUGAUACUUAAUAUUAGAUUCUCAAAUUAUAAUACCUAUUUCAAUUUAAUAAUUAUACUAAUAUUCUUUUUUCAACUUUUACUUCGGAGCUUAUAAUUAUCCAAAGUUUGACAUAUAUGUAACACUUUUAUAAGUUUAUCCAUCUAUUUCAAAUUUAAUUUAACAAUAACGUUUUAUCAUCUUUUAAAUAGAAAACUUAUUAAUCAUACUGUAACAUUUAAAUAUAGGAUUUCUUCCGUCUCAUUUUCUUUGUUUAUCUUUAACGAAAAUGUUAUAAUCUUUUAAGCUCUUUGUUAUUGUUGCACUUAAGUGGAAAUAUCAGUAGCAAUAUAGUCGAUCUUACACAUGGAAGCCCGGUUAGCCAUGUAGUCACCCACGAGAUAGGAAAAAUAGAAUCAAACUAGACAUGUGAUUUUGUAAUAUCCCAGCCCAAAUGAUAAUUUGACUAGACUAUUACUAAAGUUCAUUAAGUUAAUUAAAAGGUUAAUUACUACAGAAAAAGUAACUGAGCUAUUUUACUAGAAAAAAAUCUAGUUAUUGUGAAACAAAAAGAAAAUGACAGUUUUUCUUCCCCAUCUUUCUUAAGAUUAGAAAGUAUAAAAAAUCAAGUACAAGAUCCAAAAUCGGAGAUGACAAUCGAGUUAAUCUCUUAAUGGUAUAUGUCUUCUUUUUAUUUAAGAAAAAUAUACCAUUUUGGUUACUUUUAAAUGGAGUUAAAGUUUUGAGAGAAAAACUAAGAAAAUUACAAAAUCUUUUAUUAAUCUUCAUGAUCCAUUUGGGAAAAUUAUUGGGCUUUGUUUAUUUUAUGUUCUUAAGAUUUAUUGAUGAUUAUUGAUGGAGUUUAAAGGCUAAAAGUGGGGAUUUGAGUUUUUAAAGAUUGAAGGAGAAACUUGGUUUUUGGAUGAGAUGCUAUGAUUUACAAUAGUGAAUUAAAAUAGAAUUUUGUAUUAAUAGAUAGAUUAUUGCUAUGAUUAUUAUAUAUCAUUGGAAAGCGGUUAAAUCUACUUUCUAAUGAAAUAAACGGAAGUCAAAUCCAAGUUUUUUAUGAAGAGUUAUCUAAUUUUUACUUAAGGAUAUAUAAACUGUAUGGUAGCAUCAUCAUGGUUGAAUUGUGAAAAUUGUCUUAACUUUUAUACAAGGAAUUAAGAAUUGAGCCAUAUAUGUUUGAAAAGGUUAUUAAGUCUACUUUCCAACGAAAUAAGUGGAAUUGAAUUUGGAGUUUCAUAUGAAUAAAUGUGUAAUUUUUAUUAGAAGGUAUACAUGCUAUUUGAUAGGAGUAUAUGAUGUGCAUUAUAAAAUUUUUAUAAUUAAUCUAUAAAGAAUCAUGAGAUGGGCUAUAUAUAGUUAGUAAGCUUAUCGAGUCUAGUUUCUAACGAUGCUAAAAAGAUCUUAAUUCUAAGUUGGAUAUCUUGAGAUAUGGCUAUUUUAGUGAAUGGAGCUCAGGCUAUCAGUAUUAAUUAGUUGAGUUAACCCUUGUUUAACUUAAUUGUUUUUGGUAUAAUUAGUUUCAAAAUGGGUUGAUUGAUUCUAAUGGUUAUUGAUUCUAGCCUAAGAGAUGCUAUUGCAAGAGAAUCGCCAAAUACAGAACAUGUUAUAUGUUCAUGGCAUGUUCUUUCCAAAUUAUCAAGUUGGUUCUCUCUACCAUUUGGGUCACAGUAUGAAGAGUUCAAAGCUGAGUUUGAUAUGUUGUGUCACUUAGAGGGAAUAGAGGAGAAAACAUCAGUGGAAUCAUUUGACUGCUCUGAUGUAAAUAUGCAACUUGAUGCUGAUGUUUAGUUGCUGUGGUCAGAUUUUCUUGAUGUUAUAAUGCUUCAAAAAUCCAGAUACUAGUGAUUUCUUGUCCCAAAAUAGUUCAUUCUUCACCUUCAUCCAUUUCAUCUGGUUUGUUUCUGGGAAUAAAAGCAUAUUCCUUAUUGGCUGCAAAAAUUUCAUUCAUUUUACCUUUAAAAUUUUCAAACAAUUAAAUUACUAAUUAACUUGGUUGGUAUAUGUUUAAUCAUAUAACUUAGAAAAUGCAAUCAGUUUGUAGAGUUUUUAGAUUAUAAGUGUUAGAGGGUUGUCACAAACCCUUUUAUAAAUAUAUUAAAAAUUACAUAAAAAUAUUAGGAUAUGUAUUAAUAUUUACAAACUCUAUUAAUCAUAUGUGAAUAAGUUGAAAUAUAUAAAAAUUAUCUUGUAUAAAUGAAAUUUGUGAAAUUAAAGGAUUUUUUUUUGGUACAUGAGGCUAUCAAGAUUUGAACUUUAAAUUAUUGGAACUAAGAGUUUAGCAUUUUAUUAAUAGACAACGUGAUUGUCGAUUCAUUGAAUUUUAAAUGAGAGGAUCUCUUUAAAACAUAUUAACAAUAAAAAACUUAAAAAAAAGGACAUAUCAUGAAAUCUAGUAGUACAUAGGUAAGCAUGAGAAACAAGUUCCUUAAUAAUCAAAUUAACUGGCAAAAAAAAUCAACAAAUUGAAAACCUAUGUUUUAUUUUUUCUAAAAAGUUUGAUGAAAAAAUCUAAAGAACACAUUCAUUCUUACUUCUCAAACUUGUUUAUUUUGAAAAUUGUGAUAUUAUUAUAAUGGUGGAAUAAGAAAGAAAAUGAUAGAUACUAUGGAAUGUAUUGGUCUGAGUCUUAGUCUUUGCUUUAUAUUUAUUCUUGGCAUCAAGCAUGCAAAUGUGUAAGUCUUUUUGCCCCCAUCUUUACUUCACAAAAGUAGCAAUCUUAGCAGUUGCUUCAGUCUAAGUCAUUAAAAAGAUUAAAAUGUAACAAUAAUAAUUAAUAUACUUAAAAUCCAUUCCUAAUAUGCUAAUUUUUCUGGAAAACAAAAGACAACCUCUCCUAAGAAAAUUGUUGUGCUUUUUAUCUUUUUUAAAAGAUUGACUUGACUUAAGCAAACUGUUAAGAUUAUUUUUCAUAGAGUAAUAAUGGGACAAGAAGACUUAGACAAUUGCAUGAUGGAUGACUUAAAAGAAUAAAGCAAAGAAAAGACUAAAUAUCAAUAAAAAAAAAUCUCAUUACUAUCAUUUUCUUUGGAAGUCCAAAAUUAAAAUAUCAAGUUUUUUAUAAAGUAUAAUUUUGUGAUGGGUGAUUCUAAAUAUACCAUCAUUUUUUUUCUCUACAUUCACUUUUUUUUUUAAAUUUUCUUAGUGAUACUACCAUUUACCCAUCUAGUUUUAUUUUUAAAGCUUCUAAAUUCACAUUUCUAAUAGAUUAUAUAACUUACCGGAUUUUUAUAUCCGAUAAGUUAAAAAAAAUUACAUUUAUGCUUAAAAAAAAUAGUUUAGAGAAAAUAUCUUACAGAAAAUACCAUUCAUAAAAUUUAAUUCCUCUACUAAUCAUAUGUGAAGAAAUCGAAAUAUAUAAAUAUUAUCUCAUACACAUGAAAUUUGCGAAAUUAGAAAUUGGUUUUUUUUUUCUUUGUGAAGUUGUCAAGAUUUGAACUUUAAACUACUAAAAAACUAAGAGUUUAGCAUUUUACUAAUUAGACUAUAUGGAUAUUGGCUUAUUGAAUUUUUAACUCAAAGAUCUCUUUAAAAUGUAUUAAUAAUAAAAACUAAAAAAUAUAAAAAAAUGCACAUGUGAUGAAAUCUAAUAGUACAUUAGGAACAAAAAUAUGAGAAACAAGUUGCUUAAUCAACAAAUUGAUUGGCCAAAAAAAAUCAACAAAUUAAAAACUUGUGUUUUAGUUUUGCUGAAAAGUUUGAAAAAAAAUUCUAAAGAAUACAUUCAUUCUCACUUUUCAAAUUUGUCUAUUUUGGAAAUUGUGAUUUUAUAAUGGUGGAAUAAGAAAGAAAAUGAUAGAUACUAUGGUAAUGUAUUGGUCUAAGUCUUAGUCUUUGCUUUAUACUUAGUCUUGGCAUCAAGCAUGCAAACACAACCUUCAUUGAGAAAAUUGCUAUGUUUUUUUGUCUUUUUUAAAAGAUAGACUUGACUUAAGCAAACUGCUAAGAAAAUUAUUUUCCAUUGAGUAAUGAUGGGGUAAGAAGACUUAGACAUUUACAUGAUAGGAAGACUUAAAAGUAUAAAGCAAAAAAAAGAAUAAAUACCAAUAAAAAAUAUCUCAUACUCUCAUUUUCUUUGUAAGUCCAAAAUUAGAUAUAAAUUUUUUUAUAAAAUAUAAUUUUGUGAUAGGUGAUUCUAAAAACACCAUCAUUUUUUCUCUACAUACACUUUGUUUUAAUUUGUAAGUGAAAUCACUUAUUUUUCCAUUUCAUUUUAAUUUUAAAGCUUCUAGAUAUACAUUUAUGAUAAGUUAUAUAACUUACCGGAUUUUCAUAUUCAGUAAGUUAAAAAAAGUUACAUUUAGGUUUGAAAAAAAAUAGUUAAAAAAAAUCUUACGAAAACAUAGCAAUAUUCUCAAUAGAGGUUAUCUUUUGUCUUCUAGUAAAAUUAGCAAAUUGAGAAUAGAUUUUAAGUAUAUUAAUUAUUAUUGUUAUAUUUUAGUAUUUUUAAUGACUUAGACUGAAGCUACUGCUAAAAUUAUUAUUUUUGUGAAGUAAAGAUGGGGGCAAAAAGAUUGACACAUUUGCAUAUUUGAUGCCAAGACUAAGUAUAAAGCAAAGACUAAAACCAAUACAUUCGCAUAGUAUCUAUCAUUUUCUAUCUUAUUCUACCAUUAUAAAAUCACAAUCUUCAAAAUAGACAAGCUUCAAAGGUAAGAAUGAAUGUGUUCUUUAGAUUUUUUUUUCAAACUUUUCAACAAAAAUAAAACAUAGGUUUUUAAUUUGUUGGUUUUUUUUUUAGCCAAUCAAUUUGUUGAUUAAGCAACUUGUUUCUCAUGUUUUUAUUUCUAAUGUACUAUUAGAUUUCAUGGUGUCUGCAUUAUUUUAUUUUUUUAGUUUUUUUCUUGUUAAUAUAUUUGAAAGAGAUUCUCUGAUUUAAAAAUUCAAUGAGCCAAUAACCAUGUAAUUUAUUAGUAAAAUAUUGAAUUCUUAGUUUUGGUAGUUUAAAGUUCAAAUCCUCAUAACCUGACAUACAAAAAAAAAAAGAUAAUAUUAUGAUUUCAUAAAUUUCAUGUAUAUGAGAUAAUUAUAUAUAUAUACAUACGCACAUAUAUCUAUUGAUUUCUUCACAUAUGAUUAAUAGAGGAUUUAAAUUUUAUAAACGGUAUUAGAAUCUCAUACUUUCUGUAAGAUAUUUUCUCUUAACUAUUUUCCUCUAAACCUAAAUAUAACUUUUUUUAACUUACCAGAUAUGAAAAUUUAAUAAGUUAUAUAACUUAUCAUAAAUGUAUAUCUAGAAUCUUUAAAAUUAAAAUGAGAUGGAUAAAUAAGUAAUUUCACUUAAAAAUAAAAAAAAAGUAUAUGUAGAAAAAAAAUGAUGGUGUAUUUAGAAUCGACCUUCACAAAAUUAUACUUUUAUAAAAAAAAUUGAUAUUCUAAUUUUGAACUCACAAAGAAAAUAGUAGUAUGAGAUUUUUUUUUGUUGGUAUUUAUUCUUUUCAUUACUUUAUACUUUUAAGUCAUCCCAUCAUGCAAAUGUCUAAGUCAUCUUGCCCCACCAUUACCUUGUGGAAAAAUAAUUUUCUUAACAGUUUGCUUAAGUCCAGUCUGUCUUUUAAAAAAAAAAAAAAAAAAAACAUAGCAAUUUUCUCAAUGGAAGUUAUCUUUUAUCUUCCAUUUUAAUUAGUAGACUGAGAAUGGAUUUUAAGUAUAUUAAUUAUUAUUGUUAUAUUUUAGUCUUUUUAAUGAUUUAGACUAAAGCAACUGUUAAGAUUAUUACUUUUGUGAAGUAAAGAUGGGUGCAAAAAGAUGUCAAGACUAAGUAUAAAGCAAAGACUAAGACUUAGACCAACACAUUCCUAUAGUGUCUAUCAUUUUCUUUCCUAUUGCACCAUUAUAAAAUCACAACUUCCAAAAUAGACAAGUUUAUAAAGUGAGAAUGAUUUAGAUUUUUUUUUCAAACUUUUCAGCAAAAAAAAAGCACAGGUUUUUAGUUUAUUGAUUAUUUUGGCCAAUCAAUUUGUUGAUUAAGCAGCUUGUUUCUUAUGUUUUUGUUCUUAAUGUACUAUUAGAUUUCAUGGUAUAUGUAUUUCUUUCUUUAGUUUUUUUUGUUGUUAAUAUAUUUUAAAAAGAUCCUCUAAUUUAAAAAUUCAAUGAGCCAAUAACCAUGUAGUUUGUUGGUAAAAUGUUAGAUUUUUAAUUUCUGUAGUUUAAAGUUCAAAUCUUGACAACCUCGCAUACAAAAAAAUAAUCUUUUGAUUCCACAAAUUUCAUGUAUACAAGAUAAUUUAUUUAUAUAUAUAGUUCAAUUUCUUCACAUAUGAUUAAUGGAGUUUUUAAAUUUUAUAAACAGUAUUAGAAUCUCAUACUUUUUAUAAGAUAUUUUCUCUUAACUUUUUUUUUCAAACUAAAUGUAACCUUUUUUUAACUUAUCGGGAUAUGAAAAUCUGAUAAGUUAUGUAACUUAUCAAAAAUGCAUAUUUAGAAGCUUUAAGAUUAAAAUGAGAUGGGUAAAUAAGUAAUAUCACUUAAAAAUUAAGAAAAAAGUAAAUGUAGAGAAAAAAUGAUGGUGUAUUUAGAAUCACCCAUCACAAAAUUAUACUUUAUUAAAAAAAUUGAUAUUCUAAUUUUGGACUUGCAAAGAAAUUGAUAGUAUGAGAUUUUUUUUAUUGGUAUUUAGUCUUUGCUUUGCUUUAUAAUUUUAAGUCUUUCCAUCAUGCAAAUGUUUAAGUUUUCUUGCCCCAUCAUUAUUCUUUUUCAUAGAGUAAUAAUAGGGCAAGAAGACUUAGACAUUUGCAUGAUGGGAAGACUUAAAAGAAUAAAGCAAAGAAAAGACUAAAUACCAAUAAAAAAGUCUCAUACUAUCAUUCUCUUUGUGUGUCUACAAUUAAAAUAUCAACUUUUUAUAAAAGUAUAAUUUUGUGAUGGGUGAUUCUAAAUACAUCAUCAUUUUUCCUUACAUCUACUUUUUUUUUUAAUUUUUAAGUGAAAUUACCUAUUUAUCCAUCUCAUUUUAAUUUUAAAACUUCUAGAUAUGCAUUUAUGAUAAGUUAUAGAACAUAUGGGUUUUCAUAUUCGGAAGCUUAAAACAAGUUACAUUUAGGUUUGGAAAAAGAUAGUUGACAGAAAAUAUUUGAUAAAGAGCAUAAGAUUCUAAUACUAUUUAUAAGUUUAAAUCCUCUAUAAAUCAUAUGUGAAGAAAUCAAAAUAUACAUGAAAAUUGUGAAAUCCAAAGAUUGUUUUUUUUUUUUUUUUUGUAUGUGAAGUUGUGAGAAUUUGAACUUUAAACUACUGAAACUAAGAGUUUAGUUUUUUACUAACAUACUGCAUGGUUAUUGGCUUAUUAAAAUUUUAAAUCAGAGGAUCUAUUUAAAAUAUAUUAAGAAUAAAAAAAAUGUACAUACCAUGAAAUCUAAUAGUACAUUAGGAACAAAAGCAUUAGAAACAAGUUGCUUAAUCAACAAAUUGAUUGGCAAAAAAAAAAAUAGAAAUCAACAAAUUAAAAGCCUAUGUUUUAUUUUUGUUGAAAAGUUUGAAAAGAAAAAUCUAAAGAACACAUUCAUUCUCACUUCUCAAACUUGUCUACUUUGGAGAUUGUGACAUUAUAAUGGUGGAAUAAGAAAGAAAUCUAUAGAUACUAUGGGAAUGUAUUGGUCUAAGUCUUAGUUUUCACUUUAUACUUAGUUUGGCAUCAAGCAUGCAAAUGUGUCAGUCUUUUUGCCCCCAUCUUUACUUCACAAAAAUAAUAAUCUUAGUAGUUGCUACAGUCUAAGUAAUUAAAAAUACUAAAAUAUAACAAUAAUAAUUACUAUACUUAAAAUCCAUUCUCAGUUUGUUAAUUUAACUAAAAGACAAAAGACAACAUCCAUUAAGAAAAUUGCUAUGUUUUUUUUUGUCUUUUUUAAAAGAUAGACUUGACUUAAGCAAACUGCUAAGAAGAUUAUUUUUCACAAGAGUAAUGAUGGCGCAAGAAGACUUAGACAUUUGCAUGAUGAGAAGACUUAAAAGUAUAAAGCAAAGAAAAGAAUAAAUACCAAUAAAAAAAAUCUCAUACUAUCAUUUUCUUUAUGGGUCCAAAAUUAGAAUAUCAAAUUUUUUUAUAAAGUAUAAUUUUGUGAUAGGUGAUUCUAAGUACACCAUUUUUUUUCUCUACAUACACUUUUUUUUUAAUUUUUUAAGUAAAAUCACUUAUUUAUCCAUCUCAUUUUAAUUUUAAAGCUUCUAGAUAUACAUUUUUUAUAAGUUAUAUAACUUACCGAAUUUUCAUAUUCGAUAUGUUAAAAAAGUUACAAUUAGGUUUGAAAAAGAAAAUAGUUAAGAGAAAAUAUCUUACGUAUAAAAAGUAUGAGAAUCUAAUACCAUUUAUAAAAUUUAAAUCAUGUAUUAAUCAUACGUGAAGAAAUUGUUUUAUAUAUAUAUAUAUAUAUAAGUUAUCUUGUAUAUAUAAAAUUUGUGAAAUUAGAAGAUUGUCUUUUUUUUUUUUUUUUUUGGCUUGUGAGGUUGUCAAGAUUUGAAUUUUAAACUACUAAAACUAAGAGUUUAGCAUUUUACUAACAUACUGCAUGGUUAUUGGUUCAUUGAAUUUCUAAAUCAUAGGAUCUUUUAAAAAUAUAUUAACAAUAAAACAAAAACAAAAAAAAAAAAAAGAGCACACCAUGGAUCUAAUAGUAUAUUAGGAACAACAGCAUGAGAAACAAGUUGCUUAAUCAACAAAUUGAUUGGCAAAAAAAAAUCAACAAAAUAAAAACCUGUGUUUUAUUUUUGUUGAAAGUUUUGAAAAAAAAAAUCUAAAGAACAUAUUCAUUCUCACUUCUCAAACUUAUCUAUUUUGGAAAUUAGGAUUUUAUAAUGGUGGAAUAAGAAAGAAAAUAAUAGAUACUAUAGGAAUGUAUUGGUCUAAGUCUUAGUCUUUGCUUUAUACUUAGUCUUGGCAUUAAGCAUGCAAAUGUUAGUCUUUUUGCCCCCAUCUUUACUUCACAAAAAUAAUAAUUUUAGCAGUUGCUUCAGUCUAAGUCAUUAGAAAGACUAAAGUAUAAUAAUAAUAAUAAUAAUAAUAAUAAUAAUAAUAAUAAUAUAAAUAUACUUAAGAUCCAUUCUCAAUAUGCCAAUUUAACUAGAAAAGAAAAGAAAACCUCCAUCGAGAAAAUUGUUAUUUUUUUUGUCUUUUUACAAAAAUAGACUUAACUUAAGCAAAUUGUUAAAAAUUGUUUUUUUUUUUUCAUAGAGUAAUGAUGGGACAAGAAGACUUAGACAUUUGCAAGAUGGGAAGACUUAAAAAUGUGAAACAAAUAAAAGACUAAAUACCAAUAAAAAAACUCAUACUAUUAUUUUCUUUCUGAGUCCAAAAUUAAAAUAUCAAUUUUUUUUAUAAAGUAUAAUUUUGUGAUGGGUGAUUCUAAAUGCACCAUCAUUUUUUCUCUAGAUCCAUUUUUUUUUUUACUUUUUAAGUGAAAUUACUUAUUUAUCCAUCUUGUUUUAAUUUUAUAACUUACUAGAUUUUAAUAUCCAAUAAGUUAAAAAAAAAGUUACAUUUAGGUUCUAAAAAAAAAUAGUUAAGAAAAAAUAUCUUAUAGAAAAUUUUAAGCUUCUAGAUAUGCAAAUCCGGAAACUUUUAAAAGCUUUUGGAUAUACAAAUCUAGAGGCUUUUAAGAGCUUCUAGAUUUACAACUAUGAAAACUCUUAAAAGUUUUGAAUUUUGUAAAUCCAAAAGCUUAAAAGUAGAAGAAGUGUGAAGAGAAAAGAGAAAGAGUAAUUAAAUAAUUUCAUUUAAAAUAAUUUUGAAAUAAAAAGGGUGUGGAGAGACAAAAUGGGAAUAUAUUUAGAAUUUUCUUUUGUGAUUCACAUAUAGCAUAUAAUAUUUAUAAAUUAACAACAUAUCAAACAUAUAUAUUUUUUGAAAAUAGAAUGUGAUGAAAGUUUGAAAAAUAAUCAUAUUUUAUAUUUAUGUCCAUUAAUCACUUAAUCCCAUUAAUAUGUAGAGUAUUUUUUAAAAACUUUUAUUUGAUUUAUAUAUAUAUUAUUCAUAAUUAAUUUUAAAAAUUAUAAAAACUAUUUAUAAUAUUUACGAUAUGAUAUGACACUCGAUAUUAGAUUCUCACAUUACAAUACAUAUUUUACUUUAACAAUUAUGCUGAUUUUUUUUAAAACUUUUACUUCGUGAUUUAUAACUAUCCAAAGUUCGACAUAUAUGUAACUCUUUUUAAGUUUAUUAUUUAUUUAUAAUUUGAUUUAUAAUAAAGUUUUAUCAUCAUUUACUAUAGAGAACUUAUUAAUGAUUCUAAUGGUAAUGUCUAAAUAUAGUAUUCCCACAGUCUCUUGUUUUUUUUUUUUUUGUUUUAGAUAUCUCAAAAUUAUAUCAUCUUUCUUUAUUGGAAUAACUCAAACUCUUACUUUUUAUAUUUUAAAAUUAUUUUUUAUGAUUUUUUUUUUACUUUUGACAUUAAAAAUCAUGAAACUUUAAUCUUAUAAAAAAUUGAAUUUUAAUCUUAAAAAUAUUAAAAUCAAAAUUUUUUUCUUAAACUCUGUAAAAAAUUAAUAACACAAAAAAAAAAAAGCUCACAUGGCAUAAAUACUAAUGCAUAUGCCUGCAGCAAACAAUGAUAUUUAAGACUCGUUCAAUUCAGCAUUAUAUCUAACUUAGUUUUUACAAUUAGAACAAUUCAUUUUAUUUAAAUGCUCAAGUUAUAUGAGGUAGUAAAAAUUUAAUUUAAUUUGGAAGUGGUAAGGUCGUCGAUCAUUGGAAAUGUCAAAAUAAAUGUGCGGAUUGUCAAGUGGUAGUUAUUUAGUUUUUUUUUUUUGUUAAUUUUCUUUACAUAGAAAAUAUUUUGUUUAUUAGUUUAAACAUUGUGUCCAUACAAAUGAAAAUAAACGGCAAGCAAACAAGACUUUAAGGAAGAAAAUUUUCAAUAAUCCAUUUCUGAAAGAUGUGCGUGAUUAUAUAUCAAGAUAAGCUUUCAAGUAAUAAACAACAUAUAUUAUAUAUUAAAAAUUAUAAAAAAAAUAAAACAUGUGAUAAUAUAUUAGCACCAUUUAUAAAACUUUAAAACUCUACUAAUAAUAUAUAUAAAUAUCUAUAAAUUAUGUGAAAUUUAUGAAGUUGGAGGAUUGUUAUAUAUUCCGAUAAGUUAAAAAAUAAAAAGUUCAUAUAAUUAAAAAAUACAAUUGCCAUUAAAUCUAAUAGUAUAUUACAAACAAAAGCAAGAGAAACAAGUUGCCUAAUCAACAAUUGAAAAAAUCAUGUUUUAUUUUCGUUGAAAAUUUUGAAAAAAAAAUUUGAAGAACACAAAUUUUUUCUCUGACGUUUCAAUUGAUUCAAGGACUUUGAAAAAAAAAAAAAGAUAAUUUUCAAAUCCUAAAGUUUUUCUUUCAUCCUAUUAUUUUCAAAUAAUCAAAAAUUUAGAUCCUAUUAUUUUUGAAUAAUUAAAAAUUUAAGUAUCUGAUUGAAUACUACCAUCAACAUCUUGACUCUUUCAUUGUGCUUUCUCAAUUCUUAUAGAUAAGAUUCCAUCAAGCAAUUAAUUGCUAAUUAUUUAAGAUGAUUAAUUAUAAUAUAGAUUUCAUUUGGUUUGUAUUUUUUUCCUUUACUAUUUGUUUUUUGUUUUCAAUUCAUUUAUUAAAAAAAAUAAAAACCCUAAACUGAAAAAUAUAAUUUAGAUUUCGUUUGGUUUGUAUUUUUUUUCUUUUACUAUUUUUUAAAAUUUCAAUUCAUUUAUUGAAAAAUAUAAAAACCAAAGGCAUCCAUUAAUCUCUGACUUGACAUCAAUAGACCAGGGAACUGAAUACAUGGAAACUCAGUUUCAGCACUUGCACUCUGUUGGCUGGAUGUUUCCUCCUUGCUUUCAUCUUUUGCCCUCGUUUCGUUCAUUCAUACUUUUGCUCUAGAUUUUCCAGGUUAGGUAGCAAUGUUCUUAAUUACAACAUAUGUGCUGCCAUAUUACAAGAUGUUAGGUGGGAUGCAACAAAUUAAAAAUGCAACCCAAACGAUCAUACCCCUUUUUCUUUUAAUGCUCUAUAUAGAUAAAAAUAAUUGUAUUAUUGCAGGAAGUUGAUAAGGAUACCAAAAGGAGGUUCAAGCUUUUCCAUAAGAAAGAAGAAAUAACUUAGAAUUUUUCAAAAAAAGAAUUUCGUAUAAUUUCAUAAUCAGUGGUGAAAUCAAAUUUUUUUAAAAAAUAUUCCAUUUAAUAUUAUAAAAAUUAAUAUAAAAAUUAAAAUAAUAUAUUAUUCAUAUUACAUGAUUUUAAUUUUAUUGAAAAUUGUCUACUCAUAAAAAAAAAAAGCAGGUCAGCAUUUUUUUUAAAACUUUGAUUUUUUUUUCUUGCAAAUUUGUCAUUGUGUUGCCAAAAACAUUGGAGGUUCAAUCGUUUUAGAGUUUACUGUGUUUAUUAUAUAAUUGUAUUUAUUAAUUUCAUGGAUGAAAAAAAUUAAAAAAUUAGAGAUGUUGAAAAAUUCUCUUUCGAAAUUUCUUCUCCUUCCAUGUUCGGAGGUGUUCAUGAACAACUCACCCAUAGUCUUGCAUCUUCCUUUGUCCUUAAUAAUAGAAUUGAUUUGAUUGAUAAAUCUUUGUAAAAUUACUCUUUCAGACAAGUUGAUAGAUGAGCAAAGCUUAGUGAAAAUUUUCAUUCUUUUGAGAAAAUUAAUUUUUUAUUUAAUUGUUAUUUGUACGAAUGCAUAAUAUGAAAUAAAAAGUGGAAGAAAAGAAAAGAUAUAGUGAUAAAGAUUAAUUUACAAAAGCAAAACUAUAAGCCUUAUCACCAUUGACCCAUUAUUCAUUCCUUAAAAUUCAAAAUGGACAAGCAAUAAAUAUGUCUGUCUUCCACCUAUUUUGAUUUAACUCUUAUAGAAAUAGCUCAAACUCAUGAUUUGUACAAACACGUGGUUGGAAAAACGCAUUUGAACUUAUCUCUUGAGAUCAAGGGAGAUAUGUAGCUACAAUAACAGUACCUAAUAUGAAGUACUUGUCUAUAAAUAACGUGUAAGCAAAUCUCAAGCUCCAUAAUUUUCCCUUCAUUUUUUCUUUAUAGAGAGCCAACAAAACAUGAAGAAUCUUCAUAUCCUAAUUUCAAUCAUUUUUCCUACCUUGUUUCUCCUCUCAUUCUCUAUAUCUCUUGUGUUAUCUUUUUCCCCUCCUGAUCUCCAAAACCAAUGCCUUCAUCACCAGAAAUCUGCUCUGCUAAAAUUGCACCAUGAUCUUUACUAUGCCCCAAAUUUUACUUUCUCUUCCAAAGUUGAGCUUUGGGAUCCCAACAUUGACUGUUGCUCUUGGAAAGGAAUUACAUGUGAUGCUUUGGGUCAUGUGAUUGAACUUGAUCUCAGUUACAAAAACCUUUCAGGCAGCUUUCACUCCAUUUUCAAUCUCCAUCAUCUUCAACGCCUUAAUCCUGCUGCAAACAAUUUUAACACCACUCUGUUUCAAUAUGAGUUUGAUAGACUCCCAAAUUUAACUCAUCUCAAUCUUUCAAACUCAUGUUUCCAUGGCCAAAUUCCAGUGGGGAUUUCAUACUUAACAAGGUUAGUCUCUCUUGAUCUAUCUCAUCAAGAUUCUUGCUAUCUGCACAAUUACAAAAUUCUUGAUCCAAAUUUCUGGUACUAUGAUUUUCCUUUCAACCUUCAACCUUUAAAACUAGAAAACCCAAACUUCAAAUCAUUAAUCCAAAAUUUGAGACCUCUUACAGAGCUCUACUUGGAUGGUGUGAACAUUUCAACUCAAAGUAGUAAAUGGUGUGAGAUCACAUCCACAAUACUUCCUAACUUGCAUGUGUUAAGUCUGUCGAGUUGUGGGUUGACAGGUCCAUUUUGUUCUUCACUCUCAAGACUUCCUUUUCUUUCCAAACUUGUCCUUGAUUGGAACACGAUCUCUUAUUUACCUCCCAAUUUGUUGGAAAUUUCCUCUCGUUUGGUUUCUCUCAGUUUAAUGAAUUGCAAUUUAGGUGGGCAUUUUCCAACAGAAAUUCUCAAGUUGCCAAAAAUAGAAAGCAUUGACAUUUCAAAUAAUUACGGUCUUGGAGGUCAGUUGCCAGAAUUUCCAUCAAACAAUGCUUUACGGAUCUUAACGAUUUCUCAAACAAAUUUCAGUGGCAAACUACCAGAAUCAAUUGGCAAUCUCAAAUUCUUGACAAAUUUAGAUCUCUAUGGUUGCAAUUUCUUUGGACAAAUUCCAUCAUCAAUUGCAAAUCUUACUAAUCUUGUGGAACUGGAUCUGUCCAGUAACAAUUUCAGUGGUUUUAUCCCCGCAUUUCAUAGAUCCGGAGUUCCAAAUCUUGCACAUCUUUAUUUGUCGGGGAACCACCUCUCUGGAUCAAUGCAUUCUUCUUUAUUUACUCUCCCAUCAUUGCAGGACUUGAUUGUUUGGGGAAAUCAAUUGGUCGGUGAAAUUGAUGAGUUUGUCAACGCAUCUUCUUCCUUGAUUGAAAUAUUGUCUUUAGGCGACAAUAGCUUUAGUUCUGUGAAGCUUGACAUGUUCUCCCAACUCAAGAACUUAAGGGUUCUUUACCUUUCCAAUACGAGCUUAUCAAUUGAAAGCGACAUCACAAGCCUCGCUUUUCCCCAAUUAGAGGAGCUAUGCCUAAGUUCAUGCAACUUUACUGAAUUUCCAGAAUUCAUCAAAACACAAGACAAGUUGGCUUUUCUAGAUCUCUCUAACAACCAAAUCCAUGGUUUUGUGCCUAAUUGGUUGUGGAAGACCACUCUUUCAUGGUUAAACAUUUCUUUUAAUGCGAUUGACUUUCCAAAAGAGAUUCCUUUUGGUGACGCAAAUUCCUCUUUUCCAAUGUUGAGUAGUUUAGAAUAUCUUGACCUUUCAAAUAACAAAAUAAGUGGUGCAGUACCAAACUGGGUGUGGAAGAAAAGUUUGAGAUAUCUGGAUCUUUCUAACAAUUCUCUCACAUCUUUGGACCAAUUUUCGCUCAACCAAUCUCUAACUUCUUCACAAGGCUCUUUGUCAAGACCUAUUUGCAAUUUGAGUCGACUUGAGACCUUUAAUGCAUCCUUUAACAAAUUAAGCCGGCCAAUCCCAAGUUGCUUGGGCAAUAUCAGUUCUCUCGGCUCUUUGGAUCUACAAAAAAAUAAUUUCAGCGGCAGCAUACCAGAUUUUGCAAAAGCAACCCAAUUAUAUUGGCUACGACUCAAUGACAAUAAAUUGGAAGGGAAGUUGCCAAGGUCAUUAGCCAAUUGCACAAUCCUCCAAGUUUUAAACCUUGAAAACAAUACUCUGUACGACACAUUCCCUUUGUGGUUGGGAAAAUUGCCUGCUUUGAAGGUCCUUCUAUUGCAAGCAAAUAGGUUUUAUGGUCCAAUUAAACAUGUGAAAAAUUAUUUUCAAGAUUUGGAUGUACUAGACAUUGCUUUCAAUAAUUUUUCUGGUCAAUUACCAACUGCAUUCUUUCAAGCCCCUCGACUAAGGUCACUCAAAAUUGGUGGGAAUAAACUGGAAGGAAAGUUGCCGAGGUCAUUAGCCAAUUGCACAAAGCUUGAAGUUUUGGACGUUGGAAAAAAUAUGAUACAAGACACAUUUCCGUUUUGGUUGGUAAAAUUGCCAUCUUUGAAGGUUCUUGUACUAAGAGCAAAUAGAUUUUAUGGUCCAAUUAAAAUUUCUGAGGAUGAAAAUGUUUUCCUAGAGUUACACAUACUGGAUCUUGCUUCCAAUAACUUUUCAGGUGAGUUACCUGUUGAAUUUUUUCAAUCUUUGAAGGCAAUGAGGAUGAUGAUUGUUGGCAACCAAGCUAAGCCAGAUUAUAUUGGAGAUAAUUACUACCAGGACUCUGUGACAAUUGUGAAUAAAGGGUUUGAACUUUUUUACGAGAAAAUCUUAACCAUCUUUGCUUGUCUUGACCUUUCCAAUAAUAGUUUCCAUGGGAGAAUACCGGAAGAAAUACAAAAGCUCAAGUCACUCAAAGUGCUAAACUUGUCCCACAACAGCUUCCUCGGCCCAAUUCCUUUAGCACUUGGAAACUUAACUGAGCUUGAGUCGUUGGACCUCUCCCAGAACAAACUCUCCGGAAAGAUUCCUCUUCAGCUUACAAGCCUAACUUUUCUUGCAGUAUUGAAUCUCUCUUACAACCGACUUGAGGGAAGCAUACCACAAAGCUACCAAUUUGGUACAUUUUCAAACGAUUCUUACAAAGGGAAUCCAAGAUUAUGUGGGCUGCCUCUGACAAGGAAAUGCAAUGAAAAUGGUCCUGGAAUGCCACCCCCUAAGGAAGAUGGAGAUUCAUGGGUAGAUGGUUUGUCUGAUUGGAAAAUUGUGUUGAUGGGUUAUGGAUGUGGAUUGGUCAUUGGAUUAUGUAUUGGAUAUACAGUGCUGAAUGAGUUGGGGAACAAAUGGUUGGACAGGUUUACACAGAGUCGGAAUAAAAAAUGGAGAAGAUCUUCUAGGUGACUCUAUCAAAAUUCAAGUUUCAAUGUCAUUUGGUAAGUAUUCUAGAAUACUUAAUAACUCAAAAGUUUUUCUGUUGACUCUGUGAACUGUAGCUUAAACAAAUAAAAUUAUUUAAAUGCUCUCUUAUAUUAUCUUUUAUCUGCACUAAAUAAUAAUUUACUAAAGUGAUUGUGUUUAAAAUUUAAUUCAAGAACGUUUCAACUUUUGAUGCCUCUUUUCCUUUUUGAAACUUGGCAAUGCUUUUCAAACUAAGAACAAAAAUUGCCUGCAAACUAGGAUGUCUUUUGAAUUUCCUAACCUCAUUUUACAAAUGAAAAUUAGCUUCCAAGUAAUUAAUUUGUAUAAGACUUGGGGGUCACUGGUACUUUGAGUUAGAUUGGUCUGUCAACCAUCUUAAGAGUAAAGUAAAGCUCUGGCAUCUAUUGUAAUUAAUUAGAUUGGCUUGGGAUGCUCAUAUAUAUUUUAUUUGGCAGGAGCACAAUCAAAGGGUUUGGCAGGCCAUCCAAAGAUAUAGAAGCUAUUGUUUCAACUAUCAGAAGUUCCUUUUAGCUUAGUUCAAUAACAAGAUUGCAGUCUCGAGUUCCACUCUUCCUCUUCAACAACAGAAAUUGUGUCUGAAUGUUUUUGGCUUGGUGUUACUGUACUUGUGUAUCAGUUCAUUCUCUUCUGCUCGCCUAAGAUGAUUGGCGGUAUGUCUGGUUGUAUUGUGCUUGUCUUCUGUUCUGUCUAUGGGGUGGUGUUUUACUGCUGAGUUAUUGGGUUCCCCUGUUGUUCACCCUAUUGUGUAACUCUGUUUUUAUUAAUAAUUUCUGGCUUAGCAAAAGAAAAAUGUGUCUGAAUUGGGGACUGGUUCCUCUAUGUUGCUUAGUUUAAUUAGUUUACUUUAUUAGGUUGCUCUUUGACGUUUGUAAGGUCUUGAUAGCCUACUGUUUAUUUGUAGCAGGUCUACUGCUUUUUUUGGAUUAAUAAAAAUCAUUUAUCCAAAAAAUUUUCUUAAGGAAAAUCUUAUUAUCUUUUAAGCUCUUCAGUAUUAUUAUAUCUAAGUGGUCAUGUCAGCAAUCACAUAAUAGGUUUUACACAUGAAAGCCCAGUUUGCCACAUUAUUACCCAAGAGGUAUAAAAAGUAAAAUCAGACGAGUUAGGUGAUUCACUACUCAACCCUCUUUACUCUCUUUAACUACUUCCUGCUCUUUUACAUUUUCUUGCUUCUGGUGUAUCUUACUAUCUUAACUUGUGCGUCGGAGCAUGCUUCAAAAUAACAUGUUCCGCACCCCUGGCUUUCUAUUCUGUGACAGGUCACACAUACUCUCCUCUCAACCUCCAGUAGGACUUUCGACUACCAGACCAGGAAUUACAUUAACAACCAAGAAUUACAUUAACGAAAUCAAUGAUUCAACUCAACUAUUUGCAUUGCAAGAAUCUGAUACAAGCCAUGGCAUGUACAAAAAUGACCAUGCCUACUACUUUAACUGCCAAAACUAGAAGUUACAUCUGCUAACACAGAAAAAUCUUUACAGACCAAGCUCAAGCUAAGAUGCUUUAUUCCUGUAUUAGCUACUACAUCACUACAGAGAAAGAAAAAAAAAGAACAAAGCUUCCAGUUCCAGGUAUAAAGCUCGACAAUUCCAAAGGAUACUAUUUCAUUGCCCCUAAUAACUAUAGAUUUGACUAUGGCGAGAGAGAUUUAAAUAUUUCCUUUAUUAUUUUCUUAACUUUAAUCCCGUAUCAUCCUUUGUUUUUCUACUUCUGGACUCCCACACAGACAAAAACAAAUGGCUUUUUGUAAGCUCUAUUGCUAUUGCUAUACGAUUGAUAUCCAUAUAGAAUAGACCUUCACUAAACAAAAACAUGUGGGCAAUACAAAGAAACUUUUAACAACUUGAAAGUUAUGUGAAUGCCAUUCUUAAAUUAUUAUGUGGACUUGAUUAAUUGAUUUAAUUUUAUCUUAGAAAAGUAGUGGUAAAAUCUUUGUUAUGAAAAAGAGCAUCCAGUAAUUUUCUUAUGAUUUUUUCCCCUUACACUCAUCACUUAUUCCUGGUCAAAUUGAGUUUAUGCAUAUAAAAACUUGAUUGUUUCUAACAAAAUGGAGUAACUUCAUCGUUUGAAUUGUCAGGCCAAUGAUUUCAGAAGAUACUAGGAAAAGAAAGCAUGGGUUGCCAGAAUACAGUUCAGAAAAGGAUAUGACUUCCUGACUAAAAGCUUGUUCUGCUUAUCUGUUUCUUACAAAACUGAUGUUUCGGCUACAUUUUUUGUCCAGUCAGGAGCAAAAAUGACAGCUGUAUUUGAAAGUGAAAACCAUCCAAGGUGGGACAUGGAAAAUUUGUAUUGGGUAACAGAGGAGAUCACUAGUUUGAACAGAAAUUUGUAUCAGGCACCAAAGCAAGCCUUUCGACCAGCAGAUCAGGAUAAUCAAUGACUCAACACAACUAUUUGCAGUGCAAGAAGAUGAUAACAGCCAUGGCAUGUACAACAAUGACUAGGCCUACCACUUUAAUUGCCAAAACAAGAAGUUAAUUGCAUCUACUAACACAGAAUAAUUGUCGACACAGACAAGAUCAAGCUAAGAUGCUACAUCACCAUAAAAACACAAAAAAGGAAUAGAAGAAAGCUUCUGGUUCCAGGUCUCAAGCUCGACAAUUCCAAACUAACUUUGAUAGUGUUUAAUUUUCCCUAACAACUAUAGAGGGUAAAAAGGGAAACUAAAGGUCAUACUAAGAAUUUGAUGAGUAUACAUCAGCUGUUAAGAGCCAAAGAUUACAAUUUCUUGAAUUUAAGUUUAGGUUUGGUAGCUGAUUUCAUAAUUUUUUUGCCUUAAAUGCAGGAACUGUUUUUUCAAGGAAGAAAACUGUUCAUUAAAGCUUUCUAUGCUUUGGACUUGGACAGCACAAAAAAUCACAGCUUCUAUUAGCUGUCCCUACCCAACUGAAACUAUCAGCAAUCCUACAGCCUUAAACUCUGUGAAGUAACAUCCUUCCUAGAUCAUAACCCUACCAGUAUGUGUAAUCUAGACAUGGAUUUUGAUAUGAUCAAGAUGAAUUCUCGGCCAUUGUGAAGGUUGUGAAGUUGGAUGCUGAUUCGUGGAAAGUUGAUACUGCAUUGCACUGCUAUCUCGAGGUAGAAAUGUUACGUCAUGGGCAAAAGGCAGCAGUGGCAGCAUGACACAGAAACAAUACUUACCUAAAUACUUGGUGUAAAAACACCAUUCCAGCAGCAACAAUGAUUUUAAAGAGCUCAUCACUGCAUAAUCCCAAAUUCCCCCAAUAUCUAGCUGGGAAAUACAUUUUGUUCAAUAAGGUAUGCAGACAAGUAAAUCUUUCCACUACAAUGGCAAAACAAAGAAAUAAAAAUAUUAAUGGCAGCAGGAGUUGAAAAAAAGCAUCAAUGGACUUAUCGUUACCCUCUUCAGCCAUCUUUCUACGUAUCUCAUGAGCAGUAUUGAAAAUGCCAAGGGUGGGUUGGUUGCACAUAAAGCACUUGUUGUUCUUUGUCUGAUGCUGAAAAACCAAAAGAUGCAGUUGGUUAGUUUACAUUCGAAUGAGAAUAAAAAUGUAAAUUAUACUGACAUGAGGCACCAAAAGUUGAUGAUGUAAAGUUAAAAUAUGUCCUAUUUCUAUAGCUGAAAAAAGUUGGACCACAUAAAAUAUUCUUUGUAUGUAAGUAACCAAAAAAGUUUUGCAUCUAAGUGAUGCAUUAACAACAAACAUAACAAAAACUAAUAGAUGUUAACCUAGCACAAAAAAAGACACUAAAAAAAAAUUAAUCCACGUGAAAAGGCAUUGAGGGCACCUUUAAAGCACAAUGCUGGCAGAAGUAGUACUUGCACUUCCACAAAAGGUUGCCAGCAACUAAAACAUGCAGAGGGCAACGAAUCAUCAUCGUCAUCAUCACUCUGGUCUACCCCUGCCUCAUCAUCAUCAUCAUCGCCACCCAAAGCCGGAUUUCUCUUCCUUGCUUUCUCUGCUUCUUCCCAGUCCUUCUCUAACUGCCAUCAAGACUUGUAAUCUCCACAAUCAUGCAUAAACUUACAUGAAUCUCCGUAACCACAGUAACCAGUUUCUUUGUAGUCUUUACCGAUGUCAGGCUGAUAAUCAAAUCUUGCUGAAACCCUGAUGUGGGCAAAAGCCCUAAGAGGUCCAUGUAAGCCACCUGCUUUCUCACUGGCAACUGUUUGCUCUCUUCGAAACCCAGCCUUAUAAUCCACAUAGCCAUGCAUUCCUUUAUACAACUUCUCUCCCCCAGAGCUUGUGUUUUUCCCCUUCAAAGCCUCCUCUGUUCGUUUAAAAACUUCCUCGCGUAUCGCGCGAGCAUCUUUUGUAAACUCAGUCUCAGUUUCUAAGGUUGCCAUAGCUCUGCUAUCAUUUUGAACUUGAAUUUCCUUCGAAGACUCAAAUUGAAAAAUCGGUUUGUCAGAUUCUGUAUUUGAUUCAGUGGGAGUAGCACUCCUGGAGGAUCCAGUUGAAAAGACUAACUUAUAGUCAGGCUUCAAAGCGUUUUUCUGAUUGUGAAACAAAGAUGUGCCAUUUCUGGAGUCUUCAUCUUCAUCUUCAUAUUCAUUUAUUGUCCUUUUCCUUAUGGUUUUUUGCCCUUUGUUGGCUUCCUAAAGAAAUUGCAGACUGAAAAGUCAAAGAGUUAGCUAUAUAAGUAAAUAUACAUAUACACCUUUAAAAAGAAUUAAAAAAAAGGAACAAAUUUUACCUUGCUCAGAUUGUUGAGGUUCUGUUUCAGAUUGCUGAGGUUCUUUUCCUGGCUACUGGGGCUCGCUUGAAUCAGUCAUCUUAACAGAAACAAGAGAAAAGGUUUAUAGAUUCCUUGCCUCAAGCAAUAUGAACUUCAAUUCUCAUUCACGACUGUUGCUCCAAUCACUUGAAAGAAGGUUUUAAACUAAGUGAGUGAAAAUCCUUAUUACUAUUAAUUAAGGUAAUGAAACAAACGUGAUCAACACACUAACUGGUGUCAUAAUUAAAUUUCCAUAGAUAAGAUCAAGCAUUCUCUCAUGAAAAGGCUAAAUGCUCAAUUUUUUUACCCAAAUCAUAAAUUUCUAUUGAUGUAAGAAAAGGAAGGAAUUAAAUUUUUUAUCCAAAUAACAAAAUAUUUACAGUACUCACCUGAACAAGAAGUCUAAAACGCCCAAUACAUUUAACUUUUACCCACGAUUGACUAAUCCGAAUUGAAAUUACCCAACAAGAAGAGAUCGUCCUUCGUCAAUUAAUUCCUUUCGAUCAUCGGAUUUGGGAUUUUUUGAAAUCAGAAUUGGAAUUGGAUAGGAAUCGACUGAAGGAUUGAAGAAUUGGAUAUGAAUCGACUGAAGGAUUAAAGAACGAAGGAGUAAAGAAGGAACCCAAAACGCCAAAUUCUUUUAUCGGGCUUUCCGAUUCUUUUUCGGCCUUCUUGUUUUGAAAAUCAGUCAAUUUUUUGUCCAAAUUGCACAGGUAGACAACAGCUUGCCUACGUGCAUGCCACCUCACCUGAAAAUUACACGUCCUCUACAUAAUAUUCUGGCUCAGCAAUUAAAAGCACGUGUAGUACACGCGAAUAAUUCCUUCCCAUGUUGGCAAUGCCCAUCGGAAUAAUCUUUUGCACCAAUUGGACUUUUGUGUUGGUUGUCCUUUCAAACUAGCUUUGACGAAAACGCAAAAAAAAUUGCUUCUUCUAAACUGCUAAAUUUCUUCAAUUAAAGAAUUUUCGUUUCUGAUGACUUUUUUUUUAUUCAAAUUCGAUGAAAAAUCUAAUCUUUUUAUCUGAAUAAGAAUAAAAAUAUGUAUUUAAAAUUUAAGAAUAAAAACUAAAAUAAUAUAAUUUUAAAAUUUUAUCAAACAUAAUAAUGAAAAUUUUUUAUUUUUUUUAAGUUAUAAAUAUGGGCUGUUCAACCCAUUAAAUCUCCACAAAAAUAAAAAUGGAUAUAAAUUUAAAAUAUAUAUAAAAUAUAGAUAUAAUGUAAAAAAAUUAAAAAUGAGAAUAAAAAAUGUUAUACCCGUCCCAUUGACAUCUUUUAUUUCAGCAUUUGCUGUAAGUUUCAACCUUCUGUGCUGCAAUGUGUUUAAGGGUAAACAAAGAUCAAGAAGAGAAAGUUAAUCAAAUUGACCGGCUCUCAACUCCCUGAUGAUAUUAUAAUCAAUAUACUGCUGAAGAUACCAGUCAAAUCUCUCUUAAACAUUCAAAUGUGCAAUGCAAACCAUGGCGGUCUUUGAUCUCUGACGCUCAAUUUCCCAAACUGCACCUCAAGUGAGCGCUCCAUGGAGCAAUGUGCAAUCCAAUAACAAUGACUCAUCAUUCCAUUCUUGUUGGUAAAGUUAUCUAUCAAACUCACCUGGUAGCCACAAGACAAAUAUUUUCUGUCAAACAGACCUAUCAACAAAGACCCUCAAAUUCUUCAUAUUAUGAUUGUUGAAAGAUUUAAGAUGAUAAUUCUCGGUUUAAUUAAAGCUAAACAUGUACGAAACUUCCAAACUUUUACAAUAUUAACCUGUUGAUAUGGUGCAUAAGAUCUUUCUGUGUAGAAUUUAAAAUAUGCUUACUACAUCAACAAGACACCUUAAGAAACAAACUAGCCGUCCACUCCUGCCUUCAAUAUUUAAGUGAGCUUAAAUGGGUACAAUUGCUAUCACAGAUUCAGAGAAAAUAUUUUACCAAUAUCCAAAGGUUAGAGUCCUAGUCAUUUUCAUUAAAUUUUAGGUGAACAAAUUCCUCUUAACUGUCUCUGGAGACACAACACUGGCUGGCUGACAAUUUCUUUCUUUAUUUUUUUUUUCUAUAUAAAAAGAGCUGAAUCAGCAUGCAUAUCCAUUUGCACUGGUUACUCCUAAAUUGUUUCAUACAGCCCAUAUGUGGGGUAAAAAUAAGUCAUAUUAAGAACAAAAACUAUGUUAGUCUUAUGUGUUAGGCUAAACCUUGAUCAAUUAUUAGAUAAGUGAAAUCAGGAUCAAAUAACAAAUUAUUCAUGUAAAAGAUAAUAAUUUAUCGUGAUUCAAAAAUUAAAUAUUAAAAGUUGUGAAUGACAGUAAAAUAUUAUAAAAAAAUAUAGAUUUGUGGUCUAAUUUACUCAAAAUUUAAUGCGUUUAUCAUAGAAAUUAAAGGAAAGUUUAAAAAAAUAAACAAAAAAAAGACAAGUAUUAGUCUUUGCUUUAUACUUAAUCUUGGCAUGAAGCAUGCAAAUAUGUCAAGUCCUUUUGCUUCUCAUCUUUACUUUACAAAACAAUAAUCUUAGCAGUUGCUUCAUUCUAAGCAAUUAAAAAGAUUAAAAUAUAAUAAUAAUAAUUAAUAUAUUUAAAAUCCAUUCUCAAUCUAUCAAUUUAAUUGGAAGACAAAAGAUAAUUUUCUAUGAGUAAAAUUGCUAUGUUUUUAUCUUUUUUAAAGGAAAGACUUGACUUAAGUAAAUUGUUAAGAAAAUUAUUUUUCAUAUAUUAUUAAUGAUGGGACAAGAAAACUUAAAUGUUUGCAUGAUGGAAGACUUAAAAGUAUAAAGCAAAGAAAAGAAAAAAAUACUAAUAGAAGACACUUGCAUGAUGGAAGACUUAAAAUAUUAAGCAAAGAAAAGAUAAAAUACUAAUAGAAAAAAAUCUCAUACUAUCACUAUCUUUGUGAGUUCAAAAUUAGAAUAUCAAAAUUUCAAAAGACCCGUUUUUCUUACAUGAGAUGGGUCCAUUAAAACCGAAAUCGGGCUUCCGUUUGACUUUUGCACCAAAACACAAUUGGGCAAUUUGUGCGAAUCUUAAACUGAUUAUAGAACGAUACACAAAACAAUUAACUGAGAAAAGCAAAAUUAAAAAAAAAAAAAAAAGGUUGUCAAAAGGGAUUUAAAGUUAUGGGGUUUUUAAUCAAAAUUUCCCCUUCUUUUCUUCUUUUUCCAGGUAAAAUUUUCCUCAUGCCCACUUUUAUUUUCAAUCGUAAAAAAUUCUUUCUUUUUUUUUUAAAUGUAAAAUAUGGGUUUUUUUUUUAUAUCUUCUGUUUCUACAGUACACUGUAAUUAGGAGCUGGAGCAAUUGCAGCUAAUUUUUGGAAACCUUACAUUGGCAAAGGCAGAGUAUUUUUUUUUUUUAAAUAUUUUUUCUAUGAUCCUUGUUAUACUUUCACUGUGUAGAAAGAUUCUAUUUUUAGCUAAGCAUAACUCAUUUUUUUUUCAAUUAUUUGUUUUUAGGCUUUAUCAUGUGUUGGGUCUUUUCUGUUUUACCCAUAUUUCAUUUAAUUUUAUGAUUUGAAUCGAACUGCUAUGUGAAUAGGAAUAUUGAGUUAUGCCAAGCAAUACUUUCUCUGACUAUUACUAUACAUAAUUGUCAAUUUGUCAUUCAAUUGCUAGCUGCUAAAUUUGCUGCAAAAGAAUGGUUAUUGCAGUUGGAAUCUCUUGUUAUUAUGGGGAAGAAUGUGAGGGUUGAAAAGGGAAAGAAAAAUGAAAUGAAAUGAAAUAGUUGGGUGGAAAGUGUUACCUUUUAUGGAGUUCUAGCUUGCAAUCAUCAUUUGUUUAAUUGUACAUUUUGCAUUUUCCAACAAUUGAAUGGAGCAAGUUUUUCGGAUUUCCAUUUCAUUGCUUUCAAGUACCUUGGUCUAGAUAAGUUUCGUCCGUGUUUCCUGUUCCCAAAAUGAUUUAACAUAUAUGACAUAACAGGUUCUUCUUGCAAAUUGGGACUUGAAUGUUUAUGUGAAAAGGUGGUUAUAGUCUGAUCUUUUCUUUGUUGCAUCCAUAUUCUGCAAAGAUCUUUUGCCCUGUCUCUUUGUUCACUUCCUGGGUCUCAGUAUUUUGUUGGUUUGCUUAUGGUAGAGUUUGAUCUCGUGCUUUUCCAUUUUCACUUUGCCCCCACUAUUCCUCCCCUUCCUCUCUAGCUUUUGAAAUUGCAUUUAGAGCCUUGGUUGUUGUAGUAGAUCACAAGCAUACUUUAACAUUAUGUUCAAGCUGUUUAAUUGUAGGUUCAAAUUUCUAGUGUUAAAGUUUGAUUAGGUUUUGAUUUCUUAUAUAAGCCUUGUUUUAACACCCCCCCCCCCCCUUUUUUUAGAGGGAGAGGGGGUCCGGGGAAAUAAAAAUAGCCCUUAUAUUAGUGCAUACAAAUGUAUGUAUGUAUACGGUAUAUAUAAACAUUGGUAUAAAAAAUAUGUUAUAUACAAUGUUUGUAUAAAAAUUGUGUAAUCCCAAAAUAAAAUAUAAAUUUCAAGCACUGUACAUACAUAAAUUCUAAAAAAUUCAAAAAAUUAAAUUCAAUAAAUAGAAUAUAACUUAAUGACCAGAAAUAGAAAAACUAAAAAAGGUAACUACCGAGAACAUAAAAUUGCUUGUGCACAAUUAAUGCAUUAGCGAACCAUAUGAAGUUCUUGGUUAUUUUGCAUUAUUUAGUAUUUGUUUGAUUGGGUUUUUGCUAUUUGCUUUUUGCUUCGAAAGCAAAAAAGCAAAAAUAGCAUUUCCAUAAGCAAUAAAAUUUUGAAGAGUUAUACACAAAAUAUUUAAAUUUUUUAUGAUUAACUACAUGAUUCUACUUCUAUAUAUACUAAUUGUGUUAUAAUUGAUUUUAUAUUUUAAUUAUUUUUUCUGUUUUAGAUCAGUUAUGACAUAUAUACAUUUUACCUUUUGCUUUUCCUUUCUAGUAAAAUAUAUAUGUUUUAUUCAUGUUCGUAGGGAACUUACCAGACUUCUUGGCCAUGUUCUAGAAAUGCCAGUAUCUAACGAGUUUGCUUUGAAUAUGGCAGCUAACAACAUCAGUGAAUCUUAGGUUUGUUGAUGCAAAUCAUGGCUAACAGAUUCACUUGAAGCCUACUUAUCUAAAGAUUUUUCGAUUUUUAGAGGAUGAAAUGCAAAGGUGGUGCUGAUGUUAAUAAUGUUGGACAUUGAACACUGUCAAACAACAUAGAGGUGGAAAUAUACUGACUUUUACAGGUUUCAGGGUUGGUUUUAUUUGUUGACUUCAUUCUAUUACUUCUUUUUUUGGAACGAUAUAUGCCAACAUCUUAUGUAAAUAUGCAACUUGAUGCAGAUAAUUUGUAAUUUUGGGGAAGAGAAAGAAGGAAUGAAAUUGAGAAACUANNNNNNNNNNNNNNNNNNNNNNNNNNNNNNNNNNNNNNNNNNNNNNNNNNNNNNNNNNNNNNNNNNNNNNNNNNNNNNNNNNNNNNNNNNNNNNNNNNNNNNNNNNNNNNNNNNNNNNNNNNNNNNNNNNNNNNNNNNNNNNNNNNNNNNNNNNNNNNNNNNNNNNNNNNNNNNNNNNNNNNNNNNNNNNNNNNNNNNNNNNNNNNNNNNNNNNNNNNNNNNNNNNNNNNNNNNNNNNNNNNNNNNNNNNNNNNNNNNNNNNNNNNNNNNNNNNNNNNNNNNNNNNNNNNNNNNNNNNNNNNNNNNNNNNNNNNNNNNNNNNNNNNNNNNNNNNNNNNNNNNNNNNNNNNNNNNNNNNNNNNNNNNNNNNNNNNNNNNNNNNNNNNNNNNNNNNNNNNNNNNNNNNNNNNNNNNNNNNNNNNNNNNNNNNNNNNNNNNNNNNNNNNNNNNNNNNNNNNNNNNNNNNNNNNNNNNNNNNNNNNNNNNNNNNNNNNNNNNNNNNNNNNNNNNNNNNNNNNNNNNNNNNNNNNNNNNNNNNNNNNNNNNNNNNNNNNNNNNNNNNNNNNNNNNNNNNNNNNNNNNNNNNNNNNNNNNNNNNNNNNNNNNNNNNNNNNNNNNNNNNNNNNNNNNNNNNNNNNNNNNNNNNNNNNNNNNNNNNNNNNNNNNNNNNNNNNNNNNNNNNNNNNNNNNNNNNNNNNNNNNNNNNNNNNNNNNNNNNNNNNNNNNNNNNNNNNNNNNNNNNNNNNNNNNNNNNNNNNNNNNNNNNNNNNNNNNNNNNNNNNNNNNNNNNNNNNNNNNNNNNNNNNNNNNNNNNNNNNNNNNNNNNNNNNNNNNNNNNNNNNNNNNNNNNNNNNNNNNNNNNNNNNNNNNNNNNNNNNNNNNNNNNNNNNNNNNNNNNNNNNNNNNNNNNNNNNNNNNNNNNNNNNNNNNNNNNNNNNNNNNNNNNNNNNNNNNNNNNNNNNNNNNNNNNNNNNNNNNNNNNNNNNNNNNNNNNNNNNNNAAAAAAAAAAAAAAUUUUUUCUCAAUGAAAGUUGUCAUUUGUCUACUAGUUAAAUUGGCUCACAAGGAAUAGAUUUUAAGUAUAUUAAUUAUUAUUGUUAUAUUUUAGUCUUUUUAAUGACUCAGACUAAAGCAACUACUAAGAUUAUUUUUGUGAAGCAAAUAUGGGGGCAAAAUGAUUGACACAUUUGCAUGCAUGAUGCCAAAACUAAGUAUAGAGCAAAGACUAACACUUGGACCGAUACAUUCCCAUAUUAUCUAUCAUUUUCUUUCUUAUUCCACCAUUAUAAAAUCACAAUUUUCAAAAUAGACAAGUUUGGGAAGUGAGAAUGAAUAUAUUUUGUAGAUUUUUUUUUCAAACCUUUCAACAAAAAUAGAACACAUGUUUUUGAUUUGCUAAUUUUUUUUUUUUGUGAAUUAAUUUGUUGAUUAAGCAACUUCUUUCUCAUGCUUUUGUUCCUAAUGUACUAUUAGAUUUCACGGUAUGUGCAUUUUUUUUUAGUUUUUUAUUGUUAAUAUAUUUUAAAGAUAUCUUCUAAUUUAAAAAUUCAAUAAACUAAUAACCAUAUAGUCUAUUAGUAAAAUGCUAAACUCUUAGUUUUAGUAGUUUAAAAUUCAAAUCCUAGCAAUCUCACUAUAAAAAAAUUAUAAAAAAAAGACAAUCUUAAAAUGAAAAAAUUUCAUGUAUACAAGAUAAUUUAUAUAUAUAUUUUAAUUUUCUUCACAUAUGAUUAAUAGAGUUUUUAAAUUUUAUAAACAGUAUUAAAAUCUCAUACUUUUUAUAAGAUAUUUUCUCUUAACUAUUUUUUUUUCAAACCUAAAUGUAAUUUUUUCUAACUUACCAGAUAUGAAAAUUCUGUAAGUUAUAUAACUCAUUAGAAAUGCAUAUUUAAAAGGUUUAAAAUUAAAACAAGAUAAGUAAAUAAGUAAUUUACUUAAAAAUUUUCUAAAAAAGGUGGAUGUAGAGAAAAAAUAAUGGUGUAUUUAAAAUAACCCACCACAAAAUUAUACUUUACAAAAAAAAUUGAUAUUCUAAUUUUGGACUAACAAAGAAAAUGACAGUAUGAGAUUUUUUCAAUUGGUAUUUAGUCUUUUCUUCACUUUAUACUUUUAAGUCUUCCCAUCAUACAAAUGUGUAAGUCUUCUUGCCCCAUCGUUACUCUAUGAAAAAUAAUCUUAUUAGCAGUUUGCUUAUGUCAAGUCUAUCUUUUAAAAAAGACAAAAAAAAUAGCAAUUUUUUCAAUGGUGAGUGUCUUUUGUCUUCCAAUUAAAUUUGCAGACUGGGAAUGGAUUUUAAAUAUAUUAAUUAAUAUUGUUAUAUUUUAGUCUUUUCAAUGACAUAGACUAAAGCAAUUGCUAACAUCAUUUUUUUUUUUGAAGUAAAAAUAGGGGCAAAAAGAUUGACACAUUUGCAUGCUUGAUGCCAAAACUAAGUAUGAAGCAAAGACUAUGAUUUAGACCCAUGCAUUCUGAUAGGAUCUAUCUUUUUCUUUCUCAUUCCACCAUUAUAAAAUCACAAUUUCCAAAAUAGACAAGUUUGAGAAAUGGGAGUGAAUGUGUUCUUUAGAUAAUUUUUUCAAACUUUUCAGUUAAAAUUAAAGAUAGGUUUUAAUUUAUUUUAUUAUUAUUAUAUUAUUAUUUUGCUAAUCAAUUUGGUGAUUAAGCAACUUCUUUCUCAUGCUUUGUUCCUAAUGUACCAUUAGAUCUCAUGGUAUGUGCCAUUUUUUUUAUUUUUUAGUUUUUUUACUAUUAAUAUAUUUAAAGAGAUUUUUUUAUUUAAAAUUAAAUGAGCAAAUAACCAUGAGUUUGUUAGUAAAUGUUGAAUUCUUAAUUUUAGUAGUUUAAAGUUCAAAUCUUGAUAACCUCACAUUACAAAAAAAAAGGACAAAUUUCUAAUUUCACAAAUUUCAUAUAUACGAGAUAAUUUUUAUAUAUUUCAAUUUCAUCAUAUAUGAUUAAUAGAGAUUUUAAAGUUUAUAAAUGGUAUUAGAAUCUCAUACUCUAUGCAAGAUAUUUUCUCUUAAUUAUUUUUUUCCAAACCUAAAUGUAACUUUUUUUAACUUACUGGAUAUGAAAAUCCAAUAAGUUAUAUCAAGAUGCUUUAAAAUUAAAACGAGAUGAGUAAAUAAGUAAUUUCACUUAAAAAUUAAAAAAAUUGAUAUAGAAAAAAAAUGAUGGCAUAUUUAGAAUCACUCAUCACAAAAUUAUGCUUUAUAAAAAAUUUGAUAUUUUCAUUUUGGACCCACGAAGAAAAUGAUAGUAUGAGAUCUUUUUAUUGGUAUUUAAUCUUUUCUUUGUUUUAUACUUUUAAGUAUUCCCAUCAUGCAAAUGUCUACAUCUUCUUGCCCUAACAUUACUUUAUGAAAAUAAUCUUCUUAGCAAUUUGCUUACAUCAGGUCUGCCUUUUAAAAGGGACAAAAAAAAAAAAAACAACAAUUUUCUCAAUGAAAGUUGUCUUUUGUCUUCCAGAUAAAUUGACACACAAGGGAUGGAUUUUAAGUAUAUUAAUUAUUAUUGUUAUAUUUUAGUCUUUUUAAUGACUUAGAUUGAAGUAACUGCUAAGAUUAUUUUUGUGAAGUAAAGAUGGGUGCAAAAAGAUUGACUCAUUUGCAUGCUUGAUGCCAAAAUUAAGUAUAGAACAAAGACUAAGACUUAGACCAAUACAUUCCCAUAGUAUCUGUCAUUUUCUUCCAUAGAAUAUAUUCUGUAGAUUUUUUUUCAAACCUUUCAGCAAAAAUAAAACUCUGGUUUUUAAUUUGUUGAUUUUUUUGGCCAAUCAAUUUGUUGAUUAAGCAACUUCUUUCUCAUGCUUUUGUUCCUAAUGUACUAUUAGAUUUUAUGGUGUGUGCAUUUUUUCAGUUUUUUAUUGUUAAUAUAUUUUAAAGAUAUCCUCUAAUUUAAAAAUUCAAUGAGCUAAUAACUAUAUAUUCUAUUAGUAAAAUACUAAACUCUUAGUUUCAGUAUUUAAAAUUCAAAUCCUAACAAUCUCACAUAUAUAUAUAUAUAUAUAUAUAAAAAAGACAAUCUUCAAAUGAAAAAACUUCAUGUAUAUGAGAUAAUUUAUAUAUAUUUUUUUAAUUUCUUCACAGAUGAUUAAUUGAGUUUUUAAAUUUUAUAAACAGUAUUAAAAUCUCAUAUUUUCUGUAAGAUAUUUUCUUUUAACUAUUUUUUUUCAAACCUAAAUGUAACUUUUUCUAACUUUUUGGAUAUGAAAAUUCUAUAAGUUAUAUAACUCAUCAGAAAUGCAUAUUUAGAAGUUUUAAAAUUAAAACAAGAUAAGUAAAUAAGUAAUUUCACUUAAAAAAUUUUUAAACAAGGUGGAUGUAGAGAAAAAAUGAUGGUGUAUUUAGAGUCACCUAUCACAAAAUUAUACUUCACAAAAAAAUUGAUAUUCUAAUUUUGACUAACAAAGAAAAUGAUAGUAUGAGAUUUUUUUUAUUGGUAUUUAUCUUUUCUUUACUUUAUACUUUCAAGUCUUCCAUCAUGCAAAUGUCUAAGUCUUCUUGCCCCAUCAUUAUUCUGUCAAAAAUAAUCUUUUUAACAGUUUGCUUAAGUCAAGUCUAUCUUUUAAAAAAGACAAAAAAAUAGCAAUUUUCUCAAUGGUGGUUUUUUUUUGUCUUCCAAUUAAAUUGGCUGGGAAUUAAUUUUAAGCAUAUUAAUUAAUAUUGUUAUAUUUUAGUCUUUUCAAUGACUUAGACUAAAGCAAUUGCUAACAUCACUAUGUUUUUGAAGUAAAAAAGGGGGCAAAAAGAUUGACACAUUUGCAUGCUUGAUGCCAAGACUAAGUACGAAGCAAGGACUAUGAUUUUGACCCAUGCAUUCCGAUAAGAUCUAUCUUUUUCUUUCUUAUUCCAUCAUUAUAAAAUCACAAUUUUUAAAAUAGACAAGUUUGAGAAAUGGGAGUGAAUGUGUUGUUUAGAUUUUUUUUUCAAACUUUUCAGCAAAGAUAAAACACAGGUUUUUAAUUUAUCGAUUUUUUUGGCCAAUCAAUUUGUUGAUUAAGCAACUUGUUUCUUAUGCUUUUGUUCCUAAUGUACUAUUAGAUUUCACGAUAUGUGCAUUUUUUUUUUUUGGGUUUUUUAUUAUUACUAUAUUUUAAAGUGAUGCAUUGAUUUAAAAAUUCAAUGAGCCAAUAACCAUGUAAUUUGUUAGUAAAAUAUUGAACUUUUAGUUUUAAUAGUUUAAAGUUCAAAGCUUGACAACUUUAUAUACAAGAAAAAAAAAAAAGACAAUCUUCUAUUUUCACAAAUUUCAUGUAUAAAAGAUAAUUUAUAUAUAUUUUGAUUUCUUUAUAUAUGAUUAAUAGAGUUUUUAAAUUUUUUUAAUGGUAUUAGAAUAUCAUACUUUCUAUAAGAUAUUUCAUCUUAACCAUUUUUUUUCAAUCCUAAAUAUAAUUUUUUUAACUUACCGGAUAUGAAAAUUUGAAAAGUUAUAUAAUUUAUCAUAAAUGCAUAUCUAGAAGUUUUAAAAUUAAAAUGAGAUGGGUAAAUAAGUAAUUUCACUUAAAAAAACUUUUAAAAUUGGAUGUAGAGAAAAAAAAUGAUGAUGUAUUUUGAAUCACCUAUCAUAAAAUUAUAGUUUCUAAAAAAUUGAUAUUUUAAUUUUGGACUCACAAAGAAAAUGAUAGUAUGAGAAUUUUUUAUGAGAUUUUAAUUCUUUUCUUUGCUUUAUCACAUUUCUUAAUUUUUUUUAUAUAAUUUUUUAGUAUAUUUGUAAAAGGGUUUGUGACAGCCCUCUAACUUGUAUAAUCUAAAAACUCCACUAACUAAUUGCAUUUUCUAAGUUAUAUGAUUCAACAAAUACUAACAAGUCAAUUAAUAAUUUAAUUGUUCUAUAAAUUUGAAGGUAAAAUAAAUGAAAAUUUUGCAACUAAUAAAGACUAUGCUUUUAUUCCCAUAAACAAACCAGAUGAAAUAGAUGGAGUUAAAGAAUAAACUAUUUCGGGGCAAGAUAUCAGUACUAUCUGGAUUUCUUAAGCAUCAUAAUAUCAAGAAAAUCUGACUAGAACAACUUUACAUCAUGGCAAAAUUUCAAAGAAAAACCACUAGUUUCUCAAUUUCAUUCCUUCUUUCUCUUCCCCAAAAUUACAAAUUAUCUGCAUCAAGUUGCAUUUUUACAUAAGAUGUUCGCAUAUAUCUUUCCAAAAAAAAAAGUAGUAGAAUGAAGUCAACAAAUAAAACCAACCCUGAAACCUGUAAAAGUCGGUAUAUUUCCACCUCUAUGUUGUUUGACAGUGUUCAAUGUCCAACAUUAUUAACAUCAGCACCACCUUUGCAUUUCAUCCUCUAAAAAUCGAAAAAUCUUUAGAUAAGUAGGCUUCAAGUGAAUCUGUUAGCCAUGAUUUGCAUCAACAAACCUAAGAUUCACUGAUGUUGUUAGCUGCCAUAUUCAAAGCAAACUCGUUAGAUACUGGCAUUUCUAGAACAUGGCCAAGAAGUCUGGUAAGUUCCCUACGAACAUGAAUAAAACAUAUAUAUUUUACUGGAAAGGAAAAGCAAAAGGUAAAAUAUAUAUAUGUCAUAACUGAUCUAAAACAGAAAAAAUAAUUAAAGUAUAAAAUCAAUUAUAACACAAUUAGUAUAUAUAGAAGUAGAAUCAUGUAGUUAAUCAUAAAAAAUUUAAAUAUUUUGUGUAUAACUCUUCAAAAUUUUAUUGCUUAUGGAAAUGCUAUUUUUGCUUUUUUGCUUUCGGAAGCAAAAAGCAAAUAGCAAAAACCCAAUCAAACAAAUACUAAAUAAGGCAAAAUAACCAAGAACUUCAUAUGGUUCGCUAAUGCAUUAAUUGUGCACAAGCAAUUUUAUGUUCUCGGUAGUUACCUUUUUUAGUUUUUUCUAUUUCUGGUCAUUAAGUUAUAUUUUAUUUAUUGAAUUUAAUUUUUUGAAUUUUUUAGAAUUUAUGUAUGUACAGUGUUUGAAAUUUAUAUUUUAUUUUGGGAUUACACAAUUUUUAUACAAACAUUGUAUAUAACAUAUUUUUUAUACCAAUGUUUAUAUAUACCGUAUACAUACAUACAUUUGUACGCACUAAUAUAAGGGCUAUUUUUAUUUCUCCGGACCCCCUCUCCCUCUAAAAAAAGGGGGGGGGGUUAAAACAAGGCUUAUAUAAGAAAUCAAAACUUAAUCAAACUUUAACACUAGAAAUUUGAACCUACAAUUAAACAGCUUGAACAUAAUGUUAAAGUAUGCUUGUGAUCUACUACAACAACCAAGGCUCUAAAUGCAAUUUCAAAAGCUAGAGAGGAAGGGGAGGAAUAGUGGGGGCCAAGUGAAAAUGGAAAAGCACGAGAUCAAACUCUACCAUAAGCAAACCAACAAAAUACUGAGACCCAGGAAGUGAACAAAGAGACAGGGCAAAAGAUCUUUGCAGAAUAUGGAUGCAACAAAGAAAAGAUCAGAUUAUAACCACCUUUUCACAUAAACAUUCAAGUCCCAAUUUGCAAGAAGAACCUGUUAUGUCAUAUAUGUUAAAUCAUUUUGGGAACCGGAAACACGGACGAAACUUAUCUAGACCAAGGUACUUGAAAGCAAUGAAAUGGAAAUCCGAAAAACUUGCUCCAUUCAAUUGUUGGAAAAUGCAAAAUGUACAAUUAAACAAAUGAUGAUUGCAAGCUAGAACUCCAUAAAAGGUAACACUUUCCACCCAACUAUUCAUUUCAUUUCAUUUUUCUUUCCCUUUUCAACCCUCACAUUCUUCCCUAUAAUAACAAGAGAUUCCAACUGCAAUAACCAUUCUUUUGCAGCAAAUUCAACAGCUAGCAAUUGAAUGACAAAUUGACAAUUAUGUAUAGUAAUAGUCAGAGAAAGUACUGCUUGGCAUAACUCAAUAUUCCUAUUCACAUAGUUGUUCGAUUCAAAUCAUAAAAUUAAAUGAAAUAUGGGUAAAACAGAAAAGACCCAACACAUGAUAAAGCCUAAAAAAACACAAAUAAUUGAAAAAAAAAAAAAGAGUUAUGCUUAGCUAAGAAUAGAAUCUUUCUACACAGUGAAAGUAUAACAAGGAUCAUAGAAAAAAUAUUUAAAAGAAAAAAAUACUGUGCUUAAAAAAAUAUUUAAAAAAAUAUUUAAAAAAAAAUAUAUUUAAAAGAAUGAAAUCAACAAAUAAAACCAACCCUGAAACCUGAAAUAGGCUGUGAAGAAAAAAAACAAAAAAAGCCGCUAUAUUUCCUCCUCUAUGUUGUUUGACAGUGUUCAAUCUUCAAUGUCCAUUGUUAUUAACAUCAGCACCACCUCUGUAUUUCAUCCUCCAAAAUAGUAUUUGAGUUUAAAUAUUCCUGUACGAUCAAUCUUAUGCUCUGUUUUGGAAUAAUUGGUCGAGGAUCUUUAAAAAUAAUAAAAAAAAAAGUCUCUGAAAUUUGUAUCUGUAUGGGCUUUUGUAGAUCCCCAAAGGUUGUGUUUUAACUUAGGAUUACAUAUGUUACCAUGUAGGCUUGAACCCAUGUGUGUGCUUGUGUGUGUGUUAGUGAGUGCAAGGGAAACAAUAGUUUUGCUAAAAUAUUGAGUUUAUGGACAUUGCUCUCUCCGUACAUAUGGCCCAUUAAAGCAUGUUGUUGUUCCACAAUACACGGUCUCUAGUCACCUUUUUAAUUUGACCAUGUGAUUUUGAAUAUCAUUCCAUCUCUCCAAUCUAAAAAGGCUUUUAUAUUUCCACAGAGCUGUUUUUGGAGCUAUGCAAGCAGUAUGACCAGCCAAUAGGGUCUUUUUUUGCCCGUAAGUUUUCAAGGAUGUAUUAAUUUGGAUACUUAUAGUCAAGUUUGAUUUCCUUAAAAUUGAAGUUAACAGUUUCAAGAAAUUUUUUCAUGCCUUUCUAAGCUCAUGUACUCAUUAGAAUUGUUCAAAAUUGUAAUUGACCGUUCUGGACCUCCAUUUGUGUCCAAUUUUAUAUGCUCAUAAUUGGAUUACAAGUAAGAAAGUUAUGCCUCGUUUUAAUUUGUGCUCCUCUGAAAGGAAGAAACCUGUUGUCACCUGUUUGAUGAAAUAAUUUGCAAAAUGAAGAAACCUUUUAUACACAAUAUAUGUUGUAUCAUAUUAUUUAUUUUGGAUCCUUGGAUAAUGAUUUGAGAAAUAUAUUUAUUUCCUUUUGCAGAAUUUUGAUGACGUCCUGGUGCAUGCUGAUCACGUAAGCAGGAGCUAUAAUGAUACAUACUAUGUUGACUCUCAAAUUAUAUUGAGGUGUCAUACUGCUCAUCAAGCAGAGCUGUUGAGAAGAGGAUACACUCAUUUCCUUGUAACUGGCGAUGUUACCGUAGAUCUUCUAUAGAUUCUACUCAUUACCCUGUGUUUCAUCAUGUUUCAUUUUGUUGAAAAUCUCUUUAAUUUUGACUAGCUUUUAAAAAUUUUCUUCGCUUCAGAAAUUAUUCCAAGUACAUGUGAAUUUUGCAUCACAUGCUACAUGCGUAGCACAGCCAUCCAUAUGUUGGGCCUUACAAUGGGCUCCUUCGUAGGUUCACAUGAUGAACAGCUGUGAUUUGACAUGUAACAUUUGUUGUAAGAUGGCCAUGUUCAUAAAUUAAGGUUCCUUAUUUUUUUCCCUCUGAAACAUACGCCCUUUUACCAUACAGAUGGAAGGGGUUCGUGUUUUUACUCCAAAUAAUUGGGAGGCAUCAUCUGGUCUGGAUCCCACACCAUUUGCAGCCUAGGACUUAAAGAAAAGUCUAGAGGGCCUGGCUUGUCACCUAUCUGGCAAUUUUUAGAGUCAAAGCUUUGUUGAGGGAUUACAAUUUUGCAAAUGGUCAUGCAUUUCUAUCCGAAAGAGAUAUAGGGAUUAAGAGAUCAUAUUGAGUCCAAUUUGUGAUUUACAUCUUGAAUGCACUAACUGAUUUGGCAAGACGUGGCAAUUAUUGUAACAAGAAAUCAUUACAGAUUUGCAAAUUUUUUUUGGGGAUACCAUGGAGAUAUAUGUACCAAUGUGCAAGACAUCCAGUCCUAUGUGCAAUAGCAAAACUUUUGGUAAAAUACAUAUAGGUUUUUGAGUUUUAAGCAUAAUUUAACUAGAUCUAUUAACUUGAAAAAAAGACUUCUUGUCCCAAAACUUUUUAAUUAAUAAUACACUAAGAUCUUUCUAUUAGUUAGCUUAGUUAAAAGGCUCAUUAAAAGAUCAUUUUACAUUUAAAAAAUCAAUAUCUUAAAAGACUCACAUAAAAUAAUUAUUUAUAAUAUUAAAUUUUUUUCUUAAAAUAUAUAAAAUAUAUUAAUGAUAUAUAAAAAAAAUUUUAGGUGCAAAAUAUAAAAAAAAAAUUCACAAUCAUAAAUAACAUUUUUUUCAAUCAAAUAUUUUUUCUUAUUAUAUGUUACAUGUUUUUAAUAUAACAUUUUUCGUAUUAUAAUUUUGAAUUUUAUUUUUAUAUAUUGCACGUAAAAAUCUUUUUAUAUAUUAUUAACAUAUUUUAUAUAUUUCAAGAAAAAUUAUUAUUAUAAAUAAUUAUUUUAUGUGAGUAUUAACUUAUUAUAUUUACAUGCUCUUACAUGAAAACAAAAUUCACAAUUAUAAAUAACAUUUUUUUCAACCAAAUAUUUUUUUUAUUAUAUGUUACAUGUUCUUGUUAUAACAAUUUUUUUCUUAUUAUAAUUUUGAAUUUUAUUUUUAUAUAUUGCACUUAAAAUUUUUUAUAUAUUAUUAUAUAUUUUAUAUAUAAUUUUAAAAAUUAUUAUUAUAAAUAAUUUUUUAUGUGAGUAUUUGCUUAUUAUAAAUAACAUUUUUUUCAACAAAUUUUUUUUUAUUAUAUGUUACAUGUUCUUAUUAUAACAUUUUUUCUUACUAUAAUUUUGAAUUUUGUUCUUAUAUAUUGCACCUAAAAUUAUUUUUUAUAUAUUAUUAAUAAAUUAUUAUAUUUUAAGAGAAAAUUAUUAUUAAAAAAUAAUUAUUUUAUGUGAGUAUUUGCUUAUUAUAUGUUACACAGUUUCUUAUUAUAACAUUUUUCUUAUUAUAAUGUGAAGUUUGUUUUUAUAUGUUGCACCUAAAAUCUUUUUUAUAAUAUAUUAUUAAUAUAUUUAUAUUAUUUUUUAAAAAUUUAUUAAUUAUAAAUAAUUAUUUUAUAUGAAUAUUUAAGGAUAUUGAUUUUUAACGGGUCAAAAUGAUCUUCUUAAUGAAUCUUUUAAUGAAGUUAAUUGAAAGAUCUUAGUGUCUUAUUAAUAAAAAAUUUGAGUCAGGAUGUCCAAUUUUCAAAUUAAUAGACCUGAGUUGAAUUAUACCUUAAACUCAAAGACCUAAAUGUAUUUUACUCAUAAAACUUUUCAUGGGAAAGUAUCUAAACCAAACUGCUAUAAAUUCAUAUCACUUGCAAAAUUUUAUAAAGUUAAUCAUGAUGUGUUUGCAUCAGGGGUUGAUAAUGUACUGUGUAAGUACUGCUAUAUGUGGAAGCCAAUUAGCCUCACUCUGUUAACAUUCCAGCUGCUGUGGAGAUGCGUUGGAUCAAUGCCUAUUUCCCAUUUACCAGUCCUUAUGAAGUUGAAAUCUAUUUCAAGGUAUUCUCUUUAUCCCUUUUAGAGGAUAUUGUUAGUAUUUUCUUUAAGAUCGAGUUAUUUAGUCGGAAGAAUCUUGAUUCAUUUUUUUGCCUUUUUCCCUUGCUUUAUUGCAAUGCUUAUGGUCAUUUUGUCAAAAAAUUCUUUUAUGAUUGUUUGACAGCCAAAUUUAGGGGUGAACACUAUGCUUAUUAUUGUAAUGAUAAAUUCUAUUAAGAUAAAUCAAGAUUUGGACGUUUCUAAUACCUUACCUACAUGUUUGUACUCUGUGUUGUUAGCCCUUUUAUUUUUAUUGAUUGCUGUUCAAUAUGAAUCUUUUUAAAUCAAUGGCUAUUGCAUGUGAUAACUUUAGCACCGAGCAUAACUUACCAGUGACCUAGAUGGAGGUUUUGGGUUGCAGGGUAAUGGAGCAAGAAAUAUUGAAAAGUCAUGGUAGAUUAAACAGUGUUGCUCGGGCCUUUGGACUUGGAUUGGAGCGGCAAGCAAUGGUUUGAUUUGACAUACCAGAUAUUCGUCUUUUUGGCUGAACUGAUGAGCGAUUUACCUCACAGCUAGCCUCUGAAUGUAGCUUCAUGAUUUGAAUGUUGAAGUUCACGGAUUCCUAAUUUAAUAUCUCCGCCCAAGUCUGAUUAAGCUACUUGACUGCAGUUUUCCGAAGGCCAAUUGGAGUAAAGUUUAAACCCUUUUCAAAGGUAUAAAUUAAGCAAAUGGUUUCUUUUGUUUCCACUGUAUAUUCCUUUUGUUAUUUAAUACCUAUUACAGAAACAUGACUUGACUCCUCCACAGUUUUUGCAGUAUUCUCCCUGUUAUAAAGACAUGAGUUUUUGGAUCAAUGAAUUAUUUAGUGAGAACAGUUCAUGUGAAGUUCUAAGAGGAAUAGCUGGGGAUCUUGUUGAAGAGGUAUGCAAUUUAAUAUUUUUAGCCAGAAAUAUCUUCUGAAGAUAUAAACAUGUUCACCUAUAUGGUAAAUUUGACUAACUGAAUGUUGUAUAGAGUACGUGUUAUCAGUUAAUAAAUAUUAUAAUUGUCCAAAUGAUGGACAAGGUAUUGACCUAGAUGAGUUUAUUUGAUUGACUUCCUUUAUGUCGUCCUUUAUAAACAGCAAAACAGAAAUAAAUGUUAUUAGAUUUCUAGUUUUUUUCUUAAUAUGACUUAUUUUUACCCCACAUAUGGGCUGUAUGAAACAAUUUAGGAGUAACCAGUGCAAAUGGAUAUGCAUGCUGAUUCAGCUCUUUUUAUAUAGAAAAAAAAAAAGGAAAGAAAUUGUCAGCCAGCCAGUGUUGUGUGUCCAGAGACAGUUAAGAGGAAUUUGUUCACCUAAAAUUUAAUGAAAAUGACUAGGACUCUAACCUUUGGAUAUUGGUAAAAUAUUUUCUCUGAAUCUGUGAUAGCAAUUGUAACCAUUUAAGCUCACUUAAAUAUUGAAGGCAGGAGUGGAUGGCUAGUUUGUUUCUUAAGGUGUCUUAUUGAUGUAGUAAGCAUAUUUUAAAUUCUACACAGAAAGAUCUUAUGCACCAUAUCAACAGGUUAAUGUUGUAAACGUUUGGAAGUUUUGUACAUGUUUAGCUUUAAUUAAACCGAGAUUAUCAUCUUAAAUCUUUCAACAAUCAUAAUUUGAAGAAUUUGAGGGUCUUGUUGAUAGGUCUGUUUGACAGAAAAUAUUUGUCUUGUGGCUACCAGGUGAGUUUGAUAGAUAACUUUACCAACAAGAAUGGAAUGAUAAGUCAUUGUUAUUGGAUUGCACAUUGCUCCAUGGAGCGCUCACUUGAGGUGCAGUUUGGGAAAUUGAGGGUCAGAGAUCAAAGACCGCCAUGGUUUGCAUUACACAUUUGAAUGUUUAAGAGAGAUUUGACUGGUAUCUUCAGCGGUCUAUUGAUUAAAAUAUCAUCUGGGAGUUGAGAGCCUGUCAAUUUGAUUAACUUUCUCUUCUUGAUCUUUUGUUUACCCUUAAAGACAUUGCAGCGCAGAAAUAUGAAGCUUAUACAAAUGCUGAAAUAAUGGAUGUCAAUGGGAUGGAUACAACAAUUUUAUUCUCAUUUUUAAUUUUUUUACUUUAUAUCUAUAUUAAUAUUUUUAAAUUUAUAUUUUUAUUUUUGUUGGGGGAGUUAAUGGGUUGAUCGGCCCAUAUUUACAACUUAAAAACUAAAAAAAUUUUGUUAUUAUGUUCGAUAAAAAUUUAAAAUUAUAUUUAUUUUCGUUUUUAUUUUAAAAUUUUAAAUACAUAUUUUUAUUCUUAUUCAGAUAAAAAGAUUAGAUUUUUCAUCGAAUUUGAAUAAAAACAAAGUCAUCAGAAACGAAAAUUCUUUUAUUGGAGAAAUUUAGCAGUUUAGAGGAAGCAAUUUUUUUGCGUUUUCGUCAAAGCUAGUUUGAAAGGACAACCAACACAAAAGUCCAAUUGGUGCAAAAGAUUAUUCCGACGGGCAUUGCCAACAUGGGAAGGAAUUAUUCGCGUGUGCAAUUUGGACAAAAAAUUGACUGAUUUUCAAAACAAGUAAGAAGGCCGAAAAAGAAUCCGAAAGCCUGAUAAAAGAAUUUGGCGUUUUGGGUUCCUCCUUUACUCCUUCGUUCUUUAAUCCUUCAGUCGAUUCAUACCCAAUUCUUCAAUCCUUCAGUCGAUUCCUAUCCAAUUCCAAUUCUGAUUUCAAAAAAUCCCAAAUCCGAUGAUCGAAAGGAAUUAAUUGACGAAGGACGAUCUCUUCUUGUUGGGUAAUUUCAAUUCGGAUUAGUCAAUCGUGGGUAAAAGUUAAAUGUAUUGGGCGUUUUAGACUUCUUGUUCAGGUGAGUACUGUAAAUAUUUUGUUAUUUGGAUAAAAAAUUUAAUUCCUUCUUUUUCUUACAUCAAUAGAAAUUUAUGAUUUGGGUAAACAAAUUGAGCAUUUAGCCUUUCAUGAGAGAAUGCUUGAUCUUGUCUAUGGAAAUUUAAUUAUGACACCAGUUAGUGUGUUGAUCACGUUUGUUUCAUUACCUUAAUUAAUAGUAAUAAGGAUUUUCACUCACUUAGUUUAAAACCUUCUUUCAAGUGAUUGGAGCAACAGUCGUGAAUGAGAAUUGAAGUUCAUCUUGCUUGAGGCAAGGAAUCUAUAAACCUUUUCUCUUGUUUCUGUUAAGAUGACUGAUUCAAGCGAGCCCCAGUAGCCAGGAAAAGAACCUCAGCAAUCUGAAACAGAACCUCAACAAUCUGAGCAAGGUAAAAUUUGUUCCUUUUUUUUAAUUCUUUUUAAAGGUGUAUAUGUAUAUUUACUUAUAUGGCUAACUCUUUGACUUUUCAGUCUGCAAUUUCUUUAGGAAGCCAACAAAGGGCAAAAAACCAUAAGGAAAAGGACAAUAAAUGAAUAUGAAGAUGAAGAUGAAGACUCCAGAAAUGGCACAUCUUUGUUUCACAAUCAGAAAAACGCUUUGAAGCCUGACUCUUUUCAACUGGAUCCUCCAGGAGUGCUACUCCCACUGAAUCAAAUACAGAAUCUGACAAACCGAUUUUCAAUUUGAGUCUUCGAAGGAAAUUCAAGUUCAAAAUGAUAGCAGAGCUAUGGCAACCUUAGAAACUGAGACUGAGUUUACAAAAGAUGCUCGCGCGAUACGCGAGGAAGUUUUUGGAGGCUUUGAAGGGGAAAAACACAAGCUGGGGGAGAGAAGUUGUAUAAAGGAAUGCAUGGCUAUGUGGAUCAUAAGGCUGGGUUUCGAAGAGAGCAAACAGUUGCCAGUGAGAAAGCAGGUGGCAUGGAUAGGGCUUUUGCCCACAUCUUCAGCAUUUGAUUAUCAGCCUGACAUCGGUAAAGACUACAAAGAAACUGGUUACUGUGGUUACGGAGAUUCAUGUAAGUUUAUGCAUGAUCGUGGAGAUUACAAGUCUGGAUGGCAGUUAGAGAAGGACCGGGAAGAAGCAGAGAAAGCAAGGAAGAGAAAUCUGGCUUUGGGUGGCGAUGAUGAUGAUGAUGAGGCAGGGGUAGACCAGAGUGAUGAUGACGAUGAUGAUUCGUUGCCCUCUGCAUGUUUUAGUUGCUGGCAACCUUUUGUGGAAGUGCAAGUACUACUUCUGCCAGCAUUGUGCUUUAAAGGUGCCCUCAAUGCCUUUUCACGUGGAUUAAUUUUUUUUAGUGUCUUUUUUGUGCUAGGUUAACAUCUAUUAGUUUUUGUUAUGUUUGUUGUUAAUGCAUCACUUAGAUGCAAAACUUUUUUGGUUACUUACAUACAAAGAAUAUUUUAUGUGGUCCAACUUUUUUCAGCUAUAGAAAUAGGACAUAUUUUAACUUUACAUCAUCAACUUUUGGUGCCUCAUGUCAGUAUAAUUUACAUUUUUAUUCUCAUUCGAAUGUAAACUAACCAACUGCAUCUUUUGGUUUUUUCAGCAUCACACAAAGAACAAACAAGUGCUUUAUGUGCAACCAACCCACCCUUGGCAUUUUCAAUACUGCUCAUGAGAUACGUAGAAAGAUGGCUGAAGAGGGUAACGAUAAGUCCAUUGAUGCUUUUUUUCAACUCCUGCUGCCAUUAAUAUUUUUAUUUCUUUGUUUUGCCAUUUUAGUGGAAAGAUUUACUUGUCUGCAUACCUUAUUGAACAAAAUGUAUUCCGAGCUAGAUCUUGGGGGGAAUUUUGGAUUAUGCAGUGAUGAGCUCUUUAAAAUCAUUGUUGCUGCUGGAAUUGGUGUUUUUUUACCAAGUAUUUAGGUAAGUAUUGUUUCUGUGUCUGCUGCCACUGCUGCCUUUUGCCCAUGACGUAACAUUUCUACCUCGAGAUAGCAGUGCAAUGCAGUAAUCAACUUUCCAAGAAUCAGCAUUCCAACUUCACAACCUUCACAAUGGCCGAGAAUUCAUCUUGAUCAUAUCAAAAUCCAUGUCUAGAUGACACAUUCUGGUAGGGUCAUGAUCUAGGAAGGAUGUUACUUCACAGAGUUUAAGGCUGUAGGAUUGCUGAUAGUUUCAGUUGGGUAGGGACAGCUAAUAGAACCUGUGAUUUUUGUGCUGUCCAAGUCCAAAGCAUAGAAAGCUUUAAUGAACAGUUUCUUCCUUGAAAAAACAGUUUCCUGCAUUUAAGACAAAAAAAAUUAUGAAAUCAGCUACCAAACCUAAACUUAAAUUCAAGAUAUUGUAAUCUUUGGCUCUUAACAGCUGAUGUAUACUCAUCAUAUUCUUAGUAUGACCUUUAGUUUCCCUUUUUACCCUCUAUAGUUGUUAGGGAAAUUAAAACACCAUCAAAGUUAGUUUGGAAUUGUCGAGCUUGAGACCUGGAAACCAGAAGCUUUCUUCUAUUCCUUUUCAGUGUUUUUAUGGUGAUGUAGCAUCUUAGCUUGAUCUUGGUCUGUUGUCGACAAUUAUUCUGUGUUAGUAGAUGCAAUUAACUUCUUGUUUGGCAAUUAACGUGGUUACGCCUAGUCAUUGUUGUACAUGCCAUGGCUGGUAUAUCUUCUUGCACUGCAAAGUGUGUUGAGUCAUUGAUUAUCCUGAUCUGCUGGUCGAAAGGGCUGCUUUGGUGCCUGAUACAAUCUCUGUUCAAACUAGUGAUCUCCUCUGUUACCCAAUACAAAUUUCCAUGUCCCACCUUGGAUGGGUUUUCACUUUUCAACACAGCUGUCAUUUUUGCUCUGACUGGACAAAAAUGUUUAGCCGAACAUCAGUUUUGUAAGAAACAGAUAAGCAGAACAAGCUUUAGUCAGGAAGUCAUAUCCUUUCUGGAACUGUAUUUGGCAACCCAUGCUUUCCUUUUCCUAGUAUCUUCUCAAAUCAUUGGCCUGACAAUUCAAACGAUGAAGUUACUCCAUUUUGUUAGAAACAAUCAAGUUUUGUAUGCAGUAAACUCAAUGUUGACCAGGAAUAAGUGAUUGAGAGUAAAGGGAAAAAUCAUAAGAAAAUUACUGGAUGCUCUUUUUCAUAAACAAAGAUUUUACCACUAACCUUUUUCUAAAGAUAAAAUUAAAUCAUAUUAAUCAAGUCCACAUUAAUAAUUAAGAAUGGCAUUCACAUAACUUUCAAGUUGUUAAAAGUUUCUUUGUAUUGCCCACAUGUUUUUGUUUAGUGAAGGUCUAUUCUAUAUGGAUAUCAAUCGGAUAGCAAUAGCAAUAGCAAUAGAGCUUACAAAAAGCCAUUUGUUUUUGUCUGUGUGGGAGUCCAGAAGCAGAAAAACAAAGGAUGAUACGGGAUUAAAGUUAAGAAAAUAAUAAAGGAAAUAUUUAAAUCUCUCUCGCCAUAGUCAAAUCUAUAGUUAUUAGGGGCAAUGAAAUAAUAUCCUUUGGAAUUGUCGAGCUUUAUACCUGGAACUGGAAGCUUUGUUCUUUUUUCUUCUUUCUCUGUAGUGAUGUAGUAGCUAAUACAGGAAUAAAGCAUCUUAGCUUGAGCUUGGUCUGUAAAGAUUUUUCUGUGUUAGCAGAUGAAACUUCUAGUUUUGGCAGUUAAAGUAGUAGGCAUAGUCAUUUUUGUACAUGCCAUGGCUUGUAUCAGAUUCCUGCAAUGCAAAUAGUUGAGUUGAAUCAUUGAUUUCGUUAAUGUAAUUCUUGGUUGUUAAUGUAAUUCCUGGUCUGGUAGUCGGAAAGUCCUACUGGAGGUUGAGAGGAGAGUAUGUGUGACCUGUCACAGAAUAGAAAGUCAGGGGUGCCGAACAUGUUAUUUUGAGGCAUGCUCCGACGCACAAGAUAAGAUAGUAAGAUACACCAGAAGCAAGAAAAUGUAAAAGAGCAGGAAGUAGUUAAAGAGAGUAAAGAGGGUUGAGUAGUCAAUCACCUAACUCGUCUGAUUUACUUUUAUACCUCUUGGGUAAUAAUGUGGCAAACUGGGCUUUCAUGUGUAAAACCUAUUAUGUGAUUGCUGACAUGACCACUUAGAUAUAAUAAUACUGAAGAGCUUAAAAAAUAAUAAGAUUUUCCUUAAGAAAAUUUUUUGGAUAAAUGAUUUUUAUUAAUCCAAAAAAAGCAGUAGACCUGCUACAAAUAAACAGUAGGCUAUCAAGACCUUACAAACGUCAAAGAGCAACCUAAUAAAGUAAACUAAUUAAACUAAGCAACAUAGAGGAACCAGUCCCCAAUUCAGACACAUUCUUUUUUGCUAAGCCAGAAAUUAGUUAAUAAAAACAGAGUUACACAACAGGGGAACCCCAUAACUCAGCAGUAGAACACCAACCUAUAGAUAGAACAGAAGAGAAGCACAAUACAACCAGACAUUACCUUCAAUCAUCCUCGAGCAUAAGAGAAAGAACUGAGACACAAAUACCAUAACACCAGGCCAAAAACAUUCAGGCACAAUUUCUGUUGUUGAAAAAGGAAGAGUGAACUGGAGACUGCAAUCCUGUUAUUGAAUCGAAGCCAAAAGGAACUUUUGAUAGCUGAAACAAUAGCAUCUAUAUAUCUAGAUGGCCUGCCAAACUUCCUUUGAUUGUGCUCCUGCCAAAUAAAAUAUAUAUGAGCAUUCCAAGUCAAUCUAAGGAAAAUAAAUGCCAAAACUUUGCUCUUAAAAUGGCCGACAGCCCCAAUCUAACUCUAAAUACCAGUCACCCACAGGUCUUGUACAAAUUACUAACUUGAAAAUUAAUUUUCAUUUGUAAAAUGAGGUUAGGAAAUUCAAAGGACUUCCUAGUUUGCAGGCAAUUUUUUUUACCAAGUUUCAAAAAGGGAACGAGACAUAAAGUUGAAAUGUUCUUGAAUUAAAUUUUGAAUGCAAUCACUUUAGUAAGUUAUUAGUUAGUUAGUGCAGAUAAAUGACAAUAUAAGAGAGCAUUUAAAUAAUUUUAUUUUUUUAGGCUACAGUUCACAGAAUCAGUAACAAAACUUUUGAGUUAUUAAGUAUUCUAGAAUGCUUACCAAAUGACAUUGAAACUUGAAUUUUGAUUGAGUCACCUUGAUCUUCUCCAUUUUCGAUUCCAAUUCCGUGUAAACCUUUCCAACCAUUUGUUCCCCAACUCAUUCAGCACUGUAUAUCCAGUACAUAAUCCAAUGACCAAUCCACAUCCAUACCCUAUCAACACAAUUUUCCUGUCAGAUAAACCAUCUACCCAUGAAUCUGCAUCUUCCUUAGGGGUUGGCAUUCCAGGACCAUCUUGAUUGCAUUUCCUUGUCAGAGGCAGCCCACAUAAUCUUGGAUUCCCUUUGUUAAGAAUCGUUUGAAAAUGUACCGAAUGUAGCCUUUGUGGUAUGCUUCCCUCAAGUUGGUUUGUAAGAGAGCAUUCAAUACUUUCAAGAAAUGUUAUGGCUUGUAAGCUGUAGAGGAAUCCUUCCAGAGAGUUUGUUUUUGGGAGAGGAUCCAACGACUCAAGCCUCAGUUAACGUUUUCAAGUGCUAAAGGAAUUGGGCCAAGGAGCUGUUGAAGAUAAGUUUAGGCACUUUGAGCUGACUUGGGAGGUUUGUAUUUCGUCAUGGUAUUUCUCCCUUGGAAACUAUUAUGGAAAGGUCAAGACAAGAUAAGGAUGGUUAAGAUUUUCUCGUAAAAAAUUACAAACCCUUUAUUCACAAUUGUUACAGAGUCUGGUAGUAAUCAUCUCCAAUAUAAUCUGGCUUAGCUCUGUUGCCAUCAGUCAUCAUUCUCAUUGCCUUCAAAGAUUGAAAAAAUCCAACGGAUAACUCACCUGAAAAGUUAUUGGAAGCAAGGUCUAGUAUGUGUAACUCUGGCAAAGUAUCUUCAUCCCCAAAAAUUUUAAUUGGACCAUAAAAUCUAUUUGCUCUUAGUACAAGAACUUUCAAAAAAGGCAAUUUCACCAACCAAAAAGGAAAUGUGUCCUGUAUCAUAUUUUUUCCAAGGUCCAAAACUUCAAGAUUUCUGCAAUUGGCUAAUGACCUCGGCAACUUCCCUUCCAACUUAUUCUCACUGAUUAUGAGUGACCUUAGUUCAGUGGUUUGAAAGAAUUCAAUUGGUAAUUGCCCAGAAAAAUUAUUAAAAGCAACGUCUAACACAUCCAAGUCUUGAAAAUAAUUUUUCACAUGUUUAAUUGGACCGUAAAACCUAUUUGCUCUCAAUAUAAGAACCACCAACCAAGGCAAUUUUCCCAACCACGAAGGGAAUGUAUCAUACAAAGUAUUGUUUCCAAGGUUUAAAACUUCGAGCAUUGUGCAAUUGGCCAAUGAUCUUGGCAACUUUCCUUUCAAUUUAUUGUCAUUGAGUUGAAGCCAAUAUAAUUGGGUUGCUUUCGCAAAAUCCGGUAUGUUGCCGCUGAAAUUAUUUUUCUGUAGAUCCAAAGAUCUGAGAGAACUGAUAUUGCCCAAGCAACUUGGGAUUGGCCCACUUAAUUUGUUAAAGGAUGCAUUAAAGGUCUCAAGUUGCCUCAAAUUGCAAAUAGGUCUUGAUAAAGAGCCUUGUGAAGAAGUUAGAGAUUGGUUGAGCGAAAAUUGGUCCAAAGAUGAGAGAGAAUUGUUAGAAAGAUCCAGAUACCACAAACUUUUCUUCCACACCCAGUUUGGUACUGCACCACUUAUUUUGUCAUUUGAAAGGUCAAGAUCUUUUAAACUAGUUUGACUCUUUAAAAACUCUGGAAACAUACUUAGGUUACAGAAUCGUAAACGCAAGUAACUCAACAUUGGAAAAGAGGAGUUUGCAUCACCAAAAGGAACAUCUGUUGGAAAAUCAAUCGUAUUGAAAGAAAGGUCUAAACUCAAAAGAGUGGUCUUGCACAACCAAUUAGGCACAAAACCAUGGAUUUGGUUGUCAGGAAGAUAUAGAAAAGCCAACUUGUCUUGUGUUUUGAUGAAUUCUGGAAAUUCAGUAAGGUUGCAUGAGUGUAGAUACAGCAUCUCUAAUUGGGGAAAAGCAAGGCUUGUGAUGUUGCCUUCAAUUGAUAAAUUUAUAUUGGAAAGUUGAAGACAACUUAAGUUCUUGAGUUGGAAGAAUACGUCGAGCUUUACGCAACUAAAGCUAUUGAAGCCUAAAUACAAUACUUCAAUCAAUGAAGAAGACGCAAUGGGGAUCUCACGAAUUUCACCAACCAAUUGAUUUACUUCAAGAAGCAAUGUAUGCAAUGAUGGGAGAGUAAAUAACGAAGAAUGUAUUGAUCCAGAGAGGUGGUUCCCCCACAAACAAAGAUAUCCAAGAUUUGGAACUCCAGAUCUAUGAAAUGGAGGGAUUAAACCACUGAAAUUAUUAUCUCCUAAAUUCAGUUCCACAAGGUUUGUGAGAUUUGCAAUUGAUGAUGGAAUUUGUCCAAAGAAAUUGCCAUAAAAAAGAUUUAAAUUUGUCAAGAACUUGAGAUUACCAAUUGAUUCUGGUAGUUUUCCACUGAAAUUUGUAUCAGAAAUCGUUAAGAUCCGUAAAGCAUUGUUUGAUGGAAAUUCUGGCAACUGACCUCCAAGAGCGUAAUUAUUUGAAAUGUCAAUGCUUUCUAUUUUUGGCAACUUGAGAAUUUCUGUUGGAAAAUGCCCACUCAAAUUGCAAUUCACUAAACUGAGAGAAAUCAAACGAGAGGAAAUUUCCAACAAAUUGGGAGGUAAAUAAGAGAUCGGGUUCCUACCAAGGAAAAGUUUGGAAAGAAAAGGAAGUCUUGAGAGUGAAGAACAAAAUGGACCUGUCAACCCACAAUUCGACAGACUUAACACAUGCAAGUUAGGAAGUAUUAUGGAUGUGGUCUCACAGCAUUCACUACUUUGAGUUGAAAUGUUCACACUAUCCAAAUAGAGGUCUGUAAGAGGUCUCAAAUUUUGGAUUAAUGACUUGAAGUUUGGGUUUUCUAGUUUCAGAGGUUGUUGAAGGUUGUCAGGAAGAUCAUCGUACCAGAAAUUUGGAUCAAGAAUUUGAUUAUACCGUAGAUAGCAAGAAUCUUGAUUAGAUAGAUCAAGAGAAACUAACCUUAUUAAGUAUGAAAUCUCCACUGGAAUUUGGCCAUGGAAACAUGAGUUUGAAAGGUCGAGAUGAGUUAAAUUUGGGAAUCUAUCAAACUCAUAUUGAAACAGAGUAGUAUUAAAAUUGUUUCCAGCAAGAUUAAGGCGUUGAAGAUGAUGGAGAUUGAAA
Molecule: long non-coding RNA, 227939 nt
Filed under: Durio zibethinus
Lineage: Eukaryota; Viridiplantae; Streptophyta; Magnoliopsida; Malvales; Malvaceae
Description: long non-coding RNA (DZIB_LNC001570)
Source: RNAcentral